UCUUGAUACAACUUUAUUUGUAUUUUAUUUCAGAAUUUAAACAACUAGUUUGGGCGGGUCACACACGACGUUGUGUGACACUUUAUUUGUCACCGCUGCAUCGACAUAUCCAUCGACUAAACAACGGUGAUCCAACUAUAUAUUACUAGAGACCUUUCCUUAUCAGUAGGCACCAACUCCGGUGCCAACGCUGAAUGGCACACUAGUGGUGGUUCUAUACAAGGGCACAUUGACACGGCACAUCGUUGGCAGGGUACGGAGCGCAAUGGAAGUCAUCACCUCAAGCUGAGCUAUCUGGUGUGGAUGCAAAAAGGUACCCUGUGCCAAUUGUUGUUGUUGAGGUUGUUGCCCGAGUUGCUGCUGCGACUGCUGUUGGGGUUGGGAAACGCAUUGGCCCAACUAUUGCGGUUGCUGCUGCUGAGUUUGGAUGGAACCCUGAACCUGUUGUUGUUCUUGCAGGACGAUGGAGUAGAUGAUAGCACGGAUUGCCUCAUAGCGGGAUUGCUGGGGGAUUUGCGGCAACUGCUGGCAACAUUGUUGUUGCAUCACAUGGCAACUGCUCUGCUGCAACAUUUGCGACCUAGCAAGACUUUGUGGCAUUGCCACAGGGCUGCAUUGCUGCUGGAGGAAUACCUUGCAUGGGUUUAGUUGCUGCAAGAUAGAUGGAUGAACAAAUGGUAUUUGUUGUUGCGGUAGAACUGAUUGUUGUUGUUGCGAAAAUGGUGGUUGUUGCGGUAGUACUGGUUGUUGUUGUUGCGAAAAUGGUGGUUGUUGCUGUGAAAAUGGUGGUAGUUGUUGCUGCGAAAAUGAUGGUUGUUGCGGUAGAACUGGUUGUUGUUGCUGCAAAAAUGGUGGUUGUUGCUAUGAAAAUGGUGGUUGUUGCGAUAGAACUGGUUGUUGUUGCUGUGAAAAUGGUGGUUGUUGCUGUGAAAAUGGUGGUUGUUGUUGCUGUGAAUAUGGUGGUUGUUGUUGCUGCGAAAAUGGUGGUUGUUGUUGCUGCGAUAAUGGUGGUUGUUGUUGUUGCUGUGAACAUGGUUGCUGUUGUGGAAAUGGUUGUGGUUGUUGUUGGAUAGGUUGUUCUUGUUGUUGGUGCCAUAAUGUUUGUUGUGGUGGUAAUGGUUGUUGCUGCGAUGGUCUCUCCAAACCAGGGAUGUGGCUAUUCUCCAUUUGUGCAAUGGCACUUGUCGCCGCAACGGCGAGGAGGGCAAAGAUGAGGAAGGUCUUCAUGGUGGAUUGGUGUUAACUAGUGUUGCUUGGUUUUGAUGCUUGUGCUUGUGACGAUCUUUAUACUUCAUGCCUAUUUAUAGUAGCCCGGGCACCACCUUUUUCUUCUUUGCAUUAGCUUUAAUAAUUUUGUUUGGAUGCAAAAAUGAUUUUUGGUACAAUGUGUUAGGUUGCACUAGCUACACGCGUACUUUUGGAUUGAUCAUCAAAGUUGCUUUUUAGUUGUGCAUAUGAUCACACAUAAAGUACAGAAACCUUGAUGUUUGGUAUAUAUGACUCACCUUAUUCACUUUACAUGUCACACACUUAUCUGGAUAGUAUCACUUUUGCAACCGAGUUUGGAACCUUGUAUAGGCUGUCAUCCAUAAACAAGAAAGGCAAAACUUGUGUAGGACUAAGUGUAGAACUAACUUUGUAUUUUUCCUCUAAAAUGAUUAGAUGAACCGACGCCUAUAGAGCAUGACAUGACUCAUCGAAUUCCCUUUACAUGUAAAGGAUGGUAAUUGCUUACAAGCUACUCCUACUAGCAUAUAUCCGGUCCUAACUCUUGACACGUCAUCAUCAGUUUCGCCUAUUUUUUUAGAUAAAUCAUCAGUUUCAUCUAUUUGUGAAGGGUUUUUUUGGGGGAAAUGAUAGUUUUUUUAUGCUAGGGGGAUUUUUUUGGGGGGGGGGGAUGACGCUAGGGGGAAAUGAUAGAUGGGGCUGGAACAGAGGCCCCCAGCCUGGAGCGAGAGAUUAGGCCCAACAUAAGUGCCGUGUGUUAGGGCACCAAUUCGAUUUGGGCUAUAGUUCUCGUAGGCCCCAACGACACAAGCCCAGCCCACACUCCGCGGAUCUGCGUCCCUCCCUUCCUCGUCCUCCUCGCCGGCCGGACCGCUCGCCGUCGCAGCCUCUCCCGGACGCCCACCGCUCGCGGCCCCUCCACGUACCUCCGCGGCAGCGGAGACGUCAGCCUCCCUCCCACCCUCAACAUCCGGCCCCCCACCACCACCACCACCGCUCGACAAAAAAGGUCACUUUUGAAGCUCCUCCGUCGAUUGUGGGCCGUACGUCGACGGCAGCCACUCCGACCUCCCCAUCAACACAAGGUAUCGAUUUGUUUCGUCUGUCUCUUCCAACGAUUCAAUGCACAUAAAUCCGAGAGGCAGACCCAUCUCCAUGCUAGCUGCACGGAUUAGGAGGGUCAGGCAUCAGAAUUCAGCUGGGAAGCCUGACAGUAAUGUACAUUUGUGGCUUUAGUAGCUGAAUAUAACUAUGUGCUUUCUGAGAAUUUCACUUCAAAAGUUCCAAUAAUCAUCAAAUUUCCCCCUAUGCGCGCUAAGCAGGUGGACCAUAUAUUUCUCAUGUCGACGAACGAAAAAACAAAACUCCACAACUAGAAGUCUAUGAUAUUGACACGGAACCGUGCUGUAGGGUCGCAAGUAAAAAUAUGAAAAGCAUGCCUAAUAAGCGAGAUGACGCAGUUCCUGACCGCCCCGCUACGACUAUUGGUUCCAGCGUGGCGUUUGAAUUAUGCCGCGCUAGAUGUCUUUUGUCCGGCGAGGAACAAGUGGGGUCAAGCGUGCUUCGGCAAUUCCCGCCGUCAGAAGACUUCCUUGUAGUCCGGUGUAGAGGUGAGGUUGUGGGGAGAUACAUCGACUAGCACUACUAGGGAAAAGGCUAGCAGCAGCGCGGGUUUUAGAUGUAUCAGUAGUGCGGGUACCCGCGCUACUAAUACGGCGCUACAGCUAACUCAUAGCAGUAACGCGUGAGCACCCGCGCUACUGCUACACAAGUGUAGCAGCAGCGCGGUUAUGAGAAGCUCGCUACCGCUAGUAGCGCUAGCGCUCUUUGGCCGGACGCUCUACUGCUAUUGAGGCGCUGCUGCUAACUUUUGUACACUCGCUACUGGUAAUUUAAGUAGUUUUUUGGCAUAUUUGUUUUGUAUUUGAACCGGCUUUGUAGAAGAAUCUUUAGCACAUAGAAAUGUCAUCAUGAUACACAUACAAAUGCCUGCGAGACCACAAAUGUAAUCAUAGCAUGUACAUACAAAUAGUCUCUUCAUAAUCAUCAUCCAACACAAAGUGAUAUCUUGUCAUCAUCUCGAAAAUAGCAAUACAUGCAAGUCUCGAAUACUUGCAACUACAACAACGUCAUCCAUCUAAACAAAGGUAUACGCAAGAAGUGCUAUCACUAUGAGUGAGAGCGGAACCAUGCAGUACAUGAGGUGGCGGUUAUGAGUCCUCUCUUGCGCUAGCGUGAACCUCAAGUAACUAGCUUCUCCUUCUUGUCUGCUUUUGAAGCCUUUAUGGCUGGCGCCCGUGAACCCAUUCACUUGCGCCUGACACUCAUGCCACUCGUUGUACACCCCCGGAACCUUCCCUUUGUACACGACAUAGCAUUUCCAUCUCGCCAUCAAGAAACUAGGUACCUGUUAGAGAUGCAUGUUCAUGAAGAGGAUGUACAAUCAUAUAUAUGCAACAAAAUAUACUAGAGCAACACUAAGAAAGAAAGGUUAGCAACUAGAUGCAACAUAUACAUUACGCAAAUUAAUUAACUAGAGGUACGCAGGUCAUCGUACGCAAACUAACAAAGUAGCGUUACGCAAGUUUGGCAGGGACCAUGGACAUCACAAAGUUUCAUCGCUACAAAAAGUAUACAAGUUCAACCGACACAUAUCAUCAUCAUCGGCAUCAUAAAUCACUAGAAGUUCCAUCCUUCCAUAUCAUCGAGGACGAACCCUAGCUGCUUGAACGGCGUGAGGUCUAGACGUUGCAUGCCUAUGCGAGUUCGGACGUCAGCUCGCGAUAUAGGGCCGUGGUGGAACAUCCCCUUCUCAUCGACGACUUCUUUCAUGAUGAUCAUCGCAAUGUCGCUUUGGAUGCGAAAGAAGUCAUCUCUAAGUUUAUAAUUCGCUUCUCCAUGAGAUUCUAGCCACUUGUGGAUAUGAUCAUCAUUUCUGCUGUUAAUGCGAAGCUUUUGGUGAUCCGUGUUGAACUGAAUCAUGAGAUGGACGAUGUAGAAUCCAUCCUUCUUGCUUGGUUUUGGGACGUGGAUGCAGGAGAAGUUAGUUUUAUGCGCGAAACCCAUCUUCUUGUUCCUUUGUUUCCUGAUAUGCACGUGGCCACCUCUAAAGUUGAAGCCUUGGAGAGCAUCAUCUAGAAUAUUCAUUAUGUGGGUGUAGUCCUUUUUCUCGUAGUCUCUAGAAGGGUCAAAAUACACGGCGUGGGAGACUUGCGGGUAAAGAAUGAUAAGGACGGCGCGCCCGUUGCUGCGGGGAAAAGACACCUCAAAUUAUUCCCCAUAUGAGAGAGAAGGAAUGAUUGAAAUGUACGAAAGGGUUGUCCGGAACUGACUUACUUUGGAUGAUAAGGCACGAGGACAAUUUCCCGGUCCUUAUUCUGUACCAUGAAGUUUUGGAGGUACUCCCUAGCAGUUUCACGCUCAAAGUCGCCGAGACUCAAGAAAGACUCGUGCAUGUAGUACGGAUCCGCCACACAGAUUUGCGAGACUUCUUCACUCUUCACGACGGAGCUCAUAUGUAGCGCAAAAAGGCGGACGAUAGUAAAAUCAAGCCGCCUUGUUAGAAACAUCUCAAAGAUAUGGUCAAACCGCAGGAAGAACACCUCCGUGGGCCGUGUGUCGACGUAGCACUUCCCCUCAGGCACACGAGCUGCGUAUGUCGGAUAUCCUGGAUCCUUUGAGGCUAGUAGGCUUUUCUCAGUCGACAGCACGUGGUCGUGCAGUCUCCUGAGAUUCCCUGAUAGUGCCUCCAGCGGUUUCGGCGGUAGCAUCGGCUCGCCCGUGAGAUGGAACAUGACCGCACCUUUCACGGGUACACGCUCUUCAGAAUGCAUCGUCUGGCUGCUGUGUGCUCUGGCUUGUUUGGAGGCAGUUACCUUCCCCAAUCUCUUCCUCUCCUUUUUCUUGGGCACACCUUCCAGACCCUUCCUUAACCCCUGCCCAAGUGUUCCCGGGCUAAGUAUUGUACGACCCUCACGCCCGGCUAGUUGAGCCUGUGUUGAGGCGGCAUCUUCAGGCGUGUCCUGUGAGGAUUUCAUGAAGAGAGACUUUUUGCAUUCCAUGGUACGGCCCUGCCCGGGCAUAUCAUCCAUAUCCUCAUUAGCAAGCUGAUAGCCCGAUUCGUCAUAUGGUUGACUCAUCAUAUCUAUGUCACAGUCAUACGCGUUUGUAUUGAGGUAAUCCAUCGGGUCGACCUCCGUCUCAUCAUCCAUUCUCUGUUCUACAGGAGAAAUUACAUCAGCCAGUACUAUUGCACCCCCUUCAUCAUGUCGUCCGCCGCUCUCACACGGCACUACUACAGGAGCUGGUAAUUGCGUAGGUGGGGUGGUGGUCUCCGCACAUGCUUGCUGAUGUGUGGUAGUUAUUGGUGUGCUCUCGGCCGGCUCCAGACGAAUAAGAUUCUUCGGCCAUAGCAGCACCCAACCCUUGCAGCGUCCAAUCCGCGGCGGGGUCUCGUCGUCCGCUCCCACCUGCUGUACUGGAGGAGGCAAAUCCUCGUGCCCCGAUUUCACACUGGUCAAGCUAACCCUGAAGUGCCCAGCGGGGAUCGGCUGGUUGUGGAAUGUGCGUUGAGAGGGGUCCAUUAUCAUCCCCUUUCCCACGUCCACCUUCUGGCCUUUGAUCAAGUAGAGUAUGGUGCAUGGGGUUUCUUUCGCCUGCAAACACAUAUGUCUGUGGUGUAAAACAACCGAAAGGCAACAAAAAUGGAAUAUUAUAUAUAUAUAUAUGUUGGUGCGACAUGUAAUUACCGUGACGGCGUCGAGCUCAGCCAAAGACGAAGGCCCACCUAGCGCGCCUGAGACUGAGGACGGGCUGCUAUGAGCUGGAGCGGCUGCGAGAGGAGGCCCGGUUGCUUGAGCAAGUGAUGGUGCGAUGGUGUUGUUCAUGGAGUUGCUCGCGACGAAACUGGGCAUUGGGAAAUCAUGUACCGUCUUGUCUGGAUUUUCCUUCGCCCAGUUGAUGAUAACUGGAACCAAGUUAGUAGCGAAAUCAUUUCUGCAGGCAUUUACAGCUGCAUUGACUGCCUGCUGUAGCAACUCAUAUUUGUCCUUGGCUGCUUUUUUCGCGUCCUCGGCUGCUUUUUUCUCGACCGCAAGCUUCACCUUUGCGUCGAUGUCCGCCUAACUAAACUUCUUUUUCUGCUUCUUGGCCUCCGGGCCGUCGUUGUAAAACACCUUCCACGUGGCGCCGUCUCCAGCGCCGUGCACACGACCAUAUUGCGGCCGCUGGUCCAACGGGAGUCCCUUAAGUUCGUUCAAGGCCCAGUUGAGAGGUGUGUCCCACUUGGGCCUCAUCGGAGAAGUAGGGCUUUCGGCUGCAAGCCGGUGUUGCUUCUCCAGUAGUCUAAUCAAUUUCCUCGUGAUCUUGUCCGUGUAAAAAACCUUUUUCUCCUUGUCCCACUUGUAGCGGGCCCUGAUGAAGUCAUGCUCCAAGGGGUUGGUGAACUUCGCGAAGGGGUCUGGGAGACCCGCGGCUUCACGUUCCGCGUCCUCCUUAUCCCAUAUGGGCCUUUUACCGAGGUAGCCACGGCUUCCGAGGCGAUGCUUCCCCAUGUUCCGGAGCUGAAGGCUUUUGAAUUUCGCAGCCUUAGCCUUGGCUGCCUUGGUAGCGCAAGUGUCCUUGAACUUUUCGAACUCCUCUUCCGUAAGUGUCGGAUUUUCCUCCAGAAUCUUGGACAGGGGUUCAUCAGCCUCAAUAGCUCGUUUCACCCUCCCUUUCCAGGAGGCCAAAUCAUUGCUGAACAUGCCCAUGGCGUGAUUGUUAAUCUUUUUCAUCUUCGGAUCAUCCCACGGUUGUUCUAUGUUAUCAUCCCGGUCGGGGAACUUGAAUCUCUUCUGCAACUUCGUUAGGAGCAACUGCGUCAAAUGUUCUUUACUCCUUAAGUCAUCAUCGUUGAUGCUCGCGCAUUCCCGUAGGAUGCAUCCUACUUGGUUCCCAUAGCACUUGCGAGGUUCUUCCGGCUCUAACGGCUCAAACUUUCCAGGUGCCAUCUUUGUGAUCACAAGUCGUCCAAUCCCUAGUUUGUUAGGUUUUCGUAUCCUCUGCUUCUUAUGCUUCCUCUUUUCGGUAUCGGCAUCGGGGCCGGUACCUUCCCCGCCGGUCUCGGCGCCGCCAUCGGUGCCGGCGCCGUCGGUGCCGGCACCGUAGGUGUCGAUGUCGGCGUCAGUACCAUCAUCGAGGCCGACCUGCAAACCUUGCUUAGCAGUCAAAUAGUCGAGGUACUCUUGUUCACCCUCAUAAUCCAUCUCGUCUGCAUCUUGGUCAGAAGGCCCAGUUUCUUCGUUGUUCGACAUGUUUCCUAUGAUUAAGUGGCCUCAUUUAUUUCUAAAAGUAUGAAUAAAUGAGAAAUGACAUAAAAAGAAAUCUAUGUGCCAACACUCGAUAUGCCAACUAUGUAGCACAAAUCAUGCCUUUAUUCACGGGAAAUUUCGGCAUGACCUUUGCUAAAAAAUGGACAUAUCGAGCGCCUGAAAUUCACCGAAACGGAAAUGAAUCAACAUUCCUGCGCAACAUAGGCCACUCGGAUCAUUUUCCAAACAUGACAUGUCCAAAACAUGACAUAUGCACAUAUCACAUGUCCAGUUCAAAUUUCCAUAUAAAUUCAGCUAAUUCAUAACUAAAUAGAUAACCUAAUUAAUUAACAUGAAGANNNNNNNNNNNNNNNNNNNNNNNNNNNNNNNNNNNNNNNNNNNNNNNNNNNNNNNNNNNNNNNNNNNNNNNNNNNNNNNNNNNNNNNNNNNNNNNNNNNNNNNNNNNNNNNNNNNNNNNNNNNNNNNNNNNNNNNNNNNNNNNNNNNNNNNNNNNNNNNNNNNNNNNNNNNNNNNNNNNNNNNNNNNNNNNNNNNNNNNNNNNNNNNNNNNNNNNNNNNNNNNNNNNNNNNNNNGGGGGCGAGCGACAUGGUCGGGGGCGAGCACGCCGGAGUCGGGGUCGAGAGCGGGACAGGGGCGAGCGCCGGGGCUGGCACCGGCGCCGGCAGGGUCGGGGGCGAGCGCCGGGGCCGGGUCGGGCACGGCGGAGCGACGGGGGCCGGAGAGAGAGUGGGGAUUUGGGGGGAAAUGGCGGGAUGAAGCUGGGCGAGUGCGAAUUUUGGGUUAAGUGGACGUAGCAGUAGCGGGUUAUGUCAAAACGCGCUGCUACUAUAUUCUGUAGCGGCAGCGGUUUAUGAGAAACACGCUACUACUAUGGUGCGUAGCUGCAGCGCUUUAUGGGAAACUCGCUACUACUAUGGUGCGUAGCGGCAGCGGUUUAUGAGAAACACGCUACUACUAAGAUCUAGCAGCAGCGGUUUUGUGGAAACGCGCUGCUACUGCCGUCGCUACUGCCAGGUUUCCUUUUUCUUUUCCUUUAUUUUAUCCCACUUUUAUUUCCCGAGGGCAAUGAACGAAGGGAGGGCGAUAUAUAUUGCAUCAUUUGACGGUUAAAUAUGUAUGCAAAAUAGGAACAUAUAUAUUACACAUCAUUGGACCCAUGCAUAAUAAUGACUAAGUGUGUAUACAAAUUAAAUAGGAACAUAUAUAUAUUACACAUCAUUGGACCCAUAACAUACGUUUCCUCAGUGCUGACGUUUUCGUUUUUGAGUCAGCUUCUUUCCCUUCUUGUUCGUCGAAGAAUAAUUGAGCCCCUCAUUGUGACUUUGCCUUUUCCAUGGAGUACGAUUUUUCUUAGGUAAUGUAGUAUUGAUUCUUCUUUUGACGUAUACUUCAUCAUCAUCAUCAUCUUCCCUCAUUGGGUUGCUGUACUGAUCAUAGUCUUCCUCGUUGGCGACUCCAUCCAUUCCAAUGAUGUUCCUUUUGCCUCUCCUCACGACAACACGGCUGGGAUUGCGCGGGUCAGUUAUGAAGAAACAUUGUGUCACGUGCUUAGCGUGUACCCAUGGCUCGUUUUUUGCGAUAGCGUUCAUGGUAGCGCUCUUGGCGUCGGGUAUAGUCAUGGUAGUGAACAUCCGGCUUUCUCUUUCGACAUUCUUAGCCCAUCUGACACGGAACAUCAUCGUGCUGUGCAGUCCAGAGUAGUCAAGCUCCCAGAUCUCCUCGACCCUUCCAUAAAAUCGUUCAGUUGUGCCGUUGUCGCUGCCGGUCAUGCAUUCCAUCGUCACCCCUGAGUUCUGAUCAUCACUGUCCAUAUCUUUUGCCUCUGUGUAGAAUGUGUAUCCGUUGAUAUCAUAUGCCUGAUAGGUUACGAGGUUGGGCGAGGGGCCAUGUGCUAAGGCGUAUAUGAGCAAUCCGUCCUUAGAGCCCUCCUCCGGUGGAUUAGCAAUAAUAUGCUCUUUGAACCAAUGCAGGAAAGUGGAGUUGUGCUCUCUAGUAACUUCGGCGUCCGUCCUGCAUACCCCCCGGUCACGAUACUUCUUUGUGAUAAUUUCUUUGUGCAGUGCCACGAAAGGAUCUACCUCGUCUAGGUGUUGUAGCACUACCAAGUUUGCUCUGUCAAAGUCGCUGCGUCGAUCUGAGUAUGCCACGUGCAGUUCCCUGCGACCGUUGCAGUGACCAUCUCCUUUGAGCCUCCCAUCGUGCUUGUUAACGGGCAAACCAACACUAACACCAGGCGGCUGGUCUGCGCCAUAUAAAAAAUUCUCACAGAAAGAGAUGCACUCUUGUGCCAAAUAGCCCUGGACGAUGCUUCCAUCCGGACGGGACAUGUUACGAACGAAUCCUUUGAUGAUCCCAUUCAUCCACUCAAACGGGAUCAUGUUGUGCAGGAAUGACGGCCCCAGGUCUAUUAUGUCAUCCACAAUAUGGACACACAGAUGCACCAUCACGUCGAAGAACGCGGGCGGGAAGUACAUCUCAAGCUCAUUCAGUAUCACAACGAUCUCUUCCUGUAGCCUUUGGAGCUGCUUCACACUGAUCGACUUUCGAGAGAUGACAUCGAAAAAGUUGCAGAGACCAAUAAGCGUGUCACGGACGUGCUUGUCCAUUAUCCCUCUAAGGGCAACAGGUAGUAUCUGCGUCAUCAUCACAUGACAGUCAUGAGACUUCAUCCCGCUGAACCUUUUCUUGUCCGUGUCUAGAUAUCUGCUUAUCUUGCCACAGUAACCGGAACUAACUUUCACUCCGGUAAGGCACUUAAAGAAUUGAUUGAUCUCAGCCUGACUUAAGGUGAAGCAAGAGGGGGGGCAAUAAUCUUCUUUCUUUAAUUUCUUGCCCUUCUUCUCCCGUGCCUCUGUCUUCGUCUCUGUCUCGUCUGACAUUUUACGGGGCGGCAUCUGCAGAUCUUCCCUGAUUUUCAAAUCUUGCAAGUCUUUUCUUGCCUUCGGCCCAUCCUUGGUCUUAUCCGGCAUGUUCAUCAGUGUUGCGAGCAAGCUCUCAAGGACAUUCUUACAGAUAUGCAUUUGAUCAAGGCAAUGAGGUGUAUCGAGUUUGUGCCAGUACUCCAAGUCCCAGAACACGACCUCGUCUUCCAUACCUUCAGCAGCGGCUCCGGCGCCUUUCUCAUCGUCUUUCCCGGCGCGGGGCACUCAUUCCAGUUUUUCAAUAGCUCAUCGAUUUCGGCACCGCUCCGCUUACGUGGAGGUCCUCGAUGCUCAGCGUGACCAUUGAAUAGAUCUCCACGGUUUCUCCACGGGUCGUCCUGUUCAAGCCAUCUUCGAUGCCCCAUGUACAUGAUUUUCGCAGACCCGCCAUCUUUCCUUGACGUUAGCUGCUGAGACGUUGUAUCAUCCAUGCACCGCGUGCAUCCGCAAUAUCCAUGGCACACCUGGCCUGCCACAUAUCCGUAACCGAGAUAGUCCUGCACUGUCGUGAUCAGCGCGGCUCUCAUGUUGAAAUACUCACCUUUGCUGGCGUCCCAUGUCUUGGCCGGUGUUUUCCAUAACGUGUCUAACUCCUCUUGAAGUAGCCCCAGAUACAAAUUAAUAUUAUUUCCUGGUUGUUUCGGCCCUUGAAUAAGCAUGCUCAUGUGAAUGUACUUCGAUUUCAUACACAACCAGGGGGGGAGGUUGUACAUCCAUACAAACACGGGCCAUGUACUAUGGUUGGUGUUCUAGUUGCCAAAUGGAUUCAUGCCAUCGGUACACGCGCCGAGCACGAUGUUCCUUGCAUCACAUUCAAAAUACCGUUAGAAGCUGUUCAACGCUCUCCACUGGCUUCCAUCCUUCACGUGUCUCAGCUUCGGAUCAUCUCCAUCGUCGGGCUUCUUCCUCUCCGCGUGCCAGCGCAUUAGCUUUGCUUCCUUGGGAUCUACAAAAUACCUCUGAAGACGGGGAGUGAUCGGUAAGUACCAUACAACUUUCUGGGGACAUUUCUUCCCGGCCUUCUUGUAUCGAGAAGCAUUGCACACCGGACAGCUUGUUUUUUCCGCGUGCUCCUUCCGAUAAAUUAUGCAAUCGUUGAUGCAUGCAUGGUAUCUAACGUGUGGCAGAUCAAGAGGGCACACGAUCUUCUUGGCCUCAUCAACACUAGUAGGACAUAGAUUACCCGCGGGAAGAAUAUCCUUUAGGUACUUGAGAUGGUCAUCGAGGCUAGUGUCGGUCCAUUUGUUUUUAGCCUUCGUCUUCAGGAGUUGGAGCGUGAAACUCAACCGGGUCACCUCAGGAUUGCAACCAUCAUACAAUGGAGUGUUCGAGUCUACCACCAGUUGCUCCAGCUUAGCCUCCUCUCUAGAAGCAGCUCUCUCAGUACUCGUCUCCUUGCGAAGCAAUGCUUGAACAUGAGGGUCCCGCACAAUUGAACUUAGUACCGACGAACUCUGCUGCGUGGAGUCCAUGUCGUUCUCUCCGCCGCCAUGUCCGGCCCCUUCUCCUCCGCCAUGUCCGGCCACUUCUCCGCUGCCAUGUCCGGCCUCUUCCCCGCCGCCAUUAUCGAUCAUCUCUUCGUCUUGCCCCGUGUCAUCAUUGCCUGCCCCGUCGGCAUCCUCAACAUCUUCAUCCUCAUCUUCAAUUAUCCACCGAGUAUAGCCAUCCAUGAAACCAGUCAUGAGCAGGUGCGCUUCGACACGACCAUCGUCAUGGGGGUCGAGCCAAACUAUUCCUUUGCAUUUUCAACACGGACAUAAAACCUCUGUCCGGUUAUUUUCUUUCAUGUCUUGCACCGCCGACCGCAACCACCUGUCCACCAUUGUUCCACUGACCAUCGUCAACUCUGCACGGUAAUAAUAAAAAAAUUGAUUGUAAAAAUGCAUGCAUGCAUCAAAGUCAUAAAAAAAUUUGGCAUGACCUUCCCUAAAAAUAGGACAUAUAUGGAUCUAGAGUUUGCCCGAAAUUCGCCGAAACGAAAAUAAAUCGACAUUUCGGCAAAACAUAGGCAACUCAAAAGCACAAUUUGGCGGCGUCAACUCAUGCCACAGACACAAUUUCCACAAACAUAUCACACAUACACAUAAACACAUUUCCAUUUUGCAAAAGCAUGAAAUUUUCAUCACCUCUAUCUCGAUGGCCGGAGAUGAUGUUGUAGGGAGAUCAAAAGUGCACAAAGCUAUUCUUGACAAAGAUAGAUCUAGUUAGGGGGCAAAUAGGUCACUUAACUAAAUCCUACAUCUACCUAGCUACCUAAUUUGGAAGGAGACAACUUCAACUAGUGGAGGGGGAGGAAAAAGAGAAAGAAGAUGCAUUAAUUAAUGGAGGUGGUGUAGUUAUGUAGGAGUAAUGAAGAGAGAGAAGGUGGAUAGAGAANNNNNNNNNNNNNNNNNNNNNNNNNNNNNNNNNNNNNNNNNNNNNNNNNNNNNNNNNNNNNNNNNNNNNNNNNNNNNNNNNNNNNNNNNNNNNNNNNNNNNNNNNNNNNNNNNNNNNNNNNNNNNNNNNNNNNNNNNNNNNNNNNNNNNNNNNNNNNNNNNNNNNNNNNNNNNNNNNNNNNNNNNNNNNNNNNNNNNNNNNNNNNNNNNNNNNNNNNNNNNNNNNNNNNNNNNNNNNNNNNNNNNNNNNNNNNNNNNNNNNNNNNNNNNNNNNNNUGUGGUGGAGGGAAGAGAGGAGAGGGGGAGGUAGGGGGGAAGGGAAAAAAGGAAGGGGGAGGGGAGGGACGGGUUGGGGGUUGGUGGGGUUAGCAGUAGCGCGGGAGAUAAAACGCGCUGCUGCUAAGAACUUAGCAGCUGCGCGCUUUGCGGUAAGGCGCUACUGCUAACUGGGACAAAAAAUUGUGGCAAUUUGAAACUUACCAGCAGCGAUCUCGAGGAAACCGCGCUACUACUACGUACUUAGCAGUAGCGCUGUUAUUGCGACCGCGCUACUGCUACUUAGAGUUGGGGGAACACCGCCGGUCGAUAUUUGUAGCAGCGCGUUUCUUGUCGAGCGCGCUACUGCUAAAUCUUUAUCAGUAGCGAGUUUACGUAACCCGCGCUACAACUACUUAGCAGCAGCGCUCUAUUUUGAACCGCGCUGCUGCUAAGAUUCUGUGUAUAGGCUUUUCCCUAGUAGUGUAGGAAGGAAUGACCACAUGAAUGAGCAUACGUAUGAUGUGAUUAAGUCUCUCGAUUGGGUAUCUGGUGCCUUAUGUACGGUGUCUUCUUUUUGUCAAGCUAUGACAUCUUUCAGUUUGAGUGUCUGAUAUUAGGGUUGCAUACGUUUUGUUAUUCAGUUGCCUGUUGUGAACUCUACGGUUAUAUCAUCUCGAUGUGUGAGUCAAUGUGUUUGAACCAAUGUAGAGUUUCAUGUGAAUGUUACAAGUGUGAUUGAUAUGUUCAUGUUAUCCGCGGUUGCCUUGGUAAGAAACUGAAAGAGCAAACCGUUAUCGUGCUAGGACAAAAGUCAUCACUCAAUAUAAGUGCUUCUCUAGAACAGCCACACCUUGUGAAAGAAGAUGGCAAACACCCAAUCAUGUCUGGUUCGAUAUGGGCGUGGCUAUGGGUAGCUUAUAGCGACAUGGAAGCCAGCAUCGCUGGAAGAAACGCCCGGGUGGGCCGGCCUAGAGACAUUUCUUGAUAUCUACCCUUAGUUUUGUUUUUCUGCCCUUCUUUCUUUAUAUUUAUAUUUUUCCCGACAUGUUCACUACUUGAUGCUCAACUGGGAUCUCAUCCUUCACAAAUACGGAGAGCCAUUAUUGUUAGAGUUAAUCUUGACAUGUGUGUAUGUGCAUGUGUGCAUUGCAUGUUAGUGGUCUAGAGAUGGCCGGGUCGAUGCGUCUGUUCUGUGCUGGAGUGAGUCCAGCAGUUUGUUUUGGUCAGGUCGUGGUGGCUAGAGCCAUUCUAGGAGAGGAUCAAGUCAAGUUGUUAGCUGAACUCGGCUGGGUAGUGUUUGGCCGUUGAGGAUAGGCUGUACUAGUGGUGGGCAUGGCCGUGCAUAUAGCUAGCGAUUAGUUACACUAGUAGAAAACCACCCAUUAGUCCCGGUUCGUAAGGGCCUUUAGUCUCGGUUCAGGAACCGGGACUAAUGGGUCGUUACUAAUACCUCCACCCAUUAGCCCCGGUUCAAACACGAACCGGGACCAAUGUGCCUCCACGUGGCCCUGUGCGGCGAGCCCAGUCAGGGGGCCUUUGGUCCCGGCUGGUGGCUCCAACCGGGACCAAAAGGCAUCCACGCGUCUGCAUUCUAGUGGUUUCUGGUUUUUGUUUUUUUUUUGAAAGGAGGGGGGUUGGGGGUUUUGGGGAGUUAAUUUAGGUGUUUCGUAUAUUGUGUUAACUAGCUAAUUAAUAGAGAGAAGUGUCCUCUCUUAUGUCCGUGCUUGGUCGACGCUACGUAGUAUAUAUACAUAAGUAAUCGAGAGAACCAUUCAGUACAGAAGUUCGUCAUGCAUACCGAGAGAAGUGAUCGAUCGACCUCUCCUUCUCCGAGAGAUUGGUCGAACAACAAGUUUUUUACUGGCUACAUACAUGUACAAUAUGUAUAAGAUCUCUUAAUUACAAACCCAUAGCAUUUGAAAUCAACUUCCACAUGGUAUUCUCCGGCUUUACUGAUGACGUGUUCAAGAAAGAAUCCCGCUAAUUCCUCUUGAAUUGCUUUCAUGCGAUCUGGUUCUAGGAGUUCACCCCGCAUCUGCCACGUCUAAUUAAUUUGAAGAAGGGGGUUAAUUAAUACAUAUAUAUGAAUGAAACUCAACAGAAAAUGAUGGUGUAAUAAAAUGAAAUUGUGAAUAUUAUUGCUUACGCACUUCAUAUUGUCUUCUAGAGUAGCCCCGCUUGUUUCUCAAAGUUGCGUUGUGGAUGAACUCGCACACGUAGUAUCCACAAAAAUCAUUCCCUUCCUCCUGUCACAAGCACUUUACGAGAAACAGAGGUCAAUCAAACUGAUAAUGAAGCAUUAUAAAUGGCAUUGAUGAAAGUAUAGCUAUAGAAUCAACGGGAGAUGCACGCAACUAGCUAGCCAGUAGUACUUACUUUCGGGUAUACAUAUCGCAGCUCCUUCGGCAGUCCCGGAGCUUGUGCGGUGAACUGUUUCCGAACCCUGCAAGACAAAGAAAAUAAUUAUUAUUACUUGAGAUAUCAGGAAAUGAACAAAAAGUUGCCGAUAUGGUGCGAUAAUGAUCGAUUGAACUUACUUGCUGAGCAUUUCAGUCAUGUCCACAUAGGUGCUGGGAUCUUUCCGUCUCGAGUCUAAGACGGUUACUAGUCCACGCUCAAGCUUAAUCUCCAGAAGAAUAUAGUGGUACCUGCGCACGCGUGCAUAACUCAUCAAUUACAUUAACCUCGCUCGAGUAAUAAGGGAAACCGAAUAUGCACACGACAGUAACACUCACGGGCCGUUGUAAGGAAAGAGUAUGGUAUCUUUGUUUUGAUUUUUGAUCAACGAUUGUAGCAAGUUGUCCUCGGCCUCUUCGACGUUCUUUUCAACCAGAAAUACAUCUAUGAUAUUUGUGUUAAUGAACCCAAUAUCAUAAAUUUUUUGUUUUUUGCACUCGACGAUCUUCAAUCUGCAUAAUAUAUUGAGGAUAAUUAAUUAUAAAUACAUGCAAUGAAAGAUCCGAGCUAUAUAUAGAGACUUAAUGUCAGAAAUAGUACUUACAUGCAGUAGCAAAAGACCAUUAAUUUAUCGAGGGCCUUUUGAUUGAAGAACUCAAAGAACUCCUCAAAUGGAACACACAACAGAUCAUUUGAAAUGAGGUCGUGCUCCUCUUUAAUAUUCAAAUACAAACUGUUCGUCCCCUCAGACUCUCUGCAGGUUUUCAUGUACCAAUUAUGGAAUCUUCGCAUCAUUAUUGUCAGAGAUUUUUCAUCUUUGACGAGAGGCUUCCCGUACUCGUAUCUGAAUACGUCCACCUCCAUGAAAUCAGGAAGUGCAUCGUCAGGCAGGUAAUCUUCAAGAUUGCCAUAACCGGCCACCGUCCCCGGAGGAUUAGACACAUUGAGCGGGGGGCACGAUUGCUGUGCUUGUUCGCCGAGCUGGGCAAUUUUUUUCCCCUUUGCUCGUUGUUCUUUUGACCUUUUAUCAUUGACAGUAGUUCCCGACCGCUUGGCUUGGAGAUAUGUCUGUUCAGUAAUGCGCUCAUAGUUGGUUCUCGGCGGAGACUUUGGUGGUUUCCUCAGGGCAUCGAGAGUGCGCUUUGCUUUCACCGGAUCUACCUUCUCCUCCGGAGGUGGAUGUCUCUUUGCUUUCACCCCUUCAAAGAACUCCUUCACGUGGGCCUGCACGAUCGUAUUGUUUUCCUCCUUGGUCCUCUCGUACGGUAACUUCUCUAGAGGCUUUAGAGGUGGACCGUAUCUGUAUUGCCUCUCUCUUCUUGUGCUGCUAGACGCCGGAGCAGACGGAGCGGCUGUGGCGUCUGUCUUCUUCCGUGCUUGCUUAUGAGGCGGAGGAGAAGGACUACGACGCGCCGGAGCAGCCGGGGCGGCGGCGGGUCUCUUCCGCCCUUGCUGGCGAGGCGGAGAGGAGGAGGCGGAGUGCCGCCACAUGCCGGAGAAGGAGGCGGAGUGCCGCCAUGCGUGCCCUGAUCGUCACUCGCCGGAGGAGGAGGCGGUGGAGGAGGCGGAGUGCCGCCACGCGUGCCCUGAUCGUCACUCGCCGGAGGAGGACGCGGUGGAGGAGGCGGAGUGCCCUGACUCGCUGAAAGAGGAGGAGGAGGCGGAGGCGUCCAGUUCAGAAGGUUGAUGAGCUCCUUCUGCCAUAGGCAUGGAGUCUUCAGAGCAGAACCCAGCCUAGUCUCCCCUUCACCGGUAGUGUGCUCAAGCACGAGGUCCUCAAAUCCCUCCGUUAUUUCAUCCACCAUCACCUUAGCAAAUCCUUCUGGAAUUGGCUGGCAGUGAUAAGUUGUGCCGGGUCCACUAGGAUAAACUUGGCCAACAGCCGCCUUGACCUUCAAAUUCAUCCAUCACACAAUAAUGUGGCAAUUUUGAGACUCCGUGAUACCAUCCACGGGAUAGCUGGCAGGAGCCGUCAAGACAUGCUCCGGCUGAAGCAGCUCAGUGGAAGCCACGCUGCUUCUCUGCUGAGAUGGCGGGGUAGCUUCGGGGGAAGCUUCGGCAGGUCGUUUGUUGUGAUCUGCUGCUUCUUGUUCCUCUAGCCCCAUUACCCUUUCGUGCAGCGCCUGCAUUUGGUCCUGCUCCAGUUUCUUCCUCCUCUCGUAGGCUUUGUAAACGCCUGCGUCCAGAAAACCAACCUUCCACGGAAUGGAGCCUGGCGUGCCUCGUGUCCGUCCAGGGUGCUCGGGAUUCCCAAGGGCCAUUGUGAGCUCGUCCUUCUCCCUGUUUGGAAGGAACGUCCCUCGUUGUGCUGCAUCGAUAUAGUGUCGAAGGUUCUUGACUGGUGUUUGCAGUUGCUCGUCCGUCCACUGACGCUUCCCUGUUACAGGGUCCAAGGUUCCGCCAGCCCCGAAGACCCAAGUCCGGCAACGGUCUGGCCAGCGCAUUGUCUCUGGUUCGAUUCCUUUUUCAAGCAGAUCAUGCUCAGCCUUGGACCACUUAGGCCGGGCUUUGAGGUAGCCACCUGACUCCGUGCGAUGGUGAAGCUUCUUCUUCGCAGCAUUUUUCUUGUUUGUCUCCGACAUCGUCUUACUCUUUUCCGAUGUCUUGUGGGCCACAAAUGCGGGCCAGUGAUCUUUGAUCUUCUCAUAUUUGCUGAUGAAUUCUGGUGUCUUUUUUUUCUCGAGAAACUGGUUCAGCUCUUUCCUCCACCUCCUCAUUAGGCUUGCCAUCUUCUUAAGAGCACAAGACUUGAUUAAUUGCUCUUUAACUGGCUUCUCCGGAUCCUCCUCUGGCGGUAGGGUGAAAUUUGCCUUCAGCUCAGUCCAAAGAUCUUCUUUCUGCAUAUCAUUGACAUAAGACACCUCAGGGUCUUCAUCCUUAGCAGGCUUAUACCAUUGCUGGAUGCUGAUCGGGAUCUUGUCCCUAACAAGAACCCCGCACUGAGCAGAAAAUGCCUUCCUUGUCCGGAUGGGUUCAAUCGGUUCGCCGUCGGGCGCGAUUUCUAUGAUCUCAAACUUUUCAUCCGAGAUCAACUUUUUCUUCGGGCCUCGUCUCCUUACCGAAGUUGUGCUCGAUCCGGAGGGCUAGAAAUUAUAAGGAAGAAAGACGACAGUAAUUAAUAUGUGUACAUAUACCAAAACAAUGGAUGCAUCAAUUAACUAGUCAGCACGGGCUUAACUAAUAUAUAUAUACCUGGCCGGACUCGGUUCGGUGACCGGAGCAGUCAGCACGGUCUCCUUGUACCUCCAUUGUGUCACCGGAGCCAUCAUGAACAUAGUCCUCCUCUUGUACCGGCAUUAAUGGGUCGAAGCCAUCAUAAACAUAGCCCUCUUCUUCAUCCAGUCCUUCCAGCUGACCAUCGGUGUCGAUGAGAAAUGACGCAACAUCAUCACUUCCAUUUGCGAUUAUGUCCCCCAACAUCGCUUCUGUUUCUUCGUCUCGGGAGUGCUCCAUAGUUUCUGCAAAUAUUUACAACAUGUCAAUUAUUAUUCAAACAUGGUACAAAUGGAUAUAUAUAUAUAUAUAUAUAUAUAUAUAUAUAUAUAUAUAUGAAAAUGGAUUGGUACUCCUAGGAGUACAUACUCUCACCUACACCCGUCAUCGUUGGAAACAUUCAUCCCGCUAACUACUAAAAAAAGAGCUAACUAACUACGGAUAAAGCCUUUGGAUUUAAAAAUUAGUUGAACCGCUUCCUUUUUUUUCAGCUCUCGUAGGCGUGCCUUCCAGGGAUUCCAUUUGAAACGGCGUUCUCAUCUCUUGCCAGCACCCAUGAACAUAAAAAAACAGAGCAUCGGCUCGCCUCCGCCCCGCCGACUGACCGGAAGACUUGGUCGACAUGGCCGACGAUGAUCCCCGUGCUUCUUCCCUCGCAAACUAGGCUUCAACCACCACGUCCAUCAAUCAGAGGAAGAUUGAUUCAUCAUCUGUAGUUUGCGAGGGUACGUGCAAUUGAUGUUUCCCGAUUUUUCUGUUCGGCUACCACAACCGUGUUCAUGUUCCCGCUGACCCCUUGAUCCAUUCCUGUCCAGUAUGUCAUCGUCCGAGAAGAAAAUAGGACGGAGAUGAUUGAUCGGCCAGAUUGAUCGGCCAAGUCUACUAGUACCACUGGUGGAAAAAAGGCCUUUGGUCGCGGUUCGCAACUGCCAUUAGUCGCGGUUGCGCAACCGCGACCAAAUAAGCGCGACUAAAGCCCCCCACCUUUAGUCGCGGCUGCUUAAGAACCGCGACUAAAGGCCCGUCCAUGUGGGCGCCAGGCGGCCGUCGGGACGGAGGACCUUUAGUCGCGGUUCUUCUGGCCAACCGCGACUAAAGGCCGCCACAGGUUUAGGGUUUUAGCCCCCCCCCUAAACCUGUUUUCUGUUUAAUUUGUAUUGUUUUAUUUCUUUUGUGCUUUAUUUUAAUUUUGAAGGAGUUUCAUAUAUUCUACGGUACUACAUACAUGCAUAUGAAUGUACAAUUUCAAAUAAAUUUGAAAUUAGAACCAAAAAGAAUUCAAGAGGAAUAUACAAUAUAUAUUCAAUAUCAUCGGAUGACCAUAUACAAUUUUGAACAAGUUUCCAUACAUGAUUUAAUGCAUAUAAAGUUCUACGUCCUCGUAAUAGUGUUCUCCUUUAGGAUGGAGGACUUCCCUGCUGAACCAUCCAGCUAGUUCCUCUUGAAGUGGUCGGAAGCGAGCUUCUGGACUAAGCAUCCACCGGAGGUUAUUCCUCUGAGCAUUGGUAUCACUCGGAACCCGCUCAGAGGUGUAUCUCCGGAUCAUCUCACAGACAUAGUAUCCACAUAGAUUGGUCUCCGGUGGCUGAAUAUCCCCAGCAUUCUUAGCCACUGACCUUUUGAAUUCUAGCUCUUUUUUGAAUUCACCGACCUUUGUAUCUACGAACCGUCUCCAAACCCUACGAGGCAAAGAAAAUUAAAUGAACAAGAGAGUUAUUAGUUACUUGAUAUUAGGAAAUGAACGAAAUAGGCCGAUUGAUAUAGAGCGCAAAUGAAUGAAAAUAAUUACUUCUGCAGCAUUCUUCUCAUGCCGCCCCAAAGCUUUGGAUCCAUAUUCACAGAGUCGUGGACGAGACAUUCUGAGGUGUUAACUUUAAUUACUAGCAGAAUCCAGUGGAACCUGCGGACACGAUACAUGCACAGUACGUCAUGCAUAACUCAUCGAUUAGCCGGCCACAUACCAUGCAUGGAGUAAACAAAAGAGAAUGUGCUCAAGACACAAACACUCACCCAAAAUGGUAAGGAAAUAGAAUAUCACUUUUGAGUUCCUGCUUUGUAAGAAACUGCCACAGGUCUACCUCCACGUCGGCGGGGUGACGCUCCAACACAUGUCCAUUAACGAUGUGUGGGUCAAUGAACCCAACAUCAUGGAUGUUCCUUACUCUGCAUUCCUUAAUCUUCAUUCUGCAUGUAUAAUAGCGGACACAACAAUAUAGUUAGGACAUAUAUAUAGUGCAGGCAAUAUGAACGAGAUGGGGUAGAAAUUAAUAAAUCACUUACAGAACGUAGCAACUGAUGAUAGAUUUAUCGAGCUCGCGCAGAUUGAAAAGCUGGAACAAUUCACUCAGUUCAAUUUGUACAUAGUAAUGUUUGAAGUGAUGCUCAUGUCUAACUUCCGCAUAAAUAUAUUCUUUGGCGUUUUUAUUUUUUAUGUAACCCUUGUACCAUUUCAGCAGACCUUUCAUUUGUGGAGGUAGAUCCUUUUCCUGCGCAGGCUCGACGAGAGGCCCAUUCUUGACAUAUGUAAUUACUACCUCCUUCACUGGCGCCUCAUCAAGGCCUAACAGUUCACGAAGAGUAAUACCUAAGUUGGCCGCUUGUUCUAUGGCACUCGUUACAGUCAAUCCCUGUGCUGCCGCAGCUUGUAUGAUCUCGGGGGCAUCCGGACAGAAGGCUUCCACUAUAAGCGGGGCAAUCGAUUGUUUACUUUGUUCCCCGAGCUGGGCAACUUGUUUCCCGCUUUUUUUACUUUCGGCCUUCUCCCGCUCUUUGUUCUCCUUGAACAUGAGUGCCUGCCUGCGAAGUUCACGUGCAUAGUCGUUAGGCAGAUUCUUCGCGGCUUGGGACGGUGUGCUCAAAAAUGACUUAGCCCACUUGUUUUGCUCAUCAGAAAAUACUGGCUUGGGCUCGAGCUCUCUUUUCUUCUUGCAGUCCGCCUUCCAUUUCUCCAAAUCAGCAGCCGCGGCCGCGUCGACUUCCUCGGCACUACGUUCCCAAGGCCUUGUGGGGAGAGGCUUCAGUGAUGGCUCCGGUACCUUUGUGGUCUUAGGUACAUAAGGGUCCGGGUUAAUAAUCCAGGACUGCUUCUGCUUCUUUGCCGGAGGUGGAUUGGGGGGCGGCGUCUGAUCACCCGCCGGACGAGGACUGGGGGGCGGCGGCUGAUCACCCGCCGGACGUUGUGGACUGGGGGGCGGCGUCGGCUGACGUGACGGAGGUGUAGGUGAACCGCCACCACCACCACCACCACCACCACCGCCACCGCCACCACCACCACCGUAGGGGGGUGGACUUGUUGUCCUUGGCGCCUCGCCUGGAAACUUGAUAAACUUCUUUUGCCAUAGAAUGAAAUGGCGCUUGACAUCUCCAAGUCUUUUCUCCCCUUCAGGUGUAGCAAUGUCAAUCUCCAGGUCCUCAAACCCUUGGACUAUGUCCUCCACCGUGACACGAGCAUAGCCAUCUUGAAUGGGGUUGUUGUGGUGGAGUGCUCCAGGUAAACAUGGUAAAGCACUGCCGAUGGCUACCUUCAUGGACAUGUUCCCGAUAGGAUAAUACAGAUGACAUUCUUCUCCGCUGCUGGCUUCCGAGAUCUGCUGGAUGAUCUUCAUGCUGCACCCGAGCUGCAUCUCUUUCGGCUACUAGUACACUCAUGGUUUUCUUCAUCACAUCCAUUUCCGAUGCCAACCGCGCCACAACAUCUGCUUCCCGAUCCACCUUUCUCUUACGGCUUCUGUAACCGUACGGGUCAUCGUUCUGGGGGAACCCUAUUUUCCACGGAAUGUGCCCCAUGCCUCGUACACGUCCUCCGUGUUCAGGAUUCCCGAGGGAUUUUGUCAGCGCGUCGUUCUCUCUGUUGAACUUGAUCUUCCCCUGUUGAGCAUCCCUCAUUGCGUUAAUAAGGGCUUGGGUGGGUUUAAUUAAUUUGCCCCGGUAAACACACUCCCCUGUCUCCGGGUUCAGCGUUCCCCCAUGCCCGUACCACCAACUUUUGGCCCUUGGGUCCCAUCCCUCCGUACCUGCACGGAUUCCUCGCGCCCUCAGCUCGUUCUCCAUCUUCUCCAACCUAGGCACCCAAAUGCGAUACCCUCCUGGCCCCAUAACAUGAUUGUACUCCUUCUUAGCCGCAUUUUCCUUAUUUUUUCGAUAUUUGAAUGAACUGCUCCGAUUUCUUUUGCUUCACAAAUUCUGGCCAAUCAUGUUUCAGUUUCUCAUAUUGUCCUUUGAAAUCCGGAGUCUUGUUCUGCUUGACAAAGUCAUGGGCUAGAUUUUGCUUGAAUUUCCGGAAUGCGUCGGCCAUCUUAUGAAGAGCGAACUGUUUGACUAGCCUCCUCCUCUCCUUGUUUUCUUCAAUCUUGUUACCCUCCUCAUCGAAUUUGUUGUAUUCCGGAGGUAGAACGAAAUGUUCCAUAAGCUUCUUGAAGCAAUCUUUUUUUGUUCUCUUAUCGACAAAAGUGAAACCAUCAAUUCGUGCCUUCUUUGGCUCAUUCCACUCCUGGACGGUGAUCGAGACGUUGUCUCUAACAAUGGCUCCGCAUUGGCUGACAAACUUGGUGGCGUUCUUGCGGGGCUCCAGCGGCCUGCCGGUUGCACUGUCGACAACCUCGAUGGUGCAUGUUUCUCCUUGUUUCAUCGUCUUGGUUGCGCCACGCUUUGACGACGUACUCGAUUGUUUCGACGAUCCGGCCGAGGGCUAAAAUAAGAAAGAGUCGCGCGCGUUAGUACACACAUAUUUAUUCAAAUCAGUUAGUUUGUAUCACCAGAGGCUCAAUGUAUAUAUAUACCUCGGCGCCGGAGGUGGUUGCUACAUCCAUUUGAAGAUCGUCGUUUAUCGACGUUUGUUCGGCAUCAUCUUGCUGACGGCGCCCUUCAUCUUCACCGUCAAGGUUCAGAUAAGAAGAGAUAUCAUCUUCUUCUUCUCCGGUCGGCACAUAUAGAAUAUCGCCGUUUAUGAUGCCGAACAUAUGUGCUUCACCGUCCGGAUCAUAGUUGUCCAUAAUCGGGUCAGCUCUAUCGUCCGCCAUUAUGUCAGUCCUGAAAACAUGUAGUAAAAACAAAUUAAUUAAGUGAAGAAGGGGGGCGGUGGCGGUGGCGGUGGCGAAAGGGUGGUGGCAAAAGGAGGGGGCGAGGAAGGGGUGGGAGAGGGUGUCGCGGUAGAGCGCGAGACGGGGCGGCACGAACGUCAUUUUGUGAAGAAACUUUGCAAGCAAUUAAACAUUUGUCAAUGUUUGGUAAAAAAAAUACAGGUAGCGUCUGUUGCUCCUAAUGAUUGGAAACGGUUUCCAAUUGCCAACGAGGAUUUAGAUCGACUACUACUACUAGUUGCAUUGCUCCCCAUCGGGACGAUGUUGCUCCUAAUCCCCUCCUUUGGAAUCUAUAGUACUAGUGCAUACUAGCUGGCCGUUGACCGUUGUUGCUCAUCGCGUUUUCUCAAAGUCCACUGAUUUUGCUCAGGGCCAGUUCGGAGAUUUUGCUGGUCCACUGAUUUUGGAUCAACGCCGGGAUGGCAUGGGCGCUCGGCGAUGAUGCGAAGUAGACUUGCACAGGCAACGUGAUGUACAUGGAUGUGUCAGUACGGUACGCUCGGCGAUGCCACGGUAUGGAUGACUUCUCGAGUGGAGAUUGGAGAACCAAGUUCGCCGGUGAAACGUCGGCUCCUGAUCAGAUCUGGGGGUCGCGAACUAGCGAUUGGAUCUCGGAAGGGAGUUAGGAAAGCGAACAGACGUGCGUUCAAGGCUACAACUUUUUUUUUCAGGAUCUUGAAAACAGCUACGCGUUCAAGGCCCGGUCCUGAUUUUGCUCAUCUACCCGGGGCGGCGUUCGCACUGCGCGAGGGCCGACUCCGCGGGGUGCUGCCGCGUCGCCUCGUCGACGCUGAGCGAGUUGGCGAGGACCGUGUACAUGGUCGGCACGUCGCCGGCGGAGAGGGUCAUGCUGUCCCCGACCAGCGGCGGCCACGGACGGGGAGGGCGGCGGCGGUGACUGGGAAGGAAUGAUAGGAGAGGAAGGAAGGUCGCGUGGGGUUGAGGGCGGNNNNNNNNNNGGCGAGGAGGGACUCCUUGGCGGAGAGGCGCUCCGUCUCGCGGGCGUAGCUGGCAGCGGGCUCCCACGCCUGCGCGUACACGUCGUCCCGCCGUGCGUUCAAGGCUACAACUUUUUUUUUUAGGAUCUUGAAAACAACUACGCGUUCAAGGCCGGCCCGGUCCUGAUUUUGCUCAUCUACCCGGGGCGGCGUUCGCACUGCGCGAGGGCCGACUCCGCGGGGUGCUGCCGCGUCGCCUCGUCGACGCUGAGCGAGUUGGCGAGCACCGUGUACAUGGUCGGCACGUCGCCGGCGGAGAGGGUCAUGCUGUCCCCGACCAGCGGCGGCCACGGACGGGGAGGGCGGCGGCGGUGACUGGGAAGGAAUGAUCGGAGAGGAAGGAAGGUCGCGUGGGGUUGAGGGCGGGCGAGCGAGGCGGCAGUACCGAGGCUGGCCGGCGGCGCGCGCGCGGUGGGCGAGGGCGACGGCGGGCGGCGUCGAGGGCGAGGGCGACGGCGGGCGGCGUCGAGGGCGCGGCAGAGACGAACAGGCGAGAAACGGCGGGCGGCGUCGAGGGAGCCUUGUAUUUAUAGCCCCCCCNNNNNNNNNNNNNNNNNNNNNNNNNNNNNNNNNNNNNNNNNNNNNNNNNNNNNNNNNNNNNNNNNNNNNNNNNNNNNNNNNNNNNNNNNNNNNNNNNNNNNNNNNNNNNNNNNNNNNNNNNNNNNNNNNNNNNNNNNNNNNNNNNNNNNNNNNNNNNNNNNNNNNNNNNNNNNNNNNNNNNNNNNNNNNNNNNNNNNNNNNNNNNNNNNNNNNNNNNNNNNNNNNNNNNNNNNNNNNNNNNNNNNNNNNNNNNNNNNNNNNNNNNNNNNNNNNNNNNNNNNNNNNNNNNNNNNNNNNNNNNNNNNNNNNNNNNNNNNNNNNNNNNNNNNNNNNNNNNNNNNNNNNNNNNNNNNNNNNNNNNNNNNNNNNNNNNNNNNNNNNNNNNNNNNNNNNNNNNNNNNNNNNNNNNNNNNNNNNNNNNNNNNNNNNNNNNNNNNNNNNNNNNNNNNNNNNNNNNNNNNNNNNNNNNNNNNNNNNNNNNNNNNNNNNNNNNNNNNNNNNNNNNNNNNNNNNNNNNNNNNNNNNNNNNNNNNNNNNNNNNNNNNNNNNNNNNNNNNNNNNNNNNNNNNNNNNNNNNNNNNNNNNNNNNNNNNNNNNNNNNNNNNNNNNNNNNNNNNNNNNNNNNNNNNNNNNNNNNNNNNNNNNNNNNNNNNNNNNNNNNNNNNNNNNNNNNNNNNNNNNNNNNNNNNNNNNNNNNNNNNNNNNNNNNNNNNNNNNNNNNNNNNNNNNNNNNNNNNNNNNNNNNNNNNNNNNNNNNNNNNNNNNNNNNNNNNNNNNNNNNNNNNNNNNNNNNNNNNNNNNNNNNNNNNNNNNNNNNNNNNNNNNNNNNNNNNNNNNNNNNNNNNNNNNNNNNNNNNNNNNNNNNNNNNNNNNNNNNNNNNNNNNNNNNNNNNNNNNNNNNNNNNNNNNNNNNNNNNNNNNNNNNNNNNNNNNNNNNNNNNNNNNNNNNNNNNNNNNNNNNNNNNNNNNNNNNNNNNNNNNNNNNNNNNNNNNNNNNNNNNNNNNNNNNNNNNNNNNNNNNNNNNNNNNNNNNNNNNNNNNNNNNNNNNCGAGGAAGACCAAUCGGCUUAAGGUCAGGAACAAAGUCAACACAAAACUCAAUUACCUCCUCAUUUCCAUAGCCCUUGGCGAUGCUUCCUUCUGGCCUAGCACGGUUACGAACAUAUUUCUUUAAUACUCCCAUGAACCUCUCGAAGGGGAACAUAUUGUGUAGAAAUACAGGACCGAGAACGAAAAUCUCUUCGACUAGGUGAACCAGGAGGUGCGUCAUAAUAUUGAAGAAGGAUGGCGGGAACACCAACUCGAAACUGACAAGACAUUGGAUCACAUCGUUCUGUAACCAUGGUAGAACUUCUGGAUUGAUUACCUUCUGAGAGAUUGCAUUGAGGAAUGCACAUAGCUUCACAAUGGCUACUCGAACAUUUUCCGGCAGGAGCCCCCUCAAAGCAAUCGGAAGCAAUUGCGUCAUAAUCACGUGGCAGUCGUGAGACUUCAGGUUUUGGAACUUUUUCUCCGCCAUGUUUAUUAUUCCUUUUAUAUUGGACGAGAAUCCAGACGGGACCUUCAUACUGCUCAGGCAUUCAAAAAAGAUGACCUUCUCUUCUUUGGUCAGAGCGUAGCUGGCACGACCUUGAAACCAUUCCGGAUGCCGGUCAUCAGGGUCUUUCAAACGUUGCUGGUCCUGCCGUGCUUCCUUUGUAUCAUUUGUCUUCCCAUACACGCCCAAGAAGCUUAGGAGGUUCACGCAAAUAUUCUUCGUAACGUGCAUCACGUCGAUUGCAGAGCGGACAUCUAGGACUUUCCAAUAUUCUAGCUCCCAGAAUAUAGAUUUCUUCUUCCACAUGGCUGCGUUCCCGUCUGCUCCCUUCGGAACUGAUUGUCCGCCAGGACCCUUUCCAAAGAUGACUUUCAAAUCCUUGACCAUAUCAAAUACCUCAGCACCAGUGCAUUCCGCAGGCUUCGGCCGGUGAUCUGCCUUGCCGUUGUAAUGCUUGCCUUUCUUUCUUACUGGAUGAAUUUUCGGAAGAAAUCGAUGAUGCCCAAGGUACACGUUCUUCUUACAAUUUGGCAAAUGUACACUUUCAGUCUCAUGUAAGCAGUGCGUGCAUGCAUUGUAUCCCUUAUUUGACAGUCCCGAAAGGUUACUAAGAGCAGGCCAAUCGUUGAUGGUUACGAAAAGCAACGCUCGUAGGUCAAAUUCCUCUUGUUUGUGCUCAUCCCACACACGGACACCACCCCACAGCUGUAAAAGUUCAUCAACUAAUGGCCUUAGGUACACAUCGAUGUCGUUGCCGGGUUGCUUCGGACCUUGGAUGAGCACUGGCAUCAUAAUGAACUUCCGCUUCAUGCACAACCAAGAAGGAAGGUUGUAGAUGCAUAGAGUCACGGGCCAGGUGCUAUGGCUGGAGCUCUGCUCGCCAAAAGGAUUCAUGCCAUCCGUACUUAGAGCAAAUCUUAUGUUCCUUGCGUCAGCUGCAAAAUCUUUGAACCAUCUGUCGAUCUUUCUCCAUUGCGUUCCAUCUGCGGUGUGUCUCAACUCCCCGUCCGACUUACGGUCCUCUUUGUGCCAUCGCAACAACUUGGCAUGCUCUUUGUUCCUGAACAGACGUUUCAACCGUGGUAUUAUAGGAGCAUACCACAUCACCUUGGCGGGAACCCUCUUCCUGGGUUUCUGGCCCUCAACAUCGUCACCAGGGUCAUCGCCUCUGAUCUUAUAACGCAAUGCAGUGCAUAUCGGGCAUUCAUUCAAAUUCUCGUAUUCACCGCGGUAGAGGAUGCAGUCGUUGAUGCAUGCAUGUAUCUUCAGAACCUCUAAACCUAGAGGGCAGACAACCUUCUUUGCUUCGUACGUACUGGCGGGCAACUCGUUAUCCUUUGGAAACAUACUCUUCAACAUUUUCAGCAAGUUUUCAAAUGCCGAGUCAGCUACACCUGCCUCUGCCUUCCAUUUCAGCAAAUCCAGUGUGCAGCCCAGCUUUUUCAGACCAUCAUCGCAUCCGGGGUACAGCGCCUUUCUGUGAUCCUCUAACAUGCGAUCCAAAUUCUCCCUCUCCUUUUCAGUUUCGCAGCGUCUCCGUGCAUCAGCAAUGGUCCGACCAAGAUCAUCAACGGGAUCAUCACGUGCCUCUUCUUCACCUUCCCCUUCACCUUCAGCAUCCUCCAUGAAAGUAUCACCGAGAUGAGCAAGAUAGCUUUCAUCGAUGAAAUCAUCCCCUUCUUCAUCUUCUUCCAUUAUAACCCCUCUUUCUCCAUGCUUGGUCCAACAAUUAUAGCUUGGCAUGAAACCGUGCCGAAGCAGAUGCAUGUGAACAUCUCUUGAGGAAGAGUAACCCUUCUGAUUCUUACAGAUAACACAUGGACAGAUAACAAAAAACCCCUGCUUGUUCGCAUUAGCCACUACGAGGAAAUCUUUCAAACCCGUAGUGAACUCGCCGGAGAGUCGGUUACCGUACAUCCAUUGCCGAUUCAUCUGCAUUAUUAUAAUAUAAAAUAUAUAAUUAACCAUCAUGCAUUUGUUAAACUAACUAGCUACAAACAAUAUAAAUUAAACAAUGAACUGCACACAUGCAUAUUUUAUCAAUGACACAUCAAAGGUUCAUCAAGUUGCUAACCGCGAUCGAGGAGUGUGGCUCCAACACUUCAUGUCAUGUUUGUUUCAUGCUCUUGGGGCAUUUCAUCAAACACCUUAUGUGCAUAAGAGGAACCAAAAGCAAACCUACACCCACUUGUGAAGAGAAUGGCUCCAAAUGGCUAAGUGUUGGCUGCUGGAUGGGUAUAUAUAGGGGAGGGGCUUUAGUUGCGGUUGGCUUGGCAAACCGUGACUAAAGGUGCCCGAAGGCCUUUAGUCGCGGUUGUCCUGGCCAACCGCGACUAAAGACCCUCACGUGCGCCAGCUGGCCACCGAGCGCCCUGAGCCCAGGCCUUUGGUCGCGGUUCACCUCCAGAACCGCGACUAAAGGUCCCAUUAGUCGCGGUUCCUACAGCUUCGCGACUUAUGGGGCUGGACGGAAGCUUGUUUUUCCACCAGUGUACUAGGUAAGGUGUCGUUCCAGUCAAAUUGAUGAAUUCAUCUUUUGUUACCUUUGUUAUAGGAAUAUAGGCUGCAUUUAUUAGUCAUAUCGAGCUCUCAAGGAGUCAAGAUCUUGUUAACUUACUAAUAAUUUCUAUAUACCUGCAGCGUUAUGGCCUAUGGUGCAGGGCAAAGACAACAAGGACGACAUGCGGCGGCGACGUGGCCAUGGUGAAGCUACUUCGUCCGGCUACCCCAUGGUUGGCGUGUCUGCCGUCCUCUCAAUCUAUCACACGUACGUCCGGUGCAUGCAUGGUGUCGGGCCGAAGAGCACACAAAUCUACAUCCAGGCCCUGGGCACUAGCAACCGCUGAUGCACUUAGCCACUUACCAAUGUAUUCCUAUUGUACGUAUAUAAUAAAGUGGUUAGUACGUCGACGUAGAAAUAGUUAGUAGCUUGCUUUGCACUCACACAAUCGAGUCAUGAUUGUUACUGAUGAUCAAAAUUUUAUGUAUUUUUUAUGCCGGAUGGGUUUACUACUUCUUCUUCGGUUGUAUAUAAAGCUUCCAAAAAAUUAGUAUAUAAUCCUCCAGAAUAAAUCAGUAUAUAGUCCUCCAAAAAAAUGAGUAUAUACACUUUGUAACGCAGCAUAUACCCCAUAAAAAAUGUAGUAUAACGCUGCAGAAAUAAGACAUACUCCUUUUCUAGUUGCAUAUACCCAAUCACAAAACUACACUGAAAUAAUUAGUAGUACAUACUCCUUUUCUAUUUUGGAAAGGAACGUCCAUUUCCCUCUUCAACAAGUGCUUUAUUUUUCUAGGGGUAGCCUUGUGUUUUUACUGCCAUGCGACGACAUUACAAAAUGUAUUACACCCAUUAUUCAUCUAAUUUUUUAUAUACCCUUUUAUGCAUACUUUGAAUUUAUCACUCAUUUGGGCGACCAGCCCGCUCUCUCAUUGCAGCGACUCGACUCUCACAUAAAGCCAGUAUAUACUCACGUAAAAAAAAGCAGUAUAGACUCCCUUACUGAAAAAGAACUAUAUACUCCCCUACCAAAAAAAGUAGUAUAUGCUCCAUUACCAAAAAGGCAGUAUAUACUCAUAUACAAAAGGUGGUAUAUACUGUCUUCCCAAAGUAGUAUAUAUCUUUUUCCUUGCGUUAGAGAAGUAGUAUAACCAGAACAGAUAGUUCAUACUUGUGUGCUGAAAAAAGUAGUAUAUAAAUAUAUAUGUAAGAGUGAGUAUGGUAGAUAUGUAUCGGUCCUUACAAAAAAAAUCAACCACUGUUAUUGUUUAUUUGCACCGAACUAACCUUAUCUGUAUGCUAGGAUCCUUGAAUCUCUCAAUCUGUUGAUGCACAUGCAUGCGUCGGCCGGUGGAGCAAUUAGCAACUAGAUCUAAUAACUGCCAACCUGUUCAGUCCAUGGGAGUACAUACUCCUGGGAGUAUAAAAGAGGAGUCUAUAUAUAUAUAUAUAUAUAUAUAUAUAUACGGUGGCGCUAUUGUGUGCGUGAGCGCAGAUUUACUUAUCGUGCGCGCCGGUCAUUGCGUGCGCCACUCGUAUUCCUAAUGAUGGUAAAAUUCCUGGCAGAAAUAGUAAUAUAAUUUAAUUGGUUACUGCCUGCCACCACCACGGUAGCGAUUUAAUUGGUUAGGUCUACUAGUAAAAAUGCAUAGCAGAAAAAGUAAAAGAGCUAAAAGUAUUACUGUUGGAUGCAUCGGUCCCCGCUUCGACUGCCUACUAGUAAAACACCUCAUAAAAGUAGUAAUAGGAUUACCCUACACGCAUCAGCCCCUUGCCAUACUUGUGAACAGGUAAACUUCAUGUGAAGAAUAGUACUGGAUGGUAACUGUGUUACCAUAGAACGGACACUUGCUAUUAGCUAGCUACAUGGUAAUUUUAUUACCGCUAACUUUCAUCGGUUUAAUACCUAAUCAUGUUACCACUUAUUUUCUUAGUAGUAUUGGAUGGUAACUAUGUUACCACAUGACGAAAAAAUUGCUAUUAGCUAAUAGCUACACGGUAAUUGCAUUACCACUCAUGUGUAGAAGCAUGAUACACGGUCUUUUUUCCAAUUACGUUUGGUCGAAGACGCAAGGGUUUGCUAAUCGCUAAAGUGGGGUCGAAGCAGUAAUAAGUUUCCAACCGUUACCAUGUUUCUUAAGGUAUGUUACGUAUGGGCGCAAGACAUGUUCUUUAAUAGGAGCGGGACAACGGUUGCUUAGACGGAGAAUGGCGCGCAGUCUGGCCGGAGCGUAGAAUUAGACUUCUGCGCUCAGGCUUAGUUUAGCACGUCUAUAUAUAUAUAUAUAUAUAUAUAUAUAUAUAUACAUACAUGUUAGUGGCCUCGACGCUGCUUCUCUAGGGUUUGGGGUCGCCUCGACACAACGCUUCAAGGGUUUGGGGUGGCCUCGACGACAACGUUUUUUUAACUUGAUAAAUUUGGGUGGCCUCGAGAGAGUUAAUUUGUCGGGUAGGGGCGCGGCGGGAGGGGGUAGGAGACCAACAUCGUUUUCUCUCUAGGGUUUGGGUGUCCUCGAGAGUUAUCGGGGAGGGGGUAUCGGUACCACCCCCUAGCUCGUGUUGAAGUUUCUUCUUUCUCCUCUAUUCCUUUCUUUCUUCUUCUCCUCUUCUUUUUCUUCUUCUCCCUCGAGAAAGGAAAAUANNNNNNNNNNNNNNNNNNNNNNNNNNNNNNNNNNNNNNNNNNNNNNNNNNNNNNNNNNNNNNNNNNNNNNNNNNNNNNNNNNNNNNNNNNNNNNNNNNNNNNNNNNNNNNNNNNNNNNNNNNNNNNNNNNNNNNNNNNNNNNNNNNNNNNNNNNNNNNNNNNNNNNNNNNNNNNNNNNNNNNNNNNNNNNNNNNNNNNNNNNNNNNNNNNNNNNNNNNNNNNNNNNNNNNNNNNNNNNNNNNNNNNNNNNNNNNNNNNNNNNNNNNNNNNNNNNNNNNNNNNNNNNNNNNNNNNNNNNNNNNNNNNNNNNNNNNNNNNNNNNNNNNNNNNNNNNNNNNNNNNNNNNNNNNNNNNNNNNNNNNNNNNNNNNNNNNNNNNNNNNNNNNNNNNNNNNNNNNNNNNNNNNNNNNNNNNNNNNNNNNNNNNNNNNNNNNNNNNNNNNNNNNNNNNNNNNNNNNNNNNNNNNNNNNNNNNNNNNNNNNNNNNNNNNNNNNNNNNNNNNNNNNNNNNNNNNNNNNNNNNNNNNNNNNNNNNNNNNNNNNNNNNNNNNNNNNNNNNNNNNNNNNNNNNNNNNNNNNNNNNNNNNNNNNNNNNNNNNNNNNNNNNNNNNNNNNNNNNNNNNNNNNNNNNNNNNNNNNNNNNNNNNNNNNNNNNNNNNNNNNNNNNNNNNNNNNNNNNNNNNNNNNNNNNNNNNNNNNNNNNNNNNNNNNNNNNNNNNNNNNNNNNNNNNNNNNNNNNNNNNNNNNNNNNNNNNNNNNNNNNNNNNNNNNNNNNNNNNNNNNNNNNNNNNNNNNNNNNNNNNNNNNNNNNNNNNNNNNNNNNNNNNNNNNNNNNNNNNNNNNNNNNNNNNNNNNNNNNNNNNNNNNNNNNNNNNNNNNNNNNNNNNNNNNNNNNNNNNNNNNNNNNNNNNNNNNNNNNNNNNNNNNNNNNNNNNNNNNNNNNNNNNNNNNNNNNNNNNNNNNNNNNNNNNNNNNNNNNNNNNNNNNNNNNNNNNNNNNNNNNNNNNNNNNNNNNNNNNNNNNNNNNNNNNNNNNNNNNNNNNNNNNNNNNNNNNNNNNNNNNNNNNNNNNNNNNNUGAAAACACUUUUUUUUGUUUUCUUUCUUGCUUUAUUUAUUUUAUUUUGUUUCUACUUGCAAUAAAAUACUUAUUGUUGUUUUUUUGUUUUGUUUUCUGCAUUAUUUAUUUUCUUUUGUUUUUUGCUUUAUUUUUUAAUUCUUUUUGCUUUUAGUUUUAGGAAAAUUAUAAACUUUCUAUUAGUGCCAUUACUUUUCAAAUUUGAAAACACUUUUUUGUUUUUUAGUUUUCUUUCUUGCUUUAUUUAUUUUAUUUUGUUUCUACUUACAACAAAAUACUUAUUGUUGCUAUUUUUAAUUAUUACGAAGGCCAAACCAUAAGACAUUAAAGCAUUUCAAAUGAACUCUGAAAAAGUUGAAAGUUGGCAUGGUAUCAUAAAUUGACCCACACAUAGCAUGUGCAUGUACAAAACGGACAAUGUUAUCAUACUCGUCAGUUACAAAGUUGGCAUGGUAUCAUCAUAAUAGUUGCGGGAGAAAGUCUUCACUUUUUCUUCGCUUGUGUCAUUUGCUUAUUGCGCCGUAACCAUGGAUAAUCUUCAUCGUUUAUCAGGAUGCUGGGGUCAGCCUUGACUUUAAAGGGAGGAAUUUCAUGAAACUUUUCAUAAUCUUCAGACAUGUCUGUCUUGUCCUCCUCUCCCACGAUGUCCCUUUUUCCUGAAAGAACUAUGUGGCGCUUUGGCUCAUCGUAUGAUGUAUUCGCUUCCUUAUCUUUUCUCUUUCUUGGUCUGGUAGACAUGUCCAUCACAUAGAUAACCUGUGCCACAUCAUUGGCUAGGACGAACGGUUCGUCAGUGUACCCAAGAUUUUUCGGAUCCACUGUUGUCGUUCCGUACUGUGGGUCUACAUGUACCCCGCCUCCUGACAGAUUGACCCAUUUGCACUUAAACAAAGGGACCUUAAAAUCAUGUCCUUAGUCAAGUUCCCAUAUGUCCACUAUGUAACCAUAAUAUGUGUCCUUUCCCCUCUCGGUUGUUGCAUCAAAGCGGACACCGCUGUUUUGGUUGGUGCUCUUUUGAUCUUGGUUAAUCGUGUAAAAUGUCUUCCCAUUUAUCUCAUAUCCUUUCCAAAUCGUAACAGUCGAAGAUGGUCCCCUGGAUAACAAGUACAUCUCAUCACAAACAGCGUUGUCACCUCUGAUACGUGCUUCCAACCAACUGCUGAAAGUCCUGAUGUGUUCACAUGUAAUUCAGUCGUCGCACUGCUCCGGGUGUUUGGAGCGCAGACUGUUCUUGUGUUCAUCCACAUACGGGGUCACCAAGGUAGAGUUCUGUAGAACUGUGUAGUGUGCUUGAGACCAAGAAUAUCUGUCCCUGCAUAUUAUUGAGUCCCUUCCAAGCAUGCCUUUUCCAGUCAGUCUCCCCUCAUACCGCGAUUUAGGGAGACCUAUCUUCUUAUGGCCAGGAAUGAAGUCAACACAAAACCCGAUGACAUCCUCUGUUUGAUGGCCCAUGGAGAUGCUUCCUUCUGGCCUAGCGCGAUGAGGGACAUAUUUCUUUAGGACUCCCAUGAACCUCUCAAAGGGGUACAUAUUGUGUAGAAAUACGGGGCCCAAAAUGACAAUCUCGUCAACUAGAUGAACUAGGACGUGCGUCAUGAUAUUGAAGAAGGAUGGUGGGAACACCAGCUCGAAACUGACAAGACAUUGCACCACAUCACUCCUUAGCCUUGGUAUGAUUUCUGGAUCGAUCACCUUCUGAGAGAUUGCAUUGAGGAAUGCACAUAGCUUCACAAUGGCUAAUCGGACGUUUUCCGGUAGAAGCCCCCUCAAUGCAACCGGAAGCAGUUGUGUCAUAAUCACGUGGCAGUCAUGAGACUUUAGGUUCUGAAACUUUUUCUUUGCCAUAUUUAUUAUUCCUUUUAUAUUCGACGAGAAGCCAGUCGGGACCUUCAUACUAAGCAGGCAUUCAAAGAAGAUUUCCUUCUCUUCUUUGGUAAGAGCAUAGCUGGCAGGACCUUCAUACUGCUUUGGAGGCAUGCCGUCUUUUUCGUGCAAAUGUUGCAGGUCCUCCCGUGCCUCAGCUGUAUCUUUUGUCUUCCCAUACACGCCCAAGAAGCCUAGCAGGUUCACGCAAAGGUUCUUCGUCACGUGCAUCACGUCGAUCGAAGAGCGGACCUCUAGGUCUUUCUAGUAGGGUAGGUCCCAAAAUAUAGAUUUCUUCUUCCACAUGGGUGCGUGUCCCCCAACGUCACUCGGAACAGCUAGUCUGCCGGGACCCUUUCCAAAGAUUACGUGUAAAUCAUUGACCAUAGCAAGUACGUGACCACCGGUACGCAUGGCGGGCUUCUUCCGGUGAUCUGCCUCGCCUUUGAAAUGCUUGCCUUUCUUUCGACAUUGAUGGUUGGUCGGAAGAAAUCGACGAUGGCCCAGGUACACAUUCUUCCUACAGCUUGCCAGGUAUAUACUAACGGUGUCAAGUAAACAGUGCGUGCAUGCGUGGUAUCCCUUGUUUGUCUGUCCUAAAAGGUUACUGAGAGCAGGCCAAUCGUUGAUGGUCACGAACAGCAACGCCUUUAGGUUAAAUUUCUCCUGUUUGUGCUCAUCCCACGUACGUACACCGUUUCCAUUCCACAGCUGUAAAAGUUCUUCAACUAAUGGCCUUAGGUACACAUCAAUGUCAUUGCCGGGUUGCUUAGGGCCUUGGAUGAGAACUGGCAUCAUAAUGAACUUCCGCUUCAUGCACAUCCAAGGAGGAAGGUUAUACAUACAUAGAGUCACGGGCCAGGUGCUGUGAUUGCUGCUCUGCUCCCCGAAAGGAUUAAUGCCAUCCGCACUUAAAGCAAACCAUACGUUCCUUGGCUCACUUGCAAACUCAUCCCAGUACUUUCUCUCAUUUUUCUCCAUUGCGACCCGUCAGCGGGUGCUCUCAACUUCCCGUCUUUCUUACGGUCCUCACUAUGCCAUCGCAUCAACUUGGCAUGCUCUCCGUUUCUGAACAGACGUUUCAACCGUGGUAUUAUAGGAGCAUACCACAUCACCACUACUAGGGAAAAGCCUAUACAUAGAAUCUUACCAGCAGCGCUCUUCAAAAUACAACGCUACUGCUACUUAGCAGCAGCGCGUGUCUGCCAAACACGCUGCUGACUUGGAAGUAGCAGUAGCGGGUGCAUCGCAUACAGCGCUACUGCUAUAGUUGCCAUGACCUUGCCCCCCCCCCCCCNNNNNNNNNNNNNNNNNNNNNNNNNNNNNNNNNNNNNNNNNNNNNNNNNNNNNNNNNNNNNNNNNNNNNNNNNNNNNNNNNNNNNNNNNNNNNNNNNNNNNNNNNNNNNNNNNNNNNNNNNNNNNNNNNNNNNNNNNNNNNNNNNNNNNNNNNNNNNNNNNNNNNNNNNNNNNNNNNNNNNNNNNNNNNNNNNNNNNNNNNNNNNNNNNNNNNNNNNNNNNNNNNNNNNNNNNNNNGCAAACGCGCUACAACUAUCCCUACCUUAUCCCCAUGCGCACGACCGGCCCUCUCACUCACACUCUCACUCUCGCCCACGUCAACCGUCGUCGUCCGUCGCCGCCGCCGCCGCCUUCGUCCGUCCGCCGCCGAGGUACUCCCCUCCUUCCGUCCCUCCUCCAUCCUCCUUGCACAUCCUCCCUCCGCCUGUGGCCGCCCCUCCUUCCUCCGCCGCUGCCCUCCUCCCUCCGCCUGCGGCCGCCCCUCCUCCCUCCUCCGACGGCAGCCCUCCUCCCACCGCCCUCGACCUCGCUGCCCCUAGCUACCUCUCCGUCGCCCCCCACCCCUGCCACUAGUUAGUACUAGAUUUAGUAGUAGUAGAUGUUAAUUUAGGGUUAGCUAGUACUAGAUGUUGCUUAGUUAGUACUAGAUUUUUAGUAGUAGUAGUGGUAGUUGAACUACUUUAGUUGUAGUUGAACUAGUUUAGUAAGUAAAUUAAUAAACGAGUUGAACUAGUUGAAUUAAUAGAACUAAUCUAUUUUUAGUAAGAUAAUUAAUAUAACUAGUUGAACUACUUUAUUUUUAGAAAGAACUAAUUUUUUUCUAUUUAUAUUAAGUUUAUAUUUAGUAAGAACUAGUUGAAUUAAUAAAACUAGUUGAACAUGUCAUGUUUGUUGUUAGUGAUAACUUAUAUGGUUUCAGGUGACCUCCGUCGUCCCCGUCACCGACCCCCUCCGACAUCCCCGUCGUCGUCCCAGUCACCGACCCCCUCCGACAUCGAGGUGAGACCAGCCAAAUAUCCUUGUAUAUCUUGUGUUGUUGCUCAAAUUGGAUAUGUGGUUGCCCAAGUGGCCGUUCAUGUAGUUUACAUCUCCGAGUGGCCUAUGUUUUGCCGGAGUGUUGAUUAAUUUCCGUUCCGACAAAUUUCAGGCGCUCGAUAUGUCCUUUUUUAGCAAAGGUCAUGCCGGAUUUUGUCGUGAAUUCUGGUAUGACUUGUGCUAGAAUAUGUACAAGUUUAAUCUUUGAAUUAUGAUUGUAGGAAAUGUCGUACUCGGACGACGAAGGUCUCCCGGGGGAGUGUAGCUGGUGCCACGACGAUCGAGGUAUGUGCGAUAGGUUCGUUCGGCUGGACGAAGAUCGGCGCUUCAACAUUAAGCUCGAGGAGACCUUCGAUUGUGAAAUGGUACGCAACAACGACAAGUGUUUUUUCUCCAUUAAGCAUGACUUCAACUAUUUCAACGUCUAAUUUUCAUAUUUUACAAUUCGACUAGCUUAUCCCAUGCCAUGCAAGACGCUAUGUCUUGGAGAGGAUGGGUUUUGAAGACCAUGAAAAUUUCAAAACAAAGAAAAUACACCUAAGGACCCAUCAUGAUAUGGAUUUUGAAGUAAACCUGUGCAAUGCUCAGAGCGCAACCCAUUUUGGUUGCCAAAAUUGGGAAGCACUUUGCAAAAUGUAUGGUUUUUAUGAGGGUAUGAUUGUCACCAUGGAUCUUGGUGAUCCUGACAGUGAGGAAGACAAUAUGGACAUUUGGGUCCUUGUUGAUACGCUUCCGAUUGUACCGCUAUGUGACUUUCUCAAACAUAGUUAUUAACUAAUUUAUAUUGUUUAUUUCAAAAUAGUUGAUAGCUUAUUUCCAUUGACAGCUUAUUUUGAUUCUUCAAAGACUGUGCGGAAGAUGGUAGAUAAAACCCACUACACCGAAGGCACCCAAUUAACGUAUAAGGAGAAAAAUCAUCUGAUCGCAUUUUGUACUCUUCUUGAGAAUUACAAUGACUAUAAUCGAACUCCUCCAGAUUAUGGUGAAUAUGUGCCACUAGUGCAUGUGUUGAACAACGAUAACUUAUCUGGAGAUACCCUGGUAAGAUUUUUUACUAUUACGACAUCCGUGUAUUUUUUGCAUACUUCUAAAACUAGUACAUCAUUGCUAACUACGAAGUUAUUAUUAUGUUUUUCAACAGAAACUCCCGAUGGAUUGUGUGCCUCAUCUGAUGUCUCUGCAUGGUCGCCUCUCAGUUCUGAACAUACUGCCAGGUAAAUCUACAGAGCUCACCUAUGCAUAUCAGAUUUCUAAAACCCGUGAACACAUGAUCAUCAGAGAAUGGAAGAAAUGUAUGGACAUUCGCAAGGAGGUUCUUGGAAGUAACAUUCAGCGAAACGUAAGAAUGGGAGACAGGCUAAUCUCCAUUCUCCAUAAUGGAGAGUCAGGGGCUAUCUUGUUUUUUGUUAUUUUACCUUAGAAAAUGUAGUAGGUCUUAAUCGAAUGUAAUAGGUCCUAUGAGGUACAAUAUGUUUAUUAUGUGGUAAUGUGUUAGAGUUGAUAAUGAUGAUCUUGAGGAGGUGUUAUGUGAUGUCAAUGAUGAAAACGAUGAUAUUGAGGAGGUGUUAUAUGACAAUGAUGUAUUAUGAUGCUAAGUUGUUAAUGAUAUGAUGAUGAUGAUGAUAUUAUUAUAUCAUUGGGUGAAAGAACCGUGGAUUAGUUUCAAGUGGAUGGACAUCCACUUGAAACUAGUCCACGGUUCUUUCACCCCAUGAUGUAAUAACUCAUUAUGAUGUAAAAACAAUCUCUAAAUUCCUGUUGUAUGAAAACUUGUGUAAGGGUGUAUGAAUACAACAUGAAAAAGAAAAGAAAUAAAAUACUAAAUAAUAGUAGUAGCGCGGGUAAGGAGAAGCGCUACUACUAAUUACCAGUAGCGAUGUUCUAAAGAACCGCUGCUACUAAGUCAAUUUAGCAGUAGCGCGUGUCAAGACGCGCUAUUGCUAAGCAUUAGCUGUAGCGCCUUAUCAGUAGCGCUCCUGCCCGCGCUACUGAUAGGCCCAAAACCCGCGCUGCUGCUAGGCUUUUCCCUAGUAGUGCACCUUCGCAGGAACCCUCUUCCUGGGGGGCUCGCCGUCAACAUCACCAGGGUCAUCUCGUCUGAUCUUAUACCAUAAUGCACCGCAUACCAGGCAUGCGUUCAGAUCCUUAUAUGCACCGCGGUAGAGGAUGCAGUCAUUAGGGCAUGCAGGUAUCUUCUGCACCUCCAAUCCUAGAGGGCAUACGACCUUCUUUGCUGCGUAUGUACUGUCGGGCAAUUCGUUAUCCUUUGGAAGCUUCUUCUUCAAUAUUUUCAGUAGCUUCUCAAAUCCUUUGUCAGGCACAGCAUUCUCUUAAAGGAAAUAUGCCCUAGAGGCAAUAAUAAAGUUAUUAUUUAUUUCCUCAUAUCAUGAUAAAUGUUUAUUAUUCAUGCUAGAAUUGUAUUAACCGGAAACAUGAUACAUGUGUGAAUACAUAGACAAAACUAUAGUCACUAGUAUGCCUCUACUUGACUAGCUCAUUAAUCAAAGAUGGUUAUGUUUCCUGACCAUAGACAUGUGUUGUCAUUUGAUUAGUGGGAUCACAUCAUUAAGAGAAUGAUGUGAUUGACAUGACCCAUUCUGUUAGCCCAGCACUUGAUCGUUUAGUAUACUGCUAUUGCUUUCUUCAUGACUUAUACAAAGUUCCUGCAACUAUGAGAUUGUGCAACUCCCGUUUACCGGAAGAACACUUUGUGUGCUACCAAACAUCACAACGUAACUGGGUGAUUAUAAAGGUGCUCUACAGGUGUUUCCGAAGGUACAUGUUGGGUUGGCAUAAUUCGAGAUUAGGAUUUGUCACUCCGAUUGUCGGAGAGGUAUCUCUGGGCCCUCUCGGAAAUACUCAUCACAUAAGCCUUGCAAGCAUGUAACUAAUGAGUUAGUUAUGAGAUGACGUAUUACGAAACGAGUAAAGAGACUUGCCGGUAACGAGAUUGAACUAGGUAUUGGAUACCGACGAUCAAAUCUCGGGCAAGUAACAUACCGAUGACAAAGGGAACAAAGUAUGUUGUUAUGCGGUUUGACCGAUAAAGAUCUUCGUAGAAUAUGUAGGAACCAAUAUGGGCAUCCAGGUCCCGCUAUUGGUUAUUGACCGAGAAUGGUUUUAGGUCAUGACUACAUAGUUCUCAAACCCGUAGGGUCCGCACGCUUAACUUUUUGAUGAUAGUUUUAUUAUGAGUUUAUAAGUUUUGAUGUACCAAAGUUUGUUCGGAGUUCCGGAUGUGAUCACGGAUAUGAUGAGGAGUCUCGGAAUGCUUGAGCCAUAAAGAUUGAUAUAUUGGACGACUAUAUUCGGACACCGGAAAGGUUCCGGGAGUUUUCGGAGAAAACCGGAGUGCCCGGGGGGUUACCGAAACCCCCCGGGAGAGUUAAUGGGCCACAUGGGCCUAGGUGGGAAGAGAAAGGGGCGGCCAGGGUGAGCCGCGCGCCCCCUCUCCCUCUAGUCCGAAUUGGACUAGGAGGGGGGGCGGCGCCCCCUUUCCUUCCCCCCCUCUCUUCCUUCCUUCCCCCUCCUAGUAGGAGUAGGAAAGGAGGAAUCCUACUCCUACUAGGAGGAGGAUUCCUCCUCCCUUGCGCGCCCCAAGGGGCCGGCCGGCCUCCCCCUCCCUCCUUUAUAUACGGGGGCAGGGGGCACCCCAUAGACACACAAGUUGAUCUACGGAUCGUUCCUUAGCCGUGUGCGGUGCCCCCUUCCACCAUAUUCCACCUCGGUCAUAUCGUCGCGAAGCUUAGGCGAAGUCCUGCGCCGGUAGAACAUCAAGAUCGUCACCACGCCGUCGUGCUGACGGAACUCUCCCUCGACACUCGGCUGGAUCGGAGUUCGAGGGACGUCAUCGAGCUGAAUGUGUGCUGAACUCGGAGGCUCCGUACGUUCGGUUCUUGGAUCGGUCGGAUCGUGAAGACGUAUGACUACAUCAACCGCGUUGUCAUAACGCUUCCGCUUACGGUCUACGAGGGUACAUGGACAUACACUCUCCCCUCUCGUUGCUAUGUCAUCACCAUGAUCUUGCGUGUGCGUAGGAAAAUUUUGAAAUUACUACGUUCCCCGACAGUGGUAUCAGAGCCUAGGUUUUAUGCGUUGAUGUUAUAUGCACGAGUAGAACACAAGUGAGUUGUGGACGAUAUAAGUCAUACUGCCUACCAGUGUGUCAUACUUUGGUUCAGCGGUAUUGUGAGAUGAAGCGGCCCGGACCGACAUUACGGGUACGCUUACGCGAGACUAGUUUCACCGUUAUGAGCACUCGUGCUUAAAGGUGGCUGGCGGGUGUCUGUCUCUCUCACUUUAGUUGAACCGAGUGUGGCUACGCCCGGCCCUUGUGAAGGUUAAAACGGAGUCUAUUUGACAAACUAUCGUUGUGGUUUUGAUGCGUAGGUAAGAACGGUUCUUGCUAAGCCCGUAGCAUCCACGUAAAAUUUGCAACAACAAAGUAGAGGACGUCUAACUUGUUUUUGCAGGGCAUGUUGUGAUAUGAUAUGGUCAAGACGUGAUGCUAUAUUUUAUUGUAUGAGAUGAUCAUGUUUUGUAACCGAAGUUAUCGGCAACUGGCUGGAGCCAUAUGGUUGUCGCUUUAUUGUAUGAAAUGCAAACGCCCUGUAAUUGCUUUACUUUAUCUCUAAGCGGUAGCGAUAGUCGUAGAAGCAAUAGAUGGCGUAAACGACAACGAUGCUACGAUGGAGAUCAAGGUGUCGCGCCGGUGACGAUGGUGAUCAUGACGGUGCUUCGAAGAUGGAGAUCACAAGCACAAGAUGAUGAUGGCCAUAUCAUAUCACUUAUAUUGAUUGCAUGUGAUGUUUAUCCUUUAUGCAUCUUAUCUUGCUUUGAUUGACGGUAGCAUUUUAAGAUGAUCUCUCACUAAAAUUAUCAAGUAGUGUUCUCCCUGAGUAUGCACCGUUGCCAAAGUUCAUCGUGCCGAGACACCACGUGAUGAUCGGGUGUGAUAAGCUCUACGUCCAUCUACAACGGGUGCAAGCCAGUUUUGCACACGCAGAAUACUCAGGUUAAACUUGACGAGCCUAGCAUAUGCAGAUAUGGCCUCGGAACACAGAGACCGAAAGGUCGAGCGUGAAUCAUAUAGUAGAUAUGAUCAACAUAAUGAUGUUCACCAUUGAAAACUACUCCAUCUCACGUGAUGAUCGGUUAUGGUUUAGUUGAUUUGGAUCACGUGAUCACUUAGAUGACUAGAGAGAUGUCUGUCUAUGUGGGAGUUCUUAAGUAAUAUGAUUAAUUGAACUUAAAUUUAUCAUGAACUUAGUACCUGAUAGUAUCUUGCUUGUCUAUGUUUGUUUGUAGAUAGAUGGCUCGUGCUGUUGUUCCGUUGAAUUUUAAUGCGUUCCUUGAGAAAGCAAAGUUGAAAGAUGAUGGUAGCAAUUACACGGACUGGGUCCGUAACCUGAGGAUUAUCCUCAUUGUUGCACAGAAGAGUUACGUCCUGGAAGCACCGCUGGGUGCCAGGCCUGCUGCUGAUGCAACUGACGACGUUAAGAACGUCUGGCAGAGCAAAGCUGAUGACUACUCUAUAGUUCAGUGUGCCAUGCUUUACGGCUUAGAACCGGGUCUUCAACGACGUUUUGAACGUCAUGGAGCAUAUGAGAUGUUCCAGGAGUUGAAGUUAAUAUUUCAAGCAAAUGCCCGGAUUGAGAGAUAUGAAGUCUCCAAUAAGUUCUAUAGCUGCAAGAUGGAGGAGAAUAGUUCUGUCAGUGAACAUAUACUCAGAAUGUCUGGGUAUAACAAUCACUUGAUUCAACUGGGAGUUAAUCUUCCUGAUGAUAGUGUCAUUGACAGAAUUCUUCAAUCACUGCCACCAAGCUACAAGAGCUUUGUGAUGAACUAUAAUAUGCAAGGGAUGAACAAGACUAUUCCCGAGCUCUUCGCGAUGCUGAAAGCCGCAGAGGUAGAAAUCAAGAAGGAGCAUCAAGUGUUGAUGGUCAACAAGACCACUAGUUUCAAGAAGAAGGGCAAAGGAAAGAAGAAGGGGAACUUCAAAAAGAACGGCAAGCAAGUUGCUGCUCAAGAGAAGAAACCCAAGUCUGGACCUAAGCCUGAAACUGAGUGCUUCUACUGCAAGCAGACUGGUCACUGGAAGCGGAACUGCCCCAAGUAUUUGGCGGAUAAGAAGGAUGGCAAAGUAAACAAAGGUAUAUGUGAUAUACAUGUUAUUGAUGUGUACCUAACUAGAGCUCGUAGUAGCACCUGGGUAUUUGAUACUGGUUCUGUUGCUAAUAUUUGCAACUCGAAACAGGGACUACGGAAUAAGCGAGCACUGGCCAAGGACGAGGUGACGAUGCGCGUGGAAAACGGUUCCAAAGUCGAUGUGAUCGCGGUCGGCACGCUACCUCUACAUCUACCAUCGGGAUUAGUUUUAGACCUAAAUAAUUGUUAUUUGGUGCCAGCGUUGAGCAUGAACAUUAUAUCUGGAUCUUGUUUGAUGCAAGACGGUUAUUCAUUUAAAUCAGAGAAUAAUGGUUGUUCUAUUUAUAUGAGUAAUAUCUUUUAUGGUCAUGCACCCUUGAAGAGUGGUCUAUUUUUAUUGAAUCUCGAUAGUAGUGAUACACAUAUUCAUAUUGUAGAAGCCAAAAGAUGCAGAGUUGAUAAUGAUAGUGCAACUUAUUUGUGGCACUGCCGUUUGGGUCAUAUCGGUGUACAACGCAUGAAGAAACUCCAUACUGAUGGACUUCUGGAAUCACUUGAUUAUGAAUCACUUGGUACUUGCGAACCGUGCCUUAUGGGCAAGAUGACUAAAACACCGUUCUCCGGAACUAUGGAGAGAGCAACAGAUUUGUUGGAAAUCAUACAUACAGAUGUAUGUGGUCCGAUGAAUGUUGAGGCUCGUGGCGGAUAUCAUUAUUUUCUCACCUUCACUGAUGAUUUAAGCAGAUAUGGGUAUAUCUACUUAAUGAAGUACAAGUCUGAAACAUUUGAAAAGUUCAAAGAAUUUCAGAGUGAAGUAGAAAAUCAUCGUAACAAGAAAAUAAAGUUUCUACGAUCUGACCGUGGAGGAGAAUAUUUGAGUUACGAGUUUGGUUUACAUUUGAAACAAUGCGGAAUAGUUUCGCAACUCACGCCACCUGGAACACCACAACGAAAUGGUGUGUCCAAACGUCGUACUCGUACUUUACUUGAUAUGGUGCGAUCUAUGAUGUCUCUUACCGAUUUACCGCUAUCGUUUUGGGGUUAUGCUUUAGAGACGGCCGCAUUCACGUUAAAUAGGGCACCAUCAAAAUCCGUUGAGAUGACGCCUUAUGAACUGUGGUUUGGCAAGAAACCAAAGUUGUCGUUUCUUAAAGUUUGGGGCUGCGGUACUUAUGUGAAGAAACUUCAACCAGAUAAGCUCGAACCCAAAUCGGAGAAAUGUGUCUUCGUAGGAUACCCAAAGGAGACUAUUGGGUACACCUUCUAUCACAGAUCUGAAGGCAAGAUUUUCGUUGCUAAAUUCGGAUCCUUUCUAGAGAAGGAAUUUCUCUCGAAAGAAGUGAGUGGGAGGAAAGUAGAACUUGAUGAGAUAACUGUAUCUACUCCCUUAUUGGAAGGUAGUUCAUCACGAGAACUGGUUCCCAUGACAACUACACCAAUUAUUGAGGAAGCUAAUAAUAUUGAUCAUGAAACUUCAGAUCAAGUUUCUGCUGAACCUCGUAGGUCUACCAGAGUAAGAUCCGCACCAGAGUGGUACGGUAAUCCUAUUCUGGAAGUCAUGUUACUUGACCAUGAUGAACCUACGAACUAUGAGGAACCGAUGAUGAGCCCAGAUUCCGCAAAAUGGCUAGAGGCCAUGAAAUCUGAGAUGGGAUCCAUGGAUGAAAACAAAGUAUGGACUUUGGUUGACUUGCCCGAUGAUCGGCAAGCCAUUGAGAAUAAAUGGAUCUUUAAGAAGAAGACUGACGCUGAUGGUAAUGUUACUGUCUAUAAAGCUCGACUUGUUGCGAAAGGUUUUCGACAAGUUCAAGGGGUUGACUAUGAUGAGACUUUCUCACCCGUAGCGAUGCUUAAGUCUGUCCGAAUCAUGUUGGCUAUUGCUGCAUUUCAUGAUUAUGAAAUUUGGCAAAUGGAUGUCAAAACUGCAUUCUUGAAUGGAUUUCUAGAAGAAGAGUUGUAUAUGAUGCAGCCGGAAGGUUUUGUUGAUCCAAAAGGUGCUGACAAAGUGUGUAAGCUCCAAUGUUCCAUUUAUGGACUGGUGCAAGCAUCUCGGAGUUGGAAUAAACGUUUUGACAGUGUGAUCAAGGCAUAUGGUUUUAUACAGACUUUUGGAGAAGCCUGUAUUUACAAGAAAGUGAGUGGGAGCUCUGUAGCAUUUCUAGUUUUAUAUGUUGAUGACAUAUUAUUAAUUGGAAAUGAUAUAGAAUUUCUGGAGAGCAUAAAGGGAUACUUGAAUAAAAGUUUUUCAAUGAAAGACCUCGGUGAAGCUGCUUACAUAUUGGGCAUCAAGAUCUAUAGAGAUAGAUCAAGACGCUUAAUAGGACUUUCACAAAGCACAUACCUUGACAAAAUUUUGAAAAAGUUCAAAAUGGAUCAGGCAAAGAAAGGAUUCUUGCCUGUGCUACAAGGUGUGAAGUUGAGUCAAACUCAAUGCCCGACCACAUCAGAAGAUAGAGAGAAAAUGAAAAAUGUUCCCUAUGCUUCAGCCAUAGGCUCUAUCAUGUAUGCAAUGCUGUGUACCAGACUUGACGUAUGCUUAGCAAUAAGCUUGGCAGGAAGGUACCAAAGUAAUCCAGGAGUGGAUCACUGGACAGCGGUCAAGAACAUCCUUAAAUACCUGAAAAGGACUAAGGAUAUAUUUCUCGUAUAUGUAGGUGACAAAGAGCUCGUCGUAAAUGGUUACGUCGAUGCAAGCUUUGACACUGAUCCAGACGAUUCUAAAUCGCAAACCGGAUACGUGUUUAUAUUAAACGGUGGAGCUGUAAGUUGGUGCAGUUCUAAACAAAGCGUCGUGGCGGGAUCUACAUGUGAAGCGGAGUACAUAGCUGCUUCUGAAGCAGCAAAUGAAGGAGUCUGGAUGAAGGAGUUCAUUUCCGAUCUAGGUGUCAUACCUAGUGCAUCGGGACCAAUGAAGAUCUUCUGUGACAAUACAGGUGCAAUUGCUUUGGCAAAGGAAUCCAGAUUUCACAAGAGGACCAAGCACAUCACGAGACGCUUAAAUUCCAUUCGGGACCAAGUCCAAGUGGGAGACAUACAGAUUUGCAAGAUACAUACGGAUCUGAAUAUUGCAGACCCGUUGACUAAGCAUCUCUCACGAGCAAAACAUGAUCAGCACCAAGACUCCAUGGGUGUUAGAAUCAUUAUUGUGUAAUCUAGAUUAUUGACUCUAGUGCAAGUGGGAGACUAAAGGAAAUAUGCCCUAGAGGCAAUAAUAAAGUUAUUAUUUAUUUCCUCAUAUCAUGAUAAAUGUUUAUUAUUCAUGCUAGAAUUGUAUUAACCGGAAACAUGAUACAUGUGUGAAUACAUAGACAAAACUAUAGUCACUAGUAUGCCUCUACUUGACUAGCUCAUUAAUCAAAGAUGGUUAUGUUUCCUGACCAUAGACAUGUGUUGUCAUUUGAUUAGUGGGAUCACAUCAUUAAGAGAAUGAUGUGAUUGACAUGACCCAUUCUGUUAGCCUAGCACUUGAUCGUUUAGUAUACUGCUAUUGCUUUCUUCAUGACUUAUACAAAGUUCCUGCAACUAUGAGAUUGUGCAACUCCCGUUUACCAAAAGAACACUUUGUGUGCUACCAAACGUCACAACGUAACUGGGUGAUUAUAAAGGUUCUCUACAGGUGUUUCCGAAGGUACAUGUUGGGUUGGCAUAAUUCGAGAUUAGGAUUUGUCACUCCGAUUGUCGGAGAGGUAUCUUUGGGCCCUCUCGGUAAUACUCAUCACAUAAGCCUUGCAAGCAUGUAACUAAUGAGUUAGUUAUGAGAUGACGUAUUACGGAACGAGUAAAGAGACUUGCCGGUAACGAGAUUGAACUAGGUAUUGGAUACCAACGAUCAAAUCUCGGGCAAGUAACAUACCGAUGACAAAGGGAACAAAGUAUGUUGUUAUGCGGUUUGACCGAUAAAGAUCUUCAUAGAAUAUGUAGGAACCAAUAUGGGCAUCCAGGUCCCGCUAUUGGUUAUUGACCGAGAAUGGUUUUAGGUCAUGACUACAUAGUUCUCGAACCCGUAGGGUCCGCACGCUUAACGUUUCGAUGAUAGUUUUAUUAUGAGUUUAUAAGUUUUGAUGUACCGAAGUUUGUUCGGAGUCCCAGAUGUGAUCACAGACAUGACGAGGAGUCUUGGAAUGGUCGAGACAUAAAGAUUGAUAUAUUGGACGACUAUAUUCGGACACCGGAAAGGUUCCGGGAGUUUUCGGAGAAAACCGGAGUGCCGGGGGGGUUACCGGAACCCCCCGGGAGAGUUAAUGGGCCACAUGGGCCUAGGUGGGAAGAGAGAGGUGCGGCCAGGGUGGGCCGCGCGCCCCCUCUCCCUCUAGUUCGAAUUGGACUAGGAGGGGGGGCGGCGCCCCCCUUUCCUUCCCCCCCUCUCUUCCUUCCUUCCCCCUCCUAGUAGGAGUAGGAAAGGAGGAAUCCUACUCCUACUAGGAGGAGGAUUCCUCCUCCCUUGGAGCGCCCCAAGGGGCUGGCCGGCCUCCCCCUCCCUCCUUUAUAUACGAGGGCAGGGGGCACCCCAUAGACACACAAGUUGAACUACGGAUCGUUCCUUAGCCGUGUGCGGUGCCCCCUUCCACCAUAUUCCACCUCGGUCAUAUUGUCGCGAAGCUUAGGCGAAGCCCUGCGCCGGUAGAACAUCAAGAUCGUCACCACGCCGUCGUGCUGACGGAACUCUCCCUCGACACUCGGCUGGAUCGGAGUUCGAGGGACGUCAUCGAGCUGAACAUCUGCUGAACUCGGAGGCUCCGUACGUUAGGUGCUUGGAUCGGUCGGAUCGUGAAGACGUACGACUACAUCAACCGCGUUGUCAUAACGCUUCCGCUUACGGUCUACGAGGGUACGUGGACAUACACUCUCCCCUCUCGUUGCUAUUUCAUCACCAUGAUCUUGCUUGUGCGUAGGAAAAUUUUGAAAUUACUACGUUCCCCAACAUCUCUGCCUUCCACUGCAGCAAUUCCAGUACGGUACCGAGCUUUGUGUUGCCAUCUUCGCAAUUGGGGUACAACCCUUUUUUUUGGUCCUCUAGCAUGCGAUCGAACUUCAGCUUCUCCUUUUGACUUUUGCAUUGCGUCCUUGCAUCGACAAUGACCCGGCGGAGAUCAUCAUCAUCGGGCACAUCGUCUGGUUCCUCUUGAUCUUCAGCAGCUUCGCCUGUUGCAGCAUCAUCGUGCACAUCGUCUGGUUCCUCUUGAUCUUCAGGAGCAUCACCGUAUUCAGGGGCACAUAGUUGUCAUCGUACUCUUCUUCACCGUCUUCCAUCAUAACCCCUAUUUCUCCGUGCCUCAUCCAAACAUUAUAGUGUGGCAUGAAACCCUUGUAAAGCAGGUGGGUGUGGAGGAUUUUCCGGUCAGAGUAAGACUUCGUAUUCCCACAUAUAGGACAUGGACAACACAUAAAACCAUUCUGCUUGUUUGCCUCAGCCACUUCGAGAAAAUCAUGCACGCGCUUAAUGUACUCGGAGGUGUGUCUUGAACCGUACAUCCAUUGCCGGUUCAUCUGCGUGCAUUAUAUAAUGAAGUGACCAAAUUAAUAGAAGUUCAUCAUCACAUUAAAACCAAAGUACAUACAUAGUUCUCAUCUAACAACAUAAAGCUCUGCAGAGCAUCUAAAUUAAUUAAACCAUACACUGAAACUAUGUAAAACAUUUCAAUGCGAAAACAAAUGCAACCAUAAUCGCAACCAAUGUAACAACUGAUCCAACGGCAUAAUGAUACCAAGCCUCAGUAUGAAUGGCAUAUUUUCUAAUCUUUCUAAUCUUCAAGCGCAUUGCAUCCAUCUUGAUCUUGUGAUCAUCGACGACAUCCCCAACAUGCAACUCCAAUAUCAUCUUCUCCUCCUCAAUUUUUCUAAUUUUUUCCUUCAAGAAAUUGUUUUCUUCUUCAACUGAAUUUAACCUCUCGACAAUAGGGUCGGUUGGAAUUUCCGGUUCAACAACCUCCUAGAUAAAUAAAAUCUAUGUCACGUUGGUCGGCAUAAUUGUCAUAAACAAUAAAUGAACCAAUAGUUAUGAAAAGAUAAUAUAUACCACAUCCGAAUCAUAGACAGGACGAGGGCCGACGGGGGCGGAUACCAAAACCAUCGCACUAUAUAAGAUGCAAUAAUAAAAGUAAGAAAAUAAUACAAGUAUCUAUCUAAACAUACAAGUAAGAAUAUUUUUCCUUUCAGAAAGAAGAUAAGAACAAGAGGCUCACCACGGUGGUGCCGGCGAUGAGAUCGGCGCGGGUGAUCGACGACGAUGAAGACAAGGACGGGGCGUGACGGACCGCUAAACCUAGACAAAUAUUGAGGAAAAUGGAGCUUGGCGGUCGAGCUUGGAGGGGAGAAAGCUUAAGUAGUGUGGCUCGGGCAUUCCAUCGAACACCUCGUGUGCAUAGGAGGUGAGCUAGAGCACCACAAAGCUCUCCCCUCGCCGGCCACGAAAAACAGAGCACUGGGAGUGCUCUGCUCGCGAGCGGGGGGUAUAUAUAGGCACCACCAUUGGUCCCGGUUGGUCGCACGAACCGGGACUAAAGGUUGGCCUUUGGUCCCGGUUCGUGCCACCAACUGGGACCAAUGGUGGUGGGCCAGGAGCGAGGCCCAUUGGUCCCGGUUCGUCCCUCCAACCGGGACCAAAAGGUCCAGACAAACCGGGACCAAUGGCCCACGUGUUGGGUUUCGUAGUAAUUUCAAAAAAUUUCCUACGCACACGCAAGAUCAUGUGAUGCAUAGCAACGAGGGGAGAGUGUUGUCUACGUACCCAACGCAGACCGACUGCGGAAGCGAUGACACGACGUAGAGGAAGUAGUCGUACGUCUUCACGAUCCAACCGAUCAAGCACCGAAACUACGGCACCUCCGAGUUCGAGCACACGUUCAGCUCGAUGACGAUCCCCGGACUCCGAUCCAGCAAAGUGUCGGGGAAGAGUUCCGUCAGCACGACGGCGUGGUGACGAUCUUGAUGAACUACAGCAGCAGGGCUUCGCCUAAACUCCGCUACAGUAUUAUCGAGGUAUAUGGUGGCAGGGGCACCGCACACGGCUAAGGAAUAGAUCACGUGGAUCAACUUGUGUGUAUAGAGGUGCCCCCUGCCUCCGUAUAUAAAGGAGGAGAGGAGGGGAGGCUGGCCGGCCAAGGAGGGGAGGCGCAGGAGAGUCCUACUCCCUCUGGGAGUAGGAUUCCCCCCAAUCCUAGUCCAACUAGGAUUCCUCGGAGGGGAAGGGAGAGAGGGGGGCCGGCCACCUUCUCCUAGUCCUAAUAGGACUAGGGGAGGGGGAAGUGGCGCAGCCACCUUGGGCUGCCCCUUUCUCCUUUCCACUAAGGCCCAUGAAGGCCCAUAUGGCUCCCGGGGGGUUCCGGUAAUCCUCCCGGUACUCCGGUAAAAUCCCGAUUUCACCCGGAACACUUCCGAUGUCCAAACAUAGGCUUCCAAUAUAUCAAUCUUUAUGUCUCGACCGUUUCGAGACUCCUCGUCAUGUCCAUGAUCACAUCCGGGACUCCAAACAACCUUCGGUACAUCAAAAUGCAUAAACUCAUAAUGUAACUGUCAUCGUAACCUUAAGCGUGCGGACCCUACGGGUUCGAGAACAAUGUAGACAUGACCGAGACACGUCUCCGGUCAAUAACCAAUAGCGGGACCUGGAUGCCCAUAUUGGCUCCUACAUAUUCUACGAAGAUCUUUAUCGGUCAGACCGCAUAACAACAUACGUUGUUCCCUUUGUCAUCGGUACGUUACUUGCCCGAGAUUCGAUCGUCGGUAUCCAAUACCUAGUUCAAUCUCGUCACCGGCAAGUCUCUUUACUCGUUCUAUAAUGCAUCAUCCCGUAACCAACUCAUUGGUCACAUUGCUUGCAAGGCUUAUAAUGAUGUGCAUUACCGAGAGGGCCCAGAGAUACCUCUCCGACAAUCGGAGUGACAAAACCUAAUCUCGAAAUACGCCAACUCAACAUGUACCUUCGGAGACACCUGUAGUACUCCUUUAUAAUCACCCAGUUAAGUUGUGACGUUUGGUAGUACCCAAAGUGUUCCUCCGGUAAACGGGAGUUGCAUAAUCUCAUAGUUACAGGAACAUGUAUAAGUCAUGAAGAAAGCAAUAGCAACAUACUAAACGAUCAAGUGCUAAGCUAACGGAAUGGGUGAAGUCAAUCACAUCAUUCUCCUAAUGAUGUGACCCCGUUAAUCAAAUGACAACUCUUUUGUCCAUGGCUAGGAAACAUAACCAUCUUUGAUAAACGAGCUAGUCAAGUAGAGGCAUACUAGUGACACUAUGUUUGUCUAUGUAUUCACACAUGUAUUAUGUUUCUGGUUAAUACAAUUCUAGCAUGAAUAAUAAACAUUUAUCAUGAAAUAAGGAAAUAAAUAAUAACUUUAUUAUUGCCUCUAGGGCAUAUUUCCUUCAGUCUCCCACUUGCACUAGAGUCAAUAAUCUAGUUCACAUCGUCAUGUGAUUUAACAACAAUAUUCAUAUCUGUAUAUGAUUAACACCCAUAGUUCACAUUAUCAUGUGACCAACACCCAAAGGGUUUACUAGAGUAAAUAAUCUAGUUCACAUCUCUAUGUGAUUAACACCCAAAGAGUACUAAGGUGUGAUCAUGUUUUGCUCGUGAAAGAAGCUUAGUCAAUGGGUCUGUCACAUUCAGAGCCGUAUGCAUUUUGCAAAUAUUUUAUGUCUACAAUGCUCUGCACGGUGCUACUCUAGCAAUUGCUCCCACUUUCAAUAUGUAUCCAGAUUGAGACUUAGAGUCAUCUGGAUCGGUGUGAAAACUUGCACCGAGGUAACUUUUACGACGGGCUCUUUUAUCACCUCCAUAAUCGAGAAAUAUUUCCUUAGUCCUCACUAAGGAUAUUCUUGACCAAUGUCGAGUGAUCUACUCCUAGAUCACUAUUGUACUCCCUUGUCAAAUACUGAGCAAGGUAUACAAUAGUUCUGGUACAUAGCAUAGCAUACUUUAUAGAACCUAUGACUGAGGCAUAGGGAAUGACUUUUCAUUUUUUCUAUUUUCUGUUGUGGUCGGGAUUUGAGUCUUACUCAAUUUCAUACCUUUGCAACACAGGCAAGAACUCUUUCUUUGACUGUUCCAUUUUGAACUAUUUCAAAAUCUUGCCAAGGUAUGUACUCAUUGAAAAUCUUAUCAAGCGUCUUGAUCUAUCUCAAUAUAUCUUGAUGCUCAAUAUGUAAGUAGCUUUUACUGAGGUCUUUUCCUUUUAAAGAACUCCUUUAAAACACUCCUUUAUGCUUUGCAGAAAAAUUCUACAUCAUUUCUGAUCAACAAUAUGUCACUCGUAUAUACUAAUCAGAAAGGCUAUAGUGCUCCCACUCACUUUAUUGUAAAUACAGGCUUCUCAAAAAGUCUGUAUAAAACCAUAUGCUUUGAUCAACUCAUCAAAGCGUAUAUUCCAACUCCGAGAGGCUUGCACCAGUCCAUAGAUGGAUCGCUGGAGCUUGCACAUUUUUUUAGCACCUUUAGGAUUGACAAAACCUUCUGGUUGCAUCAUAUACAACUCUUCUUUAAUAAAUCCAUUAAGGAAUGCAGUUUUGAUAUCCAUUUGCCAGAUUUCAUAAAAUGUGGCAAUUGCUAACAUGAUUCAGACAGACUUAAGAAUCGAUACGAGUGAGAAAAUCUCAUCGUAUUCAACACCUUGAACUUGUUGAAAACCUUUCGCAACAAGUCGAGCUUGGUAGAUAGUAACACUACUAUCAGUGUCCGUCUUCCUCUUGAAGAUCCAUUCAUUUAACAUGGCUUGCUGAUCAUCGAGCAAGUCAAUCAAAGUCCAUACUUUGUUCUCAUACAUGGAUCAUAUCUCAGAUUUUAUGGCCUCGAGCCAUUUCGCGGAAUCUGGGCUCAUCAUCGCUUCUUCAUAGUUCGUAGGUUCAUCAUGAUCUAGUAUCAUGACUUCCAGAAUAGGAUUACCGUACCAUUCUGGUGCGGAUCUUACUCUGGUUGAUCUACGAGGUUCAUCAGUAUCUUGAUCUGAAGUUUCAUGAUCAUUAUCAUUGGCUUCCUCACUAACUGGUGUAGGUGUCACUGAAACAGUUUUCUGUGAUGAACUACUUUCCAGUAAGGGAGCAGGUACAGUUACCUCGUCAAGUUCUACUUUCCUCCCACUCACUUCUUUCGAGAGAAACUCCUUCUCUAGAAAGGAUCCAUUCUUAGCAACGAAUGUCUUGCCUUCGGAUCUGUGAUAGAAGGUGUACCCAAUAGUCUCCUUUGGGUAUCCUAUGAAGACACAUUUCUCCGAUUUGGGUUCGAGCUUAUCAGGUUGAAGCUUUUUCACAUAAGCAUCGCAGCCCCAAACUUUAAGAAACGACAACUUUGGUUUCUUGCCAAACCACAGUUCAUAAGGCGUCGUCUCAACGGAUUUUGAUGGUGCCCUAUUUAACGUGAAUGCGGCCGUCUCUAAAGCAUAUCCCCAAAAUGAUAGCGGUAAAUCAGUAAGAGACAUCAUAGAUCGCACCAUAUCUAGUAAAGUACGAUUACGAUGUUCGGACACACCAUUACGCUGUGGUGUUCCGGGUGGCGUGAGUUGCGAAACUAUUCCACAGUUUUUCAAAUGUACACCAAACUCGUAACUCAAAUAUUCUCCUCCACGAUCAGAUCGUAGAAACUUUAUUUUCUUGUUACGAUGAUUUUCAACUUCACUCUGAAAUUCUUUGAAAUUUUCAAAUGUUUCAGACUUAUGUUUCAUUAAGUAGAUAUACCCAUAUCUGCUUAAAUCAUCUGUGAAGGUGAGAAAAUAACGAUAUCCGCCACGAGCCUCAGUAUUCAUCGGGCCACAUACAUCGGUAUGUAUGAUUUCCAACAAAUCUGUUGCUCUCUCCAUAGUACCGGAGAACGGUGUUUUAGUCAUCUUGCCCAUGAGGCACGGUUCGCAAGUACCAAGUGAUUCAUAAUCAAGUGGUUCCAAAAGUCCAUCAGUAUGGAGUUUCUUCAUGCGCUUUAUACCGAUAUGACCUAAACGACAGUGCCACAAAUAAGUUGCACUUUCAUUAUCAACUCUGCAUCUUUUGGCUUCAACAUUAUGAAUAUGUGUAUUACUACUAUCGAGAUCCAACAAACCAUUUUCAUUGGGUGUAUGACCAUAGAAGGUUUUAUUCAUGUAAACAGAACAACAAUUAUUCUCUAACUUACAUGAAUAACCGUAUUGCAAUAAACAUGAUCAAAUCAUAUUCAUGCUCAACGCAAACACCAAAUAACACUUAUUUAGGUUUAACACUAAUCCCAAAAGUAUAGGGAGUGUGCGAUGAUGAUCAUAUCAAUCUUGGAACUAUUUCCAACACACAUCGUCACUUCACCCUUUAACUAGUCUCUGUUUAUUCUGCAACUCCCGUUUCGAGUUACUAAUCUUAGCAACUGAACUAAUAUCAAAUACUGAGGGGUUGCUAUAAACACUAGUAACGUACACAUCAAUAACAUGUAUAUCAAAUAUACUUAUGUUCACUUUGCCAUCCUUCUUAUCCGCCAAUCACUUGGGGUAGUACCUCUUCCAGUGACCAGUCUCUUUGAAGUAGAAGCACUUAGUCUCAGGCUUAGGACCAGACUUGGGUUUCUUCACUUGAGCAGCAACUUGCUUGCCGUUCUUCUUGAAGUUCCCUUUCUUUCCCUUUGCCCUUUUCUUGAAACUAGUGAUCUUGUUAACCAUCAACACUUGAUGCUCUUUCUUGAUUUCUACCUUCGUUGAUUUCAGCAUCAUGAAGAGCUUGGGAAUCGUUUUCGUCAUCCCUUGCAUACUAUAGUUCAUCACGAAGUUCUAGUAACUUAGUGAUGGUGACUAGAGAAUUCUGUCAAUCACUAUCUUACCUGGAAGAUUAACUCCCACUUGAUUCAAGCGAUUGAAAUACCCAGACAAUCUGAGCACAUGCUCACUAGUUGAGCGAUUCUCCUCCAUCUUUUAGCUAUAGAACUUGUUGGAGACUUCAUAUCUCUCAACUCGGGUAUUUGCUUGAAAUAUUAACUUCAAUUCCUGGAACAUCUCAUAUGGUCCAUGACGUUCAAAACGUCUUUGAAGUCCCGAUUCUAAGCCGUUAAGCAUGGUGCACUAAACUAUCAAGUAGUCAUCAUCUUGAGCUAGCCAGACGUUCAUAACUUCUGCAUCUGCUCCUGCAAUAGGUCUGUCACCUAGCGGUGCAUUAAGGACAUAAUUCUUCUGUGCAGCACUGAGGAUAAACCUCAGAUCACGGAUCGAAUCCGCAUCAUUGCUACUAACAUUUUUCAACACAAUAUUCUCUAGGAACAUAUCAAAAUAAACAUAUGAAAGCAACAACGCGAGCUAUUGAUCUACAACAUAAUUUGCAAAAUACUACUAGGACUAAGUUCAUGAUAAAUUAAAGUUCAAUUAAUCAUAUUACUUAAGAACUCCCACUUAGAUAGACAUCCCUCUAAUCCUCUAAGUGAUCACGUGAUCCAAAUCAACUAAACCAUGUCCGAUCAUCACGUGAGAUGGAGUAGUUUCAAUGGUGAACAUCACUAUGUUGAUCAUAUCUACUAUAUGAUUCACGCUCGACCUUUCGGUCUCUGUGUUCCGAGGCCAUAUCUGUAUAUGCUAGGCUCGUCAAGUAUAACCUGAGUAUUCCGCGCGUGCAACUGUUUUGCACCCGUUGUAUUUGAACGUAGAGCCUAUCACACCCGAUCAUCACGUGGUGUCUCAGCACGACGAACUUUGGCAACGGUGCAUACUCAGGGAGAACACUUCUUGAUAAUUUAGUGAGAGAUCAUCUUAUAAUGCUACCAUCAAUAAAAGCAAGAUAAGAUGCAUAAAAAGAUAAACAUCACAUGCAAUCAAUAUAAGUGAUAUGAUAUGGCCAUCAUCAUCGUGUGCUUGUGAUCUCCAUCUCCGAAGCACCGUCAUGAUCACCAUCGUCACCGGCGCGACACCUUGAUCUCCAUCGUAGCAUCGUUGUCGUCUCGCCAAUCUUAUGCUUCCACGACUAUCACUACUGUUUAGUAAUAAAGUAAAGCAUUACAUCGCGAUUGCAUUGCAUACAAUAAAGCGACAACCAUAUGGCUCCUGCCAGUUGCCGAUAACUCGGUUACAAAACAUGAUCAUCUCAUACAAUAAAAUUCAGCAUCAUGCCUUGACCAUAUCACAUCACAACAUGCCCUGCAAAAACAAGUUAGACGUCCUCUACUUUGUUGUUGCAUGUUUUACGUGGCUGCUACGGGCUUAAGUAAGAACCAAUCUCACCUACGCAUCAAAACCACAACGAUAGUUUGUCAAAUAGACUCCGUUUUAACCUUCUCAAGGACCGGGCGUAGCCAUACUCGGUUCAACUAAAGUUGGAGAGACAGUCGCCCGCAAGCCAUCCAUGUGCAAAGCACGUCGAGGGAACCGGUCUCGCGUAAGCGUACGCGUAAGGUUGGUCCAGGUCGUCUCGUCCAACAAUACCGCCGAACCAAAGUAUGACAUGCUGGUAGGCAGUAUGACUUGUAUCGUCCACAACUCACUUGUGUUCUACUCGUGCAUAUAACAUCAACAUAAAUAACCUAGGCUCGGAUGCCACUGUUGGGUUUCGUAGUAAUUUCAAAAAAUUUCCUACGCACACGCAAGAUCAUGUGAAGCAUAGCAACGAGGGGAGAGUGUUGUCUACGUACCCAACGCAGACCAACUGCGGAAGCGAUGACACGACGUAGAGGAAGUAGUCGUACGUCUUCACGAUCCAACCGAUCAAGCACCGAAACUACGGCACCUCCGAGUUCGAGCACACGUUCAGCUCGAUGACGAUCCCCGGACUCCGAUCCAGCAAAGUGUCGGGGAAGAGUUCCGUCAGCACGACGGCGUGGUGACGAUCUUGAUGAACUACAGCAGCAGGGCUUCGCCUAAACUCCACUACAGUAUUAUCGAGGUAUAUGGUGGCAGGGGGCACCGCACACGACUAAGGAAUAGAUCACGUGGAUCAACUUGUGUGUAUAGAGGUGCCCCCUGCCUCCGUAUAUAAAGGAGGAGAGGAGGGGAGGCUGGCCGGCCAAGGAGGGGAGGCGCAGGAGAGUCCUACUCCCUCUAGGAGUAGGAUUCCCCCCAAUCCUAGUCCAACUAGGAUUCCUCGGAGGGGAAGGGAGAGAGGGGGGCCCGCAGCCACCUUGGGCUGCCCCUUUCUCCUUUCCACUAAGGCCCAUGAAGGCCCAUAUGGCUCCCGGGGGGUUCCGGUAACCCUCCCGGUACUCCGGUAAAAUCCCGAUUUCACCCGGAACACUUCCGAUGUCCAAACAUAGGCUUCCAAUAUAUCAAUCUUUACGUCUUGACCAUUUUGAGACUCCUCGUCAUGUCCGUGAUCACAUCCGGGACUCCGAACAACCUUCGGUACAUCAAAAUGCAUAAACUCAUAAUGUAACUGUCAUCGUAACCUUAAGCGUGCGGACCCUACGGGUUCGAGAACAAUGUAGACAUGACCGAGACACGUCUCCGGUCAAUAACCAAUAGCGGGACCUGGAUGCCCAUAUUGGCUCCUACAUAUUCUACGAAGAUCUUUAUCGGUCAGACCGCAUAACAACAUACGUUGUUCCCUUUGUCAUCGGUAUGUUACUUGCCCGAGAUUCGAUCGUCGGUAUCCAAUACCUAGUUCAAUCUCGUCACCGGCAAGUCUCUUUACUCGUUCUAUAAUGCAUCAUCCCGUAACCAACUCAUUGGUCACAUUGCUUGCAAGGCUUAUAAUGAUGUGCAUUACCGAGAGGGCCCAGAGAUACCUCUCCGACAAUCGGAGUGACAAAACCUAAUCUCGAAAUACGCCAACUCAACAUGUACCUUCGGAGACACCUGUAGUACUCCUUUAUAAUCACCCAGUUACGUUGUGACGUUUGGUAGUACCCAAAGUGUUCCUCCGGUAAACGGGAGUUGCAUAAUCUCAUAGUUACAGAAACAUGUAUAAGUCAUGAAGAAAGCAAUAGCAACAUACUAAACGAUCAAGUGCUAAGCUAACGGAAUGGGUGAAGUCAAUCACAUCAUUCUCCUAAUGAUGCGACCCCGUUAAUCAAAUGACAACUCUUUUGUCCAUGGCUAGGAAACAUAACCAUCUUUGAUAAACGAGCUAGUCAAGUAGAGGCAUACUAGUGACACUAUGUUUGUCUAUGUAUUCACACAUGUAUUAUGUUUCCGGUUAAUACAAUUCUAGCAUGAAUAAUAAACAUUUAUCAUGAAAUAAGGAAAUAAAUAAUAACUUUAUUGUUGCCUCUAGGGCAUAUUUCCUUCACCACGUGGCCCGGCCGGCCCCCGGGGCUCAAGAACCAGGUCCAAUGCCCCCAUUGGUCCCGGUUUUGGAUUGAACCGGGACUAAUGGGCUGGACCGGCCUGGACCAUCGCCCCCUUUUCUACUAGUGUUAGUGCAUGGUGGUUAGUGAAGUUAGUGGAGCAUGGUGUGAGUGCGUGGGUCAUGGUUGAGUGCCAGACUUUGUAUAAAUUGUCAUUUGAGUCAAUGAGAAAAUGUAAGGCCGAGAGGGCCAGUGCAAAGAUGUAGCAUUUGUGGUAGCCAAGGGAGAUUAACUGGGCAAAGCUAUGUGUUCUUCCUUGGUCUAUGCGUGUGUGUGUUCUGUGUGUGUUCUCUCUCUGCGUCCUUGUGUUCAUGGGAGUGUUUUUGAGAGAAGCCAGAAGAGAGAGUUGUGAGAGGCAGCUCGAGGUAGAAGAAGGAGCGGUGCUGCUCCGAGAGGAGGCGGCGCCAACAAUUAUUGACGAAAGGGAUAUUAUAUUGCGCAAGGUAUAAUCAGACGCGUCGGGGAUGGAGCGACUACACACAUAUGGGAUCACAACUGGAUUAUGAGGGAAAGCUAUAAGAGGCCAAUAAAUAAGUUAGUGCAGAUCCCCCCUCAGAAACAUUUUAUGUAUACACGUUAACAUUUCCCAGAUAUAUGAUUAAUAUUUUUAGAAAACUUCUAUUUUUUAUGUGUACUUUUUAUACAUUUUGUAAUAUCAGAAAUAGUUUUUAUAGAAGGUUUAACAUUUUUCAAAUACAUGAUUACCUUUUUGUAAACUUAUAUUGUUUGACGUUUACUUUUUUCCAUAGACAUAGUGAGGGGUUAUAUCUAAGGAAUAGGCCCAAGUACAUGUAGGCACAACCAAAGGCCCAUGUUAAUCAAGGAUGUUCCACAAGACAAAUGGGAAAACACACCGGGGCUAAUGGAGCUACAAGGCCAAGGCAUCGGAUACAAGGGGAGAGUCAACUGUGUACAGUCAGAUUACACAACCCUUAACAGACAAGACUCAUCAGUUGGUCCACUAUAGGAAUCAGGUCAUUUGCCGUCAGCCGAGAACAGAUGCGAAGGCUUUGCCGUGAGCAAGUUGACGACAAACACAAUCAGCAAAGACUAUAUCAGCAAAGAGCUAAUUUGACGUCAACUUUUCAUCGCGCUGAUGACAAAGACUUUGCCGUCAAUUAAACUAUGUGUUUGUCGUCUGUAGAAAAAACACAAAUGGCAAAGAAAUUAAACAAAUGGUCAUUUUAUAAUAAUUUUUCGAAAUGUAUAUAGUGUAUUUUAAAAUGUUAAAUAUGUAUCAAGAAUUAUUUCAUAAAUAUACAGAAGAUGUACAACGUGUAUGAAAAUUAUGUAGACAUCAGAACAUAUUAUAGAAAUGUUAAUCUUGUAUUUAAAAAUGUUAAAUACACAUAAAUAAAAAUGUUUUUGAUGUACAUAAAAAAAUUGUACAUCGUGUGUGAACAAAGUAUGCAUUGAAAAAAAAAUCUUGUUGGAAAGAAAAUCUCGUGCUAUAUACGAAAAUGUAAAAGGUGUAUGAAAAUAAUUAGAUAUAUGCUUAACGAAAAAAAGGAAAGAAGGCGCAAAAAAAUCCGAUCAACACCAAGAUAGGAACAAGAAAACCUGAAGAAGACCAUUGAAAAAAAAGAAAAGAAUACAAGAAAGAGGAAAAAAAACAAAAAAAUGAAGAAGCUGAUGCAGAACAGGGAACUUGGUGAAAACGAAUAAAAAUUGAUGAAAACCGAGAAGAAAAACAAGAAAACUGAAGCAAAAAAAUAAUAAAAAUAUGUAAAAAAAUGAUGAAACAUUGCAAAACACUGAAAUACUAUGAAAACCAAAGGAAGAAAAGACUCAAAAAGAAGAACAUACAGCGAGCGAAUGAACAACAACUGAGUGAACGAGCGACCAUGCGAGAACACGUUAAUUGUCCGGCCCAUACUUGUGGACUCCAGAGGCGAGCCAGAAUAGGCGAGAUAUAGCUAUGACGAUUUGAUACCCUUCACAGCUUCACGAAUGCUAUAUCUCGCUCACAGCGAAAGUAUAUUUUGUCUGGCCUGAAGGUGCAAGAAUAGCAUCAGGUCGCUGUAAGGUUUGUGAUCCUACAAUGAGAGCUCCGAUAAGAUUAAAGUUCAUUUUUCUGACAACCUUUGGUCGUUCGUUCGCGCUCAGGUCGUCCGCUCACUCGAUUCCACGUACUAGUUUGGUUAUGUUGUUUUUUUCAUUUUGUUCUUUUUUUGUUUCUUCACUGGCUUUCUUUGGUUUUUAUAUCGGUUUUCUUUGUUUCCUUCACGUUUUAUUCCUGUUUUCCUUUUUACUGGUUUAUUUAUUCCUUUUUUUCUUUGUUUCUUUCUUGGUUUUCUUUGUUUUUCUUUCUUUUGAUGUCAAUCUUUUUACAUACGCAUUCAACAAUUUCCGUAUACAUCAGAAACAUUUUAUGUAUACACAUUAACAUUUCCCAGAUAUAUGAUUAAUAUUUUUGGAAAACCUCUAUUUUUUAUGUGUACUUUUUGAUACAUUUUGUAUAUAUCAGAAAUAUUUUUUUAGAAGGUUUAACAUUUUUUUAAAUACAUGAUUACCUUUUUGUAAACUUAUAUUGUUUGACGUUUAUUUUUUUCCAUAGACAUAGUGAGGGGUUAUAUCUAAGGAAUAGGCCCAAGUACAUAUAUGGCACAACCAAAGACCCAUGUUAAUCAAGGAUGUGGUCCACAAAACAAAUGGGGAAACACACGGGGGCCAAUGGAGCUACAAGGCCAAAGCAUCGGAUAUAAGGGGAGAAUAAGUGUGUACAGUCGGAUUACACAACACUUGACAGACAAGACUCAUUAGUUGGUCCACUAUAGGAAUCGAGUAAUUUGCCGUCAGCCGAGAACAGACUCGAAGUCUUUGCCGUCAGCAAGUUGAUGACAAACACAGUGAGCAAAGACUAUAUCGGCAAAGAGCUAAUUUGACGUUAACUUUUCAUCCGCUGAUGACAAAGACUUUGCCGUCAAUUAAACUAUGUGUUUGUCGUCUGUAGAAAAAACACAAAUGGCAAAGAAAAGCAUCUUUGCCAUCAGCAACUGAUUCACAUGUGUCGUCAGCCAGACUCGUCUUGUCACUAGCCUCAAACAUCACAGAUGGCAAAGAUUUUUUUUUAUUUUUAAAAUUCCGCGUCGACCACCCUAUCGCUCGUGCAGCCACCGCCUGGCCGCGCUCGCCUCCCUGCUCACAUGCCCUGCCAGCUUGCGCCGUUGCCAUCCGGCAGCGCUCGCCCGACCCUGCUCAUCGCCCGGCCGAGCUCGCCCGCCCUGCUCGGUCGCGUCGUCGGCAGCUGCCCUGCUUGCACACGUACCUGCCCAGCCUUGCUCAUACCGCCGGCCACCCUGCUCGCUAGAGAAAGGAAGGCGAGAGAGGAGGCUCGGGGGAGAAAGAAAAAACAAAGGAGAGAGAGAGGAUGCUACCACUGCCACAUCACCAAUACGCAUGAUCGAUCUGCAAGAUGUGCUCUCUCUUUUGCCGCCUCUGAUGGCAAAGUAUGUCUUUAUCGUCUAUAAUAAGAUUACAAACAGCAAAGUGAGCUCUUUGCCGUCUGUAAAAAAACGGACGACAAACAAACUUUGUUGUCAGCUGCCGACGGCAAAAAGUGCUCUUUACCGCAGCCUCGAUGAGAAGCUGAAGGCAAAGUGCCCCACAGACGGCAAAUUAGUUGAUUCCUGGGUGGUUAUGAGCAAGACAGGAGCAAUAACCCUAUCUACACUCGGUCAUCUGGAAGACAGGAGUAGUCGAACCAUCUAUAGUCGGCUACAUCUGAGGUUACCGUGACCCUUACGAUGCAUUCAUUAUCGCCGUUACUCAAUGGAGUAGUUAAAUACGUCAGUUAGCAAUAAUAAUAGCCACGAACAGUCAAUCAUGCAUGUGACCAUCAAUAGCAUUUAUACCAACCCAUUACGGCACUUCCUCCUAGCACACUCUAUAUAAGCCAGGAGUAGGACAUGAGAGUGAGGGAUGAACUCUCUCACAGUAUAACCUACGCCAAGAGCAGGAACACCACAUGAAUAGAGAUUACCUCCACCAACGUACUCCCAUCCGUUUUAUGUACCGAUCAAUGUAUAUAAUGGCUUCUACAUUCACAUCCCGUAGUAUUGUCAGGAUUAUAUCCACGACAGAAACUAUAUUUUGUUAUACAUCAAGAACAUUUUAUAUAUAAAUAUUUACAAUUUUUUAAAUACAUGAUUAAUAUUUUUUCAAACAUAUAUUUUGUAUGUCUCCUUUUCAUAAUCUUUGAUCCCUGGAAGUUUCAGAUUUUUUCCGAUUUGUUCUCAUUUUUUUAUGAAUUUACUGUUCAUGAGGGUGUAGGGGCACCCAGGAGCUGUUAGGCAUAAUAUUUCUGCUGUUGUUGUCAUCAUCAAGGGGAAUGAGAAGGGUUGAAGUUUUCGUUUUCUUUGAGGGGGAAAUCAGAGUUGGGGGCUGGAAGUGAGUGAUUAGGCCCAACAUAAGCGCUGUGUGUGUGUGUCUCGUCACGGGCACCAAAUUCGAACUGGGCUAUUGUUUUCUGAGAACCCAACGUCACAAGCCCAACCAACAGUCUGCCGAUCUGCAUCUUCCUCUCCUUGUCCAUCCUCCUCGUUGGCCGGACCGCCUCGAGCCACGGCCGCUCCCUGGCGCAGCGUCCUCCCCUUCCUCUCCACCCCCAAAUUCUCUUGUAUCCUCUUCUGAUCUCCUUCCUUACUUCCUCUCGCUGAUGGUCUCCACAAGAAGGUCUCCGAGCUCCUCGGAGGGUUCCGGCUGUACGUCGACGCAGCCUCUCCGACCUCCCCAUGAACAUGAGCUAUCGACCCUGAAAGCCUGUCUCUUCCAUGAUUCGAUUCACAUGAAUUCACGAGCCGCAUGAAUCAUGAAGGUCAUGGAGCAGAAUUCAGUCGUGUAGCCUGACAGUGAUGUACAUUUGUGGCUUUUCUGGCUAAAUAGCUCUGUACCCUAUGUGGAUGCCACUUCAAAUAAUCGUCAAAAUAAUUCUCCUGCACGCGUUAUACAAAUGGCGAAGAAGAAGUUCGCGUGGAACAUUUCGUUUCUUAUUGAUGUCCGAGAGAAAAGCUCCUAGGAAGUUCAUCCGCUCGGUGGAUUAUAAGUUUAAGUUUGUUACAACAUCCAAUCAUCCAUAUAAUCUCUGUGUUUCUUCUGUUUUCUACCAGUCAUAUAUCAUAUGUGCAUCAGAGGAAAAAUGCUUUCAGCAGUCAUGUUGGAGCGCGCAUACCAAGUUCCCACAUUGCAAAUAUGAUCCUAGCCAUUAAUAUGUUUCAUUCCACAUUUUCUUGAUCUAAUUUCUAAAUGAUUGGACAACCUGUUAUAGUCUUAUAGAAUUAUGAGCCGCCAAAUCCACAUUUCUCUUGGUCUAAUUUCUAAAUGAUAAUGUGCAGCAUCUAUCUCCUGGUGAACCUUUUUUUCUUGCGACUGUAUCUCCUGAUGAACCUAGUUUUCUCUAGGUAGCACAAUAAUUGUACUGGUUUGAUGUAAAGGACAUAAAUACAAGGGAAUAAAUUGGAAGCUUAUUUCAAAUUAACUAGCUAGUGGUGUUUGUGAAGUUCAAGAAAAAGCUGGUCUUUUUCUCGACAAAUAAUUUAACAUGCAAAGAAUCAAUAAAUGUAUUUGCAAGAAAGCAAACAUAAUUAACGAUAAAACUGGUUUAUUGUCACUGUAGACAACGGUAGUAGUUGGAACUAGAUACAAACCAAUAAAAAACAAGAUCUCAAAUCUCCAACCAAUAAAGAGUUCAACCCAAAUUUUACAGUAACACCAUUAUAUUCAAAUAGUGAUUAUUCCAACACAUGGAUAAUUAAUUAAGGCACCAGGUUGCCCUUGUGACUAGGAAAGACAAACUUAUGAACUUGCAAGCAUGGCAAUCAGAUCGACAUCCACACAAUGCCAAUAUGAACAUUGUCUUGAUACAACUUUAUUUUUAUUUUAUUUCAGAAUUUAAACAACUAGUAUGGGCGGGUCACACACGACAUUGUGUGACACUUUAUUUGUCACCGCUGCAUCGACAUAUCCAUCGACUAAACAACGGUGAUCCAACUAUAUAUUACUAGAGACCUUUCCUUAUUAGUAGGAACCAACUCCGGUGCCAACACCGAAUGGCACACUAGUGGUGGUUCUAUACAACGGCACAUUGACACGGCACAUCGUUGGCAGGGUACGGAGCGCAAUGGAAGUCAUCACCUCAAGCUGAGCUAUCUGGUGUGGCUGCAAAAAGGUACCUUGUGCCAAUUGUUGUUGUUGAGGUUGUUGCCCGAGUUGUUGUUGUGACUGCUGUUGGGGUUGGGAAACACAUUGGCCCAACUGUUGGGGUUGCUGCUGAGGAGUUUGGAUGGAACCCUGAACCUGUUGUUGUUCUUGCAGGAUGAUGGAGUAGAUGAUAGCACGGAUUGCCUCAUAGCGGGAUUGCUGGGGGAUUUGCGGCAACUGCUGGCAACAUUGUUGUUGCAUCACAUGGCAACUGCUCUGCUGCAACAUUUGCGACCUAGCAAGACUUUGUGGCAUUGCCACAGGGCUGCAUUGCUGCUGGAGGAAUACCUUGCAUGGGUUUAGCUGCUGCAAGAUAGAUGGAUGAACAAAUGGUAUUUGUUGUUGCGGUAGAACUAGUUGUUGUUGUUGCUGCGAAAAUGGUGGUUGUUGCGGUAGACUUGGUUGUUGUUGUUGCAAAAAUGGUGGUUGUUGCUGUAGUACUAUUUGUUGUUGUUGCGAAAACGGUGAUUGUUGCUGUGAAAAUGGUGGUAGUUGUUGCUGUGAAAAUGAUGGUUGUUGCGGUAGAACUGGUUGUUGUUGCUGCGAAAAUGGUGGUUGUUGUUGUGAAAAUGGUGGUUGUUGUUGCUGCGAAAAUGGUGGUUGUUGUUGUGAAAANNNNNNNNNNNNNNNNNNNNNNNNNNNNNNNNNNNNNNNNNNNNNNNNNNNNNNNNNNNNNNNNNNNNNNNNNNNNNNNNNNNNNNNNNNNNNNNNNNNNNNNNNNNNNNNNNNNNNNNNNNNNNNNNNNNNNNNNNNNNNNNNNNNNNNNNNNNNNNNNNNNNNNNNNNNNNNNNNNNNNNNNNNNNNNNNNNNNNNNNNNNNUGGUUGUUGUUGCUGCGAUAAUGGUUGUUGUUGUUGCUGCGAAAAUGGUGGUUGUUGUUGUGAAAAUGGUGGUUGUUGUUGCUGCGAUAAUGGUUGUUGUUGUUGUUGCUGUGAACAUGGUUGCUGUUGUGAAAAUGGUUGUGGUUGUUGUUGGAUGGGUUGUUGUUGUUGGUGGUGCGAUAAUGUUUGUUGUGGUGGUAAUGGUUGUUGCUGCGAUGGUCUCUCCAAACCAGGGAUGUGGCUAUUCUCCAUUUGUGCAAUGGCACUUGUCGCCACAAUGGCGAGGAGAGCAAAGAUGAGGAAGGUCUUCAUGGUGGAUUGGUGUUAACCAGUGUUGCUUGGUUUUGAUGCUUGUGCUUGUGAUGAUCUUUAUACUUCAUGCCUAUUUAUAGUAGCCCGGGCACCACCUCUUUUCUUCUUUGCAUUAGCUUUAAUAAUUCUGUUUGGAUGCAUCUAAAAUGAUUUUUGGUACAAUGUGUUAGGUUGCACUAGCUACACGCGUACUUUUGGAUUGAUCAUCAAAGUUGCUUUUUAGUUGUGCAUAUGAUCACACACAAAGUACAGAAACCUUGAUGUUUGGUACAUAUGACUCACCUUAUUCACUUUACAUGUCACACACUUAUCUGGAUAGUAUCACUUUUGCAACCGAGUUUGGAACCUUGUAUAGGCUGUCAUCCAUAAACAAGAAAGGCAAAACUUGUGUAGGACUAAGUUUGCAAUCGGAGGGUUCUUCUAGACUCGAUUUCUUUUCGUAAAACUAACUUUGUAUUUUUCCUCUAAGAUGAUAAGAUGAACCGACGCCUAUAGAGCAUGACAUGACUCAUCGAAUUCCCUUUACAUGUAAAGGAUGGUAAUUGCUUACAAGCUACUCCUACUAGCAUAUAUCCGGUUCCAAGCCUAGACACGUCAUCAUCAGUUUCGUCUAUUUUUUUAGAUAAAUCAUCAGUUCUAUCUAUUUGUGAAGGGUUUUUUUGGGGGGAAAUGAUAGUUUUUUUAUGCUAGGGGGGUUUUUUNNNNNNNNNNNNNNNNNNNNNNNNNNNNNNNNNNNNNNNNNNNNNNNNNNNNNNNNNNNNNNNNNNNNNNNNNNNNNNNNNNNNNNNNNNNNNNNNNNNNNNNNNNNNNNNNNNNNNNNNNNNNNNNNNNNNNNNNNNNNNNNNNNNNNNNNNNNNNNNNNNNNNNNNNNNNNNNNNNNNNNNNNNNNNNNNNNNNNNNNNNNNNNNNNNNNNNNNNNNNNNNNNNNNNNNNNNNNNNNNNNNNNNNNNNNNNNNNNNNNNNNNNNNNNNNNNNNNNNNNNNNNNNNNNNNNNNNNNNNNNNNNNNNNNNNNNNNNNNNNNNNNNNNNNNNNNNNNNNNNNNNNNNNNNNNNNNNNNNNNNNNNNNNNNNNNNNNNNNNNNNNNNNNNNNNNNNNNNNNNNNNNNNNNNNNNNNNNNNNNNNNNNNNNNNNNNNNNNNNNNNNNNNNNNNNNNNNNNNNNNNNNNNNNNNNNNNNNNNNNNNNNNNNNNNNNNNNNNNNNNNNNNNNNNNNNNNNNNNNNNNNNNNNNNNNNNNNNNNNNNNNNNNNNNNNNNNNNNNNNNNNNNNNNNNNNNNNNNNNNNNNNNNNNNNNNNNNNNNNNNNNNNNNNNNNNNNNGCCGCCACCGCUCGACAAAAAAGGUCACUUUUGUAGCUCCCCCGUCGAUUGCGGGCCGUACGUCGACGGCAGCCACUCCGACCUCCCCGUCAACACAAGGUAUCGAUCUGUUUCGUCUGUCUCUUCCAGCGAUUCAAUGCACAUAAAUCCGAGAGGCAGACCCAUCUCCAUGCUAGCUGCACGGAUCAGGAGGGUCAGGCAUCAGAAUUCAGCUGGGAAGCCUGACACUAAUGUACAUUUGUGGCUUUAGUAGCUGAAUAUAACUAUGUGUUUUCUGAGAAUUUCACUUCAAAAGUUCCAAUAAUCAUCAAAUUUCCGCCUAUGCGCGCUAAGCAGGUGGACCAUAUAUUUCUCAUGUCGACGAACGAAAAAACAAAACUCCACAACUAGAAGUCUAUGAUAUUGACACGGAACCGUGCUGUAGGGUCGCAAGUAAAAAUAUGAAAAGCAUGCCUAACACUACUAGGAAAAGGGCUAUAGAUGGAAUUGACACUAAUGACGCACCAGACAUGUGGUGCGCCAUUAGUAUAUACUAAUGGCGCACCAUCUUCUGAUGCGCCAUUAGUGUUGAAAUUACUAAUGGCGCACCCUGCCCACGGUGCGCCAUUAGUACCAAUUUUUUUUUGAACUAGUGCGCCUGUCCAAACAUACUAAUGGCGCAUCCGCUGGUGGUGCGCCAUUACUAGUUGUAACUAGUAAUGGUGCACCAGCCAGAGGGUGCGCCACUAAAGUUAUUUUUUUUAUUAUUGUUUUUAUUCCUUUUUUUGCAAAAGUACUAAUGGCGCACUCACACGCGGUGCGCCAUUACUAGUUCAAACUAGUAAUGGCGCACCGUGGCAGAGUGCGCCAUUAGUAUGUUUUUUUUUCAAAACUACUAAUGGCGCACCACCUGGUGGUGCGCCAUUAGUAACCUGGAUUACUAAUGGCGCAUUUGUUGCUGGUGCGCCAUUAGUAAGUGGGCAGCAACAAGAUAUUUUGGACAGCCUCUCCUCCCACACUCACUUUCUCCCCAUUUCAUUCUCUCCACCGCCUCCUCAUGUCUCGGGUGCCUCCUCUUUUUCACCUCAUUUCCACCAUAGAUUCAUUCAAAUUAAGUGGUUAAGUUACCUUGUUUUGCUAGGUAAGUAAGGGGGGAAGCUAUAUUUAUGUUGUUCUCCCUACAACAGUGUGCACAUGCACUUUUUAUGGCCUAGCUAGAUCUAUGUAUGUUCGUGGUGUUGCAUAUGUUUGUGGUGUUGCAUAUGUGUUUGUGUUUGAAGGUGUACCGGUAUUUGAAAUGCGAUAGUUGCCAAUAUUUUGCCGGAAUGUUGAUUCAUUUCCGUUUCGGCGAGAAUUUUGGCAUUAAGCAUUCUUUUUGGUCCUAUUUUUAGGGAAAGUCAUGCCAAAUUUUUUCUUGGUUCUAAAAUAUCGUUUUGCUCUACCCCGCAGGCGACCAUGGUCCGCACGAUGACCGAAGGCAUCGUGAAUAGGUUUUUGAGGUCCACGAAGGCCGAGAUGCUUCAAAAGAACGAGACGGAGAUAAGAUGUCCGUGUCGAAGAUGCAAGCUGAAUAGCCUUAUUGCGGACCCGGAUUCCGGGCAGGUGCGGGACCACCUGCUCUUGCGUGGUUUCAUGGAUGGCUGUCGGUGGCAAGGUGAUGAAGAUGACUACGAAGUCGUCCAUGGGGGCCGGGCAAGAAAUGAGGAAGGGCAGCAAGACAACCACCGCGGCUCGGGGGGGCGAGAAGAAGAAGAAUCCCCAGGAGAUGAUCACGACGGUGAUGUUGUACACAGUCAUCAUGUAGAAGAUGCAGGACAUGAUGAUGAUGCCGGCGGAGCAGACGACGCUGGACCAUCGAUGGGCUGGGUGCAGGACCCUCAUAUUCAAGAGCUGCUUCUCAAGCAGACGGAUAACGCAAGAGCUGCCGCCCGAGAGAAAGCCAAGAUGGAUCAACUUGAGUUAGACGCGGUUACUCCAUUGUAUGAAGGAUGCAGGCCCGAGGAUACCCGCCUGAAAGUAACACUCAUGGCUCUGGAGAUGAAGGUAAAACACAAAAUGACCGACGCAUGCUUCGACGAGAACAUGUCAUUCUGGCACGAACGUCUUCCCAAAGGGAACAAGUGCCCGACCAGUUUGGAGGAGGCGAAGAAAAUCGUGUGUCCUCUGGAUUUACCGCACGUGAAAUACCAUGUGUGCAUGAACAAUUGCAUCAUUUAUCGGGACGAGCACGCGGAGUCUACCAUAUGUCCGGUGUGCGGUGUCACUCGAUACAAGAAGGGGAAGAAAGCUCCUCGAAAAGUGGUGUGGUACUUUCCGAUCACUCCUCGUCUGCAGCGGUAUUUCGCGGACCCUAAGGUAGCAAAGCUCCUGCGUUGGCACGCGGAUAGGGAGGAGAAGAAGCGAGAAGAUGACGCAAAUGAUACGGAGAUAGAUAAAAAAGACAAGAUGCUGAGUCACCCUAAGGAUGCGAGCCAGUGGCAAGCGUUGAACUUCGAAUAACCAGAAUUUGGGAACGAUCCAAGGAACAUCGUGCUGGGCGCGAGCACCGGUGGAGUCAAUCCGUUUGGCAGCCAGAGAAGCACACAUAGCACCUGGCCUGUGUUUGUGUGGAUGUACAACCUUCCCCCCUGGUUGUGCAUGAAGAGGAAGUACAUUCACAUGAGUAUGCUAAUUGAAGGGCCGAAACAACCAGGGAACGACAUCAAUCUGUAUCUGGGGCUGCUGAAAGAGGAGCUUGACACGCUGUGGAAAACGCCCACCAAUACGUGGGACGCCGCAGAGAAAGAAUAUUUCCCUAUGAGAGCCGCACUGCUCACGACGGUGCACGACUAUCUCGGUUACGGAUAUCUUGCGGGGCAGGUAGUCCACGGAUUUUCUGGAUGCGUAAGGUGCAUGGAUGACACAACGUAUCGCCAGCUAGAUAGAGACGAUGACCCGUGGAGGAAACGCAAGGAUCUGUUCGAUGGUGAAACCAAACCCCGAAAACGCCCGUGUACGAGGAGCGGCGAGGAAAUAGACAAGCUGUUGAAAAAUCGGAAAGACUGCCCACUGCCGGGAAAGAAGCAAAAGGUGCCAGAGCCGGGAAAGAAGCGAAAGGCGCCAGAGCCGCUGCUGAAGCUAUGGAAAACGAGGUCUGUUUUCUGGGACUUGCCGUACUGGAAGAUCCACCGUGUGCCUCACAGCCUUGAUGUCAUGCAUAUCACGAAGAACGUGUGCGAGAGUCUGCUUGGUACCCUGCUCAACAUGCCAGAGAGGACCAAAGAUGGGCCGAAAGCGAGGGCAGACUUGAAAUCAAUGGGCAUCAGGCAGGAGCUUCACGCUAUAUAUGAUGAUGAUGAUGAUGAUGAUGAUGAUGAUGAGGCGAAGCAGGACACAGAAAGUCGUCGCAAAGGCAAAAAGGCCAAGAAGACCGGAAAUGACUACCCUCCCGCGUGCUUCACUCUAAGUCAGGAGGAGAUCGAGCAGUUUUUCACCUGCCUCCUAGGAGUAAAACUUCCUUACGGUUACGCGGGGAAGAUAAGCAGAUACCUAGACCCAGCGAAGCAGAAGUUCAGCGGGAUGAAGUCUCACGAUUGUCACAUGCUGAUGACGCAGAUACUUCCAGUUGCAAUCCGUGGGAUCAUGGACGCGCACGUCCGUGAAACGCUAUUUGGCCUAUGCAACUUCUUCGACGUCAUCUCUCAGAAGUCGAUUGGCAUGAGGCAACUCAGAAGGCUACAGGAAGAGAUCGUGGUGAUACUAUGCGAGCUUGAGAUGUACUUCCCGCCCGCAUUCUUCGAUGUUAUGGUGCAUCUGCUGGUCCAUAUAGUGGGGGAUAUCAUCCAACUCGGGCCGAUGUUCCUGCACAGCAUGAUGCCGUUCGAAAGGAUGAAUGGUGUCAUCAAAGGAUACGUUCGCAACAUGUCACGUCCAGAAGGAAGCAUAGCCAGGGGCUUUCUGACCGAAGAGUGCAUCUACUAGUGCGCGAAUUAUCUAGGCAUCGAGAACCCCGUUGGUCUGCCCGUCAACAGGCACCUCGGCAGGCUCGCUGGAUGGGGUCACCGUGAGGGUCGCCGCGAAAUGCAUGUCGACUUCGAGGGUCGACUCGCCGACUUUGAAAGAGCAAACCUAGUCGCGCUACAACACAUAGACGUGGUCGAUGCUUGGGUGGUAGAGCACAAAACCUUUAUUAAGAAGACGUACAAUGACCGAGGCCAACAGAGGACGGACGGAGAUAUACUCAAAGAGCACAACUCAUGUUUCACGCGUUGGUUCAAGCAGAAGCUUCUGUCGUACCCUUUACAUGAGGAUUCUUCCGCGGAAGAACAACUCAUAUUCGCCUUGUCACAGGGCGCCGAGCACAACCUGAUGACCUAUGAGGCGUACGAUAUCAACGGCUACACAUUCUACACCGAGGCCAAGGACAUGAAGAGCGAUGGUUAUCAGAACUCCGGGGUAACGAUGGAAUCCUACACCGGUAACGACAAGGACAGAUACUACGGAAGGAUCGAGGAGAUCUGGGAGCUGAGCUAUGCUGGAGAGAAGGUCCCGAUGUUCCGUGUCAGAUGGGCCAAGAACGUCAUAAAAGAAGACCGGUAUUUCACCACCAUGGUUAUACCCGGAGCCAAAUCCAAGACCGCGAGCGCAAACGUCACCGCGAAAAAUGAGCCAUGGGUACUGGCUUCCCAAGUGGACCAAUGCUUCUUCAUUACCGACCCGCCAAAGCCCAGUCGUGUUGUCGUGAGGAGAGGCAAAAGGAAGAUCAUCGGAAUGGAUGGAGUAGCCAAUGAGCAAGACUUCGACAAGUACGGCGACCCGAGGAUCGAACAUGACGACGAUGAUGAAGUAGCAGCAUACACCACAAGAAGAAGCAGGACCACCCUACCUAAAGGACGUCCGUUCCACAGAAGAACUCCAUUUGCGAAAAAGAAGGGCAAGAAGAUUGUGAACAGAUAGCUAGCUAAGAUCGAUUGUAUUUAAAUCGUAGCCUUCAUUUCUCGAUUGUAUUUCAUGGGUACUUUUUGAACUAUCAUGAAUAUUUUUAAAUUUAAUGGACACUCGAUCUCGAUCCCCCUCCAUCUCGAUCGCUAUCCCACCUCGCCAGAUCCGGUCCCCCUCGCCGCCAAGCACCCCCCCAGCCCACCGGCCGCCGCCGCCGACCCCCCGCACCCUCGAUUCCCCUACCCAACCGCCGCCGCCGACCCACCGCACCCCGCGCACCCUCCCCUGCUCCACCAGCAUUACUGUUUGAUGAUAUUUUUAAAAAAAUUAUUAUUGUCUUAUAAAAAAAUAUUACUGUUAUGAUUUAAACAAGUUUGAACAUAUUUAAACACAAAUAAGUAUCAAACAGGUUUUUAAAUGCUAAAAAAAAUUUGUGGAGCCUGGGAGUCGAACCCAGGACCUCCUGGUGUGAGAACUGGCUGCUGACCAGUCGAGCUAGUAGAGGGGACUUGAUGUGGAUCAAUUCUGGUGGUACAUAACCUGUUGGCUCGAGUUGAAAUAAAAAAAAUACUAAUGGCGCACCACGGUGAGGUGCGCCAUUAGUAUGGAUGUACUUAUGGCGCACCGAGGGGUGGUGCGCCAUUAGUAUUGUGCCCGAUCCCUUCCCUCUCCCCCUUCGCCCGAUCCCCCCUUCCCUCUCCCCCUUGCCAGUUCCCUCUCCCUCGAUCCACCGCCGCCGCCGCCGCUGCCCUGACCCACUGCGCCGCAGCCGCCCACGCGCCCCCGCCGCCUCCCUCUCCCCUUCCUCCCCCUCGAGCCCGCGCCGUCCGCCCAAACCUAACCCGACGCCGUCCGCCGCGCCCGCUCCACCGCCGCCGCCCUGCCUCUCCGCCCUCUCCCUCCCUCNNNNNNNNNNNNNNNNNNNNNNNNNNNNNNNNNNNNNNNNNNNNNNNNNNNNNNNNNNNNNNNNNNNNNNNNNNNNNNNNNNNNNNNNNNNNNNNNNNNNNNNNNNNNNNNNNNNNNNNNNNNNNNNNNNNNNNNNNNNNNNNNNNNNNNCGUCGCCCCGCCGCCCCGACACCACCGUCCGUCGCCCCGCCGCCCCGCCGCCCCUCUCGCAGCAAGGUAUGCGGCUGGUUCGUCCCCUGUCAUGGUUCUCUCUUCGUUUAUUUUCCUGAAAUCUCUGCUGUUCAUUGGCCGAUGAUGUCUUACAAGUAAAAUAUCUGGCAAACUUGUGCUGUAAACUGUACAUUGCUGAGGCUGUGGGCAACCUGUUCUUCUCUUUGCCAUACUAGUGCUUUUGUUCAUUGGCCGAUGAUGUCUCUGUUGGUUUACGUCCCCGGCAAAUUAGGUACCCGUGAACCAUUUAUAGGCCCAACUUUCUUACUCUCAAUGACCACAAUGUGCUUAUUUUGUUAGGAUUGUGCAUUUGCGCGAUUUGUGCAGUGCUUAUUUGUUGGCACCUCACCAGCUUUCAAAUUCAGCAUUUGUAACACAGUUCAAUUUGAUCUAAGGGCCUAUCUUGUCUCAUUUCCAACAUGUAAUAAACUUCCCCCGAGGCCAUAGAUGAGAAUACUUCUUUCAGUACAUUUUGCUGAUUUCUCACUGUUGAAUACUUCAUUUCUGUUUGCCUUUGGCCAAAGAUGCAUUCAGUUCUUUCUGCCCUUAGCGGUUUGAUUCAAGUUUGUCAGGUUCUGUUAACUAAAAAGGUUCAGAUUCAGAAACAUUGUUGGACUACUAGGAAGUUGGACUACUAGGAACAUGUUUAGAUUCAGGUUCUGUUAACUAAAAAAGUUCAGGUUCUGUUAACUAAAAAAGUUCAGAUUCAGAAACCUGUAAUUUCUACUUUUAUGCCUCUGUUACUCCAGUCAAAAUUUUAUGUUUGAUGCCCAUGGUAGUUGAGCUCUCACCUCACCUCACGCAACAUGCAUGAUGCCACAAUGUCUAGUAUGUACUGCCAAGCAACUGGCAAAUAAUUAUAACUUAGAAUAAAUAAAUCUGAUGUAAGAUAAGCAUGGCAUGAGCUUUAAUUAAAUAGCAUAAUACACGUUGGUAGUCCAUCUCUCUCAAAAAAAAUACAUGUUGGUAGCAGAAAAAAAUACAUGUUGGUAGCAGAAAUUUUUUUGAGCCCUUAUUAGCUACUCACACUAUUUGCCCCGCAGUUUCUCUGUCAUGGCUACCAAGUGAUUGACGGUGGGCUAGAAAAAUAAAACCACCAAACUAUCAGUAAAAGAUGUGAACCAACAUCUUUCAUUGUUAUGCAUAUCAAACACCAAGGGUUAUUUUCACUUAAAGUUUUAGAAUGGGUGCAUUACAAUUCAGUCUGAUAUCUAAUAAGACACUCUGGGCUGAUAUAAUUAUGGAACAGAACCAACCAUGAUAAAUAAAAGGUGAUGUUGUCUAUGCAUUACCAAAAAUGUAUCUUUGUGAACAAAUAAAUUGGUACCAACAGCAAUGCCAUCUUACUGUAGAAUUAGAAUACAUGGACAUGAUCAGCUCAGCUCCCAAACUGCCAUUCAUCACAUCAAUUUCCCCUUAUGUAACUCCAGUCAAAAUUUUAUGUUGGUCUACCUAGUAGAUGCCCAUGGUUUGAUUUUAUGUUUGUUCCUAUCAAUACAAAUGCUGAGCUAUGUUCCAUUUUUACUGUUCUUUGUGAUAGUUUUUGCAACUUUACUUCCCAUCUUAAGGCAAGCCCCAUUUUUACUGUUCUUUGUUAGCAGAGCUGCUUGUUUCUAAGAACUUUGAUACUAUUUGGAUCAAAGUUAAAUGAGCACAUAGAUGACAAAAAAAAGUUCAGAUUGUAAAAUGUUCAUUUUGCUGCUAGUGCCCAUUUUGAGUAAUUGCUUAGAGGGAUGAUCCUGUGUGAGCUGGUGGAGUGAUUUGUUUUCUACAUAAAGCUCUUUAGUCAGGCUGGUUUUCGUGAAAUACACAUGAAGCUUCACCAGCUCCUGUGGGUGUGGGAUCCAUGUGACAUGUGACAUUGCAUCCAUGUCCACCUGGGAUAAUGAUUUUGCAUGUACCCCGAGAGGCCCUUAAGUUUGCCGGAAUGUCGAUUAACUUCCGUUCCGGCAAAUUCGGGUACUCCAUAUGUCCUAUUUUCAGCAAAGGUCAUGCUGAAAUUUUCCGUGAAUUUUAGCAUGACUUUGCAAAAAAUAGGACAUAUGGGGUACUUGUGACUAAUGCAUGGGCCGGGGUAUCAUAGUAGUUAAUUAAGUAGGAUCAAGUGCCCCGGCGUACUUGUGACUGAUGCAUGGCUUUUAGGGUGCCUCGGUGUUGAUAAAAACCGAAAUGAUGAAAGCUUAGGCUUUUAGGGUGCCUCGGCGUCGAAAAACCCUCAAUGAUAAAAGCUUAGGUCUUAGGAUGCCUCGGUGUCGACAAACCCUAAAUGAUGAGACCAUGUCUUGUUCCUUGACAAUAACCAACUUUUUGACCAAACUUUGUUUCUAUUUAGAGAGAAACAUGGCCCACAACGAUGAGGCCGGGGGUUCGGGCGGCAAGGCAUUCUGGGAGCUGUCCCAGGAGAUGGAGGAACAACCUCACUUGUAUGAGGCCGCCGCCUUCCCCACCGAUCCUGAGACCACUGAUGGUGCCGCCGAGGAUGACCACACUGAUGCCACCACUGAUGGUGCCGCCGAGGAUGCCACCACUGAUGAUGGCAGCGCCCGCACAGAUGGCAGCCAACCGAAGAGGCAACGGAAGGACCGACGCCCGAUCGUGCUCCUCACCCUCAAGGAGGAAGUUACUGAAGUGGACUCCAACGGGUAUCCAACGGCGCCCGAACGAAUAGUCAAGGGGUACUCGCUUCAGCUCGGGUGCAUUGUCCGGAGCACCGUCUCGAUCAACACCGAGAACCUGAGGCAUCCUGACCGAGGGAAUUUGUGCCACCUCCUCUUCACGAAGCUGCACGAAUGAUACAAGUUCCCCGCUGAAUUUGCAAACAGAAGCCUCAAAGGGAAUAAAGUGAACAAUGCUGCCCUCACGAAGAUGAGCAAGGCCCUGUCUACUUGGAAAAGCAAUGUGAAGAAAAUGAUCGAUAAAGGUGAGAGUUAUCAGAAGAUCAAGGAGAAAAAUCCUUCGAUCACCAAAGAUGACUACAAUGACUUCAAGAUCAAUUGCUCGAGCACCGCAAGCUCCCAAUCAAGUGAGUGGGGGAAACAAAUGCGGGAGCUGAACAUAGGGGAACACACACUCGGUCCCGACGGUUACAGAGUGGCGGAGCCUAUAUGGGACAAGGAGGAGGCGGACCGUGCCGAGCAAGGCCUACCGCCCCUCUUCGAGAAAUACAGCGGUAACAAGCAGACCAGGAACUUUGUCAGGGCCCGGUACAAGAAGGACCCGAAAACAAAGGAGCUUACCACGGAUCCGAAGACCAGGCAGCUUGAGCUUGUUCUGGUAAGGAAUACACCCCCGCGUAAUUAGCUCCAUAUGGUUGCAUUCUAAUUAAUGAAGCCAAAUUUCUAAAUGGUUCACAUUCCUUCCGCAGGCGACUGAAAGCAGUAGCGCGGGGUCGACUAAGAGCAACCCUUGGGACACCACUCUAAAUAGGGCGAUGAAUGUAAUGAAGAAGAAGGAUAAGCUCAGUAAGCCGACGUCAGCUGGUCGUGUGGCCGGCAAAGGCUUGUCGACAAAAUGGGGGUCAUACUAUACCGCUGGUGUGCGGAAGGAGAAAAAGACCAGCUCGGAAAGCCAGGCGCGAGAGGAUCAAGAACUCAAGGAACAGGUGACGCGGAUUCCGGAGAUUGUCCAAGAGCAAGUGGAACAAUGACUCGGAGCGACGAUCACCGCCAUUGUGCCUACCUUGAUCUCGGGGUUGAGUGCGUGGAUUGCGGGCGGCCAACAGGGGCCGCCCCCGAUUCCUAGCUUCACGGCCAGCAACUCGCAUAAUGCGAUGGCGGGGCCAUUGGUGCCUCCGGCGGAGGCGGCAUUGGUGUCUCCGACGCCGGCACGGGAGCUUAAUGCACCCGGGUGUACGCCGGCCGGCACCUCUGCAGCAAGCGGCCCCUCCGUCAACUGCACGCCCGCCGUUGGCGGUGCGUCGACAUUAGCCGAGCUCGACGCCAUCAACACGGUAACUAAUUAAGCCUCUCUCGGCCGAGGACUUCAUCUCCUUGCCUUUGACUAGGCAUCCCUGACGCCCUACAUGUUUUCGCAGGGCGCCGCCGACGUUCCGUGCACUCUCCUCCACUUCGUGAACAACGAGUUGGUCGAUGUCGCCAAGGGCAAAAUCGUUCAACCGGCAACCCCUUGUUCCACGGUACCCAGAUGCCACCCAACUUGUUUAGGGUUCAACUGGUUCGGGUGUUGCCAGGCUGCGACGACUUGUUACCUCUGAUUCGACCCGUUGGGGCCGACGAUGAAGACGUGAUGACCCUCAGCGCCUGCCUGAGCUGGCCCCUAGUUUGGCCGAAGAGCCAGAUUCGUUUGGGGGCGGGGGACACCACCCCAAAGACAACACCGCCAGUCGUGCUGGUGCCAAGUCGGCCCCAUGGCAAGACCGCCGUAACGGUGCCGGACAUCCCUAUGCCACUGGAUCCAAACAUGCAUAUGGCACAGGAUCAGAAUGACGACGACAACGACGAUGAUACAUUUGGCAACGUCGAUCAGUACUUUGCCGAUCAUGGGUACGAUGGCGACUUCAUGGGGCCUCCUUCUCAAGAACCAAACCCAACAAAAGACGUGUGCGAUCUAGCUGGUACCGCAGAGAAGCCAAGUUGCAACAGGCGCCGUCUGGCGUUCAGCUCUCAGGAGACGCCUCCAGCUGCCGACUUCACCGAUCCUCAGAUAGGCGAGGUGCGAAAUAUUAUCAGCCCCAACACACUCAAGAAGGCGGUCUGUGAGCAGAACUCGGUCCCAUUACAGGAGAAGAAGAAGGCACGCAAAAGAAAGACUAAGAAGGGUGCGAGCCAGCCGGCACCGAGUACGAUCCGUGCUCAGGACGGGCCACCUUCACCGCAGGAUAUCUCGAGGAGGGUGCAUGUGGCGGGUAGGGCGAUGCUACCGACAAAUAUGCUCAAUGCUGCAACCGGUGCUAUGCGGAGUCUGCAUGACAGUGUUCUUGCUUUGGAGAAGCGGCGUCUCAGAGAGAAGGAUGUGGCAUACCCGGUUUUCGCGGCCAAGGUGCCAAAGGGCAAGGGCUUUGUGGAUAACUCCAUCGGGCGUACGAUCGUCCUGCGUUUUGAUGACAUCCACGCUAUGUUGAACCUUCAUCCGCUGCACUACACCUUCGUUCGGCUAUUUUCGCUGAGUAUGGAGAUGCGGAUCAUUCGCGACAAGACCCCGGACAUCGUGAUAGUCGACCCCUUCUACAUGCGUGCCAAGAUCUUGGGCAGCGCUGGGGACCGGCAAGUCGCGAGUUCUUACCUCGAAGGCAUCAUUCUGGCAAACCAAGAUAAGGAUAACUUCCUCGUGCCUUACUUUCCCGAGUAAGUCCUCCCCUCAACCGGCCCGUAACAUAUGAAUUCUUACAUUUCGAUCGUUUUUCUUUUAACAUUCCGUGUUUUUUGCAGUGACACACGUUGCACGCUCAUCCUCCUAAGCCCCAAAUAUUCCAUGGCCACAUAUUUCGACCCGGACUGUUAGUCGAACGUAGACUACACAAAUGUCAAGAAGGUUCUUGAUGAUGUUCUCCCCGGCUAUGCCAAAUCUGGAGGCACCUUCACCAGGCCUAAUCGUAAGUACGGCAAGCAUGUUUUCUCCCACAAUACGAUGUUCUACUGCGUCAAGCAGCCGCCUGGUGGUCAGAAGGGUGCCUACUACGCCAUCCAUCACAUGCGGGCGAUCGUACGGGACCAUCAUCAACUUCUGCUACCGAGUAAACUCAAAGAUUGGGCAAAGAGCGUGUCGGCAAUCGAGGACGCGGACCUCCGACAAGAAUUCUUUCGCAUCCAGUCGGAGUUUGCGGAAAUCAUCCAUCAAGAUGUCCUUCGUACCUCGGGGCAGUUCUACCUCAACAAUCAACCGUCCAAUAGUGACAUCGACAUAAUGCUACAAAUGCAGGCUGACAACGACCGUUAUUUCAUGACUCCCACGAUAGACGGCGGCUUCAUCCACGCUCCGGUCCCUUGAGUCGAGUCGAAAGCAGUGAUGCUGUGUCUAGUUCUGAAACAUCGAUUGGCUCAUGUUGUAAUUAAACUUUAAUGAACUUGUAGUAUGUCUCUUUGGUUUCGAGAGUCGUUCAACUUAGAUGUAAUCGAUGCUAUUAAUGUCUUGCUUUUCUCUUCCGAUUGUUCUGUUGCAUACUUAUAUAUUGCUUAUGUAUUGUCUGUGAAUUGGUACUAACGUUUCGUUUGGCUAGUGCAUAGCGAUGCCGACGUAUGUCGUGUACAAGGGUAAGGUUCCCGUAGUCUACGAUGACUGGGAGGAGUGUCGGAGACAGGUUCACCGAUUCAGCGGUAACAGUUACAAAGGGUACACCACUAGGGCCGAGGCCGAAUCUAGAUACGCCCGCUAUCUAGCGGGAGAGGGGAGGGAGCGUUGGAGGAACCGGAUGAAGACGAGUUUCAUCGUGAUGAUGCUCAUCGUGAUGACCGCAGCUCUCUUCUAUGUGAUGGUAGUUUAGAUGAUCGAUAUCGACUUGUAAUGUGAAGACAAACUCGCUACUCGCGGUCUCGAGACUUGUAAUAUAAUGUUCUAUCUUUGUUCGGUCUUUUUAAUUCGGAGACUAAUAUGAUGAAUUGUAUUCGGAGACUAAUAUGAUGAAUUGUAUUCAAAGACUAAUCUUCUAUUGUAUUCGAUGAAUCUGUUGUUGAUGUGUGCUGUCUAUAUUUUGUCAAAUUAUACAUUUUGUAACCUGUGCAAAAAACAGAAAAUAAAAAAUAAAAAAAACCUAAUAUUCAUACUAAUGACGCAUCACAUGAUAGUGCGCCAUUAGUAUGACAGUGCAUACUAAUGGCGCAUCACUGGGCAGUGCGCCAUUAGUAUGCCGCGGUUACUAAUGGCGCAUCCAGCGGUGGUGCGCCAUUAGUAUGCCAAAGCACCUGGGUAUACAUGGCCCCUGGGAGGCAUACUAAUGGCGCACCCUUGCCUAUACUAAUGGCGCACGCGCGGUGCGCCAUUAGUAUACCAGAUACUAAUGGCGCACCAGGUGGUGCGCCAUUAGUAAAAAUUACUAAUGGCGUGCUAUUAAUGGCGCACCACAGAUGCGCCAUUAAUGGCCAUUUUAGGUGCGCCAUUAGUAGGGGUUUUUCUAGUAGUGUAAUAAGCGAGAUGACGCAGUUCCUGACCGCCCCGCUACCACUACUGGUUCCAGCGUGGCGUUUGAAUUAUGCCGCGCUAGAUGCCUUUUGUCCAGCGAGGAACAAGUGGGGUCAAGCGUGCUUUGGCAAUUCCCGCCGUCAGAAGACUUCCUUGUAGUCCGGUGUAGAGGUGAGGUUGUAGGGAGAUGCAUCGACUAGGAAGGAGUGGCCACAUGAACGAGCAUAUGUAUGAUGUGAUUAAGUCUCUCGAUCGGGUAUCUGGUGCCUUACGUACGGUGUCUUAUUUUUGUCAAGCUAUGACAUCUUUCAGUUUGAGUGUCUGAUAUUAGGGUUGCAUACGUUUUGUUAUUCAGUUGCCUGUUGUCAACUCUAUGGUUAUAUCACCUCGAUGUGUGAGUCAAUGUGUUUGAACCAAUGUAGAGUUUCAUGUGAAUGUUACAAGUGUGAUUGAUAUCUUCAUGUUAUAACCGCAGUUGCCUUGGUAAGAAAUUGAAAGAGCAAACCGUUAUCGUGUUAGGAAAAAAGUCAUCGCUCAAUAUAAGUUGCUUCUCUAGAACAACCACACCUUUCCCUCAAAAAAAAGAACAACCACACCUUGUGAAAGAAGAUGGCAAACACCCAAUUAUGUCUGGUUAGAUAUGGGCAUGGCUAUGGGUAGCUUAUAGCGACACGGAAGCUAGCAUCGCCUGAAGAAACACCCGGAUGGGCCGGCCUAGAGACAAAUUUCUUCAUUUCUACCCUUAGUUUUGUUUUUCUGCCCUUUUUUCUUUAUAUUUUAUAUUUUUCCCGACAUGUUCACUACUUGAUGCUCAACUGGGAUCUCAUCUGAUGCGGAGCAUCCUAUGGACAUCACCAUGUCAAGAGUCCGUUCGGCAAGUGACACGUGUGACAUCUACUUCUCAUACAUAAAGGUGAAUCUUCUCCUUUACACGUGUUUACUUGACCCCUUCGAGGAUGGUAUACUACUUGACACUUCUCCCGUGUGCAUGCAUAGGUAUUGUCGGAGCUUCAUGGAUGUCGAGGAGGAGUGCAAGCGCCAAGGAAUGACUACACCGUCCGCGAGGGAAGCAUGGAAGAGAAGGAGGAAGAGAACCUGGCUACUCCAGAACGAGCGGUACUACUGCCCACUCCAAGCGGUACUACCGCCGAGGCCACCCAAGCGGCACUACCGCCCAGCAUCCGCCCUUCUACUGCUCAACCCGACAAACUCCAGUGAUCGAGCGGUGUAAGUCCGGUACUACUGCCCCUCCAAGCGGUACUACCGCUCAAGCGGUACUACCACCCAUGAGUCCGGUACUACCGCCCUGCCUCUGCCCAGCCGUGGGCCUUUGGCCUUGUAUCCCUCUCCCACUUACCCCUUCGUGGCUUAGACUAUAAAUAGGCCACCUCCACCUCCUUUCUAGGGUUAGCACAGAUUUAGCUCAUUUUGAGAUAGAGCUUUGCUCAUCCAUACGGAUCUACUCCUCGUGAGAGACCGCGACCUCUUCGGAGAAGAUCCAUCUUGGAUUCAAGACCCCCUCGUGGGAAGAUCCGUCUAGGAUACCAACAAGACCUCCUCUUGGAGAUGAACCUUACCUUGUAUCUUUCCCUUUGUUGUUCAUGUACCCUUGUGGAUCUUGUGUGUUUGAUUGUCUAGUGGAUGUGUGAUUGGACUUGUACUUGAGUGUUUCCCCUUGUGAUUUCUCUCCGUUCUUCCACGUGUUCUUCAUAGGGAUCCGCUCCAAACGUGAAAGAUCGGCCUCUAGGGUUCUAGCCUACAUCAUCUUGGAUCAGAGCAAGGUUGAUCACGGAUUUGGAGCCCCUACCCCUCUUUUUCUAGCCUUCUUUUGCUUGCUUUCGUCCUAAAAUCCCCACAAAAAAUAGCCCCAAUUUUUUUGUGAUUUGUUCGUUUGAUGAUUUUUUGUUGAUUUUGAUCCAUGGAUUUGCUUGGUUUUGAGUGGAUCUAGCAUCUCUCCAAGUUUCCCCACCUUCCAUCCACGAAAUCCAUCCAAUUUUGCCCCUGAAAUCAUCCUUUUCCGCCCCAAAUUCGCCCCGAUUUCGAUCUGUGAAUUUUCCCGACACGAGCGGUACUACCGCCCUCGAAGCGGUACUACCGCCCUCGAAGCGGUACUACCGCUGAGCACCACAAGCGGUACUACCACCCUCCCAAGCUAUGACGCCCGGAUAAUUAAGCUACAGUAAUCCCCUUCUAAUGGUGCCAUGUCAUCACAUUACUGUUGCUAAUCCUCGCUUGAUCCAAAUCUUAGUUCAAACUCAAAUUCAAAUUAAAGACCAAAAUUCAAAUUUCUCAAGCAUGCAAAAUAAAAUGUUCAAAGUGUGGCAAAUAAUCGCUGGAUAUUUGUCAUGUUGCAAACAACCUCUUUUGAAUUCUCAAAAUGCCCCUGGGAAUUAAUUUUUGGUCCAGUAGUAAAUUAAAUGGCAUUUGCAAAAUAAAGAAUUGUUUAUUUAACUCCAAUUGCCUCCAAACUUUAUGUGCCACUCCAAAAUAUUUGUGGCUCUGUCUAAGAUCGCCAAGGAAUUAAAAGGGCACUUCCCAUAUUUUCCCUAAGUAAAUAGUGUGCCCAAAAUAUUCUCUUAACCAUCUCUAUUUUUUUAAAUAAAAAAAGGCGAAGAAGAACUCCCCCGGGCCUCGGGCCACUCCCACUUACCAGCCCACCUAAGCCGGCCCACUCCCCCGCUCCCCUAGCCUAUAGGCCACGGCCGACCGAACCCUAACCCCGCAUGAUCCCCCCACUCCCCACUCCUCUCCCCUCUCGAUCCGAUCUGGAUCGGACCGAAACCGGCGCAAUUGGUCGAUCCAUGUAUAAAGUAAAAAUAACUAGGCCCAAUUGGUCGAUCCAUGACAGUUUUCGUGACGGUACUUCCACGUCUGUCAUGAGGGGGCUACCCUACUUGGCCCCAAAUGGAUCUUGCUAAUUGGUGACGGUUUCCGUGAUAGAUUUCUGGAACGUCACCAGAAAUCCGUCAUUGAUUAACAGAUUUCCGCACAAUCCCCCCACUCCCCACUCCUCUUCCCUCCUGAUCCGAUCUGGAUCGGACCGAAAUCGGCGCCGCGACGCCAACCGCCGUCGCUGGAGGCGUCCCCGACUCCACGCCGGGCCGCCCCGUCACUGGACCUCCUCCCCGUCGCCACUCGUCACUCGCUGGACCGCCUCGUCCCCACCAAUGCCGCCCCCACCCCAACGUCCCCGACGCCUUCGCCGUCGGCACCGCCCCAAUGUCGCCGCCACCCGACGCCGGCGCCCUCGACAUCGCCACCCCGAGCCCACUGCCACCCCUACGCUCCGCUAUGAGCCCCUCGCUGAUUCCCCCUCCUUCCCGUCGUCGUAGGUGGCUGCGCGCGUCGUUGGCCAUCGUGGCCGCGCUCCGGCCGUUCCCCAUCCGUGCGCUGGCCUCGCCUUCCUCGGAUUGCAAACAUUGAACUUUUCCCCUCGGGUUCAUCUAUCUGACAGACGUUCGGGACCAGAAAAACUUUCCCGGAUGUUUCCCCCUUCGCCAGUAUCACCUAGCACCGCGUUAGAACACUUCUAGCCCCGCUUAUUGUCUUGUUAUGCAUAUGUUUGCGUGUAUUUACUGUUUCUUCCCCCUCUUCUUCUCCGGUAGACCUCGAGACCGUUGCUGAUGCCCCUGUGGUCGACUACGUCGACGGCGACCCUCCUUGUCUGAGCAACGAGGCAAGCCCCCCCUUUGAUCAUCCCGAUAUCGCCCAUUCCAUUCUCUAAUGCUUGCACUAGAUUUUCUACUGUAUUUGAUUGCUCCUAUUCUGAUGCAUAGCAUGCUUUUCUACCUGCUGUUGUACCUUACCUGCUUAUCCUAAACUGCUUAGUAUAGGUUGGCUAGUGAUCCAUCAGUGACCCCCACCUUGUCUUUGUUGCCCCUGCUUCAUCAUUGACGACUCGAUCAACGUGAUCGACGACCGGAGCCUGACACCUCACAUCACAUCACGCCCCUUUUUGUUGCUCGACUCUGCAGAGUUACCAUCGAGUGCCGAGGGUGGAACCUCAUACAUCACUCCUUAUGAGAUCUCUGUAGUGUAGCUAUUCGGUCGUGGUCAUCGAGGGUGGUUCCUCCUUCACCAUUCCUAAUACGGCUCUGUCGUGCAACACCUCAAGUGUGAACCUCGAGGGUGGUUCCUCUUACGUUCACCUUGAUGAUUACAUCGAGUGGAAUCCACCGGGGGUGAUUCCUCGGAUUUUCCCCUUUAUGUCUGGACACACAGUUACCUUGACUUCACUUGAGACCGUUUUGAAAGCCGGGCAGGCCCGGAGAGCACCCGUGCGGUGUGACGGUGGCGGCUGGCUGUUUAGCGGUAUCACCCGGGAGGGGGUGAUAGCUCCGGACUUGUCCCGACAGCCGUCACUUCUUUUAAUAAUGCACUAACAGGUUUGGGUAUUUUUUCUAAGUUCACUAACCACGACGCUAGAAUAGUUAUGGGUCUCGAUGUUGCAGUAUCAGCCGAAGCUUUCUCAGACGUCCAGUUCAGCAUUGUGGCCGGGCCGAAUCAUGCCAUCCACUUCACGGGUGGUGCUGGUAUCCCCUUGCGCACAACGACCCAGAGUGCAACGGGCGAUGGGCCCAGACCCCGGAGUGCUUAGGAUGUAGACCGGCAGGGACCUCUCUGCUGAGCCUAGGUAGGGCAGCUACGUGUUGAUCUUCCGAGGCCGGGCAUUGACCCCAGAAAGGUGUGUCCUUCCAGAGUGAUCGAGCGUGUUGGGUAACGUGGUGCCCCCCUGCAGGGAAGAUUAUCUAUUAAUAGCCGUGUCCACGGUAACGGACGUUCAAACUUAUAUCUUGAUCUUAUACAACUACAAAUGGAUACUUGAGAUAUGUGGCUCCGGGAUUGCUUUCUCGCAGGGAGUCGAGGAAGGAUCUCUGGGCGUUGUUGUCACAACAUGCUUGUUAAUUAAACUGCUAUUCUUUACUCUUCUACAUGCUGCAAGAUGCUUGGAGCUACUUGAAGAUGCUAGUCUUCAUGAGGCUAGGCCUUCCCCUCUAUUCUGGCAUUCUGCAGUUCAGUCCACAGAUACAACCCUUCCAUUUGAUACCAAUGCAUACUUAGUAUAGAUCUGAUGCUUGCGAGUACUUUGGAUGAGUACUCACGGUUGCUUUGCUACCCCAUUUCCCCCUUCUUUCUUCUUUCCGGUUGACGCAACCAAAUGGUGGAUCCCUGGAGCCAGAUGCCAGCGCUGAUAGAUGCUACUAUGUGAAGAUCGCCGACGACCAGGAGUAGUUAGGAGGUCCCAAGCAGGAGGCCUUGCCUCUUCGAUCAUUGUUGCUUUUGUGCUAGCCUUCUUAAGGCAUCUUUGUUUAACUUAUGUCUGUACUCAGAUAUUGUUGCUUCCGCUGACUCUUGUGUAUCGAGCUAUGUAUUCAAGCCCUCGAGGCCCCUGGCUUGUAAUAUAAAGCUUGUAUUAUUUUGAUUUGUGUCUAUAGUUGUGUUGUGAUAUCUUCCCGUGAGUCCCUGAUCUUGAUCAUACACAUUUGCGUGCAUGAUUAGUGUACGAUUGAAUCGGGGACGUCACAAGUUGGUAUCAGAGCCGACUGUUUGUAGGAUCCCCCUUUCCAACUCCUUGGCUGAAGUUGAGUCUAGUCUUUGAAAAAAAUUGUUUUACUAACAUGGUUGUGUGGCUUACGGGCCCAUGUCGCCAUUGGGUGGUAUUAGGAUCUUUUACUCCUCGACCUUUACUCUGGGACUCUAAUCGCUCUUCUAUUCGGGUUAAAUGGUCUCGCAAACUAUAACUCUAGGUUCUCGUAAAUACUUUCUCCCGGAGAGCCCCUUCAUUCCAGAUGAUGGCCUGCUUCACCAGAUGAUUUCGAAGAUACCCUUCUGUAAUUUCCUGAGACUUUUGUACUCAUUGCUUUUGCAGUUCCCUACCUCUGAUAUAUCCUUACGGAUAACUUCAUACACUUGUCAUUCAUACAAUCAUUCCUAGUUGCUCUUGUUUUUACAAGAUACAUUGAAUUAUUCUCCGACUUUUAAGAAUCCCUUGCUUACUGCCCUGCAGUUCCUUGCCGCAUGAAUACCCCUACGGAUAAUUACUCGCACUUGCCGAGUAUCCGUUCGUCCAUAGUUGUUCAUGUGUUUCACAACAUUCUUUGGAAAGCUAUUUGAUCUUUUCAAAAAUCCUCAGUAGCCUAUUACUCUUGUUCCUCCUUACCUACUUACAGUAUGGUUACUUCCAUUUGUCUAGCAAUAUUCUUUAAAAUCCUUUGCGAUUGACAUCCUUACCCUAUUGUUUCAACAUGUGUGUGAAUGCACGCAAUCAUCAAUUGUUCCCUGGAAUUGUCCUUCUGGCUCAGACGUUACCCCGGACACGAGCUGGUGUUCGACAAAACAAACCUUGAUUGAUUUUGAAUCUAUGUCUAUACAACUUAAUUGUCUUUGAUCAGAGCCUCUGCUUUUGAUCCCCCAUUUUGAAAAUCAUAAUCCCCUUUGCAUUCGAGCAUAGAAUUAGUCAGUUGUUUCUAUAACCUGACCUCCUUGAAUUCUUUCUUCUUCUGGUUGAGUAUCGAUACUCACAUCAGAUCCAUUGUGGACCUCCAGGUCCUUUGUUGGUUUUUAUCCGACAGCAUCCUUCAUAUUCAGUAACCUUGUGAGCCUUUCCUCGAAUACACAAUGCCUUUGGUAAAUUGUAUCCCCCACUCUCGUCAACCAUACUCUGCUUCCGGGCUUGAGUUAUUUACUCGUGAAGUUUGUGGUAUAUGUUCCUAAUAUGUCCCUAUGGGUUGAAUCUAUGUCUUCCCUAAAUCUGUGUGAACCCUACGACUCAUACUCUACUGGUGUUAUGCCAGAUAAAAUCUCAACAGUACGGCUUCGUUGAAAAUGAGAAGUGAAUGAAAGGUUAUGCAUCGAAGAAGUGGGAGUCGACCUUGAGCCUUGUGUUCAUGCCCAUGGACACGAUGUGGAACUUAACAUGGAAGCUUCUUUUUAUAAUAAUAGCCCCCUAGCGAUAAGUACAUCUUGUAUCCAUGUGUGGUCCAUUGCAAUCGUGGUUCCGACCAUAUUGUUCUUGUUUGAUCCAUUUAUCGGACAAGUUAAAGUACUUGUCUUCUUCAAAUUGUUUCACAUGUUCAACCUCUACAUUGAUAUACCUUCGAGCAUUAUCCUCUGGUAUCUCGAGAAUAUCACGGAACUACAUAACUUCUUAUGAGUUCUUGAUCAACUAUUAUUUCUCACUGAUUCAAAUUUUUCACUAGUUGGGAGUUGUUAGACACUCGAGAAUACAGUUAACUGAUUCAAGUCUACGCUUUCCUUUCCAUUGUUCUGUUUAAUCUUUCUGGUAACCUAUCUUAUCUGAGAACUGAUAAUUCCCUGCUUAUGUAAACACCUCGGUGUACAAGCUCUGUCUGUAAGACCUUGUUACUAUUGUUGAGGACAUUCCGAUAGCUACCGAUGGACGAGAACUUUGCCUAUUGGUCCGCCUCAUCUUAACGAGCAGGAAAAUGGUUCUCUUUGUCCCUCUCCCUUGGUACCAACGUUGUUGCCAACAUAACUGACAAGUUGUCCUCUGACCUGCCUUGCUAUCAUGACCAUGCAAAAUGCUAGCGCCCUUCCUGCUUUUAACCCACAAGGUGGGCCUGAGGGAGUCCUGGACUAGGCGGUGUCCGGACAGCCGGACUAUCAUCGUCCGCCGGACUCCAAGACUACGAAGAUACAAGAUUGAAGACUCCGUCCCGUGUCUGGAUGGGACUUUCCUUGGCGUGGAAGGCAAGCUUGGAAAUACGGAUAUGUAGAUCUCCUACCAUUGUAACCGACUCUGUGUAACCCUAGCCUCCUCCGGUGUCUAUAUAAACCGGAGGGCUUUAGUCCGUAGGACACAACAUACAUUACAACAAUCAUACCAUAGGCUAGCUUUAGGGUUUAGCCUCCUUGAUCUCGUGGUAGAUCCACUCUUGUACUACCCAUAUCAUCAAUAUUAAUCAAGCAGGAUGUAGGGUUUUACCUCCAUCGAGAGGGCCCGAACCUGGGUAAAACAUCGUGUCCCUCGUCUCCGGUUACCAUCCGCCUAGACGCACAGUUCGGGACCCCCUACCUGAGAUCCGCCGAUUUUGACACCGACAUUGGUGCUUUUAUUGAGAGUUCCUCUGUGUCGUCACCAAUAGGCUCGAUGGCAUCUUCAACCAACAACGCUGUCCAGGGUGAGACUUUUCUCCCCGGACAGAUCUUUGUAUUCGGCGGCUUCGCACUGCGGGCUAAUUCGUUUGGCCAUCGGAGCAGAUCGAAAGCUACGCCCCUGGCCGUCAGGUCAGAUUCGGAAGUCUCAACUUCACGGCCGACGUCCGCGGAGACUUGAUCUUCGACGGGCUCGAGCCACAGCCAAGCGCGCCGCACUGUUACGAUGGGCAUGAUCUAGCUCUGUCGCCGAACAGUGCCUUGGUGGCCGCCCACGAAUCCGCUUCGGCCUUUAGUCCGGGGCCGAUCGCCCAGACCGAGGAACGGUGGAUGGACACCGCCUCGGGGGCUUCAACUUCCACGGCGAUGGAGCCGAACACUAAUCUUGUCCCUCGCAAAACUCGUGAUUCCGAGGUGCCGGACUCCUUGCCGGACUCCGAAGCUCCCACGCCCCUACCAACCGAAUCGGAUUGGGCGCCGGUUAUGGAAUUCACCGCCGCGGACAUCUUCCAAUACUCGCCUUUUGGCGACAUCCUGAAUUCGCUAAAGCAUCUCUCGUUAUCAGGAGAGCCCUGGCCGGACUAUGGCCAGGAUGGUUGGGAUACGGACGACGAAGAAAUUCAGAGCCCACCCACCACCCACUUUGUAGCCACUGUCGACGAUCUAACCGACAUGCUAGACUACGACUCCGAAGACAUCAACGCUAUGGACGACAAUGCCAGAGACGAACAGGAACCAGCGCCUACAGGGCACUGGAAGACCACCUCGUCAUAUGACAUAUACAUGGUGGAUACCCCAAAAGACGGGGACGGCGAAGAAACAGCGGAGGCAUAUUCUUUAAAGAAACAGCCCAAGCGCCGGCAUCAGCGGCGCUGCUCUAAAUCCCGCCACGGCAAGAAUGGAGAUUCCAGCACAGGAGAUAAUAAUACCCCAGAAAGUGCCGAAGAUAACCCCCUCCAGCAAGACUCAGCGCAGGAGGAUGCAGAAGCAAGCCCUCACGAGAAGGCGGCAGACAAAGAGGUUGAGGAUUACAACUAUAUGCCUCCCUCCGAAGACGAGGCAAGCCUCAACGAUGACGAAUUCGUCGUGCCCGAGGAUCCCGUCGAACAAGAGCGUUUUAAACGCAGGCUUAUGACCACGGCAAAUAGCCUAAAGAAAAAGCAGCAGCAGCUUCAAGCUGAUCAGGACCUGCUGGCCGAUCGAUGGACCGAGGUCCUCGCGGCCGAAGAGUAUAAACUCGAAUGCCCCUCCAAAAGCUAUCCAGGACGCAAGCUGCUCCCCCGAUUAGAGGAGGAAGCAUACAUACCUCCAUCACCAGCGCACGAUACGGCUGACCGACCACCCCGUGGUCGUGACAGAGAGGCAUCCAGGCCCCCAACCAAGACCGUACCCCGGCAUCGCUCGAAAAGUAUGAAGCCAAGAGGGAACGCGCCGGACUUGCGAGAUAUAUUGGAGGACAAAGCAAGGCAAUCCAGAUCCAUCUACGGAUCACGGGGGUGCCCCACGACCCAUGACGAAUACCGUCGCGCCGGAUACAAUAACCCCGGCCGGGCCGAACACAGCAGACAACGCUCUCUCGAGUUGCAUCGUGAUAUUGCUCAAUAUAGAGGCGCCGCACACCCGCUAUGCUUCACAGACGAAGUAAUGGAUCAUCAAAUCCCUGAAGGGUUUAAACCCGUAAACAUCGAAUCCUACGAUGGCACAACAGACCCUGCGGUUUGGAUCGAAGAUUACCUUCUCCACAUCCAUAUGGCCCGCGGCGACGAUCUACAUACCAUCAAGUACCUCCCACUCAAGCUUAAAGGACCAGCUCGGCAUUGGCUCAACAGCUUGCUCGCAGAGUCAAUUGGGUGUUGGGAAGACCUAGAAGCCGCAUUCCUUGAUAACUUCCAGGGCACGUAUGUGCGACCACCAGACGCCGAUGACCUAAGUCACAUCAUUCAGCAGCCAGACGAAUCGGCCAGACAAUUCUGGACACGGUUCUUGACAAAGAAAAAUCAAAUCGUCGACUGUCCGGAUGCAGAGGCCCUUGCAGCCUUCAAACAUAACACCCGCGACGAAUGGCUAGCCCGGCACCUGGGGCGGGAAAAGCCGAAAUCCAUGGCAGCCCUCACAUCAUUAAUGACCCGCUUUUGCGUGGGAGAGGAUAGCUGGCUAGCUCGCAGCAACAAUCUCCGUAAAAAUUCUGGCAGUCCAGACACCAAGAACAAUAAUGGCAGGUCACGUCGAAACAAAAACAAACGCCGCAUCAACGGCAAUGAUAAGGAGGAUACGGCAGUCAACGCCGGAUUCCGAGGCUCUAAACCCGGUCAACGGAAGAAGCCAUUCAAAAGAACCACUCCGGGUCCGUCUAAUUUGGACCGAAUACUCGACCGCUUAUGCCAGAUACAUGGCACCCCUGAAAAGCCAGCUAAUCACACUAAUAGAGACUGCUGGGUGUUCAAGCAGGCAGGUAAGUUAAUUGCCGAAAACAAUGACAAGGGGCUAAACAGCGAGGACGAGGAGGAGACCCGACCGCCGAACAAUAGAGGACAAAAGGGUUUUCCCCCACAAGUGCGGACGGUGAACAUGAUCUACGCGACCCAUAUACCCAAUUGGGAGAGGAAGCGUGCACUAAGGGACGUCUAUGCGAUGGAGCCAGUCGCCCCGAAGUACAAUCCAUGGUCCUCUUGUCCGAUCACUUUCGAUCGAAGAGACCAUCCGACCAGCAUACGCCAUGGCGGAUUCGCCGCAUUGGUUCUAGACACAAUCGUCGAUGGAUUUCACCUCACGAGAGUCCUGAUGGACGGCGGUAGUAGCCUGAACCUGCUUUAUCAGGACACAGUGUGCAAAAUGGGCAUAGACCCCUCAAGGAUUAAACCUACAAAGACAACCUUUAACAGUGUCAUACCAGGUGUGGAAGCCAACUGUACAGGCUCAGUCACACUGGAAGUGGUCUUCGGAUCCCCGGACAAUUUCCGGAGCGAGGAGUUAAUCUUCGACAUAGUCCCGUUUCGCAGCGGCUAUCACGCUCUGCUCGGACGAAUCGCGUUCGCAAAAUUCAACGCGGUGCCGCAUUGUGCAUACCUCAAGCUCAAGAUGCCAGGCCCUCAUGGAGUCAUCACGGUCAAUGGGAAUACGGAACGCUCCCUCCGAACGGAGGAACAUACAGCGGCUCUCACGGCAGAAGUACAGAGCAGCCUUUUAAGGCAAUUCUCGAGUCCGGCCAUUAAACGGCCGGAUACAUCAAAGCGCGCCCGAAGCAAUACCAACCAAGACCACCUGGCGUGAUCAGAGCACGCGUAGCAAUGCGGCCCCAACCCCCGCCCGCGCGUGAUUGCAAGAAUAACCCUCCGCGUACAUCAUUACGCUUUGGAGAUACCAUGGGCGCAGGGGAAGGGGCACGAUCACAACGGACCCAGAGUGCAGUUCGACCGCACCAGGGGCUCGCAAGUGUGCCCCCUUUUUUUUAUUGUUAUUUUCCCUCUUUGUGUACACAGGACUCCGUUAGCCAGAGGCCCUAUCCGGCGGUGAACCUGCCGAACUCAUGAUGCAAUAACCAGGGAAGAAAGAACGCUGCGACGAACACUCAGGUGGUCUCAAUUACAAGCAUUAAAUUCGAUUAUAUACACCAAGUCCGCAGCUUACCCUUGGAGGGGGACAUGUUUAAUUAGUCCAAAUCCCUUGCUUACCACACUAUUUGUAUCAGUCCGCACUCAUAGCAGACUUUCUUUCAUAAAUAAUGCAGCACCUUUUUGACUGCAAUUACAUUACCUUUUAUAUAUAUAUGCUCAUUACAUGACAUCUUGCACCCGUAUAUUUUGGUACGGCCUAAUACACCAGGGGCUUAUGUUCCCCACAUUAUGGUGUGAUAAGUCCGAACACUUUCGUAAGUGCAGCACCCCGAACUUAUAGCACUAUAUGAAUCGGCUCCGAAUCAUGUCUUGGGUCAAUAGUUGGGUUUGCCCGGCUCCCACGUUUUGGUGCCUUACGUUCCGUUCUGUCGGCUAAGGUGGCACUGGGAGAACCACUGCGAUUGCGCCCCGGUUGAGCCGGGCGAGCACCUCAGUGGAGAAAGCUAAAACUGACCGGCAUGAUAAGGCGAGAGACUGGUCGCUGUUCGAGAGGUUUUUUCGGGUCCUUAAAGACUCACGCCACUUCGAGCGAAGUUCCGGACCAUGUCUGACGAAGGCGUGGAUAGCGCCCCGGAUUCGGCCUUUCGGAUACCAGGGGCUUCGCCGAAAUUUAAAAUUAUAGAAUUCUAUGGCUAAGUGAGAGUGUUCAAGCAUUAUAAGUCCGGUCGCCUUGUUCGUUGUGUUGAGCACCUCCCUAGAUGGACCCAAAAAUGGGAAUAAGAGUGCUCAAGUUUAUCCCGAACACCCCAGCACUCGUGGCUCGGGGGCUGAAGCCAAUGACUUUCCAUCUCUCAGAUUUUAUAAACGGCCGCACAGAAGGUAAUAUUUUAAAUUAAAACAAGCGUUGCUCAUGGCGCAUCUGAACGAAGUUUUCAGCGCACAGGAUAAUACAUAGCGAGUUCACUCAAAGAUUACAUUUCUAGGGCACUCAUCCGCAAUAUCGCGGGCUCCCUUCAGGACAGUUUUAUAAUACAUUUCAGGCGUGCGAUACUCCUUGCCCGGCGGCGGUGGGUCUGUGAGAAGCUUCUCCGCAUCCAACCUGCCCCAAUGCACCUUUGUGCGGGCAAGGGCCCGACGAGCACCUUCAAUACAGGCGGAGCGCUUGAUGACCUCCACCCAGGGGCAUGCAUCCACCAGCCGCCGCACGAGGCCGAAGUAGCUACCAAGCAUGACCUGUUCAGGCCACAGCCGGACUAUAAGGCCCUUCAUGGCCUCUUCAGCUACCUUGUGGAGUUCGACCAGCUGCUUCAGCUGGUCGCUUGGGGGCACCGGAUGGCCUGCCUCAGCGUACUAAGACCAGAAGACCUUCUCCGUUGAGCUCCCCUCCUCGCCACGAUAGAAUGCGGCGGCAUCGGAGGCACUACACGGCAGAUCUGCAAACACCCCUGGAGAGCUCCGAAUGCGGGUAAUUGUCAGGUAGUUUACAUUAACAUGCUUGCUUUGCAUGAAAAAUGCCUUACCCGCCGCUAUCUUCUUUACAUCUUCAACCUCCUGAAGGGCCUUACGGGCCUCGGCCUUGGCGGACUUGGCACUUUCGAGAGCCGAGGCAAGCUCGGACUCUCGAGUCUUGGAGCCUCCUGCUUUUCUCGCUCCGCCCGUUCCGCGACCGCACUGCGUUCAGCCGCGGACACAGCCUCCUUCAGGGCUGCCACCUCGUUCGUGGCCCCUGCAAUACCCAUAUUAUCCUUGUUAAUUUUAUUGCAACCAAAAUCCUUUUCCGUAAGGUGACUAUUCAAAGCGGUGUUACUCACCUUCUUUGUCCUCGAGCUGCUUCUUGGCAGUGCCGAGCUCUUGCUCGGACCGCUCGAGAUCCUGCUUCAACACAUCGACCUCCGCCGUCAGUGCGGCAGAGGUCAGUAGCGCAGCCUGCAAACCCAUAUUGACAUAUUUUAAGCAACCCUGCGUAUAUCUUGUUAGAUCCUCAGUCCGGCUUUUCUUUCCGAACACCGAACUGAGCAUCAAGGGCUACUGUCUAUGCGGUAUUACAUUACAUAAUUUUAACUUCUUACCUCAAAGCCUGUUAGAAGGCUGCUGCAGGCUUCGGUCAGCCCGCUCUUGGCGAGCUAAACCUUUUGAAUCACCGCACUCAUGUUAGUGCGAUGUUUUUCCUCGAUGGAAGCGCCUUCAAGCGCCUCCAACAAGUUAUCCGGCGCCUCCGGUUGGACGGAGGUCGCCGGUGUCAAGGUCUUGCCCUUCUUUCGAAGGGGCCGCCCGCCGGACUCUAGAACCACUGCGGGUUCCGAUGUAGAGUCCGGCACAAAGUCUGGGAGGCAGCCUGACGACGCCUCCGGAGCCUCCUCCUGAUGGGUCCCUCUCUGGGAUCCCACCUCGGCGUCCCCGUCGGCGCGGGGGGUAGAGGCGGUCGGAAGUGAAUCCACAUCUAACGGGGCCAACGACCCGCUCGAUGAAGCGGGGAGAUCAUCAUCGGCCGGACUACGGACAGAACGCGGCAUUAGAAGGACACUACGCGACACGAAAGAAAUUGCAUAUCAUGGAUCCGGAUACUUACGAUCUUGUCGGACGCCUGGCCCUUGGAGGCCACUCAUCCUCGCCAACGGUGGUGUUGGCGAAACUGUCCGGGGGGAUAGUCCUCCCCCUCUUGGACCCUUCGGCCUCCCCUAUUGGGAAAGCCUUCCACUUCUUCUCUCCCUCCUCCGAGAGAGAGUCCUCUUCCUCCUCCUCGUCUUUGGGGGAGGAGUCCGCCUCGUCGUCGGACGCCUAAUUGCGGGAACUCUUUCGAGUCCCCGCGGCCACCUUCUUGGCCUUCUUCUCCGGCACCACGUGCGGUGCCGGAACCAGCAGCCCUGCUAAACGGGCGUUCUCUGGGUCUUCAGGCAUGGGAGCCGGGCUGAUGAGCUGCUUGGCCUUCUCCAUCCAUUCCUAUCAAAGGAAAAGAGAGAUUGAAACCCUCUUAGAAUCAGUUUAAUUACCACAAGUGUCCCGUAACGUGGUUGAAUCACUUACCUCGUCAGCCGGAUGCUGCGAGCGAAAUCCGUGAUCUUCCGUCGCGGAUGCGGGGGCUUCGGCGCCCUUAAACAGCACCCUCCAGGCGCCUUCGUAUGUCGUAUCGAAGAGCCCGCUCAGCGCCUGGUGCUGUUCCGGAUUGAACUCCCACAGAUUGAAUACCCGUUCUUGGCAUGGGAGAAUCCGGCGGAUGAGCAUGACUUGGACCACGUCGACGAGCCUGAGCUUAUUGCUCACCAGCUUCUGGAUGCAGGCUCGGAGUCCCGUCACCUCCUUCGGAUUUCCCCACAGCAAGCCCUUCUCUUUCCAGGAGGUGAACUGCGUGGGGACGCCAGAUCUAAACUCGGGGGCCGCCGCCCAUGUGGGCUUGCGCAGCUCGGUGAUGUAGAACCAACCCGAUUGCCACCCCUUGACGGAGUCCACGAAGGCCCCUUCGAGCCAAAGGACGUUGGGCAACUUACCCAACAUGGCGCCUCCGCAUUCCGCUUGCGUGCCCUUCACAACCUUCGGCCUCCCCUAUUGGGGAAGCCUUCCUCUUCUUCUCUCCCUCCUCCGGGAGAGAGUCCUCUUCCUCCUCCUCGUCUUCGGGGGAGGAGUCCGCCUCGUCGUCAGACGCCUGAUUGCGGGAACUCUUUCGAGUCCCCGCGGCCACCUUCUUGGACUUCUUCUCCGGCACCACGUGCGGUGCCGGAACCAGCAGCCCUGCUAAACGGGCGUUCUCUGGGUCUUCAGGCAUGGGAGCCGGGCUGAUGAGCUGCUUGGCCUUCUCCAUCCAUUCCUGUCAAAGGAAAAGAGAGAUUGAAACCCUCUUAGAAUCAGUUUAAUUACCACAAGUGUCCCAUAACGGGGUUGAAUCACUUACCUCGUCAACCGGAUGCUGCGAGCGAAAUCCGUGAUCUUCCGUCGCGGAUGCGGGUGCUUCGGCGCCCUUAAACAGCACCCUCCAGGCGCCUUCGUAUGUCGUAUCGAAGAGCCCGCUCAGCGCCUGGUGCUGUUCCGGAUUGAACUCCCACAGAUUGAAUGCCCGUUCUUGGCAUGGGAGAAUCCGGCGGAUGAGCAUGACUUGGACCACGUCGACGAGCCUGAGCUUAUUGCUCACCAGCUUCUGGAUGCAGGCUCGGAGUCCCGUCACCUCCUUCGGAUUGCCCCACAGCAAGCCCUUCUCUUUCCAGGAGGUGAACUGCGUGGGGACGCCAGAUCUAAACUCGGGGGCCGCCGCCCAUGUGGGCUUGCGCAGCUCGGUGAUGUAGAACCAACCCGAUUGCCACCCCUUGACGGAGUCCACGAAGGCCCCUUCGAGCCAAAGGACGUUGGGCAACUUACCCAACAUGGCGCCUCCGCAUUCCGCUUGCGUGCCCUUCACAACCUUCGGCUUGACGUUGAAGGUCUUGAGCCACAGGCCGAAGUGGGGCCGGAUGCAGAGGAAGGCCUUGCACACGACGAUAAACGCCGAGAUGUUGAGGAUGAAGUUCGGCGCCAGAUCGUGGAAAUCCAGGCCGUAGUAAAACAUGAUCCCCCGGACGAAUGGGUGGAGUGGAAAGCCCAGUCCGCGGAGGAAGUGGGGAAGGAAGACGACCCUCUCAUGGGGCCCAGGGGUAGGGAUGAGCUGCCCCUCGUCGGGCAGCCGAUGCGCGAUAUCGCCGGAAAGGUAUCCGGCGCUGCGAAGCUUGGUGAUAUGCUCCUCCUUAACGGUGGAGUCCAACCAUUUGCCUCCCGCUCCGGACAUAUUCGGAGAAGGUCGGGGCGAGAUGCGCGAGCUUGGGCGUUGGAGCUUGAGUGCACGGAGAUGGAUAAGCAAAGGAGGAAGAAGGCGUAGGUGAGAAGGUAAAUCCUUAUCCCUUAUAUAUAGGCGGACGAAAACUAUGCGUCCCCACCGGCCUGAUAAAACUCGCUUAUCUCCCAAGCGCCACCAUCAAUGGCGCGGUUGGGUUACCCACGUCCGUAUUGAUGGGAAUCCCGGAAUAAGGGGAACACAAUCUCUGCUUCGACAAGACGUGCCAAGGAAACCGCUUCGCUAAACGUGCUGAGGUGGUAUAGUAAAAAACGAUUCAAACAAAGGCUUGGUAGCGGUGUGAUGUCACGCCGCAUAAUACGUCAGCAGAUUGGACUGGUGUACAUUUUAUUCUCUCUACGGUGGAAUGUGGAAUUUAUUUUGCAGAGCCGGACACUAUCCUGGUGUUCAUGAUCUUCUCUGGAUUAUUCAAGGGAGGAACCCGCCUUGCAAUGCCGAACAUUAUGCGCGCCGGACUUAUCGUCAUUGAAGCCUGGUUCAGGGGCUACUGAGGGAGUCCUGGACUAGGGGGUGUCCGGACAGCCGGACUAUCAUCGUCCGCCGGACUCCAAGACUACGAAGAUACAAGAUUGAAGACUCCGUCCCGUGUCCAGAUGAGAUUUUCCUUGGCGUGGAAGGCAAGCUUGGCAAUACGGAUAUGUAGAUCUCCUACCAUUGUAACCGACUCUGUGUAACCCUAGCCUCCUCCGGUGUCUAUAUAAACCGGAGGGCUUUAGUCCGUAGGACACAACAUACAUUACAACAAUCAUACCAUAGGCUAGCUUUAGGGUUUAGCCUCCUUGAUCUCGUGGUAGAUCCACUCUUGUACUACCCAUAUCAUCAAUAUUAAUCAAGCAGGACGUAGGGUUUUACCUCCAUCGAGAGGGCCCGAACCUAGGUAAAACAUCGUGUCCCUCGUCUCCUGUUACCAUCCGCCUAGAUGCACAGUUCGGGACCCCCUACCCGAGAUCCGCCGGUUUUGACACCGACAGGGCCCAUAACCCACAGUUCCACAGGAUCGAAACCUGACUCAUGUACAUCCCUGUUUUUCAAAGUUGUUCCUCGCGCUUGGAUUCGUAUGUAAUUCACGAGCCACCUUCCUUGUGAUCUGUUCUGGUAUCAGAUGCAAUACUUAUUCCCAUUGCUCUAAACCCCUUUCACCUUCUUACCUUGCUCUCGAUGACUAUCCUGAAUUCCAACUCAAGAGAUGCCUCUAUGCCAUGUUGAGGUACCUAUCUUGUGUUGAGCUCCAUCCCUCCCGAGUCUUUCCCCCUUACUCACCCCUUAAAUCUCGAGACGAUAUUUCUUGUAGUGGAGGAGAAUUGUGACGCCCAAAUAAUUAAGCUACAGUAAUCCCCUUUUAAUGGUUCCAUGUCAUCACAUUACUAUUGCUAAUCCUCGCUUGAUCCAAAUCUUAGUUCAAACUAAUAUUCAAAUUAAAGACCAAAAUUCAAAUUUCUCAAGCAUGCAUAAUAAAAUGUUCAAAGUGUGGCAAAUAAUCCCUGGAUAUUUGUCAUGUUGGAAACAACCUCCUUAGAAUUUUCAAAAUGCCCCUGGGAGUUAAUUUUUGGUCAAGUAGUAAAUUAAAUGGCAUUUGCAAAACAAAUAAUUAUUUAUUUAACUCCAAUUGCCUCCUGUCGUGGGAAACGAACACCUAUGGGGCAGGGCCCCUUUUCGGUCUGGCAAGGGAGCGGAGGGCACACGAAGAGCAGAUCGAGGCGAAGCACGCGGGGGAAUUUUACCCAGCUUCGGAGCUCUCCGGAGAGAUAAAACUCCUACUGCUGCUUUGUGUUUCUAUUCUGUUCUUGCUCAAGAGUGUGGGUGUGUUGUAGUUUCGAAUGAGUCGAACCCCUUCUACGUGCGCAUGGGCCUCCUUUUUAUAGUCUAAAGGGGUCACCGACAGGUGGCAGCAUAGAGAGAGGGGUAAAAAAGUAAAAACGCGGGUUGGUACAACCGCUAUCAACAGUGCCCCCUACCUAACUCUGACAGCAGGGGACAAGGGCAUUUAAUGCCCAUCCGGUCGCCCAAACAGUGCAGGAAGUGACCGUUAGGGGCGCCACCAAUCGCCACGAUGGCCUCCUAGUCAUCUUCACUUGCCACCUCGCACCGCUUGGCUGCACAGCUACCCGCCACGUGCACCGGGAGCGAUCCUGCGGCGACACGUCAUCGGAUGCGCUGGAGCAUGGGCGCAGAGUUGUGGCUUUGCCGCGGCAAGCGCCUUGCCGCGGUCACUAUCUUGUUGCACCCGCAAGCUUGCCGCUCGCCGGGUCUUGGUUGGCCUUCCCGGCAAGAUCCUCCUGCCGGGGUCUUGUCCUUCCCGGCAAGCUUCUCUUGCCGGGGCUUCGUCUUCACAGUUAACACUUUGUUCUUGAAUGGCAGUAAAUAGGAAUGACGAAGGAUCUUGGCGGACGCCCGGCAAGCCUUGCCGCAGGACGCUGCGCCUGCCCGUGCACAAGUUCGGGGUACUAAGGUACCCCUACUUUAGUACACCGACUGGAGCCCCCGGGCCUGGGCCAUACACGGUGCUGAGCGCUGUUGGGCCAGGCCCAAAACAGGACACGGGCACGCGCGGCCUGGGUCCUAACUAAAUCCACUCCGUAUCCACCGCGUCCUCCCGUAACGGCACGCGUCAAUCGCGGCGUCGUGGGAGAGAUCGUGGGUGGAAGACGUUCGCGCGUAUCCACAGCCUGAUGGAGGGGUUUACCCUCCAUUUUAAGUUAAUGGAGGGCGAUCUCCUCUCCGUCAAGGUCUUCGGGUGCUUCGACACUCGGGCGAAGUGCUGCGUGGACAGCUCCUCCGAUAGCAAAGGCUCCCCCUCGAGCGAGAGCGACAAGGAGGAGAGCAACAGCGAUGAUGAGGGUAGCGGGCGGCGGGAUGGCGGGCCCGACUAGGUGUCGGGCGCCGCUUCGUGCGUCACCGGUGACCCCAUCAUCCGUGUCGCCGGCUCCUUGAACUCCCCGGGGUCGUCUCCUUGGGCGGCUGGCGUAGGGAGGCUGCGGAAGGGGAAGAGGGCUGGCGACAAGGCCGUCAAAUCGGAGUACGAGGGCGUAGUGCCCUCGACAGCGUGCUGACGUCCUGCCGCCCCAUCUUCGAGCCCCGCUUCCAGCGCCGCCAUCACCGUCCGGCCUUCGGACGGCCCCCGGGAUGUUCUCUUGGUGUCUUCGCCUAGGCGCCUCUUUUGCCCUUUUCGCCUCCUUGACCUACAUCCUGAAGAGAGGGACAGGAAAGGGAUUACGGGCAUCUUAUCUUUUUAAUUUGUAAGCCUUCGGGCCCUAGUCGCAUCUAAAACUUGUAACCCUCUCUUUCAUGUUUUUCAUCCUCUAUGGACUGUACCUGAGUGUGAUGUUUUUUUAAUGAAAAAGGGAUGCUUGCCGGGUUAUUUGUCUCAUGGGUUGAACCCACGCCAAGGAGCAAAUCCUUGGUAUCCCUCGGACAGGCAUUUCAUCUCCCGCCAACAGGCCCUGCCGCCUUCCCACGUCGCUCGACCUUUCUCACGCCUUUGACGGAGGCGGGAACGAGGUGGGUGCGGCCUCCUCAUUUCAUCCCUUUGCUGCUGUGACUACGACCAAACUUGGCCCCGGGAACGAGCCCCAGGGCCUAGAGUUGAGGGAGCACGGCAGUUUUCGGGAAGAAACGCGGUUUCGCAUUCCCCAGUCCAUAAGAGGAUGCAUGAUGAGGGACGAAAGACUUAUCUGAUAUCGCAGCCCCCGGCAACUCUGGCUUGCCGUGGAUGAAUCUUGGUACUCGCAGCCCCCAGCAACACUGGCUUGCCGGGGCCCAGGUGCCGGCGCGCCCUUCUUCUCCUUUCCUUGUCGCUGUUAUUUCAGUUAUGAGAACAAUUUAGUCAGUGCCGCAAUAAGUUACUCUUGUAAUAUAACUUUAUUCUGGGCAAUGCUUGUUAUGUUACAUCCUUUAUUUGAUUCCAUUCCUUGUAUGUUUGUACCCUUACGCUUUUACGGAACUUGCCGGUGCAAACACGCUUGCCACGAGCGCUGAGUGCAAAACAUCAGCAGCCUUCUAGCGGUGUUGCCUCCGGCAAGAAACCUUGUCGGGGCUAGUCGCAGCACACUUUCAUUGUUGAGCGGACUCAAAACAAAGUAAGGGUGCAACUUAACCACGAGCCGGUUCCUCUGCGCACAGGUUUUCCAUACAAGGCAUGGUCGUUCAAGGAAUAUAACUUAAAAAUUUAAAACUGACUGUGCUUAAACUUCGGCAACUUAGCUUUUUUGUUGUUUGUGUCCNNNNNNNNNNNNNNNNNNNNNNNNNNNNNNNNNNNNNNNNNNNNNNNNNNNNNNNNNNNNNNNNNNNNNNNNNNNNNNNNNNNNNNNNNNNNNNNNNNNNNNNNNNNNNNNNNNNNNNNNNNNNNNNNNNNNNNNNNNNNNNNNNNNNNNNNNNNNNNNNNNNNNNNNNNNNNNNNNNNNNNNNNNNNNNNNNNNNNNNNNNNNNNNNNNNNNNNNNNNNNNNNNNNNNNNNNNNNNNNNNNNNNNNNNNNNNNNNNNNNNNNNNNNNNNNNNNNNNNNNNNNNNNNNNNNNNNNNNNNUGUGGGCGCAGGAAUCUUCUCUUUGAGAAAAAGGAAGAAGAGAAAAUAAAGUUAUGGAGCCUUAAGGCUUGUUAUUGCUUACCGGGGGCAAGUUCUGCACAAAGUGUCAGUGUAUACAUGCUAAAAAGAAAAAGGCAUGAAUUUUGACAAUAUGUACUAAACAUAUGAUCUUUAUUUAUGCACGGGAUCUGCGCCCGGCUUUGUACAAAGGGUUACAUGCAACAACGGCAAGGCUUGUACAAAAGGUGGUUGCCAGGACAGCAGGUUCCGGCAACCGCGCCUUAUGGGUAAAACUUACGAAGAUGAUCUAUGUUCUAGGAGUUGCUCACCGGAAUGCCAUCUUCGGUCUCAAGGCGGACAGCGCCAGGCCUAGUGACUCGCUUUACCCGAUAAGGGCCUUCCCACUUCGGCGUCAACUUGUUGGAAUUCUUGGCAGAUUGAACGCGCCGAAGAACAAGGUCACCUUCCUCGAAGCUUCUGGCAUUAACUUCGCGGCUAUGGUAGCGGCGCAAAGCUUGCUGGUAGCGAGCAGCUCGUACAGCAGCCUGAAGACGAUCCUCCUCGAGGAGCAGCGCGUCAUCUUGCCGCAGCUGCUCUUGCUCAAGCUCAUCAUAAGCGAGCACUCGAGGCGAUCCGUAUACGAGUUCUGUGGGGAGAACUGCCUCUGCUCCAUAGACAAGAGCAAAAGGUGUCUGGCCAGUGGCUCGAUUUGGCGUCGUCCUGAUCGACCAAAGAACCACCUGUAGCUCCUCGAUCCAAUUUCUUCCGCACUUGUGCAGCCUGUCGAAAGUUCUGGUCUUGAGCCCACGCAGCACUUCAGCGUUUGCCCUCUCCGCUUGACCGUUGCUUCUCGGGUGAGCAACAGAAGCGAAGCAGAUCUUGGCGCCAAGAUCUUGGACGUACUGCAUGAAGGUGCAGCUCGUGAAUUGUGUGUUGUUGUCGGUGAUGAUCCUAUUAGGGACUCCGGAACGGCAAACAAUUGACCUGAAGAACUUGACUGUUGACUGUGCUGUCACCUUCCUCACUGGCUCCACCUCCGGCCACUUCGUGAACUUGUCGAUGGCCACGUACAAGUACUCGAAGCCCCCGACAGCUCGGGGAAAAGGGCCAAGGAUAUCAAGCCCCCAGACUGAAAAUGGCCAGGAUAAAGGGAUUGUUUGGAGAGCUUGAGCUGGUUGAUGAAUCUGUUUGGAGUGGAACUGGCACGCUUCACACUUGGUUACUUGUGCAGUCGCAUCCUGGAGGGCUGUUGGCCAAAAGCAACCUUGCCGGAAGGCUUUACUGGCAAGUGCUCUUGCGCCAAUGUGGUGGCCACAUAUGCCUCCAUGUAUCUCCGCCAACAGCUCUUGUCCUUCUUCCCGGGAAAUGCACUUCAAUUUCACUCCGUUGAAUCUUCUUCUGUACAGUAUGUCAUCGACAAACUGAUACAUACUUGAUUGUCGGGCUACUUUCUCUGCUUCUUCUUGCUCUUCGGGAAGUUCUCCUGUUUGAAGGAAAUGGACGAUCUGCUGUGCCCAUGCCGGAGCUUGUGGCUCGACGACAAGGACUAAAGGCGCAAAUGCUGCUGCGGGAACAUCCGCUUCUACGGCAAGAAUAUGAGAUCCUGCCGGAGCGUGAUGCUCCCCGGCAAGCGUGCCGGGGCACAGCUUGUCGGGAGCGUCUGCUUCAACGAAACAAACCCUAGGGCUUGUCGGAGCAGACUGCUCCUCAGCACUUUCUAUGUUGAUCCUGGGGACCUUCUUGGCGGCGGCUUCGGGGAGCUCUGCCGGAAAGUAGUCGCCAGUAACCAACUUUCUCUUCUUGCUCUGUCCAGUUGAUGGUGUUACAGAUGGCUGAGUCAGCUUGAGCACAAAAAUACCUGGUUCCACAGGUAACUUGAGUGCGGUGCACUUUGACAGGCCGUCUGCAAUGUCAUUCUGAGCUCUUGGAACAUGUUCCAUCUGCAGGCCGUCAAAAUGCUCUUCCAGCUUCCUCACUUCAUCAAUGUAGGCCUCCAUCAGCGGACUCUGAUAAUCUGUGUUAACUUGGCGGACGACAAGCUGUGAGUCACCCCUGACAAUAAGCUUCUUGAUCCCAAGUUCUGUCGUGAUCCUGAGUCCGGCAAGCAGGCCCUCAUAUUCUGCAGUAUUGUUUGUUGCUUGCUCCUUGGGAAAGUGCAUUUGGAUCAUGUACUUGAGGUGCUCUCCGGUGGGUGCGACAAGUAACACACCCGCACCGGCGCCUUGCAGCGAGAAAGCACCAUCAAAGUACAUGAUCCAUUCCCUGUUUGCUUCCUUGACGGGGAUCCUCGUCUCCGGAGUUUCUUCAUCUGGUGUUGGCGUCCACUCCACUAUGAAUUCUGCCAAUGCUCGGCUCUGGAUAGUUGAAGUACUUUCAAACUUGAGGCCAAAGCUUGACAGUUCCAGUGCCCACUCGACAAUCCUGCCUGUUGCUUCUGGAUUUUGCAAUAUCCUCUUCAACGGAAAGCGAGUGACAACUGUGAUCUGAUGUGCUUGAAAAUAAUGGCGCAGCUUCCUCGAGGCCAUGAGAAGGCCGAAAAGCAACUUUUGCACUCCAGAGUAUCUUGAUCUAGCCACCUGCAGAAGGGAGCUGACAAAAUAAACUGGGUGCUGCACCAUCUUCUUUUGUUUCUCUGCCUGCGGCUGCACAGACUCAUCCUUGUCGGGACCAGAGCUUGACGGAGAAGCCCCCUGCUUGUCGCUGGACUCGCUUGCCGCGGCCGCUGGCUCAUCAUCUGCCUCCCUCUCUGCUACUAACGCAGCACUAACCACUUGAUUGGUUGCUGCUAGAUACAGCAGCAACUUCUCUUGCGGCUUAGGUGCGACAAGUACUGGAGUGGAGGAUAGGUAUCUCUUCAAGUCCUGUAGCGCAGCCUCCGCUUCUGGAGUCCAUUUCAUUGGACCUGCCUUUUUCAAAAUUUUGAAAAACGGCAGGGCGCGCUCAGCAGACUUAGAGAUGAACCUACUGAGAGCAGCAACGCAGCCGGCAAGCCUUCGCACAUCCUUGAGGCGCUUCGGGGCUUCAAUCUGCUCGAUGGCCUUGAUCUUGUCGGGGUUGGCUUCGAUCCCCCUCUGGGACACGAAGAACCCGAGAAGCUUGCCGGAAGGAACUCCAAACACGCACUUCUCAGGGUUCAACUUGAGAUUGAUCUUGCGCAGAUUUGCAAAAGUCUCAUCCAAAUCUUGGAUCAAAGUUUCUCUAUCUUUGCUCUUGACCACUAUAUCAUCCAUGUAUGCUUCUACAUUCCUGUGCAGCUGUGGCUCAAAAGCAUGACUGACUAGUCUUGCAAACGUUGAACCAGCAUUCUUUAGUCUGAAAGGCAUUCAUACAAAGCAGUACGUGCCACAUGGAGUAAUGAAUGCGGUGUUCUCUUCAUCCUCUUUUGCCAUGAAAAUCUGAUGGUAUCCUGAGUAUGCAUCAAGAAAUGAAAGCAGAUCACAUCCUGCCGUGGAGUCGACAAUCCGGUCAAUGCGCGGCAAGGGAAAUGGAUCUUUGGGACAAGCUUUAUUAACAUCCGUGAAGUCAAUACAAAGCCUCCACUUCCCAUUCACCUUGCGCACAAUUACUGGAUUGGCUAACCACGUUGGAUGGAGUACUCCUCGGACGAGGCCUGUUGCUUCCAACUUCUUGAUCUCUUCUGCUAUGAACUCUUGGCGUUCCGCCGCUUGCUUCUUGACUCUCUACUUGACGGGCCGCGCGUGAGGACAGACGGCAAGGUGGUGCUCAAUUACUUUCCUGGGAACACCGGGGAUGUCAGAUGGUUGCCAUGCAAACACAUUGACAUUCGCCCGCAGGAAAGCAACGAGCGCGCUUUCCUAUUUAGGGUCAAGCGUGGCACUGAUGGUGAAGGUACCACUAGUGCCGUCCUCCUUGGCGGCCACUUUCUUGGUAUCAGGUGUCGCUAUCUUUGCCCUCUUGCACUUGCCGGUGGAGCUCGAUGGUGCGUCCUCGACGGUAGCACAGCACUCCGAAGAGGUGCGCUUGCCGGAGUGGGCAUCAGAGCUACUCUUGCCGGACUUGGUCUUCUUCUUCUUCCCCCCGGGAGCUUCAGCGGCAAGUGGUUUGUGCUCUGCUGCGGCUGCUGCUUCCUGGUAGAUCUUGUCGGUGCAGAUAAGCGCAUCCUUCUUGUCGCCUUGGACAGAAAUGACGCUUAUCGGACCGGGCAUCUUGACCACGUUGUAAGCAUAAUGAGAGGCUGCCAUGAACUUGGAAAGCGCUGGACGGCCGAGUAUCCCAUUGUAGGGCAACGGGAAAUCAGCAACAUCAAAUGUGACUCUCUCUGUCCUGAAGUUCAGUUUGCUGCCAAAUGUCACUGGUAGUGUAAUCUUCCCCUUGGGCUUGCUCCUUCCCGGGUUGAUUCCUUGAAAGGUACCAGUUUCUUCGAGCUCGCUGUCGGGGAUCUGGAGCUUGUUGAGCACCGCGGAAGAGAUCAGAUUUAGGCCGGCCCCACCGUCAACCAACAUCUUCGUGACCUUGAGGUUGCGGAUGGUUGGCGAAACCAACAUCGGCAAGCACCCGACCGCAGUGAUGCGAUCAGGGUGAUCCUCAACAUCAAAGACGAUGGGCGUACUGGACCACUUCAGGGGCUUGCGCGAUUCGACUGAUGGUUCAGCUGCAUUUACCUCCCGCACCCACUGCUUGAGUUGGCGGUGCGAGGUGUGCAGAGAAGCACCGCCGUCAACGCACAAAACCUCUGUUGCCUUCUGAAACUCUUGCUCGUCGGUCUCAUCCUCGUCCAUCUCAUCAUCCUCAUCUUCAUCUUCGUCCUUGUCACGGCCACGGGGAGGUCUGUCUCCUUGCCGCUGCUUGGCCUUGCCGCGGCGCCCUCCCCGGGCGGGACGCUUCUUGCCGGAUCCUCCGCCACCUUCCUGGGCCUUCUCCUUGUCGCGACGCUCGUAUUCAGCUUUCUGUAGUUCUGCCAUUUGCUCAACCUUCUUGCAUGCUUGGAGGUCAUGGCCCUUGGUGCGAUGGAUCUUGCAGUACUGCUUGCCGGAACAAUCCUGCUUGUCGGCGGCCACCACAGCCUCGCCGGAGUCACCAGCUUUGGCCUUGUCGGCGCCGCCUCCGUUGCCGGACUGCUCAACAACUAGCACAUCCUUAGCCUUUCUCUUUCUAUUAUUCCGCCUCCGGUUCUUCUUUGCCGGAGGGACGUCCUCAUUGUCCGAUCCUUCUGCUCCUGCAUUCUCUCCGGGAAGUUUCCUCCCCUCUUCAGCUCGUGCACACUUGUCAGCCAGAGCAUAUAGCUCGCUGACAUCUCUAAUCUUGCACAUCGCCAUCUCCUCCCUCAUCCUGCGGUUACGCACGUUCUGAUGGAAUGCGCUGAUAACCGCGGCAGGGUGGACGUCUGGGAUGUUGCGCUGCACCUGGCUGAAUCUCUGUAUGUACUUGCGCAGGGGUUCUCCUUCUUUCUGGGCGAGCAGAUGAAGAUUGCUCUCCUGACCAUGGGGUUUGUGGCCGCCUGUGAAGGCGCCGACAAACUGAUGGCACAGGUCCGCCCACGAAGAGAUGGAGUUGUCCGGCAAGUGCAUGAGCCAAGAUCUGACGUUGGGCUUGAGCACCAGCGGGAAGUAGUUGGCGAGGAUCUUCUCGUCGCGCCCCCCGGCAGCCUGCACCGCGAUGGUGUAGACGCUGAGGAACUCUGAUGGAUGUAUCCUGCCAUCGUACUUCUCGGGUAUGUCCGGCUUGAAGUUCUUGGUACUGGGCCACUGGACUUGCCGCAGCUCACGGGUGAACGCAGGGUAACCUGCCGCGUACGGCAAGUCGCCUGGUUCCCCUGGCGCAUGCAUAUCGACAGUGGGCCCAGCGCACUGGUCAGAUUAAUGUCGCGCUUCUCUUCUGCGCUCGAUGCGAGUACGAGCGUCUCUGUGUCGUCGUUCUUGGAGAACUUGGCGUUGAUCGCGGCGAGCUCGCGGGUCCGACGACGCGGUGGAGUCGGUGUCGAGGUUGGAACGGCGAGUUGGCGAUCAUGGCCUUCGGGGCGGGGAGUGCACGGUGGUGGCACCCCCAGCGGUCUUGUCGGUGUCGGCUUGCGCCCGGGCGUCUUGCCGGGGCUUUCGAUGUGCUCGGUUGCCGGGGCUUGUCGCCGUUGGCGAAGCCGAUGAGGCUUUGGAUGGUGAUCCUCCAGUCGUCGAUCUUGUCUGGCGCUGGAGGGUAAUCUAGAAGCAGCUGGGCUCGGGCCAGCGCUUCCUCUGGAGUCUUGGGCGGCGGUGGCGAGCGACGCGAGGUGCGGGAUAUGCUCAAACUUCUAACAGUGUUAGAAGGAGCAACAUCUCGCCCAGGCGACCGUACUUCGCUCGUGCCAGCGUGUUGACGUGUAUGUUGGCCUUGAGCGUCCCGCGAUCCGCCGGCUUGGCCUUGUUCCAACACGAGCACGGUGCUAGGAGUACCGUGGCAUUGCCGAUCUUGCACCUCCUGGGAGGGGUACGGUGGAUGUACAGACGCUGAAGCUUGCGGGGCCUUGUCCUCGGACCUGGUGACGAUGUGAGUCCCCCCGUCGGCGCCCGCUCCUCCGCCGGCGUCCACCCCACCACCCGUUUGCUCCGGUGGCGGUAGGAUAGUCGCAAACGGAGUGGCCACCUCCGAAGCCUUCUUCUUCGGUGGCAUGUCGAUGAAGAUGUUGAUGUAGCGCGCAGAUGCCGGAUCAGGUACGCACAACCUCGACGCCCACCUACCUGGCGCGCCAAAGAUGUCGUGGGAAACGAACACCUAUGGGGCAGGGCCCCUUUUCGGUCCAGCAAGGGAGCGGAGGGCGCACGAAGAGCAGAUCGAGGCGGAGCACGCGGGGGAAUUUUACCCAGCUUCGGAGCUCUCCGGAGAGAUAAAACUCCUACUGCUGCUUUGUGUUUCUAUUCUGUUCUUGCUCAAGAGCGUGGGUGUGUUGUAGUUUUGAAUGUGUCGAACCCCUUCUACGUGUGCAUGGGCCUCCUUUUUAUAGUCUAAAGGGGUCAGCGACAGGUGGCAGCGUAGAGAGAGGGGUAAAAAAGUAAAAACGCGGGUUGGUACAACCGCUAUCAACAGUGGCCCCUACCUAACUCUGACGGCAGGGGACAAGGGCAUUUAAUGCCCGUCCGGUCGCCCAAACAGUGCAGGAAGCGACCGUUAGGGGCGCCACCGAUCGCCAUGAUGGCCUCCUAGUCAUCUUCACUUGCCACCUCGCACCGCUUGGCUGCACAGCUACCCGCCACGUGCACCGGGAGCGAUCCUGCGGCGACACGUCGUCGGAUGCGCUGGAGCGUGGGCGCAGAGUUGUGGCUUCGCUGUAGCAAGCGCCUUGCCGCGGUCACUAUCUUGUCGCACCCGCAAGCUUGCCGCUCGCCGGGUCUUGGUUGGCCUUCCCGGCAAGCUCCUCUUGCCGGGGUCUUGUCCUUCCCGGCAAGCUUCUCUUGUCGGGGCUUCGUCUUCACAGUUAACACUUUGUUCUUGAAUGGCAGUAAAUAGGAAUGACGAAGGAUCUUGGCGGACGCCCGGCAAGCCUUGCCGCAGGACGCUGCGACUGCCCGUGCACAAGUUCGGGGUACUAAGGUACCCCUACUUUAGUACACCGACACCUCCAAACUUUAUGUGGCACUGCAAAAUAUUUGUGGCUCUGUCUAAGAUUGCCAAGGAAUUAAAAGGGGAACUUAACAUAUUUUUCCUAAGUAAAUAGUGUGCCCAAAAUAUUCUCUUAACCAUCUCUGUUUUUUUUAAUAAAAAAAGGCGAAUAAGAACUCGCCCGGGCCUCGGCCUACUCCCACUUACCAGCCCACCUAAGCCGGCCCACUCCCCCGCUCCCAUGGCCUAUAGGCCAUGCUCAACCGAACCCUAACCCCGCACGAUCCCCCCACUCCCCACUUCUCUCCCCUCCCGAUCCAAUCUGGAUCGGACCGAAACUGGCGCCCCGACGCCAACCGCCGUCGCUGGAGGCAUCCCCGACUCCACGCUGGGCCACCCCAUCACCUGACCUCCUCCCCGUCGUCGCUCGUCACUCGCUGGACCGCCUCGUCCCCACCAACGCCGCCCCGAGCCCAACGUCCCUGUCGUCGUCGCCGUCGGCAUCGCCCCGAUGUCGCCACCACCCGACGCCGGCGCCCUCGACAUCGCCACCCCGAGCCCACUGCCACCCCUACGCUCCACUGUGAGCCCCUCGCCGAUUCCCCCUCCUUCCUGUCAUCGUAGGUGGCCGCAUGCGCUGUUGGCCACCGUGGCCGCGCUCCGGCCGUUCCCCAUCCGUGUGCUAGCCUCGCCUUCCCCGGCUGCGGCCACCAGCCUCCUCGUCGCGCUCCCGCCUUCGCCCACACCUGCCCCUGUACGCCCAGCCGCUGCUGCUCGCCGGAUCCGCAUGUUCGCCCCCUAGCUUCGUCUCCGGCCGUCGAGUCCGCACCCGAUGCCGGCGCCCCAGCGCGUCCAUGCGCCCGUACGGGCGGGCGCCCACGCCCAUGCCCCUCCGCCCGUUAGCCCGCCCCGCUAAGGCCUGGGCACCUAACCAAGGGGCCCCACGCCCCUGUGUAAUAAAAAAGAUUUAAAAAAAAUAAAUAUAAAUAUAAUUAGUUAAUUAGUUAAUUAAUUGUAUAGUUAAUUAACUAACUUAAUUAACCUUGCUUAGUUAGCCUAAUGAACUAGUUUAGUUAAUUUAAAUCUGUUAGAUAGGUCUAUGAGAGAACGACCCCACAUGUCAGUUUAACCAGUCAACACUCUUUUGACUGCUGACAUCAUGAUGACGUCAGGCUGACAUCAUAAUUCCAAUUUUGAAUUAAUAAUAAUUUCAGAAUAUUAUUAAAACUUUGAAAAAUCAUAGAAAAUAAACCGUAUCUCGGAUGGAAGUUGCUUGGAACGACGAGACAAAUCCGAAUGCGCAGUUCGUUCAUCUGUCACGCGUCCCUAGCAUAGCAAACGUUGAACUUUUCCCCUCCGGUUCAUCUGUCUGAUAGACGUCCGGAACCGGGAAAACUUUCCCGGAUGUUUCCCCCUUCGCCAGUAUCACCUAGCACCUCGUUAGAACACUUCUAGCCCCGCUUAUUGUCUUGUUAUGCAUAUGUUUGCGUGUAUUUACUGUUUCUUCCCCCUCUUCUUCUCCGGUAGACCUCGAGACCGCUGAUGAUGCCCCUGUGAUCGACUACGUCGACGACGACCCUCCUUGUUUGAGCAACCAGGCAAGCCCACCCUUUGAUCAUCCCGAUAUCGCCCAUUCCAUUCUCUCAUGCUUGCACUAGAUUUUGCUACUGUAUUUGACUGCUCCUAUUCUGAUGCAUAGCCUGCUUUUGUACCUGCUAUUGUAACUUACCUGCUUAUCCUAAAUUUCUUAGUACAGGUUGGCUAGUGAUCCAUCAGUGACCCCCACCUUGUCUUUGUUGCCCCUGCUUCAUCAUCGACGACUCGAUCAACGUGAUCGACGACCGGAGCCUGACACCUCACAUCACAUCACGCCCCUUUUUCUUGCUCGACUCUGCAGAGUUACCAUCGAGUGCCGAGGGUGGAACCUCAUACAUCGCUCCUGAUGAGAUCUCUGUAGUGUAGCUAUUCGGUCGUGGUCAUCGAGGGUGGUUCCUCCUUCACCAUUCCUAAUACGGCUCUGUCGUGCAACACCUCAAGUGUGAACCUCGAGGGUGGUUCCUCUUACGUUCACCUUGAUGAUUACAUCAACUGGAAUCCACCGGGGGUGAUUCCUCGGAUUUUCCCCUUGAUGUCUGGACACAUAGUUACCUUGAUACUUGAGACCGUUGUGAAAGCCGGGCGAGCCCGGAGAGCACCCGUGCGAUGUGACGGUGGCGGCUGGCUGUUUAGCGGUAUCACCCGGGAGGGGUGAUAGCUCCGGACUUGUCCCGACAUCCGUCACUUCUUUUAAUAAUGCACUAACACGUUUGUGUAUUUGUUCUGAGUUGGCCUCUGGCCUUUACGCACUAACCACCACGCGAGAAUAGUUAUGGGCCUCGACGUUGCAGUAUCUUUCGAAGCUUUGUCAGACGUCCAGUUCAGCAUUGUGGCCGGGCCGGAUCGUGCCAUCCACUUCACCGGUGGUGCUGGUAUCCCCUUGUGCACAACGACCCGGAGUGCAAUGGGCGAUGGGCCCAGACCCCGGAGUGCUUAGGAUGUAGACCGGCGGGGACCUCUCUACUGAGCCUAGGUAGGGCUGCGACGUGUUGAUCUUCCGAGGCUGGGCAUUGACCCCAGAAAGGUGUGUCCGGCCAGAGUGAUCGAGCGUGUUGGGUAACGUGGUGCGCCCCUGCAGGGAAGAUUAUCUAUUAAUAGCCGUGUCCAUGGUAACGUACCUUCAGACUUAUAUCUUGAUCUUAUACAACUACAAAUGGAUACUUGAGAUAUGUGGCUCCGGGAUUGCUUUCUCGCAGGGAGUCGAGGAAGGAUCUCUGGGCGUUGUUGUUAAAACAUGCUUGUUAAUUAAACUGCUAUUCUUUACUCUUCUACAUGCUGCAAGAUGCUUGGAGCUGCUUGAAGAUGCUAGUCUUUGUUUGGCUAGGCCUUCCCCUCUAUUCUGGCAUUCUGCAAUUCAGUCCACAGAUACAACCCUUCCAUUUGAUACCAAUGCAUACUUAGUAUAGAUCUGAUGCUUGCGAGUACUUUGGAUGUGUACUCGCGGUUGCUUUGCUACCCCUUUUCCCCCUUCUUUCUUCUUUCCGGUUGACGCAACCAUAUGGUGGAUCCUUGGAGCCAGAUGCCACCGCCGAUGGAUGCUAGUACGUGAAGAUCGCCGACGACCAGGAGUAGUUAGGAGGUCCUAGGCAGGAGGCCUUGCCUCUUCGAUCGUUGUUGCUUUUGUGCUAGCCUUCUUAAGGCAUCCUUAUUUAACUUAUGUCUGUACUCAGCUAUUGUUGCUUCCGCUAACUCUUGUGUAUCGAGCUAUGUAUUCGAGCUCUCGAGGCCCCUGGCUUGUAAUAUAAAGCUUGUAUUAUUUUGAUUUGUGUCUAGAGUUGUGUUGUGAUAUCUUCCCGUGAGUCCCUGAUCUUGAUCGUACAUAUUGGCGUGCAUGAUUAGUGUACGAUUGAAUCAGGGGCGUCACACAAGCGGUACUACUGCCCCACCCAGUUUCAGCAUUUCGAGUUUCACCGUUUUGCCCAUAACUUCCACAUCCGGAGUCCGAUUUUUGCAUUUUUUAGCUCGUUGAGUAGCUAUUGACAUCCCCCAUCCAUCUAUAUAGGUUCCAACACCAUUUGACUCCAUCAAAUUUUCCAAAAUUUGGAAAGUUUGCCUAGGCCGUCCACCAUAUCAUCUGCAUAGCCACCACCGACCACCGCAACCUAACCCAUUUUGUUCCCCUUAGCAUUUGAGGUUGUUUGAGUUGUGGCUUGUGUCUCCUAAGGUGUUUCGGCUACUUAGGGAUGGUAACUUCAACUCCAACACGUGUAUAGCCCAUCAUUCCACUUCCGCAUUGCCGAGUGCAAACCACCACCUCUUUCCACUACCACCAUUUGACAUUUACCUUUGUAGAUUUUGAGUUUGCGAUUUUUCCGUUUCCUAGGGUGUUUUGGCUAACUAGGAAUGGGUCGACAUCAGCAACAUCGCCUCUCAUCAUCGCCAAGGACGGUAACCUCGAUGACACCAUUGUAUAUUCCCUUGCCAUUGCAUUGAUAACCCCUAGCCCAUUUUGCGUCACUUGCCUAUCGAGACUAGCCGUUUGAGUAUUGCCGGCAACGUGACUUGUGCACAUUAGUGAUCAUACUUCCCAUAGCAUCAUACCAUAUCAUCGUGGUGCAUAUAUUGGUAGCAUAUCUUGCGUCACAAGUUUGUUGCCGCAUAUACACAAUUGCUAUCUUGGUUUGUGCAUUAUGCAGAAGUGGCCAUACAAAAAAGAGAAAUAAAGCUUUUAAGCAAAAGAAAGAGAGAAAAGAAGCUUGUAAGCAAGUGCCAUAGCAUCAUACCAUAUUGCACAUAAGAUUGUCAUAUCCGAUCAUCUUGGAUCAUCUUGAGAGAACAUCGGGAACCAUACAUACAUAGCAUACUUGGGAUAGAAAGUAUAUCCAUUUGGCAUCUUGUAGGUUGUGCACAAGUGUCCUAUCCGCCUAUUGAGCAAUCGUGCUAGCGUCUCUCUUGAGUUGUGCAACACGAGCGUUUUCUGUGGAUUCCACAUUUUGUGCUCAUUGCUUGGUUGCACGACCCCAUUUAUCUAUCCGUGUGUGUGUUUCCGUGUGUCAUUCUUUGCUAUUGGUCUACUUGUUUCACUUGCAAAUUUGUGAAUCUCUUUCAACAUUAUUGACUCUUGCUAACAUUUUGCAUCAAAUUUUUGUGCCACUAUCCUCACCGAGCUCCACCAUAAGCUUUACUUGAUAGGUGUGAGUGAACAAGUCCGGUACCAAUUCCACUAUUCUUUCAUUUCACAUUGAGUUAAACGGGAUACAUCCUCAACUUUGGGAAAGGUAACUUCCUAUUGUUUAUCUCAUUUCCUACUGGCAUUUCACCUUCGGUCUACAACAACAACGACGAGUUCGAUGCCACGAACAACUCCAACGACGCCAAGAUGCAAGCUCAAAUGGAGGAGAUCAAAGCCCUCAUCAAGUCCUACAAGCAAUCUUCCUCAUCUUCGAGAAGACACUCACGUGCACAUGUUUCCGAGCUACCAUCUCCGGUAAGAUCACAUCAGCAUCGACACCAUCACCAACAAGAACGUGAAGGUCAAGAGCUCAACACCAACUACCGCUCAACGACUUCACCAUCUCCCUUGGCAUCUUCGCCAAGCGACUUCAAGGCAUCUUUGAGUACGGAUAUACGGCAUCUUCGCCAACAAGAACCUCAAGGCUACGCUCAAGAGAAGCUCCCCAAGCUCAAGUCCACGACUUCCAUGAGCUACUACGACCUCGACACCGACCACAAGAUUCCUUUCUAUGGAACUCAAGAACCCGAGGAGUACCUCGAGUGGGAGCGUUUGAUGGACGACUACCUCAAGCUACAUCAAGUCCCUUCCGAAGAUCAAGUGAAGUGCGCCACAAGAAACUUCCACGACUACGCCUCGACAUGGUGGCUUCACACACCUUCGGAGAGCUACGAGAUGAGUUAGCCCAAGACGAAGAGAGCUUUGCAGCGAGAGCUCGUGCCUCCAACCUACAUGGAACAACUUCGACGCCAAUUGGAGAACACCAUCCAAGGAUCCAAGUCCAUCGACGCGUACUUCAAGGAGAUGAAGAAUGCCUUGCGACGAGACGGCGUGGAUGACCCCAUUUCGAUGAAGUUCCACUUCAUGAUGCGAUUGAACAACGACAUCUCCAAGACUAUCUUCCUCGAGAACUACAAGUCCCUGGACAACUACUACAUUGGUGCUCUCAAGGCGGAACAAGAACUCAUGAAAGCCAAGGCUUCUCCACCCCAAGCACACUUCGCGGCGACCAAGCUGUACGACAAGCAUGAGGCUAGUACCACCAUGAUGUCCAAGCCCGACGAGCUCCAAGACAAUGCUCCCAAGUUCGACUUCACCGCCAUCCCUCUUUGUGGCAUUGAUGACGCCGAGUCUACCUUGACUCUUUUUCAAGACGGUGCGGCGACGAGUACGACUACGGAGACCUUCAAGGACCAAGCUUUGGAGGCGAGCGACAAGGUGGCGAGCAAGGAUGGUGUUUCCAUCUUUGGAGGCGAGAGUGAUGAUGUGCCAUCUUCGUCCUUCAUCCACGGCGACGAUGACGAGAUGAUCGAGCAUGGGAUUUUCCCUUCGGUCAUGGAGGAGAGUGAUGAUGUGCCAUCUUCGGCCUUCAUCCACGGAGACGACGACGAGAUGGUUGAGCAUGGGAUUCUCCCUUCGACCACGGUGACGUAUGAUGACUUGAGUGACUUUUGCCACCAUAUUGAGAGUGAGAGUGACUUCACCACUAGCCCCAUAUAUGACGAGUUGCCCCAAUUCCUAUGUGAGGAGAGCCACAACCCCCACCACUUGAGUGAGAUGAGUGACUCCACCAUAUGCGACUUUGAGUGCACCUAUUUUGAGGGAGUGAGUGAACCACCACAUAGAGAGAGUGUGAUAGUUGAUAGGUCUCGUGAGGCCAUUUGCAUUUCUAACAACUUGACCUCUACCUCUAUUGUGUCUUCUCAUUUGGUGCUAGGUCCCAUUUAUGAUGACGCGCCGAUCCUCGACGACUUCGUCCUCCCUUUGGACAAGACGAUGGCCAUGGUGGAAUAUGAUGCACCCCCCACAUGGUUCCAUCAAGAUGAAGAUGACCACCAUUUGGUCUUUCCCACCUCACCUACACCACUUGAGUGGAAUGAAAAAGGUAACAUAGGUGAAGGUGAUGCUCUAGUCCCACUAGUGGACAUUCUUGACAUUGAUUGCUUGCAUGAUGUUGAUCCACCUAGUACCAUGCUUCAUGCUAGUAUGAUUUCCCCAUGUGAUGAUUUGGCCAUUUAUGAUGAGUAUGAUGAUUCUCAUGUGGAGUCUCUUAGUUGUGAUGUCAUGUUACAUAGGAUUUCUUGUGACAAUUCUUUAGGUCACAUCAUGUUUGAUAAUCCGCUUGACUUGUCGUAUGCUAUGCAUGACAUUCACCAUAUGUCAUAUUUGCAAUCUCAUUGUAGUGACUAUGCAUAUGCCAUUCAAAUUAACCCAAUUUGCACUUAUGGCAUAGAUGACAAGCCCAUGGUUAUUGGGAUUUGUUUUUCUUGUGAUGAUAUUGAUAUGGUCCCUUUGCAUCAUUUAUCUCAUAUGCCAUGUCAUGCCCACCUAGCUUCGGAUAUGCAUUGUUUUGGAUGUUGUCCAUUUUCUCCAUAUGAUGUUUCCAAUCUUGCUCAUGAGGAGACCCCCAUAGUUCCCUCAUACAUGUUAGGAGAUUUUGAUCCAUCCCAUCCAUUGCAUGAUCCCAACAAUUGUGUGCACCAUAUGCUCCCCAUGAAUAAACAUGCUAUUGAUGUGCCAUAUACUUGCAUUCUCAAUUUGUGUCCCCAUCGUGUCAUACAUAAUAACUAUUCUUUCAUGAUGGAUGACAUGUUCUUAUACCAUGCAUCAAAUUUCGUUGAGCGAUGCUUAUCUUGUGCUAACUCACACGUGCACAUACACAUCAUGAUGGAUGAUGUGUACAUUUACCACACACACAAUUUAUUUGGUUUGUGUCUCUUUUGUGUAGGUACCCAGGAAUACUUGUCAACCUCGCAAUCCCACGAGUUGACAAAACGAGCUCUAGAGAGCAACGAUGAUUUGGGAUCCCAUGGAUUGUCUUUCCCACCGCUCUCUUCGCGCAAAGACUUAGCGCAUUUCUUCUACAUGGCCCUCACUUGGCUAUGGGUUGUUUUCCAUUACAUAUUAUAUGCCCAUCUUGCCAUGUUCACUUUGCAUGAUAUGCCCAUUCCCAUGCAUUUGUGACCCAUACUUUGCUUUACACAUGAUGAUUGACUCUCAUACUUUUAUGUGUAUUUGCAAGCUUGGUGGAGAUAUUGCUUGUUGUUUCCCUAUUCCAUUUUUGACCCACCCCUAUGAUGAUACUAUGAUCUUGCUUUGUGUUCGUGCUUGUGAUAUGUCAUGUGCAUUGUCUAUCCCUAUUAUUUGCUCACAUGACAUGAUUGCCAUGAUUUACUCUGGUGUGUUGCAUCUUCGCUCCACUAGUUUGCACCACAUGAUUGAUAUGCUUGCUUGUAUUGCAUCCCCCAUGAUUCAUACUUGCUCAUUUCAUGCGAUUGAUGACAACCAUUUCCAUACUUUGCACGUGAUUGCUAUAGCUUCUUGUCACAUAUCUACAUAUGUUGCCUCUCUCAUGCUAGAUCACUUGCCAUGUAUUUAGUGCAACAAUGCUCUUAUUCUUGCUCAUGAGAUUGCCCCCAUAGCAUUCUCACAUAUGAUUGGAGUUGACAUAAUUCUUGUGAAGCAUGCUUGCCUUCCUUCUUUGCACCAUAUGCCUAGUGCCAUGAAUAUUGCCAUUGUUGCAUCAUAUUGUUCAUGCACUUGUGCUACUAAAGGUUAUGUGCAAGAGAUGAGAACCAUCAUGAUGGAUGAUGUGUUUCUCUACCAUGCGCAUAUACUCUUUGUUUUGUUGUGUGCAUGUGUAGGAUACUUGGACUUCGUCUCGACUUCCACUUCAUGUGAGUUGACCAUUCAAGCUCUUAAGAGCGAGCCUCACACAUUCUACCACUACUCGCUUCUACACCGCAUUUGCUUGCGCUUCGGCAUUGUGAAGAAUGCACAAGGACAUGCCUUCAAGGUGACAUCUUUCUUGAGCAUGGAUAUUGCGGAUCAUACUACUUGUGUAGCUUGCACUGUGAGACUUAUUGGUCAUCUUGGACCACUUGAUUGCGCACUUGCUAGAGAUCUUGCUUUGACUUGCCAUUUUCACAUUCCCAUGCAUCAUGAUAUAUAUGCCUUGUGUGUUGCAUCCAAUUCUUGGAUUACUAUCACAACCUAGCUAGUCCAUGCAUUAGAGUGUUGCAUCAUGUCUACCUUUUAUCAGAAACUUGAAUUGGGGAAGACAGAACCCCCCAGAACCCCUCUGAAUUCAACUAGUGCUUACUAAAAAUAUUUUCAAUGAACCUGAAAUGCCCUUCUAAAAAGUUCACCCUCUUUGUCUUGGGUUAGAACCUCUGGCAAAAUUGGUGCACAAUUUUCUAGGUCAACAAAAGGCCAUUGAAUUAAAUCAUAUCUACUUUGAGUUUGGGCAUUUAAACUAUAUAAAAUAUUUCAAAUGCUCAAAUAACUCCAAACUAAAAUGUUCCAUACUGGAUAUAUUCCAACUAGGGACCAUGUGCAGUUUGGUGAUUUUUGGAGUUGCCUAAGUAUUUUUAGAAAUGCAACAAACUUACAGAAACAAUUAAAAACAGAAACAAAUGGGAAAAACCCUUACCUGGCCGAACCAAGCCCCAGCCCAGCUGGCCGGCCCAGCACUGUGCUGGCCCAUGCCAGCCAGCUGCUUCGCCGUCGCCACGCAGGCACAGAGCUGACGCCGGCAAGCGUGAGCUCGCAACGGCGCCAGCUGCUUGCCGCCCGCGCCCCCGAGCACCUGGGUGAGCUCCACGUCGCCGCCCCGACCCCGUGGACACCUCAUUCGCCCCCUGCCUCUCUCCCUCGCUCUCCCGCACCAUGGCCGACGCACCCGCCGCCGCACCCCCGACGUAGUCGCGCCCUCCGUCGUCCUCGUGCUGCACCACCGUGUCCCUUCGCUCCGCCGUCAUCGACUACAUCGAGUAGGCCGAGCCCCGAGCGCUCGCUGGCCCUGUUUCAUCUUCUUCGAGCUCGUCUUCACCGAGCACCGCCACAGAUCCCCUUCGCCGUCGCCGCCGUACCAGCUCGUCCCCGACCUUGCCGACCACUCCGUUGUGACCGCCGUGAGCUCAGCCACCUCCCCAUCCUCCCCGUUUGCCUUCUCGUGCACCGUAGCAACCGCAUGGAGCUUCAUCGCACGCACCACCGACGAGCUCGUCGCCGACGUGCCUCCGGCCAUCCACCGUCCACACCACGGUGUCUAACAUGCUCACCGCAUCGUGUAGAGUCUAACGCCCCACUCCACGCGCCUCGCCGUGCCCCGUAGCCAUGGGUCCAUUUUCAUCCGACUCCGGCGACCGCCGUGGUCGUCGCCGGCGACGUUCCUGGCCACCUCGACCUCAACCACCACCACCAAACGCCGCGACUUGUUCCCGGCUACACGUAGAUGGUCUCCGUCGUCCAUUUGGUCGCCAGAACAUGCUAACCCACUUCCUCCGCCGCGUCUGGCCUCGCCGGCGGCUAGACACCGGCAUGUUUGACCCGUUGACAUUCACUGGGUGGGCCAGGUUGACUCCCCUGAGUCUAUGACAAGUGCCCCCCCCUCUGCUAAUUAACCUAGUUUAGCUCUUACUAAAAUCAGUUAGUUUAAAUAAGUGCUGACAUGCGGGACCCACUGGUCAGUUUGACCUGAACGACCCCUUUGACCACUGACGUCACCCUGAUGCACUGCUGACGCAAUAACCAAUUUCUGGAUUUAUUGUUAUAUAGGAAAUUCCAGAAAUUGUUGCAAACUUCAAAAAUUCAUAGAAAUUAAUCUGUAACUCCAAAUGCAAAGAUUUAUAUAUGAAUUUUGAUCAGAAAAAUUCAAUCUAUCCAUUGGUAAUGGUUUCAUGCAUGUCAGAACAAGUUAACCUUGCUGUUUAAUCAAAACAAGUUAAUGCACUAAUAUGACUAUGUUAAAUGAACUACCAUUUGCAUCUUUGAUUCAAAUGAGUUCAUACCUUUCUGUUCUAGCUUGCAUUAGGCCAGGACACAUUCAUGUUGCCAUGUCAUAGCAUGCAUCAUAUUGUUGUAUAUCGUCAUGUGUUGUUCAUGUUCGGUGUGUUUUCGUGAUAGGUUCUGCCUCCGAGGAUAACCCCGAAUAUCCGUCUGAAGGGCUGUAUCCUACUACCACUACAUCAGGCAAGCAACCCAUUGAUCAUUCCGAUACAAACCCAUGUUCUUGCCUCUGCUCUUGUUUACUGCAUUAAGACAAUGCGAUUCAAACUUUUGUGUGUUGUGGUAGUUGAACCCACUUCCUUUGCAUGACCUGUCAUUGCCACAGUAACUAGAUGAAACUCAGUAGCAUGUGUAGGAGUUGAUUGAGCCAUAUCUGUGUUACCUACCAUGCUAUGCUUGCUAUGCUUAGAGUUGUGUCAGGUCUGGCUCAUUGGGAUGAUGAACUAGAGUGAAAGGUUGUGUCGGUAAUGAAGUGUUGAACACGAUUUGGUAAAGGUAUCGAUGAGAGGCCAUGUAGGAGUACAUGGUGGGUUGUUUCAUUGAGGCCGUCCUUAAGCACUGAGAUCUGUGUGUGUGAUUUAAGAUUCAGCUACUACCACGCAUUGGGCCCGAAACCAAUGGACCCUCUCGACUUAUUAACCACUCUUGUCCUCUGUCCGGGAGUUGCAAGUAGUUUUUGGUGUUUGUAGCAUGAUGGGGGCCGCACGCAGUGCUGACCUUAGGGGUGGGUUGGGUUGCGGUAGGCAUGUGGCACGGUGUAUCGAUUCGCCCGUUUGGUGUCUCGGGAACCAUGUUCACAUCAUUCGGGGCCGUUAGUGGAAACCUCGGCCGGACUCCCUGCGGAUGGAACCCGAAUAGGCGAUAAACCUGGACUAGGGACUCGUGUGUUUAGUCAGGCCGUGGCCGACACCCUCGCUGGGCUUCCGCUUGAGGCUUGCCGAGUACACGUCAUGUAGCGGUGAUAAGUGGUGAGAGCGUGUGUGAAGAAGUACACCCCUGCAGGGUAUAAAACUAUUCGAAUAGCCGCGUCCGCGGUAAAGGACUACUUGGUCACCUAUGCAGUUCAUAGACAAGUAAAUGGAUACUUCUAAAAGCCUCAAGUUAAGUGUGAGUACCGAGGAUGGCCCUCUCGUAGGUUGACAAGAGAGGAUCCUCGGUGGAGUAUUGUGUUGGUGAGUAGUGGACUCGUGUGCGACAAAUGUUUUGCAAGUUGUGUCUAUCGUAGAAUAGCUUAGCCAAGAGUCAAAGCUGGCUUGCUGCAAUAACUCCACUACCUUCUUGAGAAUGUGCAUGUAUGAUAGGAUUCUGUUGUAAGACUUGCUGAGUACCUCUGUACUCAUGUUUGCUUAAAUGUUUUCAGACGACAACACCAACCCCUCCGAUGGGUUCUACGUAGACCUCGACGUUGACGAGUGACUAACCACCCAAGUGGUGAUCCGAGACUUGUGAAGGGCCGAUGUAGAUAGAAAGGCUUCGUCAAGCCCUCUUUCUUUCUAGUGUCUGUACUCAGACUAGUUGCUUCCGCAUGUGCUUGUAUGCUUGUAUGACUUGAGUCUCAGGUCAUGUGACCCCUAUCUGUAUGAACAUGUUAUGUAUGGCUCCUUGGAGCCACUUAAAUAAAGUACUUUGAGUUGUAGAGUUUUGUUGUGAUGCCAUGUUGUAUGUACUCAUAUCGGGCAUAUUGUGUGUAUGUUUGAAAUGCUUGGUAUGAGUGGGAUCCGACAAUCUAGUUGUUUAUCCUUGGCAGCCUCUCAUAUGGGGAAAUGUAGUCUAGUGCUUCCUGAGCGAUAGUAGUCCGCUACAGCCCGGUUCACCGGAGUCCUGCUAGCCCAGUACUACAGCUCUGGACACUUGACUGGACAGCAUGUGUUUCACUUCGUUCCUGUGUCUGUCCCUUUGCGGAAAUGUCACGCGGUGGCAUUCGGAGUCCUGCCUAGCCUGCUACAGCCCGGGUUACUGUUGGGAAACGUAGUAAUUUCAAAAUUUUCCUACGCACACACAAGAUCAUGGUGAUGGCAUAGCAACGAGAGGGGAGAGUGUUCGUCCACGUACCCUCGUAGACCGUAAGCGGAAGCGUUAGCACAACGCGGUUGAUGUAGUCGUACGUCUUCACGAUCCGACUAAUCCAAGCACUGAACGUACGUGGCCUCCGAGUUCAGCACACGUUCAGCUCGAUGAUGAUCUCCGGCCUCCAAUCCAGCGAAGCUCCGGAGAUGAGUUCCGUCAGCACGACAGCAUGGUGACGAUGAUGAUGUUCUACCUGCGCAGGGCUUCGCCUAAAAUCCGCGACGAUAUGACUGAGGUGGAAUAUGGUGGAGGGGGGCACCGCACACGGCUAAGGAACGAUCCAUAGAUCAACUUGUGUGUCUAUGGGGUGCCCCCCCCCCCCCGCCCCUGUAUAUAAAGGAGAAAGGGGGAGGCCGGCCGGCCCCUUGGGCGCGCCAAGGGAGGAGGAAUNNNNNNNNNNNNNNNNNNNNNNNNNNNNNNNNNNNNNNNNNNNNNNNNNNNNNNNNNNNNNNNNNNNNNNNNNNNNNNNNNNNNNNNNNNNNNNNNNNNNNNNNNNNNNNNNNNNNNNNNNNNNNNNNNNNNNNNNNNNNNNNNNNNNNNNNNNNNNNNNNNNNNNNNNNNNNNNNNNNNNNNNNNNNNNNNNNNNNNNNNNNNNNNNNNNNNNNNNNNNNNNNNNNNNNNNNNNNNNNNNNNNNNNNNNNNNNNNNNNNNNNNNNNNNNNNNNNNNNNNNNNNNNNNNNNNNNNNNNNNNNNNNNNNNNNNNNNNNNNNNNNNNNNNNNNNNNNNNNNNNNNNNNNNNNNNNNNNNNUCCGGUUUUCUCCGAAAUCACCCGGAACAAUUUCGGUGUCCGAAUAUAGUCGUCCAAUAUAUCAAUCUUUAUGACUCGACCAUUUCGAGAUUCCUCGUCAUGUCCGUGAUGACAUCCGGGACUCCGAACAAACUUCGGUACAUCAAAACUUAUAAACUCAUAAUAAAACUGUCAUCGUAACGUUAAGCGUGCGGACCCUACGGGUUCGAGAACUAUGUAGACAUGACCUAGAACCAUUCUUGGUCAAUAACCAAUAGCGGGACCUAGAUGCCCAUAUUGGUUCCUACAUAUUCUACGAAGAUCUUUAUCGGUCAAACCGCAUAACAACAUACGUUGUUCCCUUUGUCAUCGAUAUGUUACUUGCCCGAGAUUUGAUCGUCGGUAUCCAAUACCUAGUGCAAUCUCGUUACUGGCAAGUCUCUUUACUCGUUCCGUAAUACAUCAUCUCAUAACUAACUUAUUAGUUACAAUGCUUGCAAGGCUUAGGUGAUGAGUAUUACCAAGAGGACCCAGAGAUACCUCUCCGACAAUCGGAGUGACAAAACCUAAUCCCGAAUUAUGCCAACUCAACAUGUACCUUCGGAAACACCUAUAGAGCACCUUUAUAAUCACCCAGUUACGUUGUGACGUUUGGUAGCACACAAAGUGUUCUUCCGGUAAACGGGAGUUGCACAAUCUCAUAGUUGCAGGAACUUGUAUAAGUCAUGAAGAAAGCAAUAGCAGUAUACUAAACGAUCAAGUGCUAGGCUAACGGAAUGGGUCAUGUCAAUCACAUCAUUCUCCUAAUGAUGUGAUCCCGUCAAUCAAAUGACAACUCUUUUGUCCAUGGUUAGGAAACAUAACCAUCUUUGAUAAACGAGCUAGUCAAGUAGAGGCAUACUAGUGACACUAUGUUUGUCUAUGUAUUCACACAUGUAUCAUGUUUCCGGUUAAUAUAAUUCUAGCAUGAAUAAUAAACAUUUAUCAUGAUAUGAGGAAAUAAAUAAUAACUUUAUUAUUGCCUCUAUGGCAUAUUUCCUUCAGUCUCCCACUUGCACUAGAGUCAAUAAUCUAGAUUACAUGGUAAUGAUUUUGACACCCAUGGAGUCUUGGUGCUGAUCAUGUUUUGCUCGUGAGAGAGGCUUAGUCAACGGGUCUGCAACAUUCAGAUCCGUAUGUAUCUUGCAAAUCUCUAUGUCUCCCACUUGGACUUGGUCCCGAAUGGAAUUGAAGCGUCUCUUGAUGUGUUUGGUCCUCUUGUGAAAUUUGGAUUCCUUUGCCAAGGCAAUUGCACCAGUAUUGUCACAGAAGAUGUUCAUUGGUCCCGAUGCACUAGGUAUGACACCUAGAUCGGAAAUGAGAUCCUUCAUCCAGACUCCUUCAUUUGCUGCUUCUGAAGCAGCUAUGUACUCCGCUUCACAUGUAGAUCCCGCCACGAUGCUUUGUUUAGAACUGCACCAACUUACAGCUCCACCGUUUAAUAAAAACACGUAUCUGGUUUGCGAUUUAGAAUCGUCCGGAUCAGUGUCAAAGCUUGCAUCGACGUAACCGUUUACGACUAGCUCUUUGUCACCUCCAUAUAUGAGAAACAUAUCCUUAGUCCUUUUCAGGUAUUUCAGGAUGUUCUUGACCGCUGUCCAGUGAUCCACUCCUGGAUUACUUUGGUACCUUCCUGCCAAGCUUAUUGCUAAGCAUACGUCAGGCCUGGUACACAGCAUUGCAUACAUGAUAGAGCCUAUGGCUGAAGCAUAGGGAACAUUUUUCAUUUUCUCUCUAUCUUCUGCUGUGGUCGGGCAUUGAGUUUGACUCAACUUCACACCUUGUAGCACAGGUAAGAAUCCUUUCUUUGCCUGAUCCAUUUUGAACUUUUUCAAAAAAAAUUCAAGGUAUGUGCUUUGUGAAAGUCCUAUUAAGCGUCUUGAUCUAUCUCUAUAGAUCUUGAUGAGUAAUAUGUAAGCAGCUUCACCGAGGUCUUUCAUUGAAAAACUUUUAUUCAAGUAUCCCUUUAUGCUAUGCAGAAAUUCUAUAUCAUUUCCAAUUAAUAAUAUGGCAUCUACAUAUAAAAUUAGAAAUGCUACAGAGCUCCCACUCACUUUCUUGUAAAUACAGGCUUCUCCAAAUGUCUGUAUAAAACCAUAUGCUUUGAUCACACUAUCAAAGCGUUUAUUCCAACUCCGAAAUGCUUGCACCAGUCCAUAAAUGGAACGCUGGAGCUUGCAUACUUUGUCAGCACCUUUUGGAUCAACAAAACCUUCCGGCUGCAUCAUAUACAACUCUUCUUCUAGAAAUCCAUUCAAGAAUGCAGUCUUGACAUCCAUAUGCCAAAUUUCAUAAUCAUGAAAUGCAGCAAUAGCUAACAUGAUUCGGACAGACUUAAGCAUCGCUACGGGUGAGAAAGUCUCAUCGUAGUCAACCCCUUGAACUUGUCGAAAACCUUUUGCAACAAGUCGAGCUUUAUAGACAGUUACAUUACCAUCAGCGUCAGUCUUCUUCUUAAAGAUCCAUUUAUUCUCAAUGGCUUGCCAAUCAUCGGGCAAGUCAACCAAAGUCCAUACUUUGUUUUCAUACAUGGAUCCCAUCUCAGAUUUCAUGGCUUCUAGCCAUUUUGCGGAAUCUGGGCUCAUCAUCGCUUCCUCAUAGUUCGUAGGUUCACCAUGGUCAAGUAACAUGACUUCCAGAAUAGGAUUACCAUACAACUCUAGUGCGGAUCUUACUCUGGUAGACCUACGAGGUUCAGUAGAAACUUGAACUCCUCACUAAUUGGUGUAGUUGUCACAGGAACCGGUUCUCGUGAUGAACUACUUUCCAAUAAGGGAGUAGAUACAGUUAUCUCAUCAAGUUCUACUUUCCUCCCACUCACUUCUUUCGAGAGAAACUCCUUCUCUAGAAAGGAUCCAUUCUUAGCAACGAAUGUCUUGCCUUCAGAUCUGUGAUAGAAGGUGUACCCAACAGUCUCUUUUGGGUAUCCUAUGAAAACACAUUUCUCCGAUUUGGGUUCGAGCUUAUCUGGUUGAAGUUUCUUCACAUAAGCAUCGCAGCCCCAAACUUUAAGAAACGACAACUUUGGUUUCUUGCCAAACCACAGUUCAUAAGGCGUCGUCUCAACGGAUUUUGAUGGUGCCCUAUUUAACGUGAAUGCGGCCGUCUCUAAAGCAUAACCCCAAAACGAUAGCAGUAAAUCAGUAAGAGACAUCAUAGAUCGCACCAUAUCAAGUAAAGUACGAUUAUGACGUUCGGACACACCAUUUCGUUGUGGUGUUCCGGGUGGCGUGAGUUGCGAAACUAUUCCACAUUGUUUCAAGUGUAGGCCAAACUCGUAACUCAAAUAUUCUCCUCCACGAUCAGAUCGUAGAAACUUUAUUUUCUUGUUACGAUGAUUUUCCACUUCACUCUGAAAUUCUUUGAACUUUUCAAAUGUUUCAGACUUGUGUUUCAUCAAGUAGAUAUACCCAUAUCUGCUCAAAUCAUCUGUGAAGGUGAGAAAAUAACGAUACCCGCCGCGAGCCUCAACAUUCAUUGGGCCACAAACAUCAGUAUGUAUGAUUUCCAACAAAUUAGUUGCUCGCUCCAUAGUUCCGGAGAAUGGCGUUUUAGUCAUCUUGCCCAUAAGGCACAGUUCGCAAGUACCAAGUGAUUCAUAAUCAAGUGAUUCCAAAAGUCCAUCAGUAUGGAGUUUCUUCAUGCGUUUUACACCGAUAUGACCCAAAAGGCAGUGCCACAAGUAAGUUGCACUAUCGUUAUCAACUCUGCAUCUUUUGGUUUCAACACUAUGAACAUGUGUAUCACUACUAUCGAGAUUUAAUAAAAAUAAACCACUCUUCAAGGGUGCAUGACCAUAAAAGAUAUUACUCAUAUAAAUAGAACAACCAUUAUUCUUUGAUUUAAAUGAAUAACCGUCUCGCAUCAAACAAGAUCCAGAUAUAAUGUUCAUGCUUAACGCUGGCACCAAAUAACAAUUAUUCAGGUCUAAAACUAAUCCCGAAGGUAGAUGUAGAGGUAGCGUGCCGACCGCGAUCACAUCGACUUUGGAACCGUUUCCCACGCGCAUCGUCACCUCGUCCUUGGCCAGUGCUCGCUUAUUCCGUAGUCCCUAUUUCGAGUUGCAAAUAUUAGCAACAGAACCAGUAUCAAAUUCCCAGGUGCUACUACGAGCUCUAGUUAGGUACACAUCAAUAACAUGUAUAUCACAUGUAGCUUUGUUUACUUUGCCAUCCUUCUUAUCCGCCAAAUACUUGGGGCAGUUCCGCUUCCAGUGACCAGUCUGCUUGCAGUAGAAGCACUCAGUUUCAGGCUUAGGUCCAGACUUGGGUUUCUUCUCUUGAGCAGCAACUUGCUUGCUGUUCUUCUUGAAGUUCCCCUUCUUCUUCCCUUUGCCCUUUUUCUUGAAACUAGUGGUCUUGUUGACCAUCAACACUUGAUGCUCCUUCUUGAUUUCUACCUCCGCAGCUUUUAGCAUUGCGAAGAGCUCGGGAAUAGUCUUGUUCAUCCCUUGCAUAUUAUAGUUCAUCACAAAGCUCUUGUAUCUUGGUGGCAGUGAUUGGAGAACUCUGUCAAUGACGCUAUCAUCCGGAAGAUUAACUCCCAGUUGAAUCAAGUGAUUAUUAUACCCAGACAUUUUGAGUAUAUGCUCACUGACAGAACUAUUCUCCUCCAUCUUGCAGCUGUAGAACUUAUUGGAGACUUCAUAUCUCUCAAUCCGGGCAUUUGCUUGAAAUAUUAACUUCAACUCCUGGAACAUCUCAUAUGCUCCAUGACGUUCAAAACGUCGUUGAAGGCCCGGUUCUAAGCCGUAAAGCAUGGCACACUGAACUAUAGAGUAGUCAUCAGCUUUGCUCUGCCAGACGUUCUUAACGUCGUCAGUUGCAUCAGCAGCAAGCCUGGCACCCAGCGGUGCUUCCAGGACGUAACUUUUCUGUGCAGCAAUGAGGAUAAUCCUCAGGUUACGGACCCAGUCCGUGUAAUUGCUACCAUCAUCUUUCAACUUUUCUUUCUCAAGGAACGCAUUAAAAUUCAACGGAACAACAGCACGAGCCAUCUAUCUACAAACAAACAUAGACAAGCAAAAUACUAUCAGGUACUAAGUUCAUGAUAAAUUUUAAGUUCAAUUAAUCAUAUUACUUAAGAACUCCCACUUAGACAGACAUCUCUCUAGUCAUCUAAGUGAUUACGUGAUCCAAAUCAACUAAACCAUAACCGAUCAUCAUGUGAGAUGGAGUAGUUUUCACUGGUGAACAUCACUAUGUUGAUCAUAUCUACUAUAUGAUUCAUGCUCGACCUUUCGGUCUCCGUGUUCCGAGGCCAUAUCUGCAUAUGCUAGGCUCGUCAAGUUUAACCUGAGUAUUCUGCGUGUGCAAAACUGGCUUGUACCCGUUGUAGAUGGACGUAGAGCUUAUCACACCCUAUCAUCACGUGGUGUCUGGGCACGACAAACUUUGGCAAUGGUGCAUACUCAGGGAGAACACUUCUUGAUAAUUUUUGUGAGAGAUCAUCUUAAAAUGCUACCGUCAAUCAAAGCAAGAUAAGAUGCAUAAAGGAUAAACAUCACAUGCAAUCAAUAUAAGUGAUAUGAUAUGGCCCUCAUCAUCUUGUGCUUGUGAUCUCCAUCUUUGAAGCACCAUCGUGAUCACCAUCGUCACCGGCGCGACACCUUGAUCUCCAUCGUAGCAUCGUUGUCGUUACGCCAUCUAUUGCUUCUACGACUAUCUAUACCGCUUAGUGAUAAAGUAAAGCAAUUACAGGGUGUUUGCAUUUCAUACAAUAAAGCGACAACCAUAUGGCUCCUGCCAGUUGCCGAUAACUUCGGUUACAAAACAUGAUCAUCUCAUACAAUAAAAUAUAUCAUCACGUCUUGACCAUAUCACAUCACAACAUGCCCUGAAAAACAAGUUAGACGUCCUCUACUUUGUUGUUGCAAGUUUUACGUGGCUGCUAUGGGCUUAGCAAGAACUGUUCUUACCUACGCAUCAAAACCACAACGAUAGUUCGUCAAGUUGGUGCUGUUUUAACCUUCGCAAGGACCGGGCGUAGCCACACUCGAUUCAGCUAAAGUGAGAGAGACAGACACCCGCCAGCCACCUUUAAGCACGAGUGCUCGUAACGGUGAAACCAGUCUCACGUAAGCGUACGCGUAAUGUCGGUCCGGGCCGCUUCAUCUCACAAUACCGCCGAACCAAAGUAUGAAAUGCUGGUAAGCAGUAUGACUUGUAUCGCCCACAACUCACUUGUGUUCUACUCGUGCAUAUAACAUCAACGCAUAAAACCUAGGCUCGGAUGCCACUGUUGGGAAACGUAGUAAUUUCAAAAUUUUCCUACGCACACGCAAGAUCAUGGUGAUGGCAUAGCAACGAGAGAGGAGAGUGUUCGUCCAUGUACCCUCGUAGACCGUAAGCGGAAGCGUUAGCACAACGCGGUUGAUGUAGUUGUACGUCUUCACGAUCCGACCGAUCCAAGCACCGAACGUACGGGGCCUCCGAGUUCAGCACACGUUCAGCUCGAUGACGAUCUCCGGCCUCCGAUCCAGUGAAGCUCCGGAGAUGAGUUCCGUCAGCACGACGGCGUGGUGACGAUGAUGAUGUUCUACCGGCACAGGGCUUCGCCUAAACUCCGCGACAAUAUGACCGAGGUGGAAUAUGGUGGAGGGGGGGCACCGCACACGGCUAAGGAACGAUCCGUAGAUCAACUUGUGUGUCUAUGGGGUGCCCCCCGCCCCUGUAUAUAAAGGAGCAAGGGGGAGAGGCCGGCCGGCCCCUUGGGCGCGCCAAGGGAGGAGGAAUCCUCCUCCUAGUAGGAGUAGGACUCCUCCUUUCCUACUCCUACUAGGAGGGGGAAGGAAGGAGGAGAGGGGGAAGGAAAGGGGGGGCGCCGCCCCCCUCGUAGUCCAAUUCGGACCAGAGGGGGGGAGGGGGCGUGCGGCCCAUGCUGGCCGCCCCUCUCUCCUUUCCCCUAAGGCCCAUAAGGCCCAAUACUCUCCCGGGGGGUUCCGGUAACCCCCGGCACUCCGGUUUUCUCCGAAAUCACCCGGAACAAUUCCGGUGUCCGAAUAUAGUCGUCCAAUAUAUCAAUCUUUAUGUCUCGACCAUUUCGAGAUUCCUCGUCAUGUCCGUGAUGACAUCCGGGACUCCGAACAAACUUCGGUACAUCAAAAGAUAUAAACUCAUAAUAAAACUGUCAUCGUAACGUUAAGCGUGCGGACCCUACAGGUUCGAGAACUAUGUAGACAUGACCUAGAACCAUUCUCGGUCAAUAACCAAUAGCGGGACCUGGAUGCCCAUAUUGGUUCCUACAUAUUCUACGAAGAUCUUUAUCGGUCAAACCGCAUAACAACAUACGUUGUUCCCUUUGUCAUGGGUACGUUACUUGCCCGAGAUUUGAUCGUCGGUAUCCAAUACCUAGUUCAAUCUCGUUACUGGCAAGUCUCUUUACUCGUUCCGUAAUAUAUCAUCUCAUAACUAACUUAUUAGUUACAAUGCUUGCAAGGCUUAGGUGAUGAGUAUUACCGAGAGGGCCCAGAGAUACCUCUCCGACAAUCGGAGUGACAAAACCUAAUCUCGAAUUAUGCCAACUCAACAUGUACCUUCGGAAACACCUGUAGAGCACCUUUAUAAUCACCCAGUUACGUUGUGACGUUUGGUAGCACACAAAGUGUUCUUCCGGUAAACGGGAGUUGCACAAUCUCAUAGUUGCAGGAACUUGUAUAAGUCAUGAAGAAAGCAAUAGCAGUAUACUAAACGAUCAAGUGCUAGGCUAACGGAAUGGGUCAUGUCAAUCACAUCAUUCUCCUAAUGAUGUGAUCCCGUCAAUCAAAUGACAACUCUUUUGUCCAUGGUUAGGAAACAUAACCAUCUUUGAUAAACGAGCUAGUCAAGUAGAGGCAUACUACUGACACUAUGUUUGUCUAUGUAUUCACACAUGUAUCAUGUUUCCGGUUAAUAUAAUUCUAGCAUGAAUAAUAAACAUUUAUCAUGAUAUGAGGAAAUAAAUAAUAACUUUAUUAUUGCCUCUAGGGCAUAUUUCCUUCAGUUACCGGAGUCCUGUUAGCCCAGUGUUACAGCCCGGAUGUAUACGUUGAUGACCGACAUGCUCGAUGUGACUCAUGUAUGCCUGUCCCCAUAGGUUAGCGCCGCUUUGGGUUCAUGACUAGCCAUGUCAGCCCGGGUUCUCUGUCAUAUGGAUGCUAGCGACACUAUCAUAUACGUGAGCCAAAAGGCGCAAACAGUCCCGGCCAUGGUAAGGCGACACCCGUGGGAUUACCGUGCGUGAGGCCGCAAAGUGAUAUGAGGUGUUACCGGCUAGAUCAAUGUGACUUGGAAUCAUGGUCCAGACAGCAUUGGCAUCAGAGCCGGACUGCCUGUAGGUUCCUAAGCCAAACUGGUCGAUGUCGAGUCUAGAAAUGCUUUAGUUAUAUGUAGGGGAAUUUAUUGUGGGAGGAAACGUAAGGCUCUUUUUACCCCUUUACCUUAUGCCCUCUGAUCUGUGUCAUCCUCUUCUCAUUCUACGUGGGUUAAGGACUAGGCUCUCUUCUCUCUAUCAGGUUCACGUGUUACUAAUCCGUAGUAACUUAUAGGAUUGUUGGUUACCAGUCUCAGUACAGUUCCUACUACUUUAGUAUGUUAUCAGUUGAACCUGAACCUUGAUAUGAUGUUGUUGAGUGGUUUUGCAAUCCGUUGUGAAUGUCUCAAAUCUGCUCCUGAGCAUUUACAGCUGUUAUGUUGUCCAAUUUUCCCUAGGAAUUCUAAUGUCUUUGCAUUGUGGUUGUGCUUUCAGAUGGCCACUCGCGCUCAGAACCAAGUGGUUCGCCUGACGCGGUGCCUCAAUGUGCCCGGUCAUACUGCUAUGUUAGUCCGGGUCAUGAUCGAGACAGGUUACCGUUGGUAUCCCGAAUACAUUGCCGAAGAGCAAUUCCAAGACUUUAAUCAAAGCCAAUACUUCUGCACUGUCAGGAUAUUUCCUUCAUAUCCUGGAUCCACCGAGCCCCUUCACUGCUCCUAUGGACUCGGGGUCACCAUUGAGAUGGCUGUACAGGAUGCGGCCUAUUCUAUGAUGACCAUCAUGCGAGUCAGGACUGGUCUGCUUCGGAACACCGACUUCCGUUAUAUGCCAGCAUCGCUCCCAGGAGCGCAAGGGUAUCUCCAGGCUAUCUAUGCUGAUUCCACCCAUGAGGACUCACUAACUCGCACCAUUGCGGAGAUGCUCGAGGAUAAGGACCGAGAGAAUCAGGCCUUGAGGUUGGAGCUUUUCAACACCUGCGCCGAUCAUUGGGCCACUUUGACUCGGUUUGCACCGGCUGUGCAAGCUGGAUGUAUGGAUAUGAGGGAUCUGUUUCCUGUGAGAUCUGCUCUGCCAGACAUGGUGGAUUGGCGUGAUGUGGGAGGCAUCAUCCCACCCCGUGGUCCCCGUAGGCCAUCGUUUGUUGGUCCAAGACCUCAUCCUAGCCCCUAUGGUCCACAGGCUCCUCAGGACCGUCUGUUCCCGGAUGAUCACGUUGAGCUUCCAAGCUAUGGAGGGGACUUCUAUGAGGACUACUACGGAGCUGUCUGAGUUAGUAGUAGUAUCUUUAGUAUUGUAAUAGUUGUAAUUCCAUCGUCCUGCGUGACCUGUGGAAUAUGACUUAGUGUGUAUCAGUUCCGGAGGUGUAGAAAAAUAAUGUAUCGGAGCUUGGAAUGCCUCCGAUGAGAUGUAACUUCUUCCACCGUAGUUGUACUAUAGUCGGGCUUGUACUAAACUAUGUAUGGUGUGUAUGACUGUUGGUGCAUAUAUGGCAGUUUCUGUAUUACCAUGUCAUACAGAUGAACAUCUCUGCAUUCCUUGUUAUCCAUUACAUUCUGCACUUCCUUGUCCAGAUUUGCCAUCCUUGUCUAAAGCGAUGUCUUGUUUUCCUAGGAUGGUCAACACCCGUAACAACCCUGCUACUCCGGAGCAGGGUGAAGCCAGUGCAGCUAGGAAUGAAAAUCUGCCUCAACCACCUUCUCUGGUCGAAGUUAUGCUGGAGGCAGAGCGAAAUAAGCGUGAGACCAAUCGCUUGCUGGAGCGGAUUGAGCAGAAUACCGCACGCCAGCCGAGGAACGACCUGGUGUCACUUAAUGACUUUGUCAAGCUGUAUCCACCGAAGUUUAAACAUUCCGUCGAGCCCCUUGAUGCGGAUGAAUGGCUUCGCAGCAUUACCCACAAGCUACGUUCUGUCAAUGUGGCCGAAGCUGAUAAGGUUAACUUUGCUACCUAUCACCUCGAAGGCCCUGCUAGCCUUUGGUGGGAAAACUUUGAGGCUAUGCGCCCGGUCGGCCAAAUUACUACUUGGGCUGAAUUCAGUAUGGAGCAUCACAUUCCGGAAGGUCUUAUGGAUCGCAAGCGUGAAGAGUUCUGCAACUUCACCCAGGGUAGACUGACUGUGGAUGCAUACAGUCGCGAGUUUGGAUAUCUAGCACGAUAUGCUCCUAAAGAGGUAUCCACCGACGCCAAGAAGCAGGCAAGGUUCCGCAAGGGACUUAGCCCCGAGCUUCGUCGUGAUCUUCGUCUGCACGAGUGCACCUCCUUCCAGAAGUUAGUCAACAAGGCCAUCAGUGCUGAGACAGGGCAGUCGGACUUUGAAGCUUCACGCAAGCACUCCCGUGACUUUGGACUUCAUCCGGCUGUGCAUCUCAGAAGCGCCGGGUCUGGAUUCCAAGCACUGCUCUGCCACCCAGGUUCACCCCGAGGCCAUCCUUUGACGCGCCUCGCCCCAACCAAUAGUAUACACCGCCCAAGGCCUAUGGUGGCCCCACUGCUAAUGCUACUCCAUGCCCCAAUGUGAUAACUUGUUUCAAGUGUGGGGAGACGGGUCACUACAUUCGUGAGUGUCCCCAAAACAACCCCAACCAGAUUGGAAAGUCUGUUGGCCGUGGCAAGCCAGCAGGAAAGGUGCUCUACGCCAAGCCAGCCACCACUGCCCGUGGCCAUGUCAACUAUGUCUCAGCAGAGGAGACUCAUGAGGAUCCCAACGUCGUUCUCGGUACGCUUCUUGUUAAUUGCCACCCGGCAACCAUUCUCUUUGAUACUGGAGCAUCUCAUUCAUUUAUAUCUGAAAGCUAUGCUCGAUUGCACAACACCACAUUUUGUGACAUGCCCACCUCCAUGGUAAUUCAAACCCCUGGUUCUAAGUGGCAAACCUCUAAAAUCAGCCAUGGAAAUGAAAUCCUUGUCGACAGAUUAGUCUUCCUUGCAUCACUAAUAGCUCUCAAGUCCUCGGACAUAAACAUCAUCUUGGGUAUGGACUGGAUGUCAGCCCAUUACGCUAAGAUCGAUUGCUCCACUAGAACUGUUCAACUCACCCACCCUUCGGGCAAGACAGCCAAUGUUUUGACCCGAGUGUCUAAGCGUCAGCUUUACUCUUUAAAUGCCAACCCCCUUCCAGACCUUGAAGAUAUUCCGGUAGUCCGUGACUUCCCGGAUGUCUUUCCAGAGGAACUGUCAGGUGUUCCACCUAACAGAGAUGUCAAGUUCGUGAUAGACCUUGUUCCAGGAACCAUGCCAACAUCUAGGAGACCUUAUAAGAUGGCACCCCUAGAACUAGCUGAGCUUAAGAAACAACUCGAUGAGUCCUUGCAAAAGGGUUUCAUCCAUCCUAGCUCUUCUCCAUGGGCUUGCCCCGUCCUUUUCGUCAAGAAGAAGGAUGGAACGGAUCGGAUGGUUGUAGAUUACCGGCCAGUCAACUUGGUCACUAUCAAGAACAAGUAUCCGCUCCCCAAGAUCAACGACCUGUAUGAUCAGCUCGCUGGAUCCUCAGUCUUUUCUAAAAUGGAUUUGAGGUUGGGCUACCAUCAAAUCAAAAUUAAGAACGGGGACAUUCCUAAAACGGCCUUUGUUACUCGAUAUGGCCAAUACGAGUACACCGUCAUGUCCUUCGGUCUAACCAAUGCCCCAGCCACCUUCUCUCGGUUAUUGAACUCGAUCUUCAUGGAGUAUUUUGAUAAAUUCGUCGUGGUUUACCUUGAUGAUAUACUCAUCUACUCCAAGAAUGAAGAAGAACAUGCCGAACAUCUAAGGCUAGUGUUGAUGAAACUUUGAGAGCAUUGUCUUUAUGCCAAAUUCUCUAGGUGUGAGUUUUGGUUGCCAGAAGUAACCUAUCUAGGACAUGUAAUCUCUGGUAAGGGCAUUGCUGUCAAUCCCAAGCGAGUUCAAGCCAUCCUUGACUGGACUCCACCUGAAACGGUCAAGCAAGUUCAGAGUUUUGUUGGUUUAGCGAGCUAUUGCCGCUGCUUCAUCGAGAAUUUCUCCAAGGUUGCUAAGCCUCUAACCGAACUCCUCAAGAAAGAUAAAAAGUUCGAAUGGACGCCAUAGUGCGAGUUCAGUUUUCAGGAACUGAAAAGACGCCUGACAUCUGCUCCUGUACUUGUUCCACCAGAUUUCUCUAAGGACUUCGUUAUCUACUGCGACGCCUCGCGACAAGGACUAGGUUGCAUACUCAUGCAAGAUCGUCAUGUGAUUGCCUACGCUUCUCGACAGCUGCGUCCACAUGAGGAUAACUAUCCCACACAUGAUCUACAGCUUGCAGCAGUGGUCCAUGCACUCAAAACCUGGCGACAUUACCUUCUCGGUAAUCGUUGCGAGAUUUACACCGAUCACCAAAGUCUGAAAUACAUCUUCACCAAACCGGAUUUGAAUCUCAGACAAAGACGUUGGGUCGAGUUGAUUACGGAUUACGAUCUAGGAAUAACCUACACCCCAGGAAAAGCCAAUGUCAUGGCUGAUGCAUUAAGCCGUAAAUCUUAUUGUAACAACCUGAUGUUACAACAAAGCCAACCAUUUCUCCACGAGGAAUUUCGUAAGCUUAACCUUCACAUCGUUCCUCGAGGUUUUCUUUCCACCCUGGUGGCGAAACCUACCCUUACGGAUCAGAUCAUCAAGGCACAGAAGGUAGAUCCGGGAAUAUCCCGUAUCAAGAGAAACAUCAAAAGGGAGUUGGACUGUUUCUCCAUAGAUGAUCAAGGUGUUGUGUUCUUUGGAGGCCAUCUAGUGGUUCCCAAGGUAUGCAACCUGAGGCGAUUGAUCCUUAAGGAAGCUCAUGAAUCCCCUCUCACUAUUCAUCCCAGUAGUACUAAAAUGUAUCAAGACCUACGCCAGAGGUUUUGGUGGACUAGGAUGAAGAGAGAAAUCGCUCAAUACAUUACCAAUUGCGACGUCUGUCGUCGAGUUAAAGAAGAGCAUCAACGACCUGCUGGCACCCUGCAACCUUUGGAAAUUCCCGAAUGGAAAUGGGAUAAAAUCGGUAUGGAUUUCAUUACCGGGUUUCCCAGGACCAAGAGGGGGAAUAAUGCUAUCUUCGUUGUUGUCGAUCGUCUUUCCAAAGUAGCCCACUUCCUACACGUUCGUGAGAGUUUAACCGCUAGCCAGCUAGCUGACUUAUACAUCUCCCGAAUAGUGUCUCUUCAUGGUGUUCCAUUGGAGACUAACUCAGACCGUGGAAGUCUCUUCACCUCUCGAUUUCGGGAAAGUUUCCAAAAUGCGAUGGGAACUCGUCUUUCUUUUAGCACCGCUUUCCAUCCUCAAUCAAGUGGUCAAGUAGAACGAGUCAAUCAAAUUCUAGAGGAUAUGCUUCGAGCUUCUGUCAUCUCUUUUGGUAUGAAUUGGGAGAAGUGCCUUCCAUUCGCUGAGUUCGCUUAUAACAAUAGUUAUCAAGCUAGCUUGGACAAAGCUCCUUUCAAAGUUCUCUAUGGAUGAAAAUGUCGAACACCUCUUAACUGGUCAGAAACCGGGUAAAGACAACUCUUUGGCCCGGAUAUGAUCCAGGAAGCAGAGGAGCAGGUUCACGUUAUUCGUGAGAAAUUGAAAACAGCCCAAUCUCAUCAAAAGAGCCAAUAUGACCGCAAACAUACACUAGUAGAAAAGGGGCCAAUGGUCCAGGCCGGUCCAGCCCAUUAGUCCCGGUUCAAUCCAGAACCGGGACCAAUGGGGGCAUUGGACCCGGUUCGUGAGCCCUGGGGGCCGGCCGGGCCACGUGGGCCAUUGGUCCCGGUUCGUCCUGACCUUUCGGUCCCGGUUGGUGGGACGAACCGGGACCAAUGGGCCUCGCUCCUGGCCCACCAACAUUGGUCCCGGUUGGUGGCUUGAACCGGGACCAAAGGCGUCCCUUUAGUCCCGGUUCAAGUCACCAACCGGGACCAAUUAGUUGCCUAUAUAUACCCCUCGCCUGCGAGCAGAGCACUCCCAGUGCUCUGUUUUUCGUGGCUGGCGAGGGGAGAGCUUUGUGGUGCUCUAGCUCACGUCCUAUGCACACAAGGUGUUCGAUGGAAUGCCCGAGCCACACUACUUAAGCUUUCUCCUCUCCAAGCUCGACCUCCAAGCUCCAUUUUCCUUCAUAUUUGUCUAGGUUUAGCGGUUCGUCACGUCCCGUCCCCAUCUUCACCACCGUUGAUCGCCCGCGCCGAUCUCGUCGCCGGCACCACCGUGGUGAGCCUCUUGUUCUUAUCUUCUUUCUGAAAGGAAAAAAAAUUCUUACUUGUAUGUUUAUAUAGAUACUUGUAUAAUUUUCUUACUUUUAUUAUUGCAUCUUAUAUAGUGCGAUGGUUUUGGUAUCCGCCCCCGUCGGCCCUCGUCCUGUCUAUGAUUCAGAUGUGGUAUAUAUAUAUUAUCUUUUCAUAACUAGUGGUUCAUUUAUUGUUUAUGACAAUUAUGCCGACCAACGUGACAUAGAUUUUAUUUAUCUAGGAGGUUGUUGAACCGGAAAUUCCAACCGACCCUAUUGUCGAGAGGUUAAAUUUAGUUGAAGAAAACAAUUUGUUGAAGGGAAAAAUUAGAAAAAUUGAGGAGGAGAAGAUGAUAUUGGAGUUGCAUGUUGCGGAUGUCAUCGAUGAUCACAAGAUCAAGAUGGAUGCAAUGCGCUUGAAGAUUAGAAAGAUUAGAAAAUAUGCCAUUCAUACCGAGGCUUGGUAUCAUUAUGUCGUUGGAUCAGUUGUUACAUUGGUUGCGAUUAUGAUCGUAUUUGUUUUCGCAUUGAAAUGUUUUACAUAGUUUCAGUGUAUGGUUUAAUUAAUUUAGAUGCCCUGCAGAGCUUUAUGUUGUUAGAUGAGAACUAUGUAUGUACUUUGGUUUUAAUGUGAUGAUGAACUUCUAUUAAUUUCGUCACUUAAUUAUCUAUUCAUGAUGUUCUGUAAUGAUUUUUGACACACUUAAUUAUAUAUAAUGCACGCAGAUGAACCGGCAAUGGAUGUACGGUUCAAGACACACCUCCGAGUACAUUAAGGGCGUGCAUGAUUUUCUCGAAGUGCCUGAGGCAACAAGAAGAAUGGUUUUAUGUGUUGUCCAUGCCCUAUAUGUGGGAAUACGAAGUCUUACUCUGACUGGAAAAUCCUCCACACCCACCUUCUUUACAAGGGUUUCAUGCCACACUAUAAUGUUUGGACGAGGCACGGAGAAAUAGGGGUUAUGAUGGAAGACGGCGAAGAAGAAGAGUACGAUGACAACUAUGUGCCCCCUGAAUACGGUGAUGCUACUGAAGAUCAAGAGGAACCAGACGAUGUGCCCGAUGAUGAUGAUCUCCGCCGGGUCAUUGUCGAUGCAAGGACGCAAUGCGAAAGUCAAAAGGAGAAGCUGAAGUUCGAUCGCAUGUUAGAGGACCACAAAAAAGGGUUGUACCCCAAUUGUGAAGAUGGCAACACAAAGCUCGGUACCGUACUGGAAUUGCUGCAGUGGAAGGCAGAGAAUGUUGUGCCUGACAAAGGAUUUGAGAAGCUACUGAAAAUAUUGAAGAAGAAGCUUCCAAAGGAUAACGAAUUGCCCGACAGUACAUACACAGCAAAGAAGUUCGUAUGCCCUCUAGGAUUGGAGGUGCAGAAGAUACAUGCAUGCCCUAAUGACUGCAUCCUCUACCGCGGUGCGUACAAGGAUCUGAACGCAUGCCCGGUAUGCGGUGCAUUACGGUAUAAGAUCAGACGAGAUGACCCUGGUGAUGUUGACGGCGAGCCCCCCAGGAAGAGGGUUCCUGCGAAGGUGAUGUGGUAUGCUCCCAUAAUACCACGGUUGAAACGUCUGUUCAGAAACGGAGAGCAUGCCAAGUUGAUGCGAUGGCACAGUGAGGACCGUAAGAAAGACGGGAAGUUGAGAGCACCCGCUGACGGGUCGCAGUGGAGAAAAAUCGAGGGAAAGUACUGGGAUGAGUUUGCAAGUGAGCCAAGGAACGUAUGGUUUGCUUUAAGCGCGGAUGGCAUUAAUCCUUUCGGGGAGCAGAGCAGCAAUCACAGCACCUGGCCCGUGACUCUAUGUAUGUAUAACCUUCCUCCUUUGAUGUGCAUGAAGCAGAAGUUCAUUAUGAUGCCAGUUCUCAUCCAAGGCCCUAAGCAACCCGGCGACGACAUUGAUGUGUACCUAAGGCCAUUAGUUGAAGAACUUUUAUAGCUGUGGAAUGGAAAUAGUGUACGUACGUGGGAUGAGCACAAACAGGAGGAAUUUAACCUAAAGGCGUUGCUGUUCGUGACCAUCAACAAUUGGCCCGCUCUCAGUAACCUUUCAGGACAGACAAACAAGGGAUACCACGCAUGCACGCACUGUUUACUUGACACCGAUAGUAUAUACCUAGCAAGUUGUAGGAAGAAUGUGUACCUGGGCCAUCAUCGAUUUCUUUCGACCAACCAUCAAUGUUGAAAGAAAGGCAAGCAUUUCAAAGGCGAGGCAGAUCACCGGAAGAAGCCCUCCAUGCGUACUGGUAUCACGUACUUGCUAUGGUAGUGAUUUACACGUAAUCUUUGGAAAGUGUCCCGGCGGACUAGCUGUUCCGAAUGACGCUGAGAAUCACGCACCCAUGUGGAAGAAGAAAUCUAUAUUUUGGGACCUACCCUACUAGAAAGACCUAGAGGUCCGCUCUUCGAUCGACGUGAUGCACGUGACGAAGAACCUUUGCGUGAACCUGCUAGGCUUCUUGGGCAUGUAUGGGAAGACAAAAGAUACAACUGAGGCACGGGAGGACCUGCAACGCUUGCACGAAAAAGUGGGCAUGCCUCCGAAGCAGUAUGAAGGUCCUGCCAGCUACGCUCUUACGAAAGAAGAGAAAUAAAUCUUCUUUGAAUGCCUGCUCAGUAUGAAGGUCCCGACUGGCUUCUCUUCGAAUAUAAAGGGAAUAAUAAAUAUGCCAGACAAAAAGUUCUAGAACCUAAAGUCUCAUGACUGCCACGUGAUUAUGACGCAACUGCUUCCGGUUGCAUUGAGGGGGCUUCUACCGGAAAACGUCCGAUUAGCCAUUGUGAACCUAUGUGCAUUCCUCAAUGCAAUCUCUCAGAAGGUGAUCGAUCCAGAAAUCAUACCAAGGCUAAGGACUGAUGUGGUGCAAUGUCUUGUCAGUUUCGAGCUGGUGUUCCCACCAUCCUUCUUCAAUAUCAUGACGCACGUCCUAGUUCAUCUAGUUGACGAGAUUGUCAUUCUGGGCCCCGUAUUUCUACACAAUAUGUACUUCUUUGAGAGGUUCAUGGGAGUCCUAAAGAAAUAUGUCUGUAACCGCGCUAGGCCAAAAGGAAGCAUCUCCAUGGGCUAUCAAACAGAGGAUGUCAUCGGGUUUUGUGUUGACUUCAUUCCUGGCCUUAAGAAUAUAGGUCUCCCUAAAUCGCGGUAUGAGGGGAGACUGACUGGAAAAGGCACGCUUGGAAGGGACUCAAUUAUAUGCAGGGACGGAUAUUCUUGGUCUCAAGCACACUACACAGUUCUACAGAACUCUACCUUGGUGACCCCGUAUGUCGAUGAACACAAGAACAGUCUGCGCUCCAAACACCCGGAGCAGUGCGACGACUAGAUUACAUGUGAACACAUCAGGACUUUCAGUAGUUGGUUGGAAGCACAUAUCAGAGGUGACAACACUGUUUGUGAUGAGUUGUACUUGUUGUCCAGGGGACCAUCUUUGACUGUAUUGAUUUGGAAAGGAUACGAGAUAAAUGGGAAUACAUUUUACACGAUUGACCAAGAUCAAAAGAGCACCAACCAAAACAGCGGUGUCCGCUUUGAUGAAACAACCGAGAGGGGAAAGGACACAUAUUGUGGUUACAUAGUGGACAUAUGGGAACUUGACUACGGACACGAUUUUAAGGUCCCUUUGUUUAAGUGCAAAUGGGUCAAUCUGUCAGGUGGCAGGGUACAGGUAGACCCACAGUACGGAAUGACAAUAGUGGAUCUGGAAAAUCUUGGAUACACUGACGAACUGUUCGUCCUAGCCAAUGAUGUGGCACAGGUUAUCUAUGUGAAGGACAUGUCUACCAGACCAAGAAAGAGAAAAGAUAAGGAAGCGAAUACAUCAUACGAUGAGCCAAAGUGCCACAUAGUUCUUUCAGGAAAAAGGGACAUCGUGGGAGUGGAGGACAAGACAGACAUGUCUGAAGAUUAUGAAAAGUUUCAUGAAAUUCCUCCCUUUAAUGUCAAGGCUGACCCCAGCAUCCUGAUAGACGAUGAAGAUUAUCCAUGGUUACGGCGCAAUAAGCAAAUGACACAAGCGAAGAAAAAGUGAAGACUUUCUCCCGCAACUAUUAUGAUGAUACCAUGCCAAAUUUGUAACUGACGAGUAUGAUACCAUUGUCCGUUUUGUACAUGCACAUGCUAUGUGGGUCAAUUUAUGAUACCAUGCCAACUUUCAACUUUUUCAGAGUUCAUUUGAAAUGCUUUAAUGUCUUAUGGUUCGGCCCUCGUAAUGAUUAAAAAUAGCAACAAUAAGUAUUUUGUUGUAAGUAGAAACAAAAUAAAAUAAAUAAAGCAAGAAAGAAAACAAAAAAAACAAAAAAAGUGUUUUCAAAUUUGAAAACUAAUGGUACUAACAGAAAGUUUAUAAUUUUCCUAAAACUAAAAGCAAAAAGAAUUGAAAAAUAAAGCAAAAAACAAAAGACAAUAAAUAAUGCAGAAAUCAAAACAAAAAACAACAAUAAGUAUUUUGUUGUAUGUAGAAACAAAACAAAAUAAAUAAAGCAAGAAAGAAAACAAAAAAACAAAAAAAGUGUUUUCAAAUUUGAAAACUAGGGCACUAACAGAAAGUUUAUAAUUUUCCUAAAACUAAAAGCAAAAAGAAUUAAAAAAUAAAGCAAAAAACAAAAGAAAAUAAAUAAUGCGGAAAACAAAACAAAAAAACUGGAAAAAAAAUAAAAUAGCAAAAAUAAGUAAAGAAAACAAAAAAAUGCCUCCUACUGGGCCCCCACGGCCUGAAUACGACUAGAAACCCUACUAUGGGCCAGGAUUCAGGCCCGCAGUAGGCCCAGAAGGCCCAUCAGGCAAAGCAAUAGCAAGUAGGCCCGAAAGCCUGCGGUGGAGAGGAGCUCGAGAGGGGUGCGGCAGUGGGGCUUAUAAACCACUGCACGCCCCUCUCAACUAGCGAGGUGGGACUAAACUUUGGCCCCGACGCGGGAAGCACAGGGGCCUUUGGUCCCGGUUGGUGGCACCAACCGGGACUAAAGGGGGGGGCAUUGGUACCGGUUCGUGGCACCAACCGGUACCAAAGGCCGCCGCUUCCCGCCCUUUGGGCUGCCGAAAAGGAGGCCUUUGGUCCUAGUUGGUGGCACUAACCGGGACUAAAGGGUGCAUUAGUCCCGGUUGAUUUCACGAACCGGGACCAAUGCCUUUGCUAUAUAAGCAAACACUUUGCAAAAUUUCAGAAUCCCAUCGCCAGUUGCCCCCGACGACGCCGACCCUCCUCGACGCUGCCAGGCUGCUCCACCUCGCCGUCGUCGCCGCCACCGCCAAGCCGUCGCCUCCCCGAGCCCGCGCCAUCCUCGUCGCCGGCCUCCCUGAGCCCGCGCCGUCCUCGUCGCCGGUCUCCUCGAGCCCGCUCCCCGUCCCGCCCCCGCGCGCCGCCGCCCCGAGCCCCUGCCCCGUCCUGCCCCCAUGCGCNNNNNNNNNNNNNNNNNNNNNNNNNNNNNNNNNNNNNNNNNNNNNNNNNNNNNNNNNNNNNNNNNNNNNNNNNNNNNNNNNNNNNNNNNNNNNNNNNNNNNNNNNNNNNNNNNNNNNNNNNNNNNNNNNNNNNNNNNNNNNNNNNNNNNNNNNNNNNNNNNNNNNNNNNNNNNNNNNNNNNNNNNNNNNNNNNNNNNNNNNNNNNNNNNNNNNNNNNNNNNNNNNNNNNNNNNNNNNNNNNNNNNNNNNNNNNNNNNNNNNNNNNNNNNNNNNNNNNNNNNNNNNNNNNNNNNNNNNNNNNNNNNNNNNNNNNNNNNNNNNNNNNNNNNNNNNNNNNNNNNNNNNNNNNNNNNNNNNNNNNNNNNNNNNNNNNNNNNNNNNNNNNNNNNNNNNNNNNNNNNNNNNNNNNNNNNNNNNNNNNNNNNNNNNNNNNNNNNNNNNNNNNNNNNNNNNNNNNNNNNNNNNNNNNNNNNNNNNNNNNNNNNNNNNNNNNNNNNNNNNNNNNNNNNNNNNNNNNNNNNNNNNNNNNNNNNNNNNNNNNNNNNNNNNNNNNNNNNNNNNNNNNNNNNNNNNNNNNNNNNNNNNNNNNNNNNNNNNNNNNNNNNNNNNNNNNNNNNNNNNNNNNNNNNNNNNNNNNNNNNNNNNNNNNNNNNNNNNNNNNNNNNNNNNNNNNNNNNNNNNNNNNNNNNNNNNNNNNNNNNNNNNNNNNNCGCUGCAUUGGCUCUGUUUUUUUUUCAUUUUUAUUAGUUUAAUUAUUUUUUUGUUCAUAUAUAUAUAUAUAUAUAUAAUGUAUAUGUGUAUGUAUGUGGCUAUAUAUGUGUAUGUAGAUGUUCAAAAAUUAUUCAGAGCACGUUUUUAUUCAUAUAUGUAUUUUUUGUUCAUAUGUGUAUUAAUGUUUUCAUAUAUGCAAAAGAUAGAUUUUUAGAAAAGUUAGGGUUUUUUUUUCUAUUCAUAGAUUUUUUUGGUGAUAUUAAUUAUUGUAGAAUAUGCAAAUGUUUGUAUAUUCAUAUGAACAAUGCAUUAGGCAAAACCUUUGUUUUUUUUGAAAUUUUUUAUUUGAACAUUUUUUAAAAACAAGCAAUACUAAAAGAAUGAGAGGAAAAAGGAAAAUAAGAAGAGGAAGAAAGGAGAAGAAGAGGAGAGGAAGAAGAGGAGAAAUAAAUAAGAAGAGGAAAAAAGAAGAGGGGAAGAAGAAAGGAAUAGAGGAGAAGAAGAAAAAUAGAAAUUUUCUAUUUUUCUUCUUCUCCUCUAUUCCUUUCUUCUUCUCCUCUUUAUUUUCUUCUUUUUUUUCUUCUUCCUUCUUCCUCUUUUCUUCCUUUUCCUUAUUUUCCUUUCUCGAGGGAGAAGAAGAAAAAGAAGAGUAAAAGAAGAAGAAAGGAAUAGAGGAGAAAGAAGAAACUUCAACACAAGGGGGGGUUACCGAUACCCCCUCCCCGAUAACAUUAUUUUCCCAUGUAUAUGUAUGUCGCGUCAUUGUCGAUAUAACCCCCUCGAGAUAACUUCGACAUGAGGGGCGGUCGAUAUAUAUACCCCCUCUCGACCGUGAUAACUUAUACAACGGCAGCACCCCCCUCGGCCCUCUCGCUCGACCAAAACUCUUGAGGACACCCAAACCCUAGAGAGAAAACGAUGUUGGUCUCCUACCCCCUCCCGCCGCGCCCCUACCCGACAUAUUAACUCUCUCGAGGCCACCCAAAUUUACCAAGUUAAAAGAGCGUUGUCGUCGAGGCCACCCCAAACCCUUGAAGCGUUGUGUCGAGGAGACCCCAAACCCUAGAGAAGCAGCGUCGAGGCCACUAACAUGGAUCGAUCCAUCUGUAAUAAUAAUUGACAUGGUGUAAAUAUUUGCAGAAACUAUGGAGCACUCCCGAGACGAAGAAACAGAAGCGAUGUUGGGGGACAUUAUCGCACAAGGAAGUGAUGAAGUUGCGUCAUUUCUCAACGACACCGAUGGUCAGGAACGACUGGGUGAAGAAGAGGGCUAUGUUCAUGAUGGCUUCGACCCAUUAAUGCCGGUACAAGAAGAGGACUAUGUUCAUGAUGGCUCUGGUGACACAAUGGAGGUACAAGAAGGAGACCGUGCUGACUGCUCCGGUGACCGAACCGAGUCCGGCCAGGUAUAUAUAUAUAUAUUAGUUAAGCCCGUGCUGACUAGUUAAUUGAUGCAUCCAUUGUUUUGGUAUAUGUACACAUAUUAAUUACUCUCGUCUUUCUUCCUUAUAAUUUCUAGCCCUCCGGAUCGAGCACAACUUCGGUAAGAAGACGAAGCCCGAAGAAAAAGUUGAGCUCGGAUGAAAAGUUUGAGAUCAUAGAAAUCGCGCCCGACGGCGAACCGAUUGAACCCAUCCGGACAAGGAAGGCAUUUUCUGCUCAGUGCGGGGUUCUUGUUAGGGACAAGAUCCCGAUCAGCAUCCAUCAAUGGUAUAAGCCUAAGGAGGAAGACCCCGAGGUGUCUUAUGUCAAUGAUAUGCAGAAAGAAGAUCUUUGGACUGAGCUAAAGGCAAAUUUCACCCUACCGCUAGAGGAGGAUCCGGAGAAGCCAGUUAUAGAGCAAUUAAUCAAUUCUUGUGCUCUUAAGAAGAUGGCAACCCUAAUGAGGAGGUGGAGGAAAGAGGUGAACCAGUUUGUCGAGAAAGAUAAGACACCAGAAUUCAUCGGCAAAUAUGAGAAGAUCAAAGAUCACUGGCCCGCAUUUGUGGCCCACAAGACAUCGGAAAAGAGUAAGAAGAUGUCGGCAACAAACAAGAAAAAUUCUGCAAAGAAGAAGCUUCACCAUCGCACGGGGUCAGGUGGCUACCUCAAAGCCCGGCCUAAGUGGUCCAAGGCUGAGCAUGAUCUGCUUGAAAAAGGGAUCGAACCAGAGACAAUGUACUGGCCAGACCGUUGUCGGACUUGGUUCUUCGGGGCUGGCGGAACCUUGGACCCUGUAACAGGGAAGUGCCAGUGGACGGAUGAGCAACUACAAAUACCAGUCAAGAAACUUCGACACUAUAUCGAUGCAGCGUAGCGAGGGACGCUCCUUCCAAACAGGGAGAAGGACGAGCUCACAAUGGCCCUUGGGAAUCCUGAGCACCCUGGAUGGACACGAGGCACGCCAGGCUCCAUUCCAUGGAAGGUUGGUCUUCCGCACACAGGGGGUUACAAAACCCACGAGAGGAGGAAGAAACUGGAGCAGGACCAAAUGCAGGCGCUGCACGAAAGGGUAAUGGGGCUAGAGGAACGAGAAGCAGCAGAUCGCAGCAAACGACAUGCCGAAGCUUCCCCCGAAGCUACCUCGCCAUCUCAGCGGAGAAGCAGCGUGGCUUCCACCGAGCUGCUUCAGCCGGAGCAUGUCUUGACGUCUCCUGCCAGCUAUCCCGUGGAUGGUAUCACGGAGUCUCAAAGUUGCCACAUUAUGACGCAAUGUAUGAAUUUGAAGGUCAAGGCGGCUGUUGGCCAAGUUUAUCCUAGUGGACCCGGCACAACUUAUCACUGCCAGCCGAUUCCAGAAGGAUUUGCUAAGGUGAUGGUGGAUGAAAUAACGGAGGGAUUUGAGGACCUCCUGCUUGAGCACCCUACCGGUGAAGGGGAGACUAGGCUGGGUUCUGCUCUGAAGACUCCAUGCCUAUGGCGGAAGGAGCUCAUCAACCUUCCGAACUGGACGCCUCCGCCUCCUCCUCCUCCUCCGGCGAGUCAGGGCACUCCGCCUCCUCCACCGCCUCCUCCUCCGGCGAGUGAUGAUCAGGGCACACGUGGCAGCACUCCGCCUCCUUCUCCGCCUGCGCCGGCGCGCCCGAGCAGCCAGCCUCCUCCUUCUCCGCCUCGUCAGCAAGGGCGAAAGAGACCCGCCGCUGCUCCGGCUGCUCCGGCGCGUCGUAAUCCUUCUCCUCCGCCUCACAAAAAGCAAGCAAAGAAGACAUCCACUCCGUCUGCUCUGUCGGUGUCUAGCAGUACAGCCAAAGGCGGGAAGAAAUACAGAUUUGGUCCUUCUCCGAAGACUCCAGAGAAGUUACCGUACGAGAGGACCGAGGAGGAAAACGCGGAGAUCACGCAGAACGAACUGGAUGGCUGGUUUGCAGGGUUGAAAGCAAAGAGACAUCCACCUCCGGAGGAGAAGGUAGAUCCGGUGAAAGUGAAGCGCACUCUGGCUGCCCUGAGGAAACCGGCAAAGUCUCCGCCGAGAACCAACUAUGAGCGCAUUACUGAACAGACAUAUCUCCAAGCGGAGCAGUCGGGAAGUACUGUCAGACAUCAAAGAGCAAAAGAACGAGCAGCUGCGAAAAAAGUUGACCAGCUCGGCGAACAACCAAACCAAUCGUGCCCCCCGCUCAAUGUGUCUAGCGGCAACAUCGUCGCUAAUGUUCCGGGGAUCAUGGACGGUUAUGGCAAUCCACAAUAUUACCUGCCUGACGAUGCACUUCCUGAAUUCAUGAUGGUGGAAGAACGCAGAUACGAGUACGGGAAGCCUCUCAUCAAAGAUGUAAAAUCUCUAACAACGAUGAUGCGAAGAUUCCAUACUUGGUACAUGAAAACCUGCAGAGAGUCUGGGGGGACGAAUAGUUUGUAUCUACACAUUAAAGAGGAGCACGACCUCGUUGGAACUGAUCUGUUGUGUGUUCCAUUUGAGGAGUUCUUCGCGUUCUUCAAUCAAAUAGCCCUCGAUAAAUUAACGGUCUUUUGCUACUGCCUGUAAGUACUAUUUCUGUCAUUAAGUCUCUAUAUAUAGCUUGGCUUUCAUUACAUGUAUUUAUAAUUAAUUAUCCUCAAUAUAUUAUGCAGAUUGAAGAUCGUCGAGUGCAAAAAAAUGAAAUCUAUGAUAUUGGGUUCAUUAACACAAAUAUCAUAGAUGUAUUUCUGGUUGAAAAGCACAUCGAAGAGGCCGAGGACAACUUGCUACGAUCAUUGAUCAAAAAUCAAAACAAAGAUACCAUACUCUUUCCUUACAACACCAAGUGAGUGUUACUGAUCAUUUGCAUAUUCGGUUUCCCUUAUUACUCGAGCGAGGUUAUAGUAAUGUAAUUGAUGAGUUAUGCAUGUGUGCGCAGGUACCACUAUAUUCUUCUGGAGAUUAAGCUUGAGCGUGGACUAGUAACCGUCUUAGACUCGAGACGGAAAGAUCCCAGCACCUAUGCGGACAUGACUGAAAUGCUCAGCAAGUAAGUUCAAUCGAUCAUUAUCGCACCAUAGCGGCAACUUUUUGUUCAUUUCCUGAUAUCUCAAGUAAUAAUAAUUAUUUUCUUUGUCUUGCAGGGUUUGGAAACAGUUCACCACAGUAGCUCGGGGACUGCCGAAGGAGCUGCGAUAUAUAUACCCGAAAGUAAGUACUACUGGCUAGCUAGUUGUGUGCAUCUCCUGUUGAUUCUAUAGCUAUACUUUCAUCACAUUUAUAAUGCUUCAUUAUCAGUUUGAUAGACCUCUAUUUCUCGUAAAGUGCUUGUGGUAGGAACAAGGGAAUGAUUUCUAUAGAUACUACGUGUGCGAGUUCAUCUACAACGCGACUUUGAAAAAUAAGCGGGGCUACUCUCAAAGACAAUAUGAAGUGCGUAAGCAAUUAAUAAUAUUCACAAUUUCUGUUGAGUUUCAUUCAUAUAUAUAUAUAUAUAUAUAUAUAUAUAUAUAUAUGUAUUAAUUAACCCCCUUCUUCAAAUUAGACGUGGCAGAUGCGGAAUGAACUCCUAGAACCAGAUCGCAUGAAAGGAAUUCAAGAGGAAUUGGCGGGAUUCUUUCUUGACCACGUCAUCAAUAAAGCCGGAGAAUACCAUGUGGAACUUGAUUUCAAAUGCUAGGGGACUGUAAUUGAGAGAUCUUAUAUAUUGUACAUGUUGUAUGUAGCCAGUAGCGUCGGACAUACAUGAUACAAAAACUUGUUGUUUGACCAAUCUCUCGGAGAAGGAGACGUCGAUCGAUCACUUCUCUCGGUAUGCAUGACGAACUUCUGUACUUAAUGGUUUCCUUCAUUUUCUUACUAGCUAGCGUGUCGAGAGCCUCUCUAUGUAUAGUACGUAGCGUCGACCAAGCACGGACAUAAGAGAGGACACUUCUCUCUAUUAAUUAGCUAGCUAACACAAUAUAUGAAACACCUAAAUUAACCCCCAAAACCNNNNNNNNNNNNNNNNNNNNNNNNNNNNNNNNNNNNNNNNNNNNNNNNNNNNNNNNNNNNNNNNNNNNNNNNNNNNNNNNNNNNNNNNNNNNNNNNNNNNNNNNNNNNNNNNNNNNNNNNNNNNNNNNNNNNNNNNNNNNNNNNNNNNNNNNNNNNNNNNNNNNNNNNNNNNNNNNNNNNNNNNNNNNNNNNNNNNNNNNNNNNNNNNNNNNNNNNNNNNNNNNNNNNNNNNNNNNNNNNNNNNNNNNNNNNNNNNNNNNNNNNNNNNNNNNNNNNNNNNNNNNNNNNNNNNNNNNNNNNNNNNNNNNNNNNNNNNNNNNNNNNNNNNNNNNNNNNNNNNNNNNNNNNNNNNNNNNNNNNNNNNNNNNNNNNNNNNNNNNNNNNNNNNNNNNNNNNNNNNNNNNCCCCCUGCCUGGGCUCGGCGCGUGGAUGCCUUUUGGUCCCGGUUGGUGCCACCAACCGGGACCAAAGGCCCCCCUGCCUGGGCUCGGCGCACAGGCCACGUGGAGGACCAUCUAUCCCGGUUCGUGUUACAACCGGGACUAAAGGGGGGAGGUAUUAGUAACGACCCAUUAGUCCCGGUUCAUGAACCGGGAGUAAAGGCCCUCACGAACCGGGACUAAUAGGUGUUUGUCUACUAGUGAUAAGCCUAUGACUUAUGAAGUUGGUGAGAAGGCUUACCUUCGGGUUACACCUUUAAAGGGAACCCAUCGAUUCGGUAUCAAGGGCAAGUUGGCCCCUUGUUACAUUGGACCCUUUUGCAUUCUUGCCAAACGAGGGGAAGUUGCCUACCAGUUGGAACUACCUCCACAUCUUUCUAGAGUUCAUGAUGUCUUCCACGUCUCUCAACUCAGGCAUUGCUUCUCGAAUCAUAUCCGCGAAGUAGACCAUGAAACGCGUGAUCUCCAAGAAAAUCUCACUUAUCGAGAAUAUCCAAUUCGCAUCCUUGAUCAAGCCGAGCGUACCACUCGACGCCAGAAUAUCAAGUUUCUCAAGGUUCAAUGGUCACACCACUCCGAUCAAGAAGCAACUUGGGAAAGGGAGGAUCAUCUACGACUUGAGUAUCCCACCUUCUUCCCGAUAGACCCUAAAUCUCGGGAUGAGAUUCUUUUGAGUGGGGGUGAGUUGUCACAACCUAGCUAGUCCAUGCAUUAGAGUGUUGCAUCAUGUCUACCUUUUAUCAGAAACUUGAAUUGGGGAAGACAGAACCCCCCCAGAACCCCUCUAAAUUCAACUAGUGCUUACUAAAAAUAUUUUCAAUGAACCUGAAAUGCCCUUCUAAAAAGUUCACCCUCUUUGUCUUGGGUUAGAACCUCUGGCAAAAUUGGUGCACAAUUUUCUAGGUCAACAGAAGGCCAUUGAAUUAAAUCAUAUCUACUUUGAGUUUGGGCAUUUAAACUAUAUAAAAUAUUUCAAAUGCUCAAAUAACUCCAAACUAAAAUGUUCCAUACUGGAUAUAUUCCAACUAGCGACCAUGUGCAGUUUGGUGAUUUUUGGAGUUGCCUAAGUAUUUUUAGAAAUGCAACAAACUUACAGAAACAAUUAAAAACAGAAACAAAUGGGGAAAAAACCCUUACCUGGCCGAACCAAGCCCCAGCCCAGCUGGCCGGCCCAGCACUGUGCUGGCCCAUGCCAGCCAGCUGCUUUGCCAUCGCCACGCAGGCACAGAGCUGACGCCAGCGAGUGUGAGCUCGCCACGGCGCCAACUGCUUGCCGCCCGCGCCACCGAGCACCUGGGUGAGCUCCACGUCGCCACCCCGACCCCGUGGACACCUCAUUCGCCCCCCUGCCUCUUCCCUCGCUCUCCCGCACCAUGGCCGACGCACCCGUCGCCGCACCGCCGACGUAGUCGCGCCCUCCAUCGUCCCCGUGCUGCACCACCGUGUCCCUUCGCUCCGUCGUCAUCAACUACAUCGAGCAGGCCGAGCCCCGAGCGCUCGUGGGCCUUGCUUCGUCUUCUUUGACCUCAUCUUCACCGAGCACCACCGCAGAUCCCCUUCGCCGUCGCCGCUGCACCAGCUCGUCCCCGACCUCGCCGACCACUCCGUUGUGACCGCCGUGAGCUCAGCCACCUCCCCAUCCUCCCCGUUUGCCUUCUCGUGCACCGUAGCAGCCGCAUGGAGCUUCAUCGCACGCACCACCGCCGAGCUCGUCGCCGACGUGCCUCCGGCCAUCCACCGUCCACACCACGGUAUCUAACAUGCUCAUUGCAUCGCGUAGAGUCUAACGCCCCACUCCACGCGCCUCGCCGUGCCCCGUAGCCACGGGUCAAUUUUCACCCGACUCCGGCGACCGUCGCGGUCGUCGCUGCCGACGUUCCUGGCCACCUCGACCUCAACCACCACCACCAAACGCCGCGGCUUGUUCCUGGCUACACGUAGAUGGUCUUCGCCGUCCAUUUGGUCGCCGGAACGUGCUAACCCACUUCCUCUGCCGCAUCUGGCCUCGCCAGCGGCUAGACGCCGGCGUGUUUGACCCGUUGACGUUGACUGGGUGGGCCAGGUUGACUCCCCUGAGUCUAUGACAAGUGGGCCCCCCCCUCUGCUAAUUAACCUAGUUUAGUUCUUACUAAAAUCAGUUAGUUUAAAUAAGUGCUGACAUGCGGGACCCACUGGUCAGUUUGACCUGAACGACCCCUUUGACCAUUGACGUCACCCUGAUGCACUGCUGACGCAAUAACCAAUUUCUGGAUUUAUUGUUAUAUAGGAAAUUCCAGAAAUUGUUGCAAACUUCAAAAAUUCAUAGAAAUUAAUCUGUAACUCCAAAUGCAAAGAUUUAUAUAUGAAUUUCGAUCAAAAAAAUUCAAUAUAUCCAUUGGUAAUGGUUUCAUGCAUGUCAGAACAAGUUAACCUUGUUGUUUAAUCAAAACAAGUUAAUGCACUAAUAUGACUAUGUUAAAUGAACUACCAUUUGCAUCUUUGAUUCAAAUGAGUUCAUACCUUUCUGUUCUAGCUUGCAUUAGGCCAGGACACAUUCAUGUUGCCAUGUCAUAGCAUGCAUCAUAUUGUUGCAUAUCGUCAUGUGUGGUUCAUGUUCGGUGUGUUUUCGUGAUAGGUUCUGCCUCCGAGGAUAACCCCGAAUAUCCGUCUGAAGGGCAGUAUCCUACUACCACUACAUCAGGCAAGCAACCCAUUGAUCAUUCUGAUACAAACCCAUGUUCUCGCCUCUGCUCUUGUUUACUGCAUUAAGAUAACGCGAUUCAAACUGUUGUGUGUUGUGGUAGUUGAACCCACUUCCUUUGCAUGACCUGUCAUUGCCACGGUAACUAGAUGAAACCCACUAGCAUGUGUAGGAGUUGAUUGAGCCAUAUCUGUGUUACCUACCAUGCUAUGCUUGCUAUGCUUAGAGUUGUGUCAGGUCUGGCUCAUCAGGAUGAUGAACUAGAGUGAAAGGUUGUGUCGGUAACGAGAGUGAAGUGUUGAACACGAUUUGGUAAAGGUAUCGAUGAGAGGCCAUGUAGGAGUACAUGGUGGGUUGUUUCAUUGAGGCCGUCCUUAAGCACUGAGAUCUGUGUGUGUGAUUUAAGAUUCAGCUACUACCACGCAUUGGGCCCAAAACCAAUGGACCCUCUCGACUUAUUAACCACUCUUGUCCUCAGUCCGGGAGUUGCAAGUAGUUUCUGGUGUUUGUAGCAUGCUGGGGGCCGCACGCAGCGCUGACCUUAGGGGUGGGUUGUGUUGCGGUAGGCACGUGGCACGGUGUAUCGAUUCGCCCGUUUGGUGUCUCGGGAACCCUGUUCACAUCGUUCGGGGCCGUUAGUGGAAACCUCGGCCGGACUCCCUGCGGAUGGAACCCAAAUAGGCGAUAAACCUGGACUAGGGACUCGUGUGUUUAGUCAGGCCAUGGCCGACACCCUUGCUGGGCUUCCGCUUGAAGGUUGCCGAGUACACGUCAUGUAGUGGCGAUAAGUGGUGAGAGCGUGUGUGAAGAAGUACACCCCUGCAGGGUACAAAACUAUUCGAAUAGCCGCGUCCACGGUAAAGGACUACUUGGUCACCUAUACAGUUCAUAGACAAGUAAAUGGAUACUUCUAAAAGCCUCAAGAUAAGUGUGAGUGCCGCGGAUGGCCCUGUCGUAGGUUGACGAGAGAGGAUCCACGGUGGAGUAUUGUGUUGGUGAGUAGUGGACUCGUGUGCGACAAAUGUUUUGCAAGUUGUGUCUAUCGUUGGAUAGCUUAGCCAAGAGUCAAAGCUGGCUUGCUGCAAUAACUCCACUACCUUCUUGAGAAUGUGCAUGUAUGAUAGGAUUCUGUUGUAAGACUUGCUGAGUACCUCUGUACUCAUGUUUGCUUAAUUAAUGUUUUCAGACGACAACACCAACCCCUCCGAUGGGUUCUACGUAGACCUCGACGUUGACGAGUGACUAGCCACCCAAGUGGUGAUCCAAGACUUGUGAAGGGCCGAUGUAGAUAGAAAGGCUUCAUCAAGCCCUCUUUCUUUCUAGUGUCUGUACUCAGACUAGUUGCUUCCGCAUGUGCUUGUAUGCUUGUAUGACUUGAGUGUCAGGUCAUGUGACCCCUAUCUGUAUGAACAUGUUAUGUAUGGCUCCUCGGAGCCACUUAAAUAAAGUACUUUGAGUUGUAGAGUUUUGUUGUGAUGCCAUGUUGUAUGUACUCAUAUCGGGCAUAUUGUGUGUAUGUUUGAAAUGCUUGGUAUGAGUGGGAUCCGACAAUCUAGUUGUUUAUCCUUGGCAGCCUCUCAUAUGGGGAAAUGUAGUCUAGUGCUUCUUGAGCGAUAGUAGUCCGCUACAGCCCGGUUCACCGGAGUCCUGCUAGCCCAGUACUACUGCUCUGGACACUUGACUGGCCGGCAUGUGUUUCACUUUGUUCCUGUGUCUGUCCCUUCGGGGAAAUGUCAAGCGGUGGCAUCCGGAGUCCUGCCUAGCCUGCUACAGCCCGGGUUACCGGAGUCCUGUUAGCCCAGCGUUACAUCCCGGAUGUAUACGUUGAUGACCAACAUGCUCGAUGUGAUUCAUGUAUGCAUGUCCCCAUAGGUUAGCGCCGCUUGGGUUCACGACUAGCCAUGUCGGCCCGGGUUCUCAGUCAUGUGGAUGCUAGCGACACUAUCAUAUACGUGAGCCAAAAGGCGCAAACGGUCUCGGGCCAUGGUAAGGCGCCACCCGUGGGAUUACCGUGCGUGAGGCCGCAAAGUGAUAUGAGGUGUUACCGGCUGGAUCAAUGUGACUUGGAAUCGGGGUCCUGACAAUUACUUGCUCCUAUCAUAUGUUUGGUUGCAACAAUGUCACUUCUUCACAUAUGCCAUGUCCCAUUGCUUGUCUCAUGCUUGACUUCAUUGCCUCACACAUGAUGAACAAUUGCUCUUUAUAUUGUGUUGAGUGUUACACUAUAUUCACUACAUCCUAUGCACGUUAUGUUUGGAUUGUCUUGCACUUGACCCAUGUGUUUAGACACUUCAUUUUAUUUGGUGUUGUGAAUCCUUCCUAUGCCUACCAUAGACCUUUCAUUGAGCAAUUUGUGAAUGCUUGCUAUGACCUCGAGGUAGAUGCUUAUGCUCUUGUCACACAUAUUUGCAUCUCUACCUCACAUUUACAUGCUUGUUCCCAUGAUAUUUUUGCUUGUGCUCGAUUGAUAUGCUUACAUGCCAUGUCACAAUCCUUUGUCACACCCUAUGCUAUGCUUGAUGACAACACUUGUUUGGUGAAUCACCUCUUGAAUGCUUGGUUUUGCACGAACGCAAACCACAUUUGUUUUUCCACGGGUUUGUUCUAUUUGCUCCUUUUGAAGGAAUCACAAGAUGGUGCGACACUGGAGAGUGCCCACUUCGAGCUACUAGACGAUGAGUGCUUGGUGAUCGACCACUUCGAUAUGGCACCGCCAUCUCUUUCCUAUGGUGAUUUGGUUUUCGAUCCGAGGUCGAAUCCUUCUCAAGGGGGAGGGGAUGAUGCGGAGCAUCCUAUGGACAUCACCAUGUCAAGAGUCCAUUCGGCAAGUGACACGUGCGACAUCUACUUCUCAUACAUAAAGGUGAAUCUUCUCCUUUACACGUGUUCACUUGACCCCUUCGAGGAUGGUAUACUACUUGACACUUCUCCCGUGUGCAUGCAUAGGUAUUGUCAGAGCUUUACGGAUGUCGAGGAGUGCAAGCGCCAAGGAACGACUACACCGUCCGCGAGGGAAGCAUGGAAGAGAAGGAGGAAGAGAACCUGGUGUUGGGGAACGUAGUAAUUUCAAAAUUUUCCUACGCACAUGCAAGAUCAUGGUGAUGAUAUAGCAACGAGGGGAGAGUGUUGUCUACGUACCCUCGUAGACCGAAGCGGAAGCGUUGACGCAGCGUAGAGGAAGUAGUCCUACGUCCUCCCGGUCCGACCGAUCCAAGCACCGUUACUCCGGCACCUCUGAGUUCUUGACACACGUACAGCUCGAUGACGCACCCUCGAUCUCCAAUCCAGUAGAGGCUCCAAGGGGGAGUUCCGUCAGCACGACGGCGUGGUGACUAUCUUGAUGUUCUCCUGUCGCAGGGCUUCGCCUAAGCACCGCUACAAUAUGACCGAGGUGUAAUAUCGUGGAGGGGGGCACCGCACACGGCUAAGGAACGAUCAAUGAUCAACUUGUGUGUUCUAGGGUGCCCCCUACCCCCGUAUAUAAAGGAGGGAGGGAGGAGGUGGCCGACCCAAGGAGGGGGCGCGCCAUGGGAGGAGGAAACCUACUCCAAGUAGGUUUCCCCUCUUUUUCCUUAUCUUAUUUGGAGGGGGAAGGAAGGAGUACUAGUAGUAGGAAGGAGUACUAGUAGUAGGAAAGGAAGAGGGGGAAGGAGAAAGGAAAGGGGGGGCCGGCCCCCCUCCCCAAUUCGGAUUGGGCUUGGGGGGGCGCGCCCCCCUCCCUUGCUCCUUCUCCCUUCCUCCUACAUGGGCCCAAUAAGGCCCAUAUACCUCCCGGGGGGGUUUCGGUAACCUCCCGGAGCUCCAAACUCUUCCGGAACCUUUCCGGUGUCCAAAUAUAUCCGUCCAAUAUAUCGAUCUUUAUGUAUCGACCAUUUCGAGACUCCUCGUCAUGUCCGUGAUCAUAUCCGGGACUCCGAACAAACUUCGGUACAUCAAAAUACAUAAACUCAUAAUAUAACUGUCAUCGAAACCUUAAGCGUGCGGACCCUACGGUUCGAGAACGAUGUAGACAUGACCGAGACAUGUCUCUGGUCAAUAACCAAUAGCGGGACCUGGAUGCCCAUAUUGGUUCCUACAUAUUCUACGAAGAUCUUUAUCGGUCAAACCGCAUAACAGCAUACGUUGUUCCCUUUGUCAUUGGUAUGUUACUUGUCCGAGAUUUGAUCGUCGGUAUCCAAUACCUAGUUCAAUCUCGUUACCGACAAGUCUCUUUACUCGUUCUGUAAUACUUCAUCUCAUAACUAACUCAUUAGUUAUAUGCUUGCAAGGCUUAUGUGAUGAGCAUUACCGAGAGGGCCCAGAGAUACCUCUCCGACAAUCGGAGUGACAAAACCUAAUCUCGAAUUAUGCUAACUCAACAUGUACCUUCGGAGACACCUGUAGUACUCCUUUAUAAUCACCCAGUUACGUUGUGACGUUUGGUAGUACCCAAAGUGUUCCUCCGAUAAACGGGAGUUACACAAUUCUCAUAGUUACAGGAACAUGUAUAAGUCAUGAAGGAAGCAAUAGCAGAAUACUAAACGAUCAAGUGCUAAGCUAACGGGAUGGGUCAUGUCAAUCACAUCAUUCUCCUAAUGAUGUGAUCCCAUUAAUCAAAUGACAACACAUGUCUAUGGUUAGGAAACAUAACCAUCUUUGACUAAUGAGCUAGUCAAGUAGAGGCAUACUAGUGACUAUAUGUUUGUCUAUGUAUUCACACAUGUAUCAUGUUUCCGGUUAAUACAAUUCUAGCAUGAAUAAUAAACAUUUAUCAUGAUAUGAGGAAAUAAAUAAUAACUUUAUUAUUGCCUCUAGGGCAUAUUUCCUUCAGUCUCCCACUUGCACUAGAGUCAAUAAUCUAGUUCACAUCGCCAUGUGAUUUAACACCAAUAUUCAUAUCUGUAUAUGAUUAACACCCAUAGUUCACAUCAUCAUGUGACCAACAUCCAAAGUGUUUACUAGAGUCAAUAAUCUAGUUCACAUCGCUAUGUGAUUAACACCCAAAGAGUACUAAGGUGUGAUCAUGUUUUGCUCGUGAGAGAAGCUCAGUCAACGGGUCUGUCACAUUCAGAGCCAUAUGUAUUUUGCAAAUAUUCUAUGUCUACAAUGCUCUGCACGGAGCUACUCUAGCUAAUCGCUCCCACUUUCAAUAUGUAUCCAGAUUGAGACUUAGAGUCAUCUGGAUCGGUGUGAAAACUUGCACCGAGAUAACUUUUACGACGGGCUCUUUUAUCACCUCCAUAAUCGAGAAAUAUUUCCUUAGUCCUCACUAAGGAUAUUCUUGACCAAUGUCCAGUGAUCUACUCCUAGAUCACUAUUGUACUCCCUUGUCAAAUACAGAGCAAGGUAUACAAUAGGUCUGGUACAUAGCAUGGCAUACUUUAUAGAACCUAUGACUGAGGCAUAGGGAAUGACUUUUCAUUCUCUUUCUAUUUUCUGCUGUGGUCGGGAUUUGAGUCUUACUCAAUUUCAUACCUUUGCAACACAGGCAAGAACUCUUUCUUUGACUGUUCCAUUUUGAACUACUUCAAAAUCUUGUCAAGGUAUGUACUCAUUGAAAAUCUUAUCAAGCGUCUUGAUCUAUCUCAAUAGAUCUUGAUGCUCAAUAUGUAUGUAGUUUUACUGAGGUCUUUCUUUGAAAAAACUCUUAUUCAAGUAUCCUUUAAUGCUUUGCAGAAUAAUUCUACAUUAUUUCCGAUCAGCAAUAUGUCAUUCACAUAUACUUAUCAGAAAUGCUGUAGUGCUCCCACUCACUUUCUUGUAAAUACAGGCUUCACCGCAAGUCUGUAUAAUACUAUAUGCUUUGAUCAACUUAUCAAAGCGUAUAUUCCAACUCUGAGAUGCUUGCACCAGUCCAUAGAUGGAUUGCUGGAGCUUGCACAUUUUGUUAGCACCUUUAGGAUUGACAAAACCUUCUGGUUGUAUCAUAUACAACUCUUCUUUAAUAAAUUCAUUAAGGAAUGUAGUUUUGACAUCCAUUUGCCAAAUUUCAUAAAAUGUGGCAAUUGCUAACAUGAUUCGGACAAACUUUUAAGCAUCGAUACGAGUAAGAAAAUCUCAUCGUAUUCAACACCUUGAACUUUGUCAAAAACCUUUUUUCGACAAGUCUAGCUUUGUAGAUAGUAACACUACUAUCAACGUCCGUCUUCCUCUUGAAGAUCCAUUUAUUCUUAAUGACUCACUGAUCAUCGGGCAAGUCAAUCAAAGUCUACACUUUGUUCUCAUACAUGGAUCAUAUCUCAGAUUUCAUGGCCCCAAGCCAUUUCGUGGAAUCUGGGCUCAUCAUCGCUUCCUCAUAGUUCGUAGGUUCAUCAUGGUCUAGUAACAUGACUUCCAGAACAUGAUUACCGUACCACUCUGGUGCGGAUCUUACUCUGGAAGACCUACGAGGUUUGGUAGCAACUUGAUCUGAAGUUUGAUGAUCAUCAUCAUUAACUUCCUCACUAAUUGGUGUAGGAAUCACUGGAACUGAUUUCUGUGAUGAACUACUUUCCAAUAAGGGAGAAGGUACAAUUACCUCAUCAAGUUUUACUCUCCUCCCACUCACUUCUUUCGAGAGAAACUCCUUCUCUGGAAAGGAUCCAUUUUAGCAACGAAUGUCUUGCCUUCGGAUCUGUGAUAGAAGGUGUACCCAACAAUUUCCUUUGGGUAUUCUAUGAAGACGCACUUCUCCGAUUUGGGUUCGAGCUUAUCAGGAUGAAACUUUUUCACAUAAGCAUCGCAGCCCCAAACUUUAAGAAACAACAGCUUAGGUUUACUGCUAAACCAUAGUUCAUACGGUGUCGUCUCAACGGAUUUAAAUGGUGCCCUAUUUUAAAACGUGAAUGCAGCUGUCUCUAAUGCAUAACCCCAAAACGAUAGUGGUAAAGAGACAUCAUAGAUCGCACCAUAUCAAAUAAAGUGCGGUUACGACGUUCGGACACACCAUAACGAUGUGGUGUUCCAGGUGGUGUGAGCUGUGAAACUAUUCCACAUUGUUUUAAUUGAAGACCAAACUCGUAACUCAAAUAUUUGUCUCCGCUAUCAGAUCGCAGAAACUUUAUUUUCUUGUUACGAUGAUUUUUCCACUUCACUCUGAAAUUCUUUGAACCUUUCAACUAUUUCAGACUUAUGUUUCAUCAAGUAGAUAUACCCAUAUCUGCUCAAAUCAUCUUGUGAAGGUCAGAAAAUAACGAUACUUGCCACGAGCCUCAACACUCAUUGGAUCGCAUACAUCGGUAUGUAUUAUUUCCAAUAAGUCAGUAGCUUGUUCCAUUAUUCCGGAGAACGGAGUUUUAGUCAUCUUGCCCAAAAGGCACGGUCCGCAAGCAUCAAAUGAUUCAUAACCAAGUGAUUCCGAAAAUCCAUCUUUAUGGAGUUUCUUCAUGCGCUUUACACCGAUAUGACCCAAACGGCAGUGCCACAAAUAAGUUGCACUAUCAUUAUUAACUUUGCAUCUUUUGGCUUCAAUAUUAUGAAUGUGUGUAUCACACGAUCGAGAUCCAACAAACCAUUUUCAUUGGGUGUAUAACCAUAGAAAGUUUUAUUCAUGAAAACAGAACAACAAUUAUUCUCUAACUUACAUGAAUAACCGUAUUGCAAUAAACAUGAUCAAAUCAUAUUCAUUCUCAACGCAAACACCAAAUAACACUUAUUUAGGUUUAACACUAAUCCCGGAAGUAUAGGGAGUGUGCGAUGAUGAUCAUAUCAAUCUUGGAACUAUUUCCAACACACAUCGUCACUACACUCUUAACUAGUCUCUGUUUAUUCUGCAACUCCCGUUUCGAGUUACUAAUCUUAGCAACCGAACAAGUAUCAAAUACUUAGGGGCUACUAUAAACACUAGUAUGGAACACAUCAAUAAUCUGUAUAUCAAAUAUACCCUUGUUCACUUUGCCAUCCUUCUUAUCAACCAAAUAUUCAGGGCAUUUCCGCUUCCAGUGACCAUUUCCUUUGCAGUGUAAACACUCAGUUUCAGGCUAUGGUCCAGCUUUGGGCUUGUCUUUCCACUUGAAGUUCCCUUUCUUUCCCUUUGCCCUUCUCUUGAAACUAGUGGUCUUGUCAAUCAUCAACACUUGAUGCUCUUUCUUGAUUUCUACCUUCGUCGAUUUCAACAUCACGAAGAGCUCGGGAAUCAUUUUUUCGUCAUCCCUUGCAUACUAUAGUUCAUCACGAAGUUCUAGUAACUUAGUGAUGGUGACUAGAGAAUUCUGUCAAUCACUAUCUUAUCUGGAAGAUUAACUCCCACUUGAUUCAAGCGAUUGAAGUACCCAGACAAUCUGAGCACAUGCUCACUAGUUGAGCGAUUCUCCUCCAUCUUUUAGCUAUAGAACUUGUUGGAGACUUCAUAUCUCUCAACUCGGGUAUUUGCUUGAAAUAUUAACUUCAAUUCCUGGAACAUCUCAUAUGGUCCAUGAUGUUCAAAACAUCUUUGAAGUCCCGAUUCUAAGCCGUUAAGCAUGGUGCACAAAACUAUCAAGUAGUCAUCAUAUUGAGCUAGCCAAACGUUCAUAACGUCUACAUUUGCUCCUGCAUUAGGUCUUUCACCUAGCGGUGCAUUAAGGACAUAAUUCUUCUGUGCAGCAAUGAGGAUAAACCUCAGAUCACGGAUCCAAUCCGCAUCAUUGCUACUAACAUCUUUCAACACAGUUUUCUCUAGGAACAUAUCAAAAUAAACAUAUGAAAGCAACAACGCGAGCUAUUGAUCUAUAACACAAUUUGCAAAAUACUACCAGGACUAAGUUCAUGAUAAAUUAAAGUUCAAUUAAUCAUAUUACUAAAGAACUCCCACUUAGACAGACAUCUCUCUAGUCAUCUAAGUGAUCACGUGAUCCAAAUCAACUAAACCAUGUCCGAUCAUCACGUGAGAUGGAGUAGUUUCAAUGGUGAACAUCGCUAUGUUGAUCAUAUCUACUAUAUGAUUCACGCUCGACCUUUCGGUCUCCGUGUUCCGAGGCCAUAUCUGUAUAUGCUAGGCUCGUCAAGUAUAACCUGAGUAUUCCGCAUGUGCAACUGUUUUGCACCCGUUGUAUUUGAACGUAGAGCCUAUCACACCCGAUCAUCACGUGGUGUCUCAGCACGAAGAACUUUCGCAACGGUGCAUACUCAGGGAGAACACUUCUUGAUAAUUAGUGAUAGAUCAUCUUAAAAUGCUACCGUCAAUCAAAGCAAGAUAAGAUGCAUAAAGGAUAAACAUCACAUGCAAUCAAUAUAAGUGAUAUGAUAUGGCCAUCAUCAUCUUGUGCUUGUGAUCUCCAUCUCCGAAGCACCGUCGUGAUCACCAUCGUCACCGGCGCGACACCUUGAUCUCCAUCGUAGCAUCGUUGUCGAUUACGCCAUCUAUUGCUUCUACGACUAUCGCUACCGCUUAGUGAUAAAGUAAAGCAAUUACAGGGCGUUUCCAUUUCAUACAAUAAAGUGACAACCAUAUGGCUCCUGCCAGUUGCCGAUAACUUCGGUUACAAAACAUGAUCAUCUCAUACAAUAAAAUAUAGCAUCACGUCUUGGCCAUAUCACAUCACAACAUGCCCUGCAAAAACAAGUUAGACGUCCUCUACUUUGUUGUUGCAAAUUUUACGUGGCUGCUACGGGCUUAGCAAGAACCGUUCUUACCUACGCAUCAAAACCACAACGAUAGUUUGUCAAAUAGACUCCGUUUUAACCUUCACAAGGACCGGGCGUAGCCACACUCGGUUCAACUAAAGUUGGAGAAACAGACACCCGCCAGUCACCUGUGUGCAAAGCAUGGCGGUAAAACCAGUCUCGCGUAAGCGUACGCGUAAUGUCGGUCCGGGCCGCUUCAUCCAACAAUACCGCUGAACCAAAGUAUAACAUGCUGGUAGGCAGUAUGACUUAUAUCGUCCACAACUCACUUGUGGUCUACUCGUGCAUAUAACAUCAACGAAUAAAACCUAGGCUCUGAUGCCACUGUUGGGGAACGUAGUAAUUUCAAAAUUUUCCUACGCACAUGCAAGAUCAUGGUGAUGAUAUAGCAACGAGGGGAGAGUGUUGUCUACGUACCCUCGUAGACCGAAGCGGAAGCGUUGACGCAACGUAGAGGAAGUAGUCGUACGUCCUCCCGGUUCGACCGAUCCAAGCACCGUUACUCCGGCACCUCCGAGUUCUUGACACACGUACAGCUCGAUGACGCACCCUCGAUCUCCAAUCCAGUAGAGGCUCCGAGGGGGAGUUCCGUCAGCACAACAGCGUGGUGACUAUAUUGAUGUUCUCCUGUCGCAGGGCUUCGCCUAAGCACCGCUACAAUAUGACCGAGGUGUAAUAUCGUGGAGGGGGGCACCGCACACGGCUAAGGAACGAUCAAUGAUCAACUUGUGUGUUCUAGGGUGCCCCCCUACCCCCGUAUAUAAAGGAGGGAGGGAGGAGGUGGCCGGCCCAAGGAGGGGGCGCGCCAUGGGAGGAGGAAACCUACUCCAAGUAGGUUUCCCCUCUUUUUCCUUAUCUUAUUUGGAGGGGGAAGGAAGGAGUACUAGUAGUAGGAAGGAGUACUAGUAGUAGGAAAGGAAGAGGGGGAAGGAGAAAGGAAAGGGGGGGCCGGCCCCCUCCCCAAUUCGGAUUGGGCUUGGGGGGGCGCGCCCCCCUCCCUUGCUCCUUCUCCCUUCCUCCUACAUGGGCCCAAUAAGGCCCAUAUACCUCCCGGGGGGUUCCGGUAACCUCCCGAAGCUCCAAACUCUUCCGGAACCUUUCCGGUGUCCAAAUAUAUCCGUCCAAUAUAUCAAUCUUUAUGUCUCGACCAUUUCGAGACUCCUCGUCAUGUCCGUGAUCACAUCCGGGACUCCGAACAAACUUUGGUACAUCAAAAUACAUAAACUCAUAAUAUAACUAUCAUCGAAAACUUAAGCGUGCGGACCCUACGGUUCGAGAACGAUGUAGACAUGACCGAGACAUGUCUCUGGUCAAUAACCAAUAGUGGGACCUGGAUGCCCAUAUUGGUUCCUACAUAUUCUACGAAGAUCUUUAUCGGUCAAACCGCAUAACAGCAUACGUUGUUCCCUUUGUCAUCGGUAUGUUACUUGUCCGAGAUUUGAUCGUCGGUAUCCAAUACCUAGUUCAAUCUCGUUACCGACAAGUCUCUUUACUCAUUCUGUAAUACUUCAUCUCAUAACUAACUCAUUAGUUAUAUGCUUGCAAGGCUUAUGUGAUGAGCAUUACCGAGAGGGCCCAGAGAUACCCCUCCGACAAUCGGAGUGACAAAACCUAAUCUCGAAUUAUGCUAACUCAACAUGUACCUUCGGAGACACCUGUAGUACUCCUUGAUAAUCACCCAGUUACGUUGUGACGUUUGGUAGUACCCAAAGUGUUCCUCCGGUAAACGGGAGUUACACAAUUCUCAUAGUUACAGGAACAUGUAUAAGUCAUGAAGGAAGCAAUAGCAGAAUACUAAACGAUCAAGUGCUAAGCUAACGGGAUGGGUCAUGUCAAUCACAUCAUUCUCCUAAUGAUGUGAUCCCAUUAAUCAAAUGACAACACAUGUCUAUGGUUAGGAAACAUAAUCAUCUUUGACUAAUGAGCUAGUCAAGUAGAGGCAUACUAGUGACUAUAUGUUUGUCUAUGUAUUCACACAUGUAUCAUGUUUCCGGUUAAUACAAUUCUAGCAUGAAUAAUAAACAUUUAUCAUGAUAUGAGGAAAUAAAUAAUAACUUUAUUAUUGCCUCUAGGGCAUAUUUCCUUCACCUGGCCGCUCCAGAACGAGCGGUACUACCGCCCACUCCAAGCGGUACUACCGCUGAGGCCACCCAAGAGGCACUACCGCCCAGCAUCCGCCCUACUACCGCUCAACCCGACAAACUCCAGUGAUCGAGCGGUAUAAGCCCGGUACUACCGCCCCUCCAAGCGGUACUACCGCUCAAGCGGUACUACCACCCAUGAGUCCGGUACUACCGCCCUGCUUGUGAGCAGCCGCGGGCCUUUGGCCUUGUAUCCCUCUCCCACUUACCCCUUCGUGGCUUAGACUAUAAAUAGACCACCUCCACCUCCUUUCUAGGGUUAGAACAGAUUGAGCUUAUUUUGAGAUAGAGCUUUACUCAUCCAUACGGAUCUACUCCUCGUGAGAGACUGCGGCCUCUUCGGAGAAGAUCGAUCUUGGAUUCAAGACCCCUCGUGGGAAGAUCCGUCUAGGAUCAUCAAGACCUCCUCUUGGAGAUGAACCUUACCUUGUAUCUUUCCCUUUGUUGUUCAUGUACCCUUGUGGAUCUUGUGUGUUUGAUUGUCUAGUGGAUGUGUGAUUGGACUUGUUCUUGAGUGUUUCCCCUUGUGAUUUCUCUCCGUUCUUCCCUGUGUUCUUCGUGUUCUUCGUGGGGAUCCACUCCAAACGUGAAAAAUCGGCCUCUAGGGUUCUACCCUACAUCAUCAUCCUUCAAAAAUAUGGAGGGCCAUUAUUGACGGAAGGGAUAUUAUAUGGCGCAAGGUAUAAUCAGACGCAUCGGGGAUGGAGCGACUACACACAUAUGGGAUCACAACUGGAUUAUGAUGGAAAGCUAUAAGAGGCCAAUAACUAAGUUAGUGCAGAACCCCCCUCAGAAACAUUUUAUGUAUACACGUUAACAUUUCCCAGAUAUAUGAUUAAUAUUUUUGGAAAACUUCUAUUUUUUAUGUGUACUUUUUUAUACAUUUUGUAAUAUCAGAAAUAGUUUUUAUAGAAGGUUUAACAUUUUUCAAAUACAUGAUUACCUUUUUGUAAACUUAUAUUGUUUGACGUUUACUUUUUUUCAUAGACAUAGUGAGGGGUUAUAUCUAAGGAAUAGGCCCAAGUACAUGUAUGGCACAACCAAAUGCCCAUGUUAAUCAAGGAUGUUCCACAAGACAAAUGGGGAAACACACCAAGGCCAAUGGAGCUACAAGGCCAAGGCAUCGGAUACAAGGGGAGAGUCAACUAUGUACAGUCGGAUUACACAGCCCUUAACAGACAAGACUCAUCAGUUGGUCCACUAUUGGAAUCAGGUCAUUUGCCGUCAGCCCAGAAUAGACGCGAAGACUUUGCCGUGAGCAAGUUGACGACAAACACAAUCAGCAAAGACUAUAUCGGCAGAGAGCUAAUUUGACGUCAACUUUUCAUCGCGCUGAUGACAAAGACUUUGCCGUCAAUUAAACUAUGUGUUUGUAGUCUGUAGAGAAAACACAAACGGCAAAGAAAUUAAAAAAAUGGUCAUUUUAAAAUAAUUUUUAGAAAUCUAUAUACUGUUUUUUAAAAUGUUUAAUAUGUACCAAGAAUUAUUUCGUAAGUAUACAAAAGAUGUAUAACGUGUAUGAAAAUUACGUAGACAUCAGAACAUAUUAUAGAAAUGUUAAUCUUGUAUUUAAAAAUUUUAAAUACACAUGCAUAAAAAUGUUUUUGAUGUACAUAAAAAAAUUGUACAUAGUGUGUGAACAAAGUAUGCAUUGAAAAAACAAAAAUCUUGUUGGAAAAAAAUCUCGUGUUGUAUACGAAAAUGUAAAAGGUGUAUGAAAAUAAUUAGAUAUAUGUUUAAUGAAAAAAGGAAAGAAGGCGCAAAAAAUCCGAUUAACACCAAGAUAGGAACAAGAAAACCUGAAGAAGACCAUUGAAAAAAAGAAAUGAAUACAAGAAAGAGGAAGAAAAACAAAAAAAAUGAAGAAGCUGAUGCAGAACAGGGAACUUAGUGAAAACGAAUAAAAAUUGAUGAAAACCGAGAAGAAAAACAAGAAAACUGAAGCAAAAAUUAAGAAAAAUAUGUAAAAAAAAUGAUGAAACAUUGCGAAACAGUGAAAUACUAUGAAAACCAAAGGAAAAAAAGACUCAAAAAUAAGAACGUACAGCAAGCGAAUGAACAACAACUGAGUGAACGAGCGAACAUGCGAGAAUACGUUAAUUGUCUGGCCCAUACUUGUGGAUUCCAGAGGCGAGCCAGAAUAGGCGAGAUAUAGCUAUGACGAUUUGAUACCCUUCAUAGCUUCACGAAUGCUAUAUCUCGCUCACAGCGAAAGUAUUUUUUGUCUGGCCUGAAGGUGAAAGAAUAGCAUCAGGUCGCUGUAAGUUUUGUGAUCCUACAAUCAGAGCUCGAUAAGAUUAAAAUUCAUGUUUCUGACAACCAGUCAUUCGCUCACUCAAUUCCACGUACUAGUUUGGUUAGGUUUUUUUUUCAUUUUUUUCUGUUUUUUAUUUCUUCACUGGCUUUCUUUGGUUUUUUUAUCGGUUUUCUUUGUUUCCUUCACGUUUUACUCUUUCUUUUCCUUUUUACUGGUUUAUCUAUUCCUUUUUUCUUUGUUUCUUUCUUGGUUUUCUUUGUUUUUUCUUUCUUUUGAUGUCAACCUUUUUACAUACACAUUCAACAAUUUUCGUAUACAUCAGAAACAUUUUAUGUAUACACGUUAACAAUUCCCAGGUACAUGAUUAAUAUUUUUGGAAAACUUCUAUUUUUUAUGUGUACUUUUUGAUACAUUUUGUAUAUAUCAGAAAUAUUUUUUAUAGAAGGUUUAACAUUUUUUAAAUACAUGAUUACCUUUUUGUAAACUUAUAUUGUUUGACGUUUACUUUUUUUCAUAGACAUAGUGAGGGGUUAUAUCUAAGGAAUAGGCCCAAGUACAUAUAUGGCCCAAGUACAUUUAAUCAAGGAUGUAGUCCACAAGACAAAUGGGGAAACAGACGGGGGCCAAUGGAGCUACAAGGCCAAAGCAUCGGAUACAAGGGGAGAAUCUACAGUCGGAUUACACAACCCUUGACAGACAAGACUCAUUAGUUGGUCCGCUAUAGGAAUCGGGUAAUUUGCCGUCAGCCGAGAACAUACUCAAAGACUUUGCCGUCAGCAAGUUGAUGACAACUUUUCAUCACGUUGAUGACAAAGACUUUGCCGUCAAUUAAACUAUGUGUUUAUCGUCUAUAGAAAAAACACAAACGGCAAAGGAAAGCACCUUUGCCAUCAGCGGCUAAUCUGCAUGUGUCUUCAACAAGACUCGUCUUGUCACUAGCCUCAAACAUCACAGAUGGAAAAGAAAUUUUUUAUUUUAAAAAAUCUGCGUCGACCACCCUACUUCGCACAUGUAGCCACCGCCUGGCCGCGCUCGCUGAUCACCCACAAGUGUAGGGGAUCUAUCGUAGUCCUUUCGAUAAGUAAGAGUGUCGAACCGAACGAGGAGUAGAAGGAAAUGACAAGCGGUUUUUAGUAAGGUAUUCUCUGCAAGCACUGAAAUUAUCGGUAACAGAUAGUUUUGUGAUAAGGUAAUUCGUAACGGGUAACAAGUAACAACAGUAAAUAAAGUGCAGCAAGGUGGCACAAUCCUUUUUGUAGCAAACGACAAGCCUGGACAAAUUCUUAUAUGAAGGAAAACGCUCCCGAGGACACAUGGGAAUUAUCGUCAAGCUAGUUUUCAUCACGCUCAUAUGAUUCACGUUCAUUACUUUGAUAAUUUAAUAUGUGGAUGGACCGGUGCUUGGAUACUGCUCUUUCUUGGAUAAGCAUCCCACUUAUGAUUAACCCCUAUUGCAAGCAUCCGCAACUCAAAAGAAAUAUUAAGGUAAACCUAAUCAUAGCAUGAAACAUUGACACGGCACAUUAUAAAGAGUUCAACCCAAAUUUUGUAGUAACACUAUUAUAUUUAAAUAGUGAUUAUUCCAACACAUGGAUAAUUAAUUAAGGCACCAGGUUGCGCUUGUGACCAGGAAAGACAAACUUAUGAACUUGCAAGCAUGACAAUCAGAUCGACAUCCACACAAUGUCAAUAUGAACAUUGUCUUGAUACAACUUUAUUUGUAUUUUAUUUCAGAAUUUAAACAACUAGUUUGGGCGGGUCACACACGACGUUGUGUGACACUUUAUUUGUCACCGCUGCAUCGACAUAUCCAUCGACUAAACAACGGUGAUCCAACUAUAUAUUACUAGAGACCUUUCCUUAUCAGUAGGCACCAACUCCAGUGCCAACGCCAAAUGGCACACUAGUGGUGGUCCUAUACAACGGCACAUUGACACGGCACAUCAUUGGCAGGGUACGGAGCGCAAUGGAAGUCAUCACCUCAAGCUGAGCUAUCUGGUGUGGCUGCAAAAAGGUACCCUGUGCCAAUUGUUGUUGUUGAGGUUGUUGCCCGAGUUGCUGCUGUGACUGCUGUUGGGGUUGGGAAACGCAUUGGCCCAACUGUUGCGGUUGCUGCUGCUGAGUUUGGAUGGAACCCCGAACCUGUUGUUGUUCUUGCAGGACGAUGGAGUAGAUGAUAGCACGGAUUGCCUCAUAGCGGGAUUGCUGGGGGAUUUGCGGCAACUGCUGGCAACAUUGUUGUUGCAUCACAUGGCAACUACUCUGCUGCAACAUUUGCGACCUAGCAAGACUUUGUGGCAUUGCCACAGGGCUGCAUUGCUGCUGGAGGAAUACCUUGCAUGGGUUCAGCUGCUGCAAGAUAGAUGGAUGAACAAAUGGUAUUUGUUGUUGCGGUAGAACUAGUUGUUGUUGUUGUUGCGAAAAUGAUGGUUGUUGUGGUAGAAUUGGUUGUUGUUGUUGUUGUUGCGAAAAUGGUGGUUGUUGCGGUAGUACUGGUUGUUGUUGUUGUGAAAACGGUGGUUGUUGUUGUGAAAAUGGUGGUAGUUGUUGCUGCGAAAAUGAUGGCUGUUGCGGUAGAACUGGUUGUUGUUGCUGCGAAAAUGGUGGUUGUUGCUGUGAAAAUGGUGGUUGUUGUUGCUGUGAAAAUGGUGGUUGUUGUUGCUGCGAUAAUGGUUGUUGUUGUUGUUGUUGUUGUUGUUGUUGUUGUUGUUGUUGUUGUUGUUGUUGUUGUUGUUGUUGUUGUUGUGAACAUGGUUGCUGUUGUGGAAAUUGUUGUGGUUGUUGUUGGAUGGGUUGUUGUGGUUGUUGGUGCGAUAAUGUUUGUUGUGGUGGUAAUGGUUGUUGCUGCGAUGGUCUCUCCAAACCAGGGAUGUGGCUAUUCUCCAUUUGUGCAAUGGCACUUGUCGCCGCAACGGCGAGGAGGGCAAAGAUGAGGAAGGUCUUCAUGGUGGACUAGUGUUAACUAGUAUUUCCUGGUUUUGAUGCUUGUGUUUGUGAUGAUCUUUAUACUUCAUGCCUAUUUAUAGUAGCCAGGGCACCACCUCUUUUCUUCUUUGCAUUAGCUUUAAUAAUUCUGUUUGGAUGCAUCUAAAAUGAUUUUUGAUACAGUGUGUUAGGUUGCACUAGCUACACGCAUACUUUUGGAUUGAUCAUCAAAGUUUCUUUUUAGUUGUGCAUAUGAUCAUACACAAAGUAUAGAAAUCCUGAUGCUUGCUAAAGAUGACUUGCCUUAUUCACUUUACAUGUCACACACUUAUCUGUAUAGUAUCACUUUUGCAACCGAGUUUGGAACCUUGUAUAGGUUGUCAGCCAUAAACAAGAAAGGCAAAACUUGUGUAGGACUAAGUUGCAAUCGUGUGUGGGCUGUUAAGAUAUGCUCGAUUGUUAAAGCCUUGCGUCUGGAGGGUUCUUCUAGACUCGGUUGCUUUUCAUAAAACUAACUUUGUAUUUUCCUCUAAGAUGAUAAGAUGAAAUGACGCCUGUAGAGCAUGACAUGACUCAUUGAAUUCCCUUUACACGUAAAGGAUGGUAAUUGCUUACAAGCUACUCCUACUAGCAUAUAUCCGGUCCUAACUCUAGACACGUCAUCACCAGUUCCAUCUUUUUUUUUUAGAUAAAUCAUCAGUUCCGUGUUUUUUUUUUUUGAGACAAUCAGUUCCAUCUAUGUUUUUUUUUGAGAGAAAUAGUUCCAUCUAUGGGUGAAGGAUUUUUUUGGGGGCAAAUGAUAGAUGGGGCUGGAACAGAGGCCCCAGCCUGGAACGAGAGAUUAGGCCCAACGUAAGCGAUGUGUGUGUUAGGGCACCAAAUUCGAACUGGGCUAUAGUUUUCGGAGGCCCCAACGUCAGAAGCCCAGCCCACACUCCGCCGAUCUGCGUCGUCUUCGUCUCCCCUUCCCCGUCCUCCUCGCCGGCCGGAUCGCUCGCCGGCGCACGACGUCUCCCGGACCCCACCGCCCGCGGCCGCUCCACGUACGCGCGCGGCGGCGGAGGCGUCGGCCUCCCUCCCACCCUCCGCAUCCGGCCCCCCACCACCACCGCCACCGCCACCGCUCGAGGUACCCACUCGUUCCCCUUCCCAUUCCUCCCUACCCUCAACCUCUCUCGUAUCCUCUUCUAACAGCUCUUUUUACUUCCGUUGCAGAUGGUCUCUGAGCUCCCCCGUCGGCUGCGCGCCGUAGGCCUCCCCUCCCGGUCGACACAAGGUAUCGAUCCUGUCCGUCCGUCUCUUCCAGCGAUUCGAUUCACAUGAAUUCGAGAGGCGUGCCCAUCUCCAUGCUAGCUGCGUGGAUCAGGAGGGUCAGGAAGCAGAAUUCAGAUGCCUGACAGUGACAUACUACUACAUUUGUGGCUUUGGAAGCUGAGCAACUCCGUGCUUUAUGUGGAUGUCACUUCAAGUAAUCAUCAAAUUUCCGCCUACGCGCGCUACCCAGGUGGAGUGGAGGAGAAGCAGUUGGCAUGGGCAUUCCGUUUCUCUCCCAUGUCUGAGAAGAAAGUUCGUCUCCGGUGCAGCGAUAUCCAAGUUAGUUACAGCAUCCAGUCAUCUAUAUAAUCUCAGUGUUUAUUCUGUUUUGUACUGUCGUAUUUCAUAUGUGCAUCAGAGCAAAUGUGCUUUCUAGAGGCAUGUUGCAGCUGGCCGAGUCCCAGAUCUCGUUUCAUGUAUAUGGCCAUAGGCAGCGAUCAAUAAAAGGGUACUGGAAUUGAUCUUCUAACGUCACUGUUGUUUCUAGCUCCCUGUCUUUGUUUUUGUUGCUUCCGUCGUAUGGUUGCAAAGUUAGGCUUCAUCUGAUUUUAGUUAGUUAAUCUGAUCUCGUUAACCUGAUAAAGAGAAUUCCACCCUGCCCUUUAUUCCGCUCUUCACUGUCUCACAAUAAGGGAACAUAUUAAGCUCACCAAAUUGUGUCCCUCAAAAAUAAAAAAUAAACUCACCAAAUUGUAUCACAGGAGAUUGUCAAGUUGUGUUUUAUCAUAUCAGUAUAGUAAGUGUAUCAUUUGUCCAUAUCAACAAGGGAUAGUCAUCUGCCAGCUUAUUAUGCUCAUCUCUGAGCUCGAUCAUGCCCUUCAAUGUUAGUUAGAGGUGUCAUUAAAACAGGACAAGAAAUUAACCACUUUCCACCGGGUCUUCUCUCUUGAGCAGGAAGCAUGUGAUGCAUUCAAGAUUCGAUGAAUUCACGAAAACCAAUAUCGUGGUCCUCCCUGUGCAGCAGGUACCUGAGAUGAAUUGUAUUUUGUAAGUGCUCUGUAUGCGUGCUGUCAGCCGGCAGUGGAGGUAAUUGUUUAAUUUGCAUUCCUGCAACUUCUUGUAUUUGUAAAGAAAAUUCUUACUAUUUGCUGAGUGCACAGCCAUUGCAUUGUCACUUUUGAAAAACCGCAUUGGAUGUACUGAGAUAAAUAAUAGUAUAAUCUCUACUUGCAUACUACGAACGAGAAAUCUUCAUUCUGACUUGCAAUAAGGGAGUUUGUUUAGCUGUGCCUUAUUAGGAAAUGAAGAUACCCCCAGCUGUUAACGUGGUAUCCAAGCUAUCCUUAUUAUAUGUCAGCUCAAAAGGAAUGCCAAGUGCCGAGCUGUUGUGAGAGUUGAUGGUUGUGAUUGGUUACCAAAAAUCAAAGUCACCCACUCAAGAGAGAAAGUCAAUGCUCACGUUGGCUUCCAUUUUUCUCACACGCAAACCAAACACAUCUUGCUCACACCAUUAUCUUCUCCAUUUUGCACUGUGCUUGUGCUAAUCUGUGUAGUAUUGUUGGCAAUUUGGGAUAUGUUGGUCUCGCCAGGAGGCCUGUGCUAAUCUGUGCUAUUUCUGAAAAUAUGCUCCCCUAAUCUCCAAUUAUAUUAUGCGUAAAACCAAAAAGGUCAGACUUCUUGAGAACAUGCCAGUGCUGAUUUGUGUUUUUCCUGCUGAUAUGCACUUUAGUAUAUCAAAAUGUACACUUAAUUAGAUGUUUUAAUUUUAAAGUCACAGUUAGAGAGAGGGACAGUGCACCAACCAGCUGGUGCAAACGAAUGACCUGUGUGACGACCUGAGCGUAUUCUUGAAAAAGAAACCCGAAAUACCACCUAGAUCCAUCCACCAUUAUUGCCAGUGUUAAAAAAAAAUACAGGCGUCUUCUGGGCUCUAAAAGCCAUUUCUGGGUCUUAUCUCUUGAAGAAGCAUUUGAUGCAUUUAAGAUUCAACCAAUUAAGAAAACCAAUGUUCUGGCCUUCCAUCCGUGGCAGGAACUCAGAGAUGAAUUGUCUUUUGCACAAGUAUGCUGACACACGUCUAGUCAGUCGAGGUAAUUUUUGGAUUUGCAUUCCUGUGACCUCUGGUAUUUGGAAAAAGUAAAUCAUAUUUGCUAAGUUCACAGCCAAUGGAGCGAAAAUUUUGAAAAACUGCUUUGGAUUUACUGGCAUAAAUAUCUAGAGAGAAUUCCUUAUUAGACACUCCCUUAAAAUCAUGUUCCUUAUUUGACACUAGAAAAAAUUUCUUCCCUAUAUGACCUAUAGUCUUAAUUUCUUUCCCUAUAUGACACUCUAGUGCAUUUUGUUCACGUGAAAAGACCAUUUUACCCAUAUGUAUAAUGUGACCGCAAAUAUGUACAAGAUAAUAGUUGUUCCAAAAAAAUCAGUCGAGUUAUCCAUAUGUGACAUCAUAUAUGCUGGUAUUGUCAUGUCAGUCGAUUUACUAUUGUGCUAAGAAAUCAUGACCGAGGCCUUCGAUGGUUCAUGUGCUAAUUGACCUCAGCUAGUUGUCUAUACGUAUUUGUGUACAUAUACGUGGCCAGCUUGCCGGCCGGAGCGUAGAUAUUUAAAUACGUACGCGCACCCUGACGAUCAAGCGAAUACAUGUAUUCUAGCUUCGUAUGACCCGGUUCAUAUACAUACGUAUGUUGGCUGCACCGAACCGGGCCUACAUUCGUGCUAGCACGCAACUUCCUUCCAUACUUGCAAAUACGUGCACAUGCACUAAUGGCAUGCACGUAGGCGAUCACGGAAGCACACACAAAAAUGCUUAAAAAAUUCAUUCAUUUUUAAGAAUGCAUUUUAGUGUUAAAGCACACGUACAAAAGUACGUCAAACAAUCACACUCACAAACCAUACCGCAUGAACUAGACCCACAGCUGAAUACGUUCUAAAUACAUUGGAUGCAUGCGCUCAGGUAUACAGAAUACACAUGCAUCCCAAAAAAGACCAACGGAGGAGAUAACAUGUUCAGCUGUGCUCACUCUUAGAAACGAUUUUUUCCUAAUUAGGCUCAAUGCUACAUAUUUCUGGUCACAUUAUGUACAGGGGCAAAAAGGUCUUUUCACGUGUACAAAAUGAACUAGAGUGUCAUAUAGGGAAAGAAAUUAAGACUAUAAGUCAUAUAGGGAAGAAAUUUUUUCCCGUGUCAAAUAAGGAACACAAUUUUAAGAGAAUGUCAAAUAAGGAAUUCUCUCAAAUAUCUAAUACAAUGACCCACUUGCAGAAUUCAGCUGCGUAGCCUGACAGUGAUGUACGUACAUUUGUGGCUUUGCUAGCUGAGUAACUCUGUGCUUUAUGUGGAUGCCACUUCAAAUAAGCAUCAAAUUUGUGCCUAUGCGUGCUAUGCAGGUGGACGAGAAGCAGUUGGCAUGGACAUUCCUUUUCUCUCUGAUGUCUGGCAAGAAAGUCCGUCUUCUGUGCAGCGAUAUCCAUGUUAGUUACAAUAUCCAAUCAUCUCUAUAAUUAUAAUCUCAGUGUUUAUUCUGUUUUGUAUUGUCGUAUUUCAUAUGUGCAUCAGAGGAAAUGUGCUUUCUAGCUAGAGGCAUGUUGCAGCUGGCCGAGUCGCAGAUCUCAUUUAUAUGGCCAUAGGCGGUGACCAAUACAAGGGCACUGGAAUUUAUCUUCGAAUGCCACUGUUGUUCUAGCUCUUUGUCUUUACUUUUGUUGCUUCUGUUGUAUGGCUGCAAAGUUAGGCUUCAUCUGAUUUUAGUUAGUCAAGCGAUCUCGUUAAGAUGAUAAAAAGAAUUCCACACGAUGACACGACCCUUUAUUCCGCUCUUCACCGUCUCACAAUAACGGAACAUAUUAAGCUCAACAAAUCGUAUCCCUCAAAAAUAAAAAAGCUCACCAAAUUGUAUCGCAUACUCAUACAUAUCUUUCAUCGUCAAAUAACAGGAGAUUGUCAAGUUGUGUUUUAUCAUAUCAGUAUAUUAAGUGUAUCUUUUGUCCAUAUGAGCAAGGGAUAAUCAUCUGCCAGCUUAUUAUAUGCUCAUCUCUGAGAUCGAUCAUACCUCUUCAAUCUUAUUAGAGGUGUCAUUAAGAAAUGACAAGAAAUUAACUACUUGCCACCGGGUCUUCUCUCUUCAGCAGGAAGCAUGUGAUGCAUUCAAGAUUCACGAAAACCAAUAUUGUGGUCCUCCCUAUGCAGCAGGUACUUGUGAUGAAUUGUAUUUUGUAAGUGCACUGUAUGUGUGCUGUCAGCCAGCAGUGGAGGUAAUUGUUUAGCUUGCAUUCCUGCAACUUCUUGUAUCUGGAAAGGACACUCUUACUAUUUGCUGAGUUCACCGCCAAUGUAUCUUCACUUUGGAAAAACUGCAUUCGAUGUACCCACAUAAAUAUAUAAUAUAAUGAUGAUCUAAUAGCAAAUUAUAUGGCCAUAGGCAGUGAUGAUCAAUAAAAGGGCACUGGAAUUUAUCUUCUAAUGUAUACGUCACUAUUUUUUUAGCUCUCUGUCUUCAUUUUUGCUUCCUCUGUUGUAUGGUUAAAAAGUUAGGUUUCAGCUGAUUUUAGUUAGUUAUAAGCGGAUCUCGUUAAGCUCUUUAUCUUUAUUUUUGCUGCCUCCGUUGUAUGGUUAAAAAUUUAGGUUACAUCUGAUUUUAGUUUGUUAGGCGGAUCGCGUUAAACUGAUAAGAACUCCGUAUAGUCCUUUAUUCUGGUCUUCACUGCCUCAAAAUAACAGAACCUAUUAAGUGUCGAAAUUGUAUCUCACAAUCAUACAUAUCUUUCAUCGUUGAAUAACACAAAUUAUCAUAUCAGUACAAAAGUAUAUAUCGUUUGUCCAUAUGCACAAGAGAUAAUCAUCUGCCAGCUGAUUAUUCUUAUCUUUGAGAUCCGAUCCUGUACUCAAUGUUAAUUAGGGGUGUCAUUAAAAAAGACAAGAAAAUAACCACUUGCCCUCGGGUCUUCUCUUGUCAGCAGAAAGCAUGUGAUGCAUUCAAGUUUCAAUGAAUUCACGAAAACCAAUAUUGUGGUCCUCGAGAUGAAUUGUAUUUUGUAGGUGUACUGUAUGUGUGCUGUCACCCGUCAGUUGAGGUAAUUGUUUAAUUUGCAUUCCUGCAACCUCUUGUAUGUAUUCGGAAAGAAAAUUCUUACUAUUUUCCGAGUUCACAGCCAAUCCAUUAUCACUUCCGAAAAACUGCAUUGGAUCUACUGACGUAAAUAUAUAAUAGAGUGAUCUACUUGCAAUAUUAAGAACGAGAAAUCUUCAUUCUGACUUGCAAUAAGAGGGGUUAGUCUAGCUUUUUCCUGCUAAUAAAUGAAGGUACCCAUUACUGUCACCAGUUAAUGUGGUAUGCUAGUUGUCCUUAUUAUAUAUCAGCCCCAAAAAAGAAUGCCCAGUGCUGAGCUAUUGCAAGAUCGGAUAGUUUGUGAUUGGUUCCCAGAAAUCAAGCUCAUGCACUUGGCUCCCAGAAAGUCAACACUCACGUUCGCUUCCAGUUUCCUGACCAGCAAGACGUGCUUCUGCUAAUGUAGGCUUGUGCUCCAAAAUUCCCCAUCAAGCUGGCUCCUGCUCCCCCGAAUCCUACCCCCACCCAUCCAAAAGCUUCAAGAUCUCACAGAAAUCUCACAACUUCCGUUCGUCGGAGUAGAGCCUUCAAACAGCCCCGCCCACACAUCCACGCGGCGGCUGCUGCCAUAACUUCACCGGAGUCGCCUUCUCCUUCCGCGCCACGUCACCGGUGCCGGCCAGGCUCUGAAUCUUCUGCUGCUGCCGCCGAUACGAUGCUGGAGCUGGCAUCGACAUGCUUGUGAGGGCCACUUCUUCCGUGCUGUUACUGUGCUGCUGGUUCUGGGUGCUGCUGAUCAGGGGCAAGCUCGUGAAGGUAACUAUGCCUGCAAGAUUGGGAUUUUACUUGUAAUUCGUUCAAGAUCUACCUAUGAACGUCUUGCUCACACCAUUCUCUUCAUUAAUUUCUGCAGUGCACCUGUGUUGGAGGAGUUUCCUCCGAGAGUUCCAAUGGCAGAGCUGGUGGUCACCAUGGCGCUCCGGCCACUGGUCGCCAUGCUCAGGGACAAGGCGUCCAGCUAUCUCCUUGACCAGUACAAUGUGAUGGAGGGAAUGGAGAAGCAGCACAUGAUUCUGAAACGCAGACUUCCUAUCGUCCUGGACGUCAUCACUGACGCCGAGGAGCAGGCGACAGCCAACAGAGAAGGGGCGAAAGCCUGGCUCCAGGAGCUCAAGAGAGUAGCCUAUGAGGCAAAUGAAGUCUUCGAUGAAUUCAAAUAUGAAGCACUUCGCCGUGAAGCCAAGAAGAAUGGACACUACAAAAAGCUUGGAUUUGAUGUGAUAAAACUCUUCCCCACUCACAACCGUGUUGUCUUCGUUCAGAGAAUGGGUAGCAAGCUUUGCAGGAUUCUGGAGGAUAUCAAUGUCCUCAUUGCAGAGAUGCAUGACUUUGGGCUGAGGCAGACAUUUUUGGUGUCUAAUCAGUUGAGGCAGACACCAGUGUCCAAGGAGUGGAGACAGACAGAUUACGUCAUCAUCGACCCACAAAAGAUUGCCAGCAGAUCCAGACAUGAAGAUAAGAAUAAUAUUGUUGGUAAACUACUUGGUGAAGCUAGCAAUGCAGAUCUCACAGUAGUUCCCAUCGUUGGAAUGGGGGGCCUUGGCAAGACCACAUUAGCGCAACUCAUAUACAAUGAACCUGAAAUUCAGAAGCAUUUUCCGUUGAAGCUCUGGGUCUGCGUCUCUGAUACCUUCGAUGUGAAUUCGGUGGCUAAGAGUAUAGUUGAAGCAUCCCCCAAGAAAAAUGAUGAUACAGACAAACCACCACUGGAUAGACUUCAGAAACUGGUCAGCGGGCAAAGGUAUCUCCUUGUAUUGGAUGAUGUCUGGAAUAGAGAGGUUCAUAAGUGGGAAAGGCUGAAGGUCUGUCUUCAGCAUGGCAGCGUGGGUAGUGCUGUGUUGACAACAACCCGUGAUAAACAAGUUGCUGAAAUUAUGGGUGCAACUAGAACCUACAAUCUCAAUGUUUUGAAGGAUGACUUCAUAAAGGAGAUUAUUUUGGAUAGAGCAUUCAGUUCAGAGAAUGAAAAGCCUCCCGAGCUACUCGAGAUGGUUGGUGAGAUUGUGAAGAGAUGCCGUGGCUCUCCUUUAGCUGCAACUGCACUGGAUCUGUACUUCGUACCAAGAUCAGCGUGGAAGAAUGGAAGGCUAUAUCAUCUAGAAGCAGUAUUUGCACUGAGGAAACUGGAAUUUUGCCAAUACUCAAGCUUAGCUACAACGAUUUGCCAGCACACAUGAAGCAGUGCUUUGCUUUCUGUGCCAUAUUCCCCAAGGAUUACAAGAUUAAUGUGCAGAGGCUUAUCCAACUAUGGAUCGCAAAUGGCUUUAUCCCUGAACACAAGGAAGAUAGUCUUGAAACCAUUGGACAACUUAUUUUUGAUGAGCUUGCUUCAAGGUCAUUCUUUCUGGAUAUAGAGAAGAGUAAAGAAGACUGGGAGUAUUAUUCCAGAAAUACAUGUAAAAUCCACGAUCUUAUGCAUGAUAUUGCAAUGUCUGUUAUGGAAAAGGAAUGUGUUGCUGUGACUAUGGAUACAAGUGAAAUUGAGUGGCUUGGAGAUACUGCUCGGCAUUUGUUUUUAUCAUGUAAAGGAACAGAAGGUAGUUUGAAUGAUUCUUUGGAGAAAAGAUCUCCUGCCAUUCAAACACUGAUAUGCCAAAGUCAUAUGCGAAGCUCAUUGAAGCAUCUGUCAAAAUAUAGCUCUUUGCACGCCUUGAAGCUCUGUAUUAGAGGCAAAGAAUCAUUUCUUCUGAAAUCAAUGUAUCUGCAUCACCUGAGGUACCUUGAUCUCUCAAACAGUUCUAUCAAAUCACUUCCUGAAGAUAUAAGUAUUCUAUAUAACCUUCAAAUGUUGGACCUUUCCUACUGUUGUUAUCUUUAUCGACUUCCAAUGCAAAUGAAGCAUAUGACUUUCCUCCGUCACCUCUACACUCAUGGAUGUCAGAAGUUGAAGAGCAUGCCUCCAGAACUAGGAAAACUCACUAACCUGCAGACGUUGACAUGGUUUGUGGCAGGAGUUCCUGGCCCUGAUUGCAGUGAUGUUGCAGAGCUGCAGCAUUUAAACCUUGGUGGUUAUCUAGAGCUACGUCAGAUAGAGAAUGUUAAAGAAGCAGAGGCAAAAGUGGCAAACCUUGGAAACAAGAAGGAUCUCAGAGAACUGUCAUUAAGAUGGACUGAGGUUGGCGACAGCAAGGUGCUCGACAAGUUCAAACCUCAUGGUGGGCUGCAGGUUCUGAAGAUAUAUUCCUAUGGAGGAGAGUGCAUGGGUAUGCUGCAAAACAUGGUUGAGAUCCAUCUUUUUCAUUGUGAAAGAUUGCAAAUUUUGUUCAGAUGCAGUGCAAUCUUCACUUUUCCAAAACUGAAGGUGCUUAUGCUAAUACAUCUGUUGGAUUUUGAGAGAUGGUGGGAAAUAGAUGAGAGGCAAGAAGAACAGACAAUAUUUCCUGUGCUUGAGAAGUUGUUUAUUAGUAAUUGUGGAAAGUUGGUAGCAUUACCUGAAGCACCAUUGCUGCAAGGACCUUGUGGUCAAGGUGGUUAUACAUUGGUUUGCUCAGCAUUUCCUGCCCUAAAGGUGCUCAAAAUGAAAAACUUGGAGAGCUUUCAGAGAUGGGCUGCAGUGGAAGAGACUCAAGGAGAACACAUACUGUUUCCUUGUCUGGAGGAACUAUCAAUUGAGAAAUGCCCAAAGUUGACGGCGUUACCUGAAGCACCAUUGCUUCAAGAACCAUGUAUUGAAGGUGGUUACAGAUUGGUACGCUCAGCGUUUCCUGCCUUAAAGGUGCUCAAAAUGGAAAACUUGGAGCGGUUUCAAAGAUGGGGUGUGGUCGAAGGGACAUUGUUUCCUCAGCUUGAGAAACUAUCAGUUCAGAAGUGCCCCAAGAUGAUAGAUUUACCAGAGGCACCAAAACUCAGUGUCUUAAAAAUUAAAGAUGGUAGGCAAGAGAUCUCCGAUUUUGCAGAUAGAUAUUUUUCUUCAUUGACCAAACUGAUAUUGAAUCUAGAAAACACAGAAACAACAUCAGAGGUUGAGUGCACUUCAAUUGUAUCUGUGGACAGCAAGGAGAAAUGGAACGAGAAAUCCCCUCUUACAGUGAUGGAGCUAAGAUGCUGCAACUCAUUCUUUGGACCAGGUGCACUAGAGCCGUGGGACUAUUUUGUACACCUUGAAAAGUUGGAAAUUGAUAGAUGUGAUGUGCUUGUCCACUGGCCAGAGAAAGUGUUCCAAAGCUUGGUAUCCUUGAGGACAUUAGUGAUUACAAGCUGCGAAAAUCUGACUGGAUAUGCACAAGCUCCUCUUGAGCCAUUGGCAUCCGAAAGGAGUCAGCACCUGAGAGUUCUGGAGUCUCUUUGCUUAGAAAACUGCCCAAGUUUAGUAGAGAUGUUCAACGUCCCGACAUCUCUCAAGAAAAUGUAUAUUAAUGGGUGCAUUAAGCUUGAGUCCAUAUUCGGCAAGCAGCAGGGCAUGGCUGAGUUAGUCCAAGGAUCUUCUAGCAGUGAGGCAAUCAUGCCUGCAGCUGUAUCAGAGUUGUCAUCCUCACCCAUGAAUCACUUUUGUCCAUGCCUAGAAUAUCUACAGUUAUCUGAUUGUGGAAGCUUACCAGCGGUUCUACAUCUGCCUCUGUCCUUAAAGACCUUAGAAAUUUAUAACUGCAGUAGUAUUCAAGUCCUAUCAUGCCAGCUGGGUGGGCUCCAGAAACCAAAAGUCACUACCUCCAUAAGCAGAAGUCCUGUCAUGCCAGAGCCACCACCACCAGCAGCAGCUGCUGCAAGAGAGCAUUUACUUCCUCCCCAUCUCGAAUCUCUAGUAAUACUGAACUGUGCUGGCAUGUUGGGUGGGACUCUCCGUCUGCGUGCACCCCUCAAGAGACUGCGCAUUAUUGGCAACAGUGGGUUGACAUCGCUGGAGUGUCUGUCAGGAGAGCACCCCCCAUUGCUGGAAGUCCUUGAUCUUCAAAAGUGCAGUACCCUAGCUUCCCUGCCGAAUGAGCCGCAAGUAUACAUGUCUCUCUGGAAUCUUGAAAUUAGAGGCUGCCCUGCUAUAAAGAAGCUCCCUAGAUGCCUGCAGCAGCAACUGGGCAGCAUUGAUGACGAGUACAAAGAACUAGAUGCCCAUUAUGAAGGUAUGCUUGGAGCACGUCCUUCUAUCUUUGCCACAUUUAAUAAACAGAUGCAGUCAUCCAUUCCAUUAAAUCUACCACGCCAGCAUGUCUGUACAAGUUUGUUCUCCAUUAUUUUACUUUCGAAUGUUACAUUAGUUUGUAUGUGUUUGUUCUGACGCCAUUUGCAAUAUGUGCAGUGAUGGCACUUAAACCGAAGACAUGGAAGGAGAUGCCAAGGCUAGUCCGUGAGCGGAGGAAGGCCGCUCGAGAAGCCAAGGAGCGCCAGCAAUCCGCCAUGCAGGAGUAAACAGGUUGGAAACCAUGUAGAAAGGGCAUGGAUUCCAAUUGCUCUGAACAAUGUACAAGAUUAUGUCGUGACUGUAAUCAAUCGGCUUUGUUGAGCUUUGGCCUCUACCUAGUUCAGAUAUUUGUAAUGCGAAUCAAAUGAAUCUGCCCGGUUCAGUAGAAGUUAGGAUAAUAUACUCACAUGUGUGUCUGUGAGCUAUCUAUCGUAUCUAUCUGUUUUUGCUUUGCUUAGUUAACUGCGAAGACACUAGCCUUUAAUUGUUCAAUAAAGUUUUUCAACUGUGGCUUUUAUCUGUCGAUUUUCGUGGUUGACAGGCCUAAUCCCUGAUUGUUGCUCUUCUCUGCUCUGCUCUGCUAGGGGAAUGAGCUGUUAUUGCUUCUGCAACUUAACUGUGCCGCAGUCCGCUCUCCGUCGAGAACUGUCAGGGCCUGCGGUGUAGGGCGGCUGCUGCUUGGCGUCGAGUGGAGCAUAUCUGAAUCAACAUCCUAGGCUGAGACCAUCUCAUCUUGAUCUGGUUUGCUGUUGUCCAGUCAAGCGAGGAAACACAGGGAAGAAACAACAUAGAAAGGGCAUGGUAGUUUAUUUUAUUUUGCUUCAGAAACUGUACCAAUUUAUGUCAUGAUUGUUACCUGCUCCGUUAAACUCUGACCUUGAUCUUGUUAUUAAAGAUUCAGACACUUGCCUCGUUUAGUAGAAGCUGGGGUACUUGUAAUGUGUGCCAUAUAUAUUUCUAGUUUCAGCCAUUUCCAUAUCAAGUACAAGCUCGGAAAGGCUUAGGUGGUCUGUGAACUUUCUGGCCCUGCUUGCUUGACGCAAGUUUUACAGACAUAUAAAACAUAAGUUUAUAUAUAUAUAAUAUACAGUUAAGCAGCAGUUUCCUCGCAUGUAAGAUGGUUAAGUAGCAGCCGCAGGUAUCAGUCAGUCCGGUACUUGUUGAAUGGGAUCGACAGUUGAAUUGCUCUGCUCUGCUGCAAAACUCUGUGUUUGCCUGUGGAGGAAUGAAUAUUUCAGUUUCAGAAUUUGUGAGCUACUCCUAUUUAGUUUCUAGUCUGGUUGUGGUACUAUCUAGUUUCAGCACUGUUUAUUUAGUUUAGAAGAAAUUUACUGUUGACCUUUUUAACGUGUUUACAACACGUGCUAUUUGAAAUAUAAUUCUUUUUUUACCUGUUUCGAUACUUGUACAGAUCAAGUAGUACAAGUUGGGAGGAAAAAACCUCAGGUCCGUGAACUGUUUGGUCCUGUCUGUCUGUACAAAAUCAAGUUUGUUCGCUGUAGCCAGUAUAGUGUUGUAGAUAUCUGAAUAACUUGGUGUCUGCUUACGAGAGCAGAGGACGUGGAUGGAUGUUUGCUGCCGGCUGAUGCUGCAGGAACCGAAAGAGCCUUCUCAGUAUGCACUUCAAUGAAGAAGCAACGGACAGAUGUUCAGAUACAUCCGUUUGAGCUGACCGCUAUUUCUGGACGGAGGGAGUAUUAUGUAAGAUUUUGUGUACUUUCCCUUUAUUACUUUUGGUGCAGCUUCAGUUGAUGGUUUGCAUGCUCUUCUUAAGGAUUUACAUUCUCUUAGUGUCUUUGUUUCGUAUGUUUCUUUAGAGCCUCCUGUAGUUAAUCAGGCACUUCUCUGCUUUUAUAGACUAGUGUUAUUAUUGGUUUAUUAUUCAUGUUACUUAGGAAUUAGGGUCAAACAAGCACCUCCUGCUCUGCUGGUAGCUAGCUUAAUUCCCAGGUUUGGUAUAUAUCUAUGUUGUGAUGCAUACUCAUGUUUGUGAGCUAGUAUAUAUCUAUUUUCAGUGUCGUUUAAUGGUUCAGAGAGUGGGCUGUAACUUGUUCAGAUACUUUGUGUUAAACUGUAGAAUUGACCUGCUGCAGUAAUUUUGACAGCUGAGGUGGGAUGAGCUGCAUAUCAUUCUCUGAUUGGGAGUAACAGGUUGUUGUUGUUUGGUUCUGAUGUUGCUAAGCUGUGGUGGUGGUCACAAUUAUCUUCCUAAUCCGGCAA
This 181833-nucleotide long non-coding RNA is filed under the name Triticum aestivum (bread wheat). RNAcentral's name for it is "long non-coding RNA (TAES_LNC028382)". The record is from RNAcentral. Lineage: Eukaryota; Viridiplantae; Streptophyta; Magnoliopsida; Poales; Poaceae.